CCCCUUGCCCGGCGCGAGGUGCAGGAGGAGGUAGGCGACGACGCCGGCGAGCAGGAGCAGGGAGUAGACGGCGGUGAACACGUCGCGGAACGUGCCGGCGGCGUAGGCGACCAUGAGGCUUAGCAGGUCUAGGACCAUGACGAGCCGGAGUAUGGCGAGCACCGGCGCCAGGCUGAUCCCGCCCCGGUCGUGCAGGAUGGACAGGAUGAGGAUGAGGACGAUGACCACGAGGGAGGAUGCAAAGGCGGUGGCGUUGCCGUAGAAGAAGACCAGGUAGCGUGGGUGGUUAGUCUGCUGGAUGAUGGGGUCGCCGGCGAUGCGGCCCUUGGCGGGGUCGUCGUCUUGCCAGACGCCGCCGGGCGGGUUGAAUGCCGCGCCGUACGUCACGGUGGCCACCAGCGAGGCCAGCAGCAGGAGGUACUUGCGCAGGCUGUACUCCCACGAGUCACCGGCGCCGCCGGGCGUCGCCAUUGCCGGCCGGCCCAGCUCUCUCAGCUCGGUGCGGCGGCACCCUGCAGCUCUUAAUUGUGGUAGUUGGUAACGCUGAACAUACCCAGACUCCAGCCUGGGAGUUUAAUAUUGAUUUUUGAGCGACGACUUGACCCAGCGCGCGUGUCAUGUAGUGAGCUCAGCCCGGAUAGGGAAGGUGCGCCCCCUCUGCCACGAAACUUCUCCCUCCAAUAGGCAAAGACCGUGUCGUUGACGUGGAAUUGCAAGGUCAACGCGAGCAGAUACAAACUCGUCCUGAGGUUCUUACAAUCACGCAUUUGAUAUUUUUUUCCAUCCAAACCCGGUCUGUGGUAAUGACAGGCCACAUCCACUCGUAAAUAUGUCAGCGUUUUAGAAGUUGAUGACAUCCUCCAAAACAAUAAAUUUCAAAAGGCUAAUGCUAAAUCCUCACUCGAGUGAUUUAAAGCAUCCUAUCAUCACUCGAGUGUUUUGGGCAAAUCGAUGAGUGCCAGCACAGUGUCAACUUUGGGAGGUUAGCAUUAGGCCAUUUCAACAUCUCAAUGGCAUGCAGCUUCACGAGCAAUAAAAAUGAGCAGACAUCCGGUGGAAGAUAGCUAGUUGCCGGGGGGGGGGGGGGGGGGGGGGGGGGGGGGNNNNNNNNNNNNNNNNNNNNNNNNNNNNNNNNNNNNNNNNNNNNNNNNNNNNNNNNNNNNNNNNNNNNNNNNNNNNNNNNNNNNNNNNNNNNNNNNNNNNGAGAGCGACGUGCACAUAACGACGACGACCCUCGGCCUCGAUGGGUCUGAUGGGACGAUGAUUUCGUUGCCUUCUCGAAUUUAGCUAAGGGUGUUUGGGAGACUUUAAUUUUUGUCACAUCAAAUAUUUGAACACUAAUUAGGAGUAUUAAAUAUGGGGGUGUUUGGGAGCUCUCCACUCCAUGAAAAAUUGCUCCACUCCACCAACUCCGAAAAUUUCGCAGCCAAACGCGUCUAGCUCCAGCGACUCCGGCUCCAGGAAAAAGGUGGAGCAGGAGGUCAGAUCCACGUUUUUUGUGGAGUACCUCAGGGGGUGCUCCAAAAACUCCCUUUUCAAACCUCCUCGUGGAGUUGGUGGGUAUUUACCCACCACUACCAUCGGUUACACACGUACCGGUUCGCAGUCAGAAAAGAAAACAUCCCGUGACUCCUGCUCCUGGCACUCGCCCCUUCUCUUUCCCCUGGCUGUGGCCGCGCCCGUCCGUGGCUCGCCGCCGGCCGCCCGCCUGCUGGCGACGCCGUGCUCGCCCGUCGAAGCCCUGCCCGCGCCAGCCCCUUGCCUGAACCCCGGCGAGCCGCAUGUUGCCCCAGCCCCAGGCGCCCCUGCCCGAUCUCGCCGCCCGCCCGCCGGCCCGCCGCCCACCCGCUGCCGCUCGCCGCCCCGCCAGAUGCCCGCCGCCCCGCCCGCCGCCCGCCCGCCGGCCGCUCGCCGCCCCGCCCGCUGCGCCGCAUGCCCGCCGCGCGCCCGCCUGCCGAGCUCCCCCGCGGCGGCCAUCCGUGUUCAUUGAGCAGGCGCAGGCCAGGGACGGCUCCCUGAAGCUGGAGAUCCCUCUGGAAACUGAGAAGAGAAGAGGAGAGGAGAGAGAGGAAGAAGAGAGGAGAAAAUAGAAGAGUAAGACAUGUGGGUCCGUUCACAAAGGGUAAAAUAGACCAUUCACAACAAGUGCUCAUAUUUUUGGAGCUGGAGCAGUGCCAUCAGCCAAACACGUGCAGCAGCUCCAUAUUUUUUUAGAGUUGGUGGAGUGGAGCUAGGAAAGUGUGGAGCUAGUGGAGUGGAGCUGGUUUUUCUGGAGUGGAGUGCUCCCAAACAGGCCCAUAGACUAAUUAUAAAACUAAUUGCAGCGAGAUGAAUCUAUUAAGCCUAAUUAGUCCCUGAUUUGACAAUGUGAUCCUACAUUACAGUAACCAUUCGCUAAUGAUGGAUUAAUUAGACGUAAUAGAUUCAUCUUCUGAUUUAGGCUACAGGUUCUGCUAUUAGUUUUGUAAUUAGCUUAUGUUUAGUCCUCCUAAUUAGCAUCGCACAUCCGGUAUGAUAAGUUAAAGUUUAGCUCUGGUAUUGGUAUGUAAACGCCCCAGUAUAUAAUAUACAGCUCGACCACUAUCAACCAGUGGUGUCCAUUUCAGGAUGAUAAGGUGUAGUCGUUGAUUAGUCUGAGAGGAGCACCCCGCCGGUCAGCCAUGGAGCCCGAGAGACAGUUGGUUUUUUCUUUUCCGUUUUUGGAACGGAGGGAGGGCUCCAAUUGCACUAAGUCUAAUUGUCCAGCCUGGUUAAAAAAUACUACAAUAUCUAUAUGUAACUUAGUGCAAUUGGAUAAUUUUGUUUGUCAGUUUUCUAUUAAACGGAGGGGGGAGUACUUGAUAAUUUUGUUUGUCAGUUUUCUAUAUGUAACUAACUAUUGUUUUUUAUUGAGAUAUAUGUAUAUAGUCAAAAUUAUUGUAAGAUUACAUAAGUAUUUUUCAAACAUACUCUGCUCUUAAAUAUAUGAUGUCGUGGACCAAUAAUAUCUAUUUAAUGAAUAAGUUAAAAGUUAUAUGAGUACCAUUAUAUGCAUUGUCAAAAGCACUGCAGAAAAUAAUUGUAGACAAAAUAUAUACAAAUAGUCAAAAGAAUGAAAAAAGUUAAUGGUGUCAUCUAUUUAAGAACAGAGCAAGUAUUUGAUAUUAAAUUAGUAGUAUUGUUUUGCAAAGGUAUUUUAAGUAGUUAUUUGUAGCAACCGUUGCCAUCACGAACCAAACAUGGCCCAAUCUGAAACUCAAUUAUUGCGCCAGAGGACCGAUCUUUGCAAGAUUUCUAGCACAUUAAUUUCUGCCUCUGUUCUCUACUACUUCUAUUUCUUCCUUCGCUCCUACUUUGAGGAAAUGAACAUUUUUUGGACUCUAUAUGCACAGUCAAAUUCCGUGCAGAGAAAAAUUUAUGUACUAGUGGGAGAGUAUACUCCAUAGCCGAUCAUAAAAUAGUUUAUUCUAUAGUCAGGCCAUCUAACCAGCCACCCACCCAUCCACCCAUGCUCCUGACCCGCUGGCCGCGUCUGUUGCAUGUGCCAGCUGAGCAGGUUGGAGCCGAGGUGCUGGAACACACAUUAACUACAGUUAUUAUGGUAAAUAAACACGCAAAGAUCCGGUAGUUAAUUCAGGUUGAUUAGUAGAUGGUUGUUUCAGGAUUUUUGAGUUCACGAUUGUGGCACAAAAUUGCGGUAACUCUGCAUCCUAAAUUUCUAAAUAUCACCUUGUGUUGGGGGAAAUAUUAACGACUCCUCCCAAGUCCACGAAGACGACAAAAUGUAAAGGUCCAGGCCCACCUGAGGUAACAAGGGUAGCGCCGGCCCAACACGGGGAGCAAGAAUCGUGCUCCGCCUCGCCCGACCCGGCGUCCUAGGGUCAGGCGUCCCCGACCCCCGCGAGACCAAGCUCCGCCUCGCCCGACCGCAGGACCGGGGUUGGGAGCAUCCGACCCCCCCGCCGCAGGCCUCCGCUUCGCCCGACCCCAAGCGUAGAAGGUCGGGCUGGCUCAGGCCCACCAGAUGAGUAUCCGCCUCAGGCGCGGAUCUCGUGGGUCCCCCUGUCAAUUCCGCCAUAAAUGCGCCACAAAGCUGUCAGAAGGAAGGAUCUCCGCGCCCUCACGCAACCCGUUGCAAGUACCCAUGCGCGGCCGCACAGUACAUGCUACAGUAGCCGCGACCCUCCCCGAUUGGCCACAGGGCACUCCUGAGCUGCACCGCCCAUGGCAGGAAGAGGCCUCGCCCGCUCUCGUGUCCCGCGCGCCCGACGGCAGAGAUGCGACGUCCGCUCUCCGCAGGCCGUCAGCAAGGCGGCAAGAUCCGCCGCCUCCCCCAAUGGACACGAGGGUCACGACGAAGCGCCAUCAUCACGUCCGGCGGCUACAGUCGCCGAGGAGGCUAUCGACAGGGUGCAGCUGCCGCUACCCUCUUCCGGCGAACGCGCCGGCAGGAGCCGAAGGUCGGCGAGGACGCCGGCGACCUGGGAACUUGCUCCCCCCUCUCCUUAUUCUUUUUACUCAUCCAUGUUUACCUUUUUACUGCUCUCCACACUCAGUCUCACCUGUAACCCCGGUGGCCUCCUCAUGCUAUAAAAGAGGAAUCGGGGGCCGGAGACAGGGAGAGGCUAAACGCACAACACCAUAACGCUCCCUAGACAACAGAACGCACGAGCGCACCCUGCUAGAGCAUCAGGGUACAUCCAAGAGACUUGGGACCAAUUCCCUCUCUCACACUCCUAUAACCCCUACUACAGAACCCUGCGUGGGCAACACGAGCAGCUCCCGAUACUGGACGUAGGACGUUCCCUUGCCCGAACUAGUCUAAACCCCGUGUCUCCGACGCCACCAUCCGAAGCCUUACGCGCAUAAAAGAAAUUUACUAGUCUAAGUCUUGACCCGCUAAUCUUGACAAUGACACUUGGCGCGCCAGGUAGGGGACCUUUGCGCGUGCAUCUCCAAGCUUCAGAUGGCCAGCCACGACGUCCGCUUUGCUCCGGGCUCUCUGAUCCACUUCGGGAGUCUGGACUUCCUCGCCACCGGGGAGGGGAUCGAGCUGAUCCCUCUCCUCAUCUUGCCCGCUCGCCCCACCAUCCCCGGCUCUGCCGCCGGGACAGCGGCGAGCGGCCAGGCACGUGCCGGAGGGCCCUUCCCAGGGGGUCGGCUCUUUGGGCUGUGCAAUUCCGCGGUGACCUACGUUCGCCUCUUGACGCGGUCCAUGACCGUGUCACCCGCGAGCAACAAGCUCGCAGGCGUGGCGAGGAUGAUCUCCGACGCCGGCUCCAACAACGGGAGCCACCACCCCUCGCGUGAGUGCUUCAUGGCCGACGUACACUUCGAGGGGUCCAACGAUGACGACGCCGAAGGGAGACAGAGGACUCCCCCUCUGCGUGCUGCGGCUACGACUGGGGCCCUUGGCAAGGCCCCAGAGCGCCCUCGGCAGCCGGAGGCGUGCGCGGCGUCCCGCCAGGAGGUCGAGCGCCCCCGCCACAAAGGCGGAGCACGACAAUGGGCGCGUGACGUCCAGCAGCGCAUCUGCGCGGACAAAGAACACCCUCAGCUCUUCGCUCGCGCCAGCCAGAACAUCGUUGCCGUGGCAGCCCUACUCUAGCGACUCCCCGAACCAGCGACGCCCGAGGAGCAUCAAGCGCGCCAGAAGGUGUGCAACCUGCUCGAGUGCACCGCCGUCCAGCAAGCGGAAAGCUCCGCGUCCCGGCGACGCGGGCAAAACGCCAGCAGGAUGGCGCCCGACGCACCCCCAGAGAGGCGGAGGGAGUCUGUUCACCAGCCUCCCCCCAGGGCAAACCAAGCCGCGCCCGCUCGGCGGACACCACCGACCAUAGGCGGCGGGGCUCGGUCCGUCCACCGACGCAUCGGCUCUGUCCGUGACGCUCGCGACACCUUGGACGCGUGGAGGCGCUCCCGCGCGGACAGGGAGGAAGGAGUAGAUCGUGGCUACCACGUCCACCGCAGCGGACGCUACGACAGCGGAGAGGACCGCAGCCUGAGCCCCGAUCUGGCGGGGCCCCAGGCCUUCUCCGCGUGCAUCCUGAACAUGUCGUUUUCGCCGCGUUUCAGGCAACCAACAAAUGUGGCCAAAUACUUGGGGGAGACGAACUCCAGGGUAUGGCUCAGCGAUUACCAGCUUGCAUGUCAAGACGGUGGUGCGGAUGAUGACCUGUUCAUCAUCCGCAACCUCCCACUCUUUUUGGCCGAUUCAACGCGAGCCUGGCUGGAACACAUCCUUCAGGUCGGAUCCGCAACUGGAACGACCUGAAAGAAAUAUUCGUGGGAAACUUCCAGGGCACGUACACAUGCCCCGGCAACUCCUGGGACCUCUGAAGCUGCCGCCAGGGAUCAGACGAGUCCCUCCGGGACUACAUCCGACGCUUCUCUAGGAAGCGCACUGAGCUCUCCAACGUCGCGGACGCCGACGUCACAGGAGCCUUCCUGGCAGGAACCUCCUAUCGGCCCCUCGUCCACGAGCUAGGGCGCCGAGGCCCGCGGACCACAGAGGAGCUCCUCAACAUCGCCACCAGCUACACCUCGGGCGAAGAGGCCGUUGGAGCGAUCUUCGACCGCUCCAAGGGUAAGGCAAAGCGACAGGAGGAUGCCGAUGAGGGCACCUCCAACCGCCAGCAGCAGCAGAAGAAGAGCAAGCAGCGACGCGAGGCUCCCCUCGUGGCCGCUGUCGAGCGUAAGCGAGGCCAACUGCCCCCAGAGGGCACGCCUGGUUUCUUUGACAAGCUCCUCGAGGGACCGUGCCCGAACCACGAGUUCCCCGUGAAACACGCCUACAAAGAUUGCAACCUCAUGAAGAGGUAUUUCGUAGGCAACCCAGUGAAAGGCAACCGGAGAUGGAAGCCUGACGAGGAGAAGAAGGACGAGGAGGAGAAGGAAGACGGCUUCCCCAAGGUGGACGGCUGCUUCAUGAUCUUCGGUGGACCAGCGGCGUACGACUCCAAACGCCGUCAGAAGCUAGAGCGCCACGAAGUCUAUGCGGCCGAGCCUGCGACACCGGCCUUCCUCGACUGGUCGGGGUCCGCCAUCACCUUCGACCGGUCCGACCACCCGGGACGCGUCUGACAUCCGGGGCGCUACCCUCUCGUCAUCGACCCUAUCGUCGGCACAACGUGAUGAGGACACCACGAGUACAUCUACACCAUCAGCACCUCAGGCGCCGCCAGUUGCUCCUUCACCUCAGGCGCCUACAGUUGCUCAUCCAGUUGGGCCAAAUCACUCGAGCCCGUGCGAGAGAAUUAAACUUCAUCAUGCUAUUAAGGAACAAAGGCCCAUCGGAAUAAGAAGAUGGCCCAACAGGGCAGCCCAGGUGGGGCGCCUAGGGUUGGGUGCCGUGACCCCUUCGGACUCCAGGGGCUGCGCCCCCUUUAUUUAGUCCGAGUCCUUUUUGUUUACGACUUGAGUUUUGUUUUACAUCUAGCUUUAGCUACUCUUGAACACGCGCAAAUACGCGCUGUCCUUGUUGAUUUAGAACUCCACCUUCGAGUGAUAUUUAGAUUGCUCGCCUCUUUUUCUUGUUCGUUCUUCGAUUGCGGACAGGAAUCGAUCUUCGUGAUCAGGCUGAUCUCGCACCGGCGAGGUUGGUAACCAUCGGGAGUUGGUUCAGCGAUUGCAUUGGCGCUUCGGGUUCGCUCGUCGUAGUCGGAUCGUGAGGGUCUACUUCCACCAAGUCGAAUUUAUCUCCACUCACCGAAAGAUCGGGCACUCCAACUCUAUCAAGUGGUAUCAGCUUUCCAGGUUGAUCGGUGAGUUUUACCGAGUGUUUUUCCCUUCCUACAGUCCACAAAAACCAAAACAAAUUUUUUCAGGUUAGCUCCUUUAUCCCAGCAACCGUUUAGCCUCGCACAUUCUUUCAAUAAGUGUCUUUGUUGAAUUUGUGUGCCUACUCGUUCAAUUGUUGCUGGUUACUUGUGUUUAAUCUCUUGUUUCUUGUUUUUCAUCUAACCCUAGUUUUCGCCGCCGCCGCCGUUCCGCUGCUCGCCAACCCUACCAGCCGUGCCCACCGCACCUCCCCCCGCGACAACCGCGCCGCGCCAUCCCACUACUCCGAUCGCCCCUCCCCUGUCAAAAAAAAAAGAUAGAAAGCAAUCAAAAAAAAAGGGAAAGAAGCAAAAAAAAAAACAAAAGAAGAAGAAUCCAACAGGGAGAAGGAAGGUGAUUCGGAUUUGUUUCGGUGGAAACUCCCUUUGCGCGCGCCGUGACUCCCCCUGGGUCACGACUCUUUGGGGCAAAUUCCCCUCCCCCCCACGCAUUCCGUGCCAGCCUUUCAUAUCCGUAUCUCUCUUUCUUGGUCCUUUUUUAUUCUGAGGUUCGCCUUACUCUAGAGAAUACCCCUGUCCUUUCCGAAAAAAGUGUGUGCCAUAAUUUGCUGUUUGUGAUCCUCUGUGUUCAUAUUAUCAGUUUUGGGGCACCCUCUGUGAAAAAAAAAACAGAAAGAAAAAAAAAAGAGGUGCGCCCUCUCCACCUUUGCCUCUGUUCUUUCGAUUUCCCUUGUUCCAGCAACUCUUGUUACAUGUUUGGCACUAUAAUUCAACUUUGCAUUAUUGUUUGAUUGUGCUAAUCCUUCAUUUGAGUGCAGCCUUCCCAAAAAUCCACAUAGUUCUACGACGAGCAGCUUUUGUUUCUCCAGGCAAUCGCUCCUCCAAUCUUUCACAGGUUCCACCGGUUGGUUGCAGUUCGCCCCUGUGUGCGUGGUAAGAACGGAUAAGAAUUUGAUAACAGCACUAGUGUGAGCGCCUUGUGAGCCGUUACACCCCUGUUUUGUCGUCGCUUUUGUUCUUGUAUUUGCGCUAAUCAUGGCAGAUGAUGUCGACGCGGGGGCUAACCAGCUGCAGGGCAUACGCGCGCAAGUUGAAGGGCUUGUCACCGACAUUCAGACGAUUCAUGAAUGGCUGGACUCGACGAUCUCCUCGACGACCGAGCGGUGUGAUCAGCUCGACCUUGCGCAGACGGCCGCUAAGGCCACACUCGACUCAGUUGUGGCAAGACUCGAUGCAUUGCACACAACAGUCGCAGAGUUGCAGCAAGGUUAUGGUGGUGACUCGGACCAGGACGAUGGCGACCGCCGAGGCCGUGCCCGCCGCGUGCCACGCCGUCCCGGUGGUAAUGAUUCCUUUUCCAAGAUUAAAUUUAAAAUUCCACCUUUUAAUGGCAAAUAUGAUCCUGCUGCAUAUCUUGAUUGGGAAUUAGAAGUUGAACAGAAAUUUUCAUGCCAUGAUAUUCUUGCUAAUUCUCAAGUUAAAGCUGCUAUUAGUGAAUUUACUGAUUUUGCUUUAAUUUGGUGGCGUGAAUAUAAACACAAACAUCCCAAUACCAUUCCAACCACUUGGGAGCAAUUAAAAACUGCUAUGCGCCACAGAUUUGUGCCUUCUUAUUAUGCUCACGAUUUGCUUAAUAAAAUGCAACGUUUUUAGCAAGGUUCCAAAUCUGUUGAGGAAUAUUUCCAGGAAUUACAAAUAGGCAUGAUUCGUUGUGGGUUAUUGGAGGAAAACGACGCUGCUAUGGCACGUUUUCGUGGUGGUUUGAACCGCGAAAUUCAGGAUAUACUUGAUUAUAAGGACUACACAGAUAUGACAACAUUAUUUGAAUAUGCUUGCAAAGCUGAACGUGAAGUGCAGGGACGCCGCUCGAAGACAUAUUCUAACUCUUUUGCAGGAAGAAGCUCGACAUCCAACUCCGCACCCGCUCUCCCUGCGCCACCCACGCCCACCACUACACCGCGCGAGCGAACGGCCAAACCUGCCAACGCUGCCCCUUCCACAGGCGCCGCCCCUCCCACAGGCCGUACACGGGAUAUUCAGUGUCAUCGUUGCAAAGGAUUUGGCCAUGUGAUUCGGGACUUUCCGAACAAGCGCACUUUGCUUCUUCGUGAUGAUGGUGAGUACUCUUCCGCUAGUGAUUCUAAAGAUACUCGACAUGCGAUGCUUGCCACUGACCAUGCAGCUAUGGAGGUACAUGUCAACCCGGGCGACGCCGAUAGGUAUGAAAGUCUUGUUGUGCAGCGUGUUCUUAGUACACAGGUCACCCCGUCCGAGAAGAAUCAGCGACACACUCUUUUCCAUACCAAGGGCGUUGUGCAGGAGCGGUCGAUUCGCAUCAUCAUUGACAGCGGCAGCUGCAACAAUUUGGUGAGUACCACGCUGGUUGAAAAGUUGUCUUUACCCACUCGUAAGCAUCCACAUGCAUAUCACAUUCAAUGGCUUAAUGAUGGUGGGAAAAUUAGAAUUACUCGAUCAGUCCGUGUUCCUUUCUCCAUGGGUGCUUAUUCUGAUUUUGUCGAUUGUGAUGUUAUUCCCAUGGAAGCAUGCUCUCUGUUACUUGGGCGACCUUGGCAAUAUGAUACUGAUAGCUUGCAUCAUGGUCGUUCAAAUCACUAUUCUUUCAUGUUUAAGGGUCAGAAAAUAAUUAUACAUCCAAUGACACCUGAACAAAUUCUUAAAGAUGAUCUUGCUAGAGCUGCUAAAACUGCUAAACAACUUGAACCAUCGACAUCUAUUAAUUCUGAAAUCAAGUUGAAUGCUCCUAUUUUGCUUGCCACACGUGCUGAUUUUGAUGAGUUACGCGAUGCUCCUUUGCCAUGCUAUGCCCUUAUAUGCUCUAGUGUGCUCAUUUCACUUGAUGAUGCACCAUCUUUGGAUAUUCCCCCUGCGGUUGCUAACAUUUUGCAGGAGUACGCUGAUGUCUUUCCAAAAGAUUUACCACCAGGACUCCCACCACUUCGUGGCAUUGAGCACCAGAUCGACCUCAUUCCCGGCGCACAGCUUCCGAACCGCGCACCGUACCGUACAAAUCCGGAUGAGACGAAGGAAAUCCAGCGCCAGGUACAGGCGUUGCUUGACAAGGGUUAUAUUCGUGAGUCUCUUAGCCCUUGCUCCGUUCCCGUGUUACUUGUUCCAAAGAAAGAUGGCUCAUGGCGUAUGUGUGUAGACUGUCGUGCUAUUAAUAACAUUACCAUUCGCUACCGAUACCCUAUACCACGCCUUGAUGAUAUGCUAGAUGAGCUUAGUGGUGCCAUUAUUUUCACUAAGAUUGAUUUGCGUAGUGGCUACCAUCAGAUUCGCAUGAAAUUAGGUGAUGAAUGGAAAAUGGCUUUUAAAAUGAAAUUUGGGUUAUAUGAAUGGUUGGUUAUGCCGUUUGGUUUGACAAAUGCGCCCAGCACAUUUAUGCGUUUGAUGAAUGAAGUUCUGAGGCCCUUCAUAGGAUUGUUUGUAGUUGUCUAUUUUGAUGAUAUCCUCAUUUACAGCAAGUCUAUGGAAGAGCAUUUAGAACAUUUGCGUGCUGUUUUUGAUGCGUUGCGUGCGGCCCAUUUAUUUGCUAACCUCGAAAAAUGCAUGUUUUGCACACAACGUGUCUCGUUUCUUGGCUAUGUUGUUACUCCACAGGGCAUUGAGGUGGAUAGCAGCAAGAUUGAUGCCAUUCGGGAGUGGCCUACACCGACGACGGUCACACAAAUUCGAAGCUUUCUUGGCCUUGCAGGUUUCUACCGCCGGUUUGUUCGUGAUUUUAGCUCCAUUGCAGCGCCUCUACAUGAGCUUACAAAGAAGGAUGUUCCCUUUGCUUGGAGUGAUUCGCAAGAGGUUGCGUUCAGCACCUUGAAAGAUAAGUUAACCAAUGCUCCUCUCUUGCAGUUGCCUGAUUUUACUAAAGUGUUUGAGCUUGAAUGCGAUGCUAGCGGUAUUGGGCUAGGUGCUGUUUUGUUACAAGAAGGAAAACCUGUUUCUUACUUUAGCGAGAAAUUAAGUGGUGCUAGCUUGAAUUAUUCUACUUAUGAUAAGGAGCUGUAUGCUUUAGUGCGCACUUUGCAUACUUGGCAGCACUACCUUUGGCAUCGCGAGUUUAUAAUUCAUUCUGAUCAUGAGGCUUUAAAACAUAUUCGUACCCAAACAAACCUGAACCGUCGUCAUGCUAAAUGGGUAGAAUUCAUUGAGUCUUUCCCUUACAUUAUUAAACACAAGAGCGGGAAGGAAAAUGUCAUUGCUGAUGCUUUGUCUCGUCGCUAUACCAUGCUGUCACAGUUAGAUUUUAAAAUCUUUGGCUUGCAAACUGUGAAGGAUCAAUAUGUGGAUGAUGCUGAUUUUAAAGAUGCUUUCGGCCACUGUAUUCAUGGCAGACCAUGGGGCAAAUUUCACAUACAGGACGGGUUCCUGUUUCGCGCUAACAAGCUGUGUGUUCCAGCUAGCUCGGUUCGUCGUUUGUUGUUACAGGAAGCGCAUGGAGGCGGUCUCAUGGGGCACUUUGGCGUCUACAAGACGCAUGAAGUGCUAGCUGCCCACUUCUUUUGGCCCCGGAUGCGCGCUGAUGUUGAGCGCCUUGUUGCACGUUGCACUACUUGCCAGAAAGCUAAGUCACGAUUGAACAACCAUGGUUUGUACAUGCCUUUGCCUGUUCCUACUUCUCCCUGGCUUGAUAUUUCUAUGGACUUUGUUUUGGGAUUGCCUAGAACUAAGAAGGGGAGGGACAGUAUUUUUGUGGUUGUUGAUCGUUUCUCCAAAAUGGCUCAUUUUAUACCUUGUCAUAAGACUGAUGAUGCUAGCAAUGUUGCUGAAUUGUUCUUUCGCGAGAUUAUUCGUUUGCAUGGUAUUCCAAAUAUAAUAGUCUCUGAUCGUGAUGCUAAGUUUCUCAGUCAUUUUUGGAGAUCACUGUGGAAUAAAAUGGGAACUAAAUUGCUGUUUAGCACCACUUGUCACCCUCAGACUGAUGGACAAACUGAGGUGGUUAAUCGAACCUUGUCCACAAUGCUUAGGGCUGUUUUAGAUAAACACUUGAAACGUUGGGAAGAUUGCUUGCCUCAUGUUGAGUUUGCUUAUAAUCAUGCAACGCAUUCUUCUACAAAGAUGUGUCCUUUUCAAGUUGUUUAUGGUUAUAUUCCUCGGGCGCCUAUUGAUUUGUUUGCACUUGAUGCCGAGGACACCCCACACAUAGAUGCCGCUGCACAUGUUGAUCAAAUGAUUAGCUUGCAUGAGCAAACUCAACAAAACAUUGCUGCUGCUAAUGCUAAAUAUCAGGUUGCGGGUAGUAAAGGGAGAAAACAUGUUACUUUUGCACCGGGUGACCUGGUUUGGUUGCAUUUGAGGAAGGAUCGUUUUCCUACCUUACGUCGUUCUAAAUUGAUGCCACGUGCUGCUGGUCCUUUUAAAGUGCUCACCAAGAUUAAUGAUAAUGCUUAUAUCCUUGACCUGCCUGCGGAGUUUGGUGUUUCCACGAGUUUUAAUGUUGCAGAUUUGAAACCGUAUGUGGGCGAAGAUGAGGAGUUGCCGUCGAGGAAGACUUCAGUUCAAGAAGGGGAGGAUGAUGAGGACACCACGAGUACAUCUACACCAUCAGCACCUCAGGCGCCUCCAGUUGCUCCUCCACCUCAGGCGCCUACAGUUGCUCAUCCAGUUGGGCCAAUCACUCGAGCCCGUGCGAGAGAAUUAAACUUCAUCAUGCUAUUAAGGAACGAAGGCCCAUCGGAAUAAGAAGAUGGCCCAACAGGGCAGCCCAGGUGGGGCGCCUAGGGUUGGGCGCCGUGACCCCUUCGGACUCCAGGGGCUGCGCCCCCUUUAUUUAGUCCGAGUCCUUUUUGUUUACGACUUGAGUUUUGUUUUACAUCUAGCUUUAGCUACUCUUGAACACGCGCAAAUACGCGCUGUCCUUGUUGAUUCAGAACUCCACCUUCGAGUGAUAUUUAGAUUGCUCGCCUCUUUUUCUUGUUCGUUCUUCGAUUGCGGACAGGAAUCGAUCUUCGUGAUCAGGCUGAUCUCGCACCGGCGAGGUUGGUAACCAUCAGGAGUUGGUUCAGCGAUUGCAUUGGCGCUUCGGGUUCGCUCGUCGUAGUCGGAUCGUGAGGGUCUACUUCCACCAAGUCGAAUUUAUCUCCACUCACCGAAAGAUCGGGCACUCCGACUCUAUCACAACGCGCCUCACCAAGGUGCUGAUAGACGGAGGCAGCGGCCUCAACAUCCUCUACGUCGAGACCCUCGACGCCAUGGGGAUUGACCACUCUCGCCUCCGCCCCAGUAAGGCACCAUUCCACGGCGUCGUGCCAGGGAAACAGGCGAUGCCUCUCGGGCAGAUCGACUUGCCCGUCACUUUCGGGACCCCUUCCAACUACAGGAAGGAGGUCCUAACCUUCGAGGUUGUAGGAUUCCGUGGAACCUACCACGCCAUCUUGGGGUGGCCAUGCUACGCCAAGUUCAUGGCCAUCCCCAACUACACCUACCUCAAGCUCAAGCUGCCGGGGCCCAACGGGGUCAUCACCAUCAGCACGUCUUUCCAGAAGGCGUACGAGUGCGACGUAGAAUGCUGUGAGUACGCCGCUGCCAUUACCUUCACAGAAGAGUUGGUGGUCCAGCUCGUAGAGGGCACCGAGGACCAGCCCGACUCCAAGAAGUCGGCCACCUCCUUCGAAGCCACCGAAGGUGUCAGGGAGGUCCUCCUCGACCCCAGCGGCUCUGACGGGCGGACCGUACGGAUUGGCGCUACCCUAUCUCCUAAAUAGGAAAGCGCGCUCGUCAACUUCCUCCGCGCGAACAGCAACGUUUUCGCAUGGAAGCCCUCGGAUAUGCCUGGCAUUCCGAGGGAAGUCGCCGUGCAUUCCUUGAACAUCAAGGCCGGCUCCAAGACAGUGAAGCAAGGCCUGCGCCGCUUCGAUGAGGAGAGACGCAAGGCCAUCGGCGAGGAGCUCCAGAAGCUUCUAGCGGCCGGAUUCAUCAAGGAAGUAUACCAUCCUGAGUGGCUGGCUAAUCCCGUACUUGUGUGAAAAAAGAAUGGGAAAUGGAGGAUGUGUGUUGACUAUACCGGUCUCAACAAGGAUCCGUUCCCUUUCCCACGCAUAGAUCAGAUAGUCAACUCAACCGCCGGGUGCGAAACCUCAGCUUCCUUGACGCGUACUCCGGCUACCAUCAGAUCGCGAUGAAAGAGUCCGACCAGCUGGCUACCUCUUUCAUCACCCCCUUCGGCCCCUACUGCUAUGUCAAGAUGCCAUUCGGCCUCAAAAACUUGGGGGCUACGUUCCAGCGAUGCAUGCUGAAAUGUUUCAGGGACCUCAUCGGGCAAACCGUGGAGGCUUACGUCGACGACAUCGUGGUUAAGUCCAGGAAGGGCGACCAGCUCAUCCCCGACCUCGAACUAGCCUUCAAAAGGCUGAGGAACAAGCAUAUCAAGCUCAAUCCCGAAAAAUGCGUCUUCGGAGUUCCGAGGGGCAUGCUGCUAGGUUUCAUCGUCUCCAUACGCGGCAUCGAGGCCAAUCCGGAGAAGAUAGCGGCUAUUAGCGAUAUGGGGCCGAUCCAAAACAUAAAAGGAGUCCAGCGCGUCACGGGAUGCUUGGCGGCUCUGAGCCGCUUCAUCUCGCGCCUCGACGAACAAGGACUCUCCCUCUACCGACUCCUAAAGAAGACUGACCGCUUCAAAUGGACCGUCGAGGCCCAAGAAGCGCUUGACCAGCUCAAGGACCUUCUGACGAAGGCCCCAAUCCUAGUCCCGCCGACCAACGGCGAGCCCCUCCUGCUCUACAUAGCAGCGACUACCCAGGUAGUUAGCGCAGCCCUCGUGGUGGAGCGAGAAGAGGAGGGACACGCCCUUAAGGUACAACGCCCGGUGUAUUUCAUCAGCGAAGUCUUGUCCGAGUCCAAGGCGUGCUACCCGCAGAUCCAGAAGCUCAUCUACGCCGUCCUCAUCACGAAGAGGAAGCUGCGCCACUACUUCACCUCCCACCCGAUAACAGUCGUCUCGUCGUUCCCACUCGGCGAAGUGAUCCGGAACCAGGAUGCUACGAGACGGAUCGCGAAGUGGGUGCUCGAGCUCAUGGACCAGGGAAUCACCUACGCCUCCCGCACCGCCAUCAAGUCCCAGGUACUCGCCGAUUUUGUAGCAGAGUGGAUGGAGAUCCAAACACCAUCGACGCUGGAGAAGCAGGAGUACUGGACGAUGUAUUUCGACGGAUCGCUGAUGAGAUCCCGUGCCGGAGCAGGCCUCAUCUUCGUCUCUCCUCUAGGCGUCCGCAUCAGGUACAUGAUCCGUCUCCACUUUCCUGCGUCCAAUAAUGUCGCUGAAUACGAGGCCCUCCUCAAUGGGCUUCACAUCGCCAUCGAACUGGGCAUCUGUCGGAUGGACGUCAGGGGCGACUCUCAGCUAGUCAUCGAACAAGUCAUGAAGGAGUGGAGCUGCCACGACCCCAAGAUGACAGCCUACUGCAACGAAGUUUGCAAGCUUGAAGACAAGUUCAAUGAGUUGGAACUCAACCACGUCGCAAGGCGUUUCAACGAGGCAGCCGAUGAGUUGGCGAAAGCAGCAUCCGGCCGAAGGCCCGUACCCGACGGUGUCUUCGUCAGCGACCAGUUCAAGCCCUCAGUCCGGUACUGAGAACCAGAGAGGUUUAGUGACGCGCCACCGACUCCAGACUCGGGUCCCGACCCGGGAGAGAUCGGCAGCGCGCCACCUGUCCCGGGCUCGGGCGCUGGCCCCAACGGGGUCGGCACUGCUUCGCCUGCCUCAGCCCCGGAAGCUGACCCCUCCGACCCCGUGGUCAUGGAAAUCGCAACAGACCCCACGGUGGAGGCCGACCCCCCGCCCGAUUGGAGAGCCCCGUACCUCGACUACCUCGUCCGCGACAUGCUCCCGGCGAACAAAACGGACGCACGAAGGAUUGCGCGUCACGCCAAAUCCUUCGUUAUUAUCAACCAAGAGCUCUACAAGAGAAGCUACACCGGCAUCCUCCAUGUGGGGAUAUGAGGUAGGCUACACUAGCGCAAUUCAAAAUUCUACCGCGUAUAACCAGGAAGAACUGCCGUAUAAGGAUCACGGGAUUACCACUCGACGCACUACUGGUGCGGAAGAUGUAGAUAUGCGUCGAUGCAGUGAAGACGAUCACGUAGUCAUACGUAGUCGAUCAACGUAGUCGUACGUAGUCGAUCACGUCCAGCAGCUCCUCAGCAGCUCGUCCACGUGCAGCAAGAUCGCCUCCGGUGCCGCGGCUCGUCGUCGGCUCGUCGUGGCUCGUCGGUGGCUUGUCGGCGGCUCGUCCAAGUGCUGCAGGCGCAAUACCUCCAAGGUAUCCACACGUGCAGGGAGGAAGCGUCGCAAGCCGGACUGCUAGAUCUGCGAGUUACAACAGGCGAGGGUGUGGGAGGCGCGAUAGGUGUGUUUUCGCCAAAAAGGUGUAAACCCUAGGGCACCCCCACCCCUCUAUUUAUAGAGGUUCCUAAUGGGCCUCUGGAUCUGAGGCCCAUUAGUACUUCUAAACCUAAUCCAACUCGGAUCAGAUCCGAAUUGGGCUUCUAGCCCCUUAAGUGUGUGACCCUAUGGGUUCGGAUACGUAUAGACAUGGCCCGAGUACUCCUACUCGGCCCAAUAGUCGGUAGCGGCCUCUAGCAAGACGUGCCAACUCCUAUACGCACACGAAGAUCAUAUCAGACGAACCAUCACAACAUAAUAUACAUGCUAUUCCCUUUGCCUCACGAUAUUUGGUCUAGCUUCAAGCCGACCGCUCUUUCUCGAUCCUGUGAUUCGGAAUCCCUUUGUAGGUUAACUCUUAACCGUACAUAGCACGGCCAUGCAUUUUCGGAUCCGAUCACUCGAGGGGCCCAGAGAUAUCACUCUCAAUCAGAGAGGGGCAAAUCCCAUCUUGAUUGACCAUGUCUCAUAGCAUGCUUCUUGACAAACCCGAAAGCUAUCUUUAUAACUACCCUGUUACCGCGUAGCGUUUGAUAGCCCCUAAGUAGGUCGAUCCACAUCUAGAACACAUGCGACAAUCUCAGGUCUAAGGACAAAGCGUAUAUGUUGUUUAAAGAGAGAACUACUUCUCGUGUUGGGUCAGUCCUAGCACAUGUCUCCACAUGUGUCCACAUUAUUAGUUCAACAUCUCCAUGUCCAUGACUUGUGAAACAUAGUCAUCAACUAAUACAUGUGCUAGUCUAAUAUUCAUGUGUGUCCUCACAUAAACUCCGACUAGGGACAACUUUAGAAUAACCAUGCAAGUAAAGAGUUUCACAUACAAUUCACAUAAUUUCAAAUCAAUUCAAGUAGCCUUCAAUGGAUAUUCAAUGAACACAACAUACAAAUCAUGGAUACAAAUGGAAUAUCAUCAUCUCUAUGAUUGCCUCUAGGGCAUACCUCCAACAGUCUCCCACUUGCACUAGAGUCAAUCUAGAAGGUACCUAAUACCCAUAGCUCUUACAUGCGCAUCAUGCUUAGCCUGCGGGAGUGGUUUUGUCAACGGAUCAGAAAUGUUCAGAUCCGUGUGUAUUUUGCAUAUCUUGAUCUCACCCCGGUUAACGAAGUCUCGAAUGAGAUGAAAUCACCGCAUUACGUGUUUGUUCUUCUGGUGGUUCCUUGGCUCCUUUGCUUGCGCAAUUGGCCCAUUGUUAUCACAGUAGAGAUUCAAUGGGCUGGAUGUAUUUGGGAACACACCAAGCUCAAUGAGGAAAUUCCUUAUCCAAACACCUUCCUUCGCGGCUUCCGAAGCCGCGAUGUACUCAGCUUCUGUCGUAGAAUCGGCCACCGUCUCCUGCUUGGAACUCUUCCAACUAACAGCACCACCAUUUAGCGUGAACACAAAUCCUGAUUGUGACUUUGAAUCAUCUCUGUCGGUUUGGAAACUAGCAUCGGUGUAACCCGUUACAACGAGCUCCUCCUCACCUCCAUAGACGAGGAACAUAUCUUUAGUCCUUCUCAAGUACUUAAGAAUGUUUUUCACCGCUGUCCAGUGACUCUCACCUGGAUCAGAUUGGUGUCUGCUUGUCAUACUUAGCGUAUAUGAAACAUCUGAGCGAGUACUUAUCAUUGCAUACAUGAUAGAUCCAAUAGCCGAGGCAUAUGGCACUCUACUCAUGCGAUCCCGCUCAUCAGCAGUCGAAGGACACUGAGUCUUGCUGAGAUGUAUGCCAUGUGACAUAGGCAAGAACCCUUACUUUGCCUCUUCCAUGCUGAACCGCUUCAACACUUUGUCAAUGUAAGUAUCCUGGCUUAAACCUAUAAGCCUUCUCGAUCUAUCUCUAUAGAUCUUAAUGCCCAGAAUAUAUGCCGCUUCCCCUAAGUCCUUCAUCGAAAAACUAUUUUUCAGUGAAGUCUUUAUGGACUCAAGCAUAGGAAUGUUAUUUCCAAUCAGUAAUAUGUCAUCCACAUAUAAGAUUAGAAAUACUACAGAGCUCCCACUAACCUUCUUGUAAACACAAGACUCUUCUUCGUUCUUGGUGAAGUCAAACCCUUUGACCACUUCAUCAAAACGAAUGUUCCAACUCCUAGAUGCUUGCUUCAAUCCAUAAAUGGAUCUCUGAAGCUUGCAUACCUUUCCAGCAUUUUUUGGAUCGACAAAACCCUCGGGCUGUAUCAUAUACACAUCCUCAGAUAGGUUUCCAUUCAGGAAAGCUAUCUUGACAUCCAUCUGUCAUAUCUCAUAAUCGAAAUAUGCAGCUAUAGCUAGAAUAAUCCGAAUGGACUUAAGCAUCACUACGGGCGAGAAGGUCUCGUCGUAGUCAACUCCUUGAACUUGUCGAAAACCUUUUGCGACAAGUCGUGCUUUAUAGAUGUGAACAUUUCCAUCCAUGUCCUUUUUCUUCUUAUAGAUCCACUUGCACUCUAUGGCUUUAACACCAUCAGGCGGGUCAACCAAGUUCCAAACUUGAUUGUCUCCCAUGGACUCUAUUUCGGAUUGCAUGGCACUCUGUCAUUUUUCGGAGUCUGGGUCCAUCAUUGCUUCUGCAUAUGUCGCAGGCUCAUCAUUGUCCAACAAUAAUAUUUCCCGCAUUUCGCGGAGCCUUGCCGACCUUCGUGGUUGUGGCGGUGCUUCUCUUGCCAUGGGUAUCUCAACUUGUUCUGCUACGUUAGCAUCACUCAUUGAUUCUUGCCCGAUCGGCUCAUCUUGAACUUCUUCAAGAUGCACUGUCUUUCCACUCUUUUCUCCAUUGAGAAACUCUUUCUCUAGGAAAACCCCGUUCCGAGCGACAAACACUUUGCCUUCUGAUCGGUUGUAGAAAUAAUAUCCCAAAGUUUCCUUUGGAUAUCCCAUGAAAAUGCACUUAUCCGACUUGGGUGUGAUCUUGUCCGACUGAAGUCGCUUGACAAACACUUCACAUCCCCAAAUCUUUAGAAAAGACAAACUAGGAACCUUUCCAAUCCAUAUCUCAUAUGGUGUCUUAACUACGGAUUUAGAUGGUACCCUAUUAAGUGUGAAAGCUGCUAUUUCUAGAGGGUAUCCCCAAAAUGACAACAGUAGGUCCGACUGGCUCAUCAUUUAUCGAACUAUGUCUAACAAAGUUCGAUUACGUCGCUCGGACACACUGUUUCUCUGAGGUGUUCCAGGCGGCGUAAGUUGUGGAACAAUUCCGCAACUCUUUAGAUAAUUGCUAAACUCGUGGCUCAAAUACUCGCCUCCACGAUCAGAUCGUAAGGCCUUAAUUUUCUUGCCACGCUGAUUUUCAACUUCAUUCUGAAAUUCCUUGAACUUUUCAAAGGUUUCAAACUUGUGCCUCAUCAAGUAGACAUAGCCAUAUCUACUAAAAUCAUCAGUGAAAGUUAUGAAGUAUUGGAAUCCUCCUCUAGCCGUCGUAAUCAUUGGUCCGCAUACAUCACUAUGUACGAGUUCCAACAAGUCUACUGCUCUCUCAGGAAAUCCUGUGAAAGGCGUCUUGGUCAUCUUGCCUAGCAAGCAAGCCUCACAUGUCUCGUAUGAUUCAAAAUCAAACGAAGUUAGAAGUCCAUCAGAAUGGAGCUUCUUCAUGCGCUUUUCACUUAUAUGACCCAAACGACAAUGCCACAAGUAGGUAGGACUCAAAUCAUUAGGCAGAGGCCUUUUAGCACUUACAUUACAGACAGGUGAACCAUCAAGAUUUAAAACAAAUAAUCCAUUCACAAUGGGUGCAAAAGCCAUAAACAUAUUAUCCUUAGAGAUCACACAACCAUUGUUUUCACUCGCAAAUGAAUAACCAUCAUUCAUCAAGCAUGAAGGAGACAAAAUGUUUCGACUUAAACUAGUAACAAAAUAACAAUUAUUCAACUCCAUAAUAAAUCCUGACGGGAGGUGGAGUUGCAUCGUCCCGACGGUCAACGCAGCAACUCUUGCAUUAUUGCCCACGCGGAAAUCAACUUCUCCUCUUUCCACGCUUCUACUUCUUAUCAUUCCCUGCAUCGAAUUGCAAAUAUGAGCAACCGAUCCGGUAUCAAAUACCCAAGAAUUAAUAAUUGUAUCAGUGAGAAAUAUGUUGUCUAUAACAUUAACAACAAGCGUACCUGAGGUAGAAGUACUCUUACUUCCGCCAUUCUUCAAGGAAGCUAGGUACUGCUUGCAGUUUCUCUUCCAGUGACCAAGUUCAUGACAGUAAAAGCACUCUUUGUCUGGAGCAGGUCCAGGUCUAGCUUUAACCUUGGGCGCUAGGUUUGGCUUGGACGUUCCAGCCUUGCCCUUCUUCUUCCAAGAAUUGCCCUUCUUCUUAAAGCUGGGCUUGUUUUGUAUAGCCAUCACAUGGCUGGUACUAGCGCUUUUCUUGAUGUCAGCCUCUGCUGUUUUAAGCAUGCCACACAGCUCAUUCAGACCCUUCUCCGUCCCAUGCAUAUGGUAGUUCGAGAUGAAGUUCCCAUAGCUAGGCGGAAGAGACGAAAGAAUGAAAUCAGUGGCCAACUCUUGGCCCAGUGGGAAGCCUAGCUUCUCCAACCGUUGAGUAUAACCAACCAUCUUGAUUACGUGUGGUCCUCUUGCUACGCCUUCUGCUAGCUUGCUCUCAACAAAUGCCUUAGACACAUUGAACCUUUCAGUCCUGGCCUGUGUUUGGAACAUGUCUCUAAGCGCCACGAUCAUAUCGUGCACCUCAUGGUUUGUUUCGAACUGCAUCUGCAGCUCGGGUUCCAUGCAAGCAAGCAUAAGGCAGCUUACUUCGAGGUUAGCAUCACAUGCUUUCUUGUAAGCAUUCUUAGCAGCAACGGGUGCAUCAUCAGCAGGUUCUUCUAGUAGUGGGUUGUCUAGAACAUCUUCCUUUUUCUCAGCCUUGAGAACAAUUCUCAGGUUACGGAUCCAAUCUGAGUAAUUUGUUACAUUCAACUUGUCCUUCUCAAGGACCGAACGCAAAGCAAACGGUGUAGUGCUGCUAGGUGCCAUUUAAUCUACAACAAAAUAAUGCAAAAUACACUAAGACAAACGUAUCCAUGAUUCAGGAUCCAUAACUAACAAGUCCACUAGUGAGCUUUAGCAUCACCGCUAGCAAACAAGGUAGAUUGGUAAGCAACUUUUGCUAAUCAUAUCACAUAUGACUCCUGUUGUUGGGUGACAUCUCUAUGUCUCGGCGCCCAACCUUUAUGCCCCAAGGUCCUUAACCGUUAAGAUAACCUUGUUAAGCAAACCAACCCUUAUGCGUGUAAGUGUCCGACACAAACCCGUCUAGUCAAGGAAAACUAGUGGCACCCUAAUUUCAUAGACCCACCACUAAUUGUACAAGACAUGGGACGGUGCAAGUUUUAGUUGGGAGGGCAUACUAACUUAAACUUUGUGAGGGAUCAUUCUACUUCUAACAUCACAGCAUGCAGAAAGUAAAACAUAAACAUAAUAGCAUUCACACAGUUGUGACACAGUAUGGCCCGUUUUUCUCAUGGUGAUCUCCAUCUCCAUAGAAUCUGUUCACCAUGGUGAUCUCCAUCUCCAUGUUCCAUGUGUGCCAUCCUUCUGGUGAUGAGUCCUCCAAGAACUAGAACAUGCUAUUACGCCUAAUAGCUAGUAAAGAAGCUAGUAAUGAAGAUUACAUAGUUGCUUGGAUCAUCACAGAUUGGUACGCAGACCAUUAAAUACAAUAAAGUGACAACACAUAUGGCUCCUGCCGUGUUGCCGUACGCGCGACACGCAGGUCACGAAUGAGUUACACACAUACAUCACAUACACAAGGGGGCCAUACUGAUCACAAGAUACAUACAUACAUCCUGCAAAACAGAGUUAGGCGCCCUAACGUUCCAAACUUGGGAGGCCCAAAACUCCAUCUUCCAAGCCAAAUUUGGGAAAUCUAAUUUCGCCGAAAACGGAAAAGCAGUUGAAUUUCAUGUGUAACUUUUUCUGUAGAUCAAUUUUCAUAUAAAAUUCGCCCCGAUCCGAGAUCGUACCGAAAAGUUACGACUGAUUUACCGAAGCAUACGCAUACGACAAAAAUCCCGACCCCGGCAGUAGAUCCCAUCUACUAUUGCACAUCUAAUGCGCCUGGCGUAUGACCCUGGAUUUCGAUUCGACCAAUCAUAUUGAUCUUCGCUCACUGCAAAUGGAUUUACGUGUAUCACUUAACUCCGAUGGCGGAAACCGACCGGUAGGAGUAUGUCGUUACACUAAUAUUGCAGCAAGGGUACGAAACCAGGACAUAGAUCAAACGGAAAACUCGCAUAUCUCCAUAUGCACACAUCCCGAAUCCAAAACUAAGUAGCUACGGCUCUGAUACCACUGUGGGGAUACGAGGUAGGCUACACUAGCGCAAUUCAAAAUUCUACCGCGUAUAACCAGGAAGAACUGCCGUAUAAGGAUCACGGGAUUACCACUCGACGCACUACUAGUGCGGAAGAUGUAGAUAUGCGUCCAUGCAGUGAAGACGAUCACCUAGUCGUACGUAGUUGAUCAACGUAGUCGUACGUAGUCGAUCACGUCCAGCAGCUCCUCAGCAGCUCGUCCACGUGCAGCAAGAUCGCCUUCGGUGCCGCGGCUCGUCGUCGGCUCGUCGUGGUUCGUCGGUGGCUCGUCGGCGGCUCGUCCAAGUGCUGCAGGCGCAACACCUCCAAGGUAUCCACACGUGCAGGGAGGAAGCGUCGCAAGCCGGACUGCUAGAUCCGCGAGUUGCAACAGGCGAGGGCGUGGGAGGCGCGGCAGGUGUGUUUUCGCCAAAAAGUUGUAAACCCUAGGGCGCCCCACCCCUCUAUUUAUAGAGGUUCCUGAUGGGCCUCUGGAUCCGAGGCCCAUUAGUACUUCUAAACCUAAUCCAACUCGGAUCAGAUCCGAAUUGGGCUUCCAGCCCCUUAAGUGUGUGACCCUAUGGGUUCGGAUACGUAUAGACAUGGCCCGAGUACUCCUACUCAGCCCAAUAGUCGGUAGCGGCCUCUAGCAAGACGUGCCAACUCCUAUAUGCACACGAAGAUCAUAUCAGAUGAACCAUCACAACAUAAUAUACAUGCUAUUCCCUUUGCCUCACGAUAUUUGGUCUAGCUUCAAGCCGACCGCUCUUUCUGGAUCCUGUGAUUCGGAAUCCCUUUGUAGGUUAACUCUUAACCGUAUGUAGCACGGCCAUGCAUUUUCGGAUCCGAUCACUCGAGGGGCCCAGAGAUAUCACUCUCAAUCAGAGAGGGGCAAAUCCCAUCUUGAUUGACCAUGUCUCAUAGCAUGCUUCUUGACAAACCCGAAAGCUACCUUUAUAACUACCCUGUUACGGCGUAGCGUUUGAUAGCCCCUAAGUAGGUCGAUCCACAUCCAGAACACAUGCAACAAUCUCAGGUCUAAGGACAAAGCGUAUAUGUUGUUUAAAGAGAGAACUACUUCUCGUGUUGGGUCAGUCCUAGCACAUGUCUCCACAUGUGUCCACAUUAUUAGUUCAACAUCUCCAUGUCCAUGACUUGUGAAACAUAGUCAUCAACUAAUACAUGUGCUAGUCUAAUAUUCAUGUGUGUCCUCACAUGAACUCCGACUAGGGACAACUUUAGAAUAACCAUACAAGUAAAGAGUUUCAUAUACAAUUCACAUAAUUGCAAAUCAAUUUAAGUAGCCUUCAAUGGAUAUUCAAUGAACACAACAUACAAAUCAUGGAUACAAAUGGAAUAUCAUCAUCUCUAUGAUUGCCUCUAGGGCAUACCUCCAACACUCCAGCGCUGCAUCCCGAUCGAGCAGGGAAAAGCGCUAAUUCAAGAAAUCCACGCCGGAGCCUGCGGCCACCACGCUUCACCAAGAACAGCGGUCGCCAACGCCACCCACGUGGUCCGCACCUGCGAAGGGUGCCAGUUCUUUGCACGCUAGACCAUCCCCAUCACGUGGCCCUUCGCGGUCUGGGGGCUGGAUCUCGUCGGGCCCUUUAAAAAAGCGCCUGGGGGCUUCACCCACCUACUUGUCGCCGUCGACAAGUUCUCCAAGUGGAUCGAAGCACGACCGAUCGCGCAGAUCAAGUCCGACCAGGCGGUACAAUUCUUCACCGACAUCAUCUACCGCUUCAGGAUCCCCAACUCCACAUCACGGACAACGGCACACAGUUCACCGGAAAGAAGUUCCUCCUGUUCUUCAACGACCACCACAUCCGAGUGGACUAGUCGGCCGUGGCACAUCCCCACAUGAACGGGCAGGUCAAACGAGCCAACGACAUGAUACUCUAGGGUCUCAAGCCACGGAUCUUCGACCGCCUCAAAAAAUUCGGCGGACGGUGGGUCGCAGAGCUCCCAGCAGUCAUUUGGAGUCUAAGGACAACCCCCAGUCGUGCGACUGGCUUCACCCCGUUCUUCAUGGUCUACGGGUCCGAGGCCAUCUUGCCCACCGAUCUGGAGUAUGGGUCGCCAAGGGUCAAGGCGUACGACAAACAAGGGAACCAAACAUCGCUCGAAGACGCACAAGAUCAGCUCAACGAGGCGUGCGACGUGGUCCUGCUGUACUCGGCCAGGUACUAGCAGGCCUUACGACGCUACCACAGCCGCAAGGUACAAGGCCGAGCCUUCAACGUUGGCGACCUGGUGCUCCAUCUCGUCCAGGAUAAUAAGGGUCGGCACAAGCUGACCCCUCCGUGGGAAGGUCCCUUCAUCAUCACGCAGGUACUGCGACCAGGCACCUACAAGCUGGCGACUCCCGACGGACAAGUCUUCAGCAACACUUGGAACAUAGAACAGCUAAGACGCUACUACCCCUAGCCUUCAUUUCCAAGUUUUGUACAUGAACACUUCUGUACAUCUAAAAUUUUUUUACGGAAAAAAGAAUUUUGAGUUGCUCCCGUCCAAGUUUCAGCUCGAACUCAGGGAUAUCCGACCCUGACCCUACCUCAGGGCCGCAUAUCCCUCGGGGGCUAUCAGGGGCUCCGGCCUAGGCCACUGGACACCCUCUCGAAACACUUUUUCUCUCCGAGCUGACCCUCUUUCUGAACUUUCGGGCAUGAAAAAGAAAGAGCGCACGAACGGUGUUCAGGCAAGAUUGAUCGGACUGCGAAAAAACACACACCCCAGCGGCUACGGUGCCCUCGCUCAUCAAAGCUUACUGACACAACCAACGACGCGCUCUAAACUUUCCAAGUCUGAAAAACACGAAAGAGGAUAGAAAAUUUUUUAGAAAAGCCUUUACGGCCAUUACAAAAUGAGUCUGAAAUUGACGUAUUUACAUCUUGGACGCCAAAAGCCUGAUACAGUUAACCCGACCGGGGAUCUUCGGGAGGGACGGCUUCAUCCUCCAGGAACUUCACCAAGGCCUCCGCUGGGUUGAGCACCGACGCGUCGAUCUCGUCCAGCUCAGCCUCGGAGUAGCCGGCGGCGUACCCUCCGCUCAUCCCGGCGAAGUUGAUGCCGGACUAGUGGGAGCCGAAGACCCCGAAGGCUCGCCUCACGCUGGUGUGGAGCGCCUCCAGGGCGAUCUCGCGGGCUUAGUGGUAGGUCCCGAGGACACGAGUCGCCAGCGAACCCGUCCCCUCCUCCUGAACCACGCUGAGGCUGUCGCAGACGACGCGAACAACAUCCCGCAGGUCGCCAUGCUCAGCGCGCUCCGUGUCGAGCACCUCCCUCAGUCGGGUGAGCUCUCUUGCAAGGAUCACCUGGAGGAACUCGCUAAAUCGAAAAUCAUCGCAACAUCACAAAGAUAAAGAAAUGAGUAGAGUCUUACCCUCGGACUGGGCCUUCAGCUGGCGCUCCCGGUCGAGCCCCUAGGCCACGGAGGCCAGAAGCUUCUAUGCCUGCGCUCGGAGCUGACCGACCUCCGCCCCAAGGUCGGCCGCCACCUUCUCAGCCUCCUCCUUCCGGACCCUCUCGGCAUCCCGGUCCUGCCAGGCCUUUUGCCGCUCGCGCCAGAUGCGCUCGACGGUCUUUUGAAGGGCUCCAUGCUCCCCCUUCAGCCGUGGGAGCUCCUCGGCAUCGUGGCGGGCUUUCUCGGCAGCAGCCUAGAACUCCUCGCGGUCACAGCGGGCCCUCUCCGCAACGACCUGGAACUUGGCCUCCGCUCUCCGCGCGUCCUCCUCAGCCGCUUGCUUGCGCCUCUGCAGGUCAUUGAUGACUUGCUGGGUGGUGGCAACUUGCAUCGACAGCUCCCCGGUGUGCUGCCUCUCCAAGUUGAAGCGCUCCCAGAGCCCCCGCUCCAGCCGAAGGAAAUCAGAUUUCCCCCGGCUGCAUUCUUGGAGAGCCUGAAAAACAAUAUGACAUCAGGGGUAGAACAACGGGAAGGAUACGGCCACCAAUGGAGAAGGUACCAUACCUGGCUGCCAGGGAGGACGACGCCGUCCAACUGCCCCAGCGCUGAAGAUAGAUUCGCGCGGGCGUUGGCGAGGCUGCUCUGCAUCACCUACCACUUGCCCCAUUCCGCGGCAUCAUCCAACGUGAAGAGGGGCCUCUGCGGGUCGUCACGGGACGACCAACGCAGGACGGACCCCCUCCAUGCCUUGGGAAUGGAAGUGACUGAACCAGAGGCGGGAGCCGACCUCGACACCCCCGUCACAACGGGCACCACCAUCCCAAAAGCCGCGGAGCCCACCGAUGGUCCCGGUGCACGCGCCUCUGCCCCCGUCGGGGCCGCCGUGGGCCCUCCCGUCGGCUCCACCACCUCCGACAUGGGCGCCGAAGCAAGUGCCUCCGUAGCCACCUCGCCCUCCGUCGCAACCGCAGAAGCAGGCAUCUCCACCCCCGUCGGGGCCUCCAGAGCAGGCACCUCCGCCUCCGCUAGAGGUGCCACCUCCGCCAUGGCCCCCCGGGCGGAAGUCCUCGCCUCCGUCGCCACCGCCUCCUUUGUCACAGCCGCCGGGGCAGGCGUCCCACUCUCCCCUGCUGCCGCUGUCCCCACCGUGGCCGCGGGGGCAGAUUCUCCUUCCUCCAUCGCCACCGCCGUCCCCGUCGCGGCCGCGGGGACAUCUAUCCCCGUCUCCGCCGUCGCCGUUCCCUCCGCCUCGUCGGCAUCGAGGUCGAUCACCUCCCCGGCCGGGGGGCCCCUGGGGGCGAUACCCCGUGCCGCGGGGUCAUCGGAGGAGCCGAAGGCGGAGCGGGGUCUGCACCCUCUCCUGUGCCUGGUGGCGGCACCACUCCACCGGUCGCCGCCGCGGGGGCCACCUCCGCGGUGGAACCUGCAACCUCACCAGGGACCCCACCGCUCGCCGCAGGCGGGGCCGCGGUACGCCCCGCACGGGCGGAUAACACCCGCAGUGCCUUCUUGGGCGCCAGCUGCGGGACGAGGCCUCGAGGGGCGGCACUACAAGACAGUCAACAGACAUCAGUAGAAACAAACACAACGCAUGGAAGGGAAUGAGGUUCGCGAGGAAAUUCAAUGUACGUUCCCCCGGCGCAAGGACGGCGUGCGCGCUUCACCUCCGAGCCGGACGUCGACCCCGGGGCGUCUGGCAGCGGCCGCUUGUCGCCGCUCCUCUGCGCCUGGGCCGCAGGCACAGGGGCGGGAGCGGGCUCCGUUGACCCCUGGGGAGCAGGUUUCACCGACCCCUGGGGGGCGCUCUGCGCCGACCCCUAGGGCGCGGCCCCAGAGCUUUGCGGGACCAGGCCCCGGGCGGACGAUCCGCCCGCUUCGUCCCUUGUGGCCGUUUAGGAGCGCGUCUCUCGAAUGACGAGCGCUCCCGACCGGGGGGACAGGACAAACUCCUCCUCCUCAUCAUCGUCCUCCUCGUCUUCCUCCUCAUCAUCGUCGUCGUCGUCGUCGUCAUCGUCCGACACGACCUGCACUCGCCGCCGCCGUUGGAACUCCUUGGCGGCCUUCUUCUUCUUCUUCGCCGUCUCCUUGUCCUUGCGGCGCUUCUGCUUCUCAGCAAGGAGAUGGUUCUGCAGCCGCCGCUCGGCAUCCUCCGGCACCGACGGGCGUGAGUCCACGACCCGAGUCAAGCUACCCUGCAGACACGAAAAGGCCCCGCGUCAGAGCGGCGAACCAAGAAACACAAAAAAAAAAGGUUUACGCACAAAUUCCUUACCAGGUUGAUGAAGUUCUCGUCCGGGCACAUCGGAGGGUGCCCGGGCAUCGGGUAGUCGGCGCCCUUGUCCUCUAGCGCCUCCCGAAUCCGCCGCCGGAUCUCGGAGGCGGCGAGCGCACCCAUCGCGAGGGCGGUGCCCUCGAUCGGUGCAUCAGGGGUCAUCUCGGCCAGCGAACGGACCCGGAGCAUUAGCGGCGCCACCCACCGGGCGUGGUACGCCACGAUAACUUUGACUCCGGUCAGCCCCCGAUCCCUUCAGGUGCUCGAUGGCCUGCAGCAGGCCAUGGAUCCUCUUCUUCUCCUUGUCAACUGGGUCAUACGCCCACACCUCCGGCGUUGCCUCGAUAACCCGGCCGGUGAACGCCGGCAAGGGGGAGUCGGAGUAGUUCUUCACGUAGAACCACUGCUGGUGCCACCCCUUGUGGGACGCCACAGUCUUCAUCGCCAUGUACUCCUUGGCACGAGUAUGGCGGAGGUGGAUUCCGACGAACCCUAUCGGCACCGGGGGCGUCCGCUGUUGGCUCCCUCUCUUCUUGAUCUUCUGGUACAGGCUGACCGUGAAGUAUUUCCACAGCGAGAAGUUAGGCUCGAUGCCCAGGAACCCCUCGCACAACGCGACGAAUGCCACAAUGUGCUGAGUCCUGUUGGGAUUGAGGUGCUGCAGCUCAAGCCCGUAGUAAUGCAGAAGCCUGCGGAAGAAGAGGCUCGGCGGAGUCGCGAAACCUCUCUCGUGGAAGUGGGCGAAGGAGAUGACAUAGCCGGCGGGCGGCAUCGGCACCUGCUCCAUCCCUGGGAGCUCCCAUUUGCCUGCCUCCGUCCUCUCGCUGAGGAGACCCUUCCUCACCAGGUCCUCUACGCGCGAGGGGCCAAAGUGGGAAAGCACCCAAGAUCCUAUCACUGGAGAGAAAGGGGCUCGAUGGGGGACGAGGAGAAAGGGCGCGGUGCUAGGCGGAGGAAGAUGAAGCGGGCACGAGAGAGCUAAGGGCGCGCGAGGAGGCAAAAAGGCUUGAAAGCAGACGGCGGGCGGAACCGGCGAGAUGAGGCUUCCGUUUUAUAGGAAAAGCAUGGGGGGAGCGGAACAGACGCCCUCGUCACCAUAAAUGCGGUGCUAGGUACGCUCCGCCACGCCCGCCUCUUUUUUGGAAAUCGUGCGCACGGCCGGCAGCAGAAACAUCCCCUCCUCCCUCGAUUCGCGGGUCGUCGCCCUCCACCGCUUCACCUCCCAGGGAUGCGUGCAUGACCGUCCCCCACGACCGGCCCAAGGCGCUGCUCCCUCCGCAUCCGGCCCAAGACGCGGCCUCCAUCCACGUCUGGCCCAAGGCCCACCAAAAGGUAAGAAAGGGAUACGGGGCUGAAAUGCCCCCACGGCCCAUUACGAUCCAGGAGUUCGAAGGUUGGCCCGCCAUGGGUUCGACAACCGCUCCAGGACGCCCCCGAGCGAGGGGUGAGAUGAGACAGGUCCGCAAGCAACCACUACCCAGGCGCGCGAUAGCCUAGGGCGUCUCAAUCUCACAUUCGAGCCCGAACCGGCAUCACAGUUCAUGGUUUUUCCACGAAGAAAGGCAACGAGCCCCCGGAUCCAACCGAAUGGAUUCGGGAACUAUAUGAACUGGCAAAUCGGAACCUGGGGUACGCCACCAGCUUAGCCCAAGUCGGACCCCCCCCCCCGAACGGGGACCGAGGCCCCACUCGAAUUUGCCCGAUAGCAGCUCAAUGAGCACCACGGUUCGUCCGACGAGGAUAGCAUGGCAAGGCUCGCCCCCUCCAUCCUAACGAAUGGACGCUUGAGGGGUAACACACAAAAGUCGACCUCGUCUCCCGACCGGUCCCCUACAACGCGCAGGGGCUCGGGGGCUGGCCUCACAACCUAAGGCCACGCGGGUGGUCUCAAUUUAAGGCUCGCAGGCAGAAGGGGAUGACAAGAAGUCCCCCCACGCCAAGUUGCUCACAGGGUGCGUCGCCUAAUUGACCCCCUCAGUCGAGCCAUCCAAACAACACCUCCUGUCCCGGAUCAACCGUGAGGACCCAUAACUGGCGAUGAAAACAGCCUCUGGAGGAGCGUCCCUGCUCCACCACAGGCUCGGGGGCUACUGUUGGGGGGAAAUAUUAACGACUCCUCCCAAGCCCACGAAGAGGACAAAACAUAAAGGCCCAGGCCCACUUGAGGUAACAAGGCUAGCGUCGGCCCAACACGGGGAGUAAGAAUUGCGCUCCACCUCGCCCGACCCGGCGUCCUAGGGUCAGGCAUCCCUGACCCCCGCGAGACCAAGCUCCGCCUCGCCCGACCACAGGACCGGGGUCGGGAGCAUCCGACCCCCCGCCGCAGGCCUCCGCUUCGCUCGACCCCAAGCGUAGAAGGUCGGGCUGGCUCAGGCCCACCAGAUGAGUAUCCGCCUCGAGCACGGAUCUCGUGGGUCCCCCUAUCAAUUCCACCAUAAAUGCGCCACAAAGCUGUGAGAAGGAAGGAUCUCCGCACCCUCACGCAACCCGUCGCAAGUACCCAUGCACGGUCGCACAGUACAUGCUACAGUAGCCGCGACCCUCCCCGAUUGGCCAUAGGGCACUCAUGAGCUGCACCGCCCAUGGCAGGAAGAGGCCUCGCUCGCUCUCGUGUCCCGCGCGCCCGGCGGCAGAGAUGCGACGUCCGCUCUCCGCAGGCCGUCAGCAGGGUGGCAAGAUCCGCCGCCUCCCCCAACGGACUUGAGGGUCACGACGAAGUGCCAUCAUCACGUCCGGCGGCUACAGUCGCCGAGGAGGCUAUUGACAGGGUGCAGCUGCCGCCACCCUCUUCCGGCGAACGCGCCGGCAGGAGCCGAAGGCCGGCGAGGAUGCCGGCGACCUGGGAACUUGCUCCCCCCUCUCAUUAUUCUUUUUACUCAGCCAUGUUUACCUUUUUACUGCUCUCCACACUCAGUCUCACCUGUAACCCCGGUGGCCUCCUCAUGCUAUAAAAGAGGAAUCGGGGGCCGGAGACAGGGAGAGGCUAAACGCACAACACCAUAACGCUCCCUAGACAACAGAAUGCACGAGCGCACCCUGCUAGAGCGUCAGGUACAUCUAAGAGACUUCGAACCAGUUCCCUCUCUCGCACUCCUGUAACCCCUACUACAGAACCCUGCGUGGGCAACACGAGCAGCUCCCGAUACUAGACGUAAGGAGUUCCCUUGCCCGAACCAGUCUAAACCCCAUGUCUCCCACGCCACCAUCCGAAGCCUUACGCGCAUAAAAGAAAUUUACUAGUCUAAGUCUUGACCCGCUAAUCUUGACAACGACACCUUGUGAUUUCCAAAUUCUCAUGACUAAUUCAUGAUAAAUUCGUUCCGUUAUUAUACUAGUUGGUUCUUGAAAACACACAAGAUUGUAGUAACUCUCAAUCCUAAUUAUGAUCUCGUGGCAUCCUAAUUAUUGUUUCGCGUCAUCCAAAUUCUUUUAAACAUUUCAUGUCCCCUCGUCAUUACAGUAAUUGGUCUGCAUCCUAAAUUCCUAAUUAUCGCCUUGUGACUUCGAAAUUCUCGUAACUAAUUCAUGGUAAAUUCUUUCCGUUAUUAUACUAAUUGGUUCCUUGAAAACACACAAGAUUAUAGUAACUCUCCAUCCUAAUUAUCGACUCGUGGCAUCCGCAUUCUCUUAACCAUUUCAUGGUAAAUUCAACUCAUCAUAAUAGUAACAAUUUCCUAUGUCGUCGCUCUUCUCUGUAUUACCGGAAUCCGACAGUUGUACAUCAUGUCUUUUUUGUAAGCGUCUAAAUAUUUACCAUAUAUUACACGCACUAGUUCUACGUAUAUAUCAGAAUGGUCUCGUUCUCUUAACACAUACGGAUGCCUGAUUAAAAAUAAAAUCACGUACACAUGCAGCACGUGUUCGCAAACCUUGCUUGCUCAUGUAUUAUCGUAACCCAGACCACUAGCUUGCACGCAUGCCACAACCGUGAGCUCAAAAUUCCUGAAACAACCGUCAACUAAUCAACCUGAAUUAACUACCGGACAUUUGCAUGUUUAUUUACCAUAAUCACCGUAUACGUAGUUAAUGUGUGUUCCAGCGCCUCGGCUCCAACCUGCUCAGCUGGCGCAUGCAACAGACGCGGCCAGUGGUCAGGAGCAUGAGCCCUUUCCGGUGGAUGGCUGGUUAGAUGGCCUGGCUAUAGAAUAAGCUAUUCUACAGUCGGUCACGGAGUAUACUCUCCCAUGCUGUGUUGAUUCUCCAAUUUUAUUGUGGUCCUAUCCACAAGAAAUUUUUUGAUAGGAACCAUCUUCCCAAUUCCAAAUAUUUUUAAUAAACGACUUCCAGCUUCCGCGAGUCACAAUUAUAAACACAAGAAAGGCUGGUUCUAUGAACACUACUAAAAAAAGCAGCUCUGGUACCGGGCCAAAACCCCCUCUAGUACCGGUUGCACAAUCGGUACUAGCAAAUCAGUACUAGAGAGGGGUCCUCUGGUACCGAUUGGAAUAACAGGUACUAAAGGGUAUUAAAAAUUUUUAAAAAAAGCAAAUCCCCUCCCCCCGCCCACCACUGGCCUCCCGCCACUGAACCCACCUCUCCUUUCAUCGGCCCCGCCUCGCCCGCCCACCUGCUCCUCCACCUCCGCGCCGCUGCCGCCUCUGCCCCUCCCUGCUGCCCGCCCGCCUCCUCUUGGUGCCGCCGCUCGCCUGCUCCUGCGCCUCCGCCCCCGUCGGCCCCCACCUGCUCCACCACCCCCACCGCCCGCCUGCCCGCCUCUGCCCCCGCCGGCCCCUGCCUGCUCCUCCGCCCUCGCCGCCCGCCUACUCCUGGAGCCACCGCCCACCUGCUCCUCUGUCUUCACCCCCAAUGGCCCCUGCACCCGCCUGCUGCUCCUCCUCCACCCCCCGAUGCCCUCUCGCCUGCUCCUCUACCUCCACCGCCGCUAGCCCCGCCUGCUCCUCCGCCCCUCCGCCUGCUACCAACCUCUACGCCACCACAUCCGCCCUGCCCCUCCGCCCGCCACCGCGCCUCUCUACCCCACCGCUCAGCUUCAGCGCCGCCACUCCACCCCGCCUCGCCACCCACCAUCGCUGUCGCCACCUCACCUCACCCCGUCGGUGAGGGGUGAGCGGAGGGUGGAGGGGAGGGGAGGCAGUAGAGGAGGAGGAGGAGAGGAGGAGAUUGAGUGAGGAGGAGGAGGGGAGGGGGUGCAGAGGAUAUGGGUCGGACAGGCGACGCGUGAAAAAUCUAAGUGUUCGGUGGCAAACUCUCUAGUACCAGGUGUGGCUUCACCCGGUACUAAAUCCUUUAGUACCGGGUGGAGGACAGGCGGCGUGUGAAACAUCUAAUUGUGCAGUGGGAAACCCUCUAGCACCCGGUACUAGAGGGCCUCCAAGGAAUCCCAAAAUUGGAUCCAGUACUAAUGCUAACAUCAGUACCGGGUCUAAAAGUGACCCGUACUAAACCUUGGGACGAGGGGUCAUUUUUCUAGUAGUGGAAAUUGAUGGACGGAAUAAUUAAUAUGGCAUCAUUGUGGAUGGGAUAACAUUGUUUGAGACUUGCAAUCACACAUCCUGCCCUCAUGUAGUCAUGUCAUGUGCGGAUAUGCCUCGUUAUGGGAAAGAUUGUGACGGAUAUCCGGAUUAGGGAUAUCCUAAGCCAUUGAUAAGCCUUUCGAUUACGGAUAUCCUAAGCCAUUGAUAAGCCUAAAAUUAAGAAGGAAACAGGAAGCGAGGCUUGUUGGGCCCGUUGAGAGGCUGCCGUCUUCAUCGCCCGACUGACUGAUAGAGCCUGAGGUCGUGGCCCAGGAAUUGAGGAAGAUGGGCUACUAGACCAGCCCAAGGCACCGUGAGAGGGUCUAGGCGUGAUGAUGGACCAGACCUAUCAUGUAGCUAGACCUGUCCGAUGCGACAACCGCAGCCAAGCCUGCAUGGGCCAAGGCAAGAAAGACACGGGUUGACCAAUCAGGCGCGCUGUUGUCCAUGCCCCGGAGGGUAAGACAACUACCCCAGGACCUACCCCUAGUCGGGAAUGGCACUGUGGCAUCGUGCUAGAUCGUGCCUAGUCAAGUGUGUGCCUGAUCCCCUAUCAUGAUGAUAUCAGGUGAAGUGAUCAGGAGCAGGCGCUGCCCCUAGAUGCGUGUAGGGGCCCGAUUUAACAACCAAGGCGACCAGGCCCAGACGGACAUUCCAAUGGGUGUCUAGAGAAAAGGGCCCCGACUGCCAAACGGGCCCCAUGACUGCCAACCAGGAGGAGAGCGCCCGACUGAAUGGGCUUCCCCUGAUGAUCUACAGUGUAACCCUCAGUCGGGCUUCCCCUGAUGAUCUACAGUGUAACCCUCAGUCGGGCUUCCCCUGAUGAUCUACAGUGUAACCCUCCCCGUGGGCCGUGUAUAUAAGGAUAUGGGGAGGGGAUGAGAAAGAGGAUUCGACCUCCAGUGGAACACACUCAUAUACGCGUGCACUGUCUAUAACCCUCUACUACAAACUUAAGCUCUCGAGCGUGGGAAUAAAGAACUCACAUCUCGAACUAGACGUAGGGCUAGUUCCCUGAACUAGUAUAAUUCUCUUGUGUCUCGCGAACUAACCAAUCCAAGGAUUUACGCGGCAAAUCUUCACUAGUUGACGCUAGUAAAUGUCGACAAACUGAUCUCCAAUCGUCGCUUAUUGCGCUGGAUCGAUGUCUCAAGCGAGCGUCAACCAUGUAGAGCCUCACCUUAUCAAAAAAAAGAAAGAAAGAACGAAAAACUCGUUCUGGAGUAGGCAUGGCAAUGGGCACAUUACCCACGGGUAGAGCCUGAAUAGAUCCAUGCCCACGAGCCAAUUUCUGAACCCAUGCCCACGCUUGCGCAUGCCACCCGUCACGGGUAAGAAACAACACCCAUGCCCGCCAACCGCGAGUACACGGCACCCGCGGGCACACCCGUCAACACUUAAUUUAUUGUAUAGAAUCUGCUAGUACAAGACAAAGAGAGUCACCUUUGGAUCUCAAUUCCUAUAUUACAAUCCAAGAUGCAUAGCUUCAGGUUUCACAAAUUGGUAAUGAAGCUUCGUAGAUCAAUAAAUAAGACAAGCAUUUUAGAAUAAGGUACAUACUUGCUAACUUCAGCAAGCAAAAGGAACCAAUCUCCAAGAUUAAGAAAAAAAGAAACGAAACAGAAUCAAAAGACCACACCAGGCUAAUUGGUUGCUGCCUUCUUUGUCUUCACGAGUGGGGACUCCCAGUUGUUGGAUCGGACAGGUGGUUGGAGAAGGCUCUCCGGCCAGGAGAGAUGCCGCACGGCGGAAGGCUGGUAGCAUUGUGUUGACGCCCAAAUGUGGCACGGCCCGAGAUAUGUGAGGCUAAGAUCAGAAUUGCUUGGCAGUAACUCUUGAUAUUUUGCAAGUUUGGCUUGAAUAUGAAUUGUGCACGAUAAAAGGGCCGUUUUGGAUGCUCUUGAUGUAAUUAUGCUAAAAAGGAUGAAUCAGCACCUGGAACGACACCACAAGUAGCAAAUAUGGCUGAUAUGACAGAGCCAUCAAGUCUGACCGGCCUACUGAUGCAGUUUGACCCGUUAUUGGUCCUGCAGCCAAUCUGGCAAACCAGACCGGUCAACAAACUGGUCAGAUCAGUCUGAACAAAGUGCUCAAAAUGUAUAUUGGACUUCUCCAUUCCAUAGAUCUUGUCGAGACGAAUGAAAUGCAUAUGUGGAUUGCCUAAUUUGGAGUCCGGAUGAGAGAGUUAUGGCUUCGACAAGAUUCAGCCCCGUACUGACCGGUCUGACCGGUUUGGAUGGGCGGCCUGACCGGUUUGGAUGGGCGGUCUGACCGGUUUGACCAGCCAAAUCCGAGUUAGGAGUUGUAUUUUGAGACAGGAUUUAUGUAAUCUUUGACUCCUACUGGGGCAAGAUCUCCCCACCCUAUAAAUAUAAAGGGCCACGGCCGAUUGAGAAAAUCCCAAUCUAAUCAACCUACAAUUUACUUUUAUCUUCUCAACCCUAAUACUUUUCCAACCUCUAUGUUGUUCAUCUACUGUUCUCCAUGACCAUAGAUGGUGUUCUAGGCUUGCUGGUCGACCUAGAGCACACCGACGACAUCUACGCUCUAACGGGGUCCCUCCCAGGCGAGAGCUUCAACGGUCUUUGCUAGUUUGCUCGUAAACUAGUCAUUCUUCGCCACGUAAGUGUGUUAGUUAUCCCUUUGCUGGUUUGCUCAUAAACCUAGCCAUCCUCUACUAUGUAAGUGUGGUCGUUACCCCCUUGAACGACUGAUCCGGGCCAAACGCCAGGAGACCGGUCUGACUAGGUUGUUGGACCGGUGUAACCAGCCUACGCAGCACCUCUGCCAUUUGGUCCGUUCACACGCGAUCUGGCGCACUCGUGUGUUGGCCGAAAAAGGUGCCAACACAUUUUGGCGACUCCGCUGAGGACGAAAGAUCUGGUUGCUCAAACCGUUCUAUCAAACCCUAGCCACAUACCUAAUUGAUCUACUAUUUUGAUUUGCCGCUAUAGUUGCAUCUGAUCCUUUUGGGCCAAUUGCAUCUAUAUUUGUGACUUUGCAUCAAGCUGCUCAAGCCGAUUGCAUUGUGUUUUGCUUGCUGCUGUUGGAGGUAUGCCCUAGAGGCAAUCAUAGAGAUGAUGAUAUUCCAUUUGUAUCCAUGAUUUGUAUGUUGUGUUCAUUGAAUAUCCAUUGAAGGCUACUUGAAUUGAUUUGCAAUUAUGUGAAUUGUAUGUGAAACUCUUUACUUGUAUGGUUAUUCUAAAGUUGUCCCUAGUCGGAGUUCAUGUGAGGACACACAUGAAUAUUAGACUAGCACAUGUAUUAGUUGAUGACUAUGUUUCACAAGUCAUGGACAUGGAGAUGUUGAACUAAUAAUGUGGACACAUGUGGAGACAUGUGCUAGGACUGACCCAACACGAGAAGUAGUUCUCUCUUUAAACAACAUAUACGCUUUGUCCUUAGACCUGAGAUUGUCACAUGUAUUCUAGAUGUGGAUCGACCUACUUAGGGACUAUCAAACGCUACGCCGUAACAGGGUAGUUAUAAAGGUAGUUUUCAGGUUUGUCAAGAAGCAUGCUAUGAGACAUGGUCAAUCAAGAUGGGAUUUGCCCCUCUCUGAUUGAGAGUGAUAUCUCUGGGCCCCUCGAGUGAUCGGAUCCGAAAAUGCAUGGCCAUGCUACGUACGGUUAAGAGUUAACCUACAAAGGGAUUCCGAAUCACAGGAUCGAGAAAGAGCGGUCGGCUUGAAGCUAGACCAAAUAUCGUGAGGCAAAGGGAAUAGCAUGUAUAUUAUGUUGUGAUGGUUCGUCUGAUAUGAUCUUCGUGUGCGUAUAGGAGUUGGCACGUCUUGCUAGAGGCCGCUACCGACUAUUGGGCCGAGUAGGAGUACUCGGGCCAUGUCUAUGCGUAUCCGAACCCAUAGGGUCACACACUUAAGGGGCUGGAAGCCCAAUUCGGAUCUGAUCCGAGUUGGAUUAGGUUUAGAAGUACUAAUGGGCCUCGGAUCCAGAGGCCCGUCAGGAACCUCUAUAAAUAGAGGGGUGGGGGCGCCCUAGGGUUCACACCUUUUGGCGAAACACACCUGCCGCGCCUCCCACGCCCUCACCUGUUGCAACUCGCGGAUCUAGCAGUUCGGCUUGCGACGCUUCCUCCCUGCACAUGUGGAUACCUUGGAGGUGUUGCGCCUGCAGCACUUGGACGAGCCGCCAACGAGCUGCCGACGAGCCAUGACGAGCCAACAACGAGCCGCGGUACUGGAGGCGAUCUUGCUGCACGUGGACGAGCUGCUGAGGAGCUGCUGGACGUGAUCGGCUACGUACGACUACGUUGAUCGACUACGUACGACUACGUGAUCGUCUUCACUGCAUCGACGCAUAUCUACAUCUUCCGCACCAGUAGUGCGUCGAGUGGUAAUCCCGUGAUCCUUAUACGGCAGUUCUUCCUGGUUAUACACGGUAGAAUUUUUGAAUUACGCUAGUGUAGCCUACCUCGUAUCCCAACAACUACUCCAUAUUGAAGACUAGAAGAUAAGCAAAGUAUUGGUCAUUGGUUGCUUUGAUUGUCAACGAUAUCUGAAUUUAUCUACUGUAAGAUCAGAAGCAUCAAGACUUAUCAUGGUGGGCUAUCCUUAUGUUCCACAACAAUAUUACUACAAUGAGCCCAAGGUACAAGUUGCGAAUACAUUACAUAAUAAUUAUUUUGCAAGUACCAUGAAUCCUCAUGUUGGUGUUGCUAGAUAUGAUAUUAGUAGGCAUAUUGCAUCGGCUGGUAUUUGUUCAGAUGGAGUCACUUAUGCAAAUUAUAAUCUUGAAUAUUAUAUGCAAAAGCCGUUGUUAAAUAAUAUGCAUGCUUCGAGUUUUAAUGUUGCUAGCAACAGACAACAUUACCCCACACAUCGGCUGUACAACAAGUUCAAGAGCCGAUGGGAAAUUAUCAAGGCCAAACUAACAUAGUGAGCUCGGCCACCAAUUUGUAUGAGACAUCACAUGCGGGUAAUUUCAAUAAUAUUCAGCAUGGUGUUUCAUCUAUUUGUUCAUCGGGUGCAUAUUCACAAUAUGUGAUCACACCACAAAACAUGCUGGUGAGCGAGAAGAUUGGUCAUGCUAGUUCUAGCUAUCCGGCCAGUUAUUCUCAAACAUCACAUAUUGCUAACAUCUAUAACAUUCAACAAGGUGAAGAUGAAUCGAUCUCUGAUUAUAUAAGAUGAUUUGAAGAAAGUUAGGACUGUUGCUCUAACUUGUCAAUUUCUGAUAAGGAUCUUGCUAAUAUUACUUUCAAGGGUUUAAGAUCAUCUAUUAGAGAUGGAAUGCAGGAUUAUAAUUUUCUUUCGGUUGCUCAAGUGGAAUUGAGAGCUUUAUUACAAGUGUCUAGAAUGGGACUGAAGAGGUUGGACUUACUUUUGAGCAACAAUUUGGUUAUCACAACAACUGAACUAGUUAAUGGAUGUUCUGAAUCUGUUAUACCAAAAGUAUCAAGUUUAGCUGUACAAGAGCAAAUUGAGCAAAAGAAAAUGGCCAUGCUUGAUUUUUCUAGCUUAAGGUGUCGUACAUUUUAAUAGUGAUUAUUGUGCUAUUAAAUGACAAGUUCUGGCUAAAAACAGUUUAGAGCAUCAAACCAUUGAGGAACACAACAAUGGAGGCAGCAAGGAAUCAGUGGCAUCUGAAUGCUCGGUGAUUUCCAGCAAUUCUGGAGGCACCGGUCUGACCGGUUCUGUAGUCCGGUCUGGCCUGUCAAUGCAGAACAAUGUUGUGAUCUGCCGUCAAGAGGAGAAGCAUGAUAUCAUUCACAUAAAGGUUCCUCGCCUCUCCAACAUAUUUGAUAAGGUAUGUGUUACAAGUAAAUCCCAAUUAGAUCCUAUAUCUCUAGCUAAUUCAAGUGAUUCUGUCACAAAUAAUUCCAAGAGUUCGAUUGAGGAUGUUAAUUUACUUGCUAUUAGCAGUAUGCCUUCAGAUAGUGUCAGCCAAUGCAUUGUAAAAAUUAGAAAGGCUGAUCAUAGUAAUACUUUGGCAUUUAAAUUUUCUCCAUCAUCAUUGCCAAAGUUUUUAUCUACAUGGCUUACUCAUGGUUAUUUUGGAGUUAAAAGCAAAAAAUCAAGACCGAGAACUAUUGUGAAAUCUGAUGCUAAUAUAGUUGUAAGCUCUAAAGUAUCUGAUGUGAGAAGCCCAAGGAAAGGUAUAGCUGAAUGGGUUUGUGAGAAAUCUGAACCAUUUGCUUGCUUGGCCUUGAAGCCUUCUCUGCAAAGGCAUCGGUUGGAAAAGAUAAAGUAUACCUUUGAUUUAACUUUGUGUGAUAAUCUAUUUCAUAUGUUGCUAGAGAAUAAGUUUAUUAGACUAUUUGACCACAAAGUUAUUCCAUCACCUCUUGAAUUAGGAGAUCGAAAGUAUUGCAAGUGGCAUAAUUCAUUUGAUCAUAAUACUAGUGAUUGCAAUAUAUUUCGUCAACUUAUACAAUCAGCCAUUAAUACCGGACGAUUGAGAUUUGCUCAAACACAAGAGGAUGAUCAGUUGGCUGCAAUUGGUUGAGAUGGCAAAGGAUCAUUAAAUCGGUUAGAGUUAGCCGAUUCAUCUAAAGAUCCAGGCUUAAUUGCCAAAGAGGAAGAUUUGAAGCUCCCAAGUGAUGCGAAGUACAUAAGGACGAUCAGCCUAUCAAAAUCCCAGAAGUUAAUGGGGGGCAAAUGGAUUUUUCUGCAUCGGAUGAAGGACCUAUUGCUCCUGUUGUGCUGGACGAACAUGUCAGAUUGGUCAAACUGGUUCCGCAAACCGAUCAGAUCGGUUCAAGCAUGUCAGAUCAGUCAAACCGGUUCCGCAAACCGAUCAGAUCGGUUUAGGUCUGAAAGAUUCAAAAAUGUUGAGGCCUGAGCAUCCUGUAGUGAAUGGAGAUAAAGAACGUGUUAAGCACAAUGGUAAAAAGCCGAAGCUCAGUUUCGAUGAACUUGUUGGAGGUAUGCCCUAGAGGCAAUCAUAUAGAUGAUGAUAUUCCAUUUGUAUCCAUGAUUUGUAUGUUGUGUUCAUUGAAUAUCCAUUGAAGGCUACUUGAAUUGAUUUGAAAUUAUGUGAAUUGUAUGUGAAACUCUUUACUUGUAUGGUUAUUCUAAAGUUGUCCCUAGUCGGAGUUCAUGUGAGGACACACAUGAAUAUUAGACUAGCACAUGUAUUAGUUGAUGACUAUGUUUCACAAGUCAUGGACAUGGAGAUGUUGAACUAAUAAUGUGGACACAUGUGGAGACAUGUGCUAGGACUGACCCAACACAAGAAGUAGUUCUCUCUUUAAACAACAUAUACGCUUUGUCCUUAGACCUGAGACUGUCGCAUGUAUUCUAGAUGUGGAUCGACCUACUUAGGGGCUAUCAAACGCUACGCCGUAACAGGGUAGUUAUAAAGGUAGCUUUCGGGUUUGUCAAGAAGCAUGCUAUGAGACAUGGUCAGUCAAGAUGGGAUUUGCCCCUCUCUGAUUGAGAGUGAUAUCUCUGGGCCCCUCGAGUGAUCGGAUCCAAAAUGCAUGGCCAUACUACGUACGGUUAAGAGUUAACCUACAAAGGGAUUCCGAAUCACAGGAUCGAGAAAGAGCGGUUGGCUUGAAGCUAGACCAAAUAUCGUGAGGCAAAGGGAAUAGCAUGUAUAUUAUGUUGUGAUGGUUCGUCUGAUAUGAUCUUCGUGUGCGUAUAGGAGUUGGCACGUCUUGCUAGAGGCCGCUACCGACUAUUGGGCCGAGCAGGAGUACUCGGGCCAUGUCUAUACGUAUCCGAACCCGUAGGGUCACACACUUAAGGGGCUGGAAGCCCAAUUCGGAUCUGAUCCGAGUUGGAUUAGGUUUAGAAGUACUAAUGGGCCUCGGAUCUAGAGGCCCAUCAGGAACCUCUAUAAAUAGAGGGGUGGGGGCGCCCUAGGGUUCACACCUUUUGGCGAAACACACCUGCCGCGCCUCCCACGCCCUCGCCUGUUGCAACUCGCGGAUCUAGCAGUCCGGCUUGCGACGCUUCCUCCCUGCACGUGUGGAUACCUUGGAGGUGUUGCGCCUGCAGCACUUGGACGAGCCAUCGACGAGUUGCCGACGAGCCACGACGAGCCGCGGCACCGGAGGCGAUCUUGCUGCACGUGGACGAUCGGCUGAGGAGCUGCUGGACGUGACGUGAUCGACUACGUACGACUACGUUGAUCGACUACGUACGACUACGUGAUCGUCUUCACUGCAUCGACGCAUAUCUACAUCUUCCGCACCAGUAGUACGUCGAGUGGUAAUCCCAUGAUCCUUAUACGGCAGUUCUUCCUGGUUAUACGCGGUAGAAUUUUUGAAUUGCGCUAGUGUAGCCUAUCUCGUAUCCCAACAGAACUUCUAGCUAAAUAUCAAAAAGAGAAUGAGGCAAAGCGUGCUAAUCGGUCAAAUGAUGUUAAAUCAUCAAGAUUGUCUCCUAAACAUAAUUCUGGGAAUUGGAAUUGGCAAGGAGAAAAGUUUCAUUCAGCAACAUCAUGUCCUCCUUUUGAGGCAACAAUGCCAGUUCCAUAUGCUCCACACCCCACUAGUUUUCAUCCUUACUCAUCAUGAGGGUGGAAUGAUUUAUGGGCACAUACUCCUUCACAUUUUAGACCGUAUUAUGUAGAGUAUGCAGCAUCAAGGGAACCAUCGCGUUCAAUGCAGCCAUAUGUUGAAAAUGACCAUUUUAAGCAAAAGGAUCGGUCUAAUGUCCAAAAGAAUAAAAAGGUUGCCAAGCAAGUUUAUCGAGUGAAAAGAGAUGGUCGCAAAGAUAAGAGCUUAGAUCUGAAUUCAAUUAAUGAAAAGCCGAUUGAUAUGCUAAGUACUUCGGCUAGCAAUGGCAAGGAUGAGGAAAAAUUAGCCAUUGAUCUUCCAAGUUCCAAAUCUGAACAAAAGAAGUCAAAGAAGACAAAAAACAAGAAAAGAGCCCUGUUGCCCGAAAUUGAAGCAAGGCCAAGCUGUCCACUUGAUUUAUCAAAUUGGCAGAAAAAGAAGCUGCAAAAGUUUACUGCUCAAGAACUAAGAAAGAAGGGCAUAGCAUGGGUUCCUAAAAGAAGUAUUCAAACUCAAAGCAAGGACGAUGUUCAAGCAAAGGAUGCAGCACAGUUGAAGGAGAAGAGGAAGUUUGAGAGACAACCUCCAAAACUGAAGUUUACACCAAAUCAUCAAAAUUAUUGGUCAUUACCUCAUCCAUUUGCUUUACAAAUGCCCUCUGUGCCUAUAUCUUGGAAUUUAUCCUUGGAUAUGUUUGGUUAUCCCUCACGCACUUAUUUUGAUCCUUGGGUUCUAUGUGGGUCUUUAUAUUGUGAUGACCCUGGUUGAAAUCAGCCGAGUUAAUCCUAAUCCGAGUCUCUAAUCCCUCUGUCUCGGCUCCCCUUAGCUUAAGCGCUCCACCUCCGGUCCUAGUCCCGACCCCUGAAGAACCCAACCAGAACCACCGGUUCCCUCUAAGUCUCAACAGCAGCGUCCCUUUUCAAUCUUGGAGCUGUGGGACAACAGAGACUGACUGGUGGACCUGCAAAUCUUUUUCCGAAUCUCCCGAGGCAGACGCACUCGAGCAGCAUGCGCCCGCUUCAGAGUUUCCUCGCCGCAUGGCUUAAUCCCUCCGACGCCCGCCGCUUCGCCUAAUCGCCGGCCGCGACAGGAUGGAUUCCCACGCCCUCCUCCCCAAUCGCAGCAGAAGCCCGUCUGCAACCCUUUCUUUAAUGCCUCGUCUCGCUCGCGCCCUCGCCGGCCGUGCCUUGGUGCUCCGUCGCCGCUGUGGCAGAGCUUUGCCGCCUGUUGCGUCAAACCGCCUCGCGGCUCGCGCCCAUCAUCUUGUUGGAUCCCCGGCUGCAAGGCCCGAUGCCUUCCGGCUUUUCCGCCACCUCUCCACAGUCGCGCUGCCCACGAACUCGCUAUGCGAAUAUUCCUCCAUCGCCAACCCCGACUCCAGCAGUGUCAGCUCCCUUCUCUCACCCCACCAGUGCCGUGUGCCGGCAAUGCCAAUGUAUUGUGCUCGAUUGCGACGCCGUUCUUCCUGUCUUUUCGCCUGUUGCAACCUCGCUUGCAGCGCCUUUCUCCCUGUCACACCAAUCACAUCUGCCGCUCGACGAUGCCCGCCCCCGCCAAAAUCUCAACCCCAGCAAAGCCGCGCCUGCGCCGUCUUGUCUCCAGUGCCCAAUGGCCGAAGACGCUAUCUCCGAAGUCCUGUUCCGCCGCCCACCGCUGCUCAAUCGCCGCCAUGGCAGCGCACUCCAUCCUUUUCUUUUGGUCUUCAUGCCGCUCCAACUCUCUUUCUUCCGCGCCGCUAUAAAAGGGAAUGCCAGAGUUCCACCAGAGUUCCUUCGCCCUUGCUAUCUCGCCGCCCCUCCUUUUAGCGCACCUGAGCACUCCUGCUUAAAUCUCGAAAGGUUCCCCUCUCCGCUCAAGUCUGUCCCCCCCAAUCCACCCAGCCGCCUGCUCCUCCGCGCUGUGCUAGAGCUUCCUUGUUACUCACAAGAAGCUCCGCCGCCGCCGGGCAUUGUCGCCGCCCAAGCCUUAGUUCCUAAGACCUUCCUUCCCGUUCUGCUCCUUCCCGACCCCAAAGCUUCACCUUUAAACCGAAGGUAAACUGCUGACCCCUUACCGGUUCGCUUGACCCUAUCUGUUCGCCUGACCCCUUUCCGUCUCGCCCAACCCUGUCUGUCCACCGACCCUUAUCCGCCUCGCCCAAGGACUCGGCUGUAUCCUUUUCCUUGACCCGAGGGUAUCUGUGUGAAAUUUUGGGGACUUCUCUGUGAUAAGUCUGAGGACCCCAAACAUAGUUAUCCUUUAAAGUUUAAGGGUCAGAUCAUAAGUUUCUUCCAAUCCAACCCUUGGUCUUGUUCUCUAUCCACUGAAGCUUGAACCCCCACACUUUUUUCGUAGCUUUGCUACAAGUUUCUAGGCUAAGGCUUGCAAGUGUUGCUGUUGAAAUAACCAUCUAAACACUAACUCCUACUUUGCCUUCGUGUAGAGCUAACUCUCGCUGACGGCGUCUACGAGCUAUACCCGGUGCCAGAAGACGGAGCUGUAGCUGAGCUGCCAGUUCCAGAAGUCGGAGCCGCCCCAGCUGAAGUCCAGCUCCCUUCCUCCUCGCUUGAAGGCAAGCCCCGGAGCAUAACCCCAAAUUUCCAAACUUGCACAUGCCUUCUUGCUUAUGUUUGUGCAUUUACGUAUAGGAGUUGUUUGCAACCUUAGGUGCAUGACAUAGUUCCUUUGAUCUGAACACUAGUUUGUUGGGUCGAGUACUUGCACUGCUUAAAUAGGUAUCGGUAAAAGGCGAGUGAUUUCCUGUCACUCACGAGUUAUAGGAGUUGGUUGUUUUCCCUCCUGUUAAAAUUAUAAGGACGAUGGACGGGGCAGGGUUUUGGUUAACUCUUUUGGUGGUCGGCUGAUCGCCUCGUCUUUCUAUGGAAUCUGUUAAGGCCCGACAGUGUUGGUGUUCGUGAUCAAGUAUUUGAAAGUACUAAUCUCAUACCUAGUAUGGGAUGGGGAAGCCUAGUACCUGAUUGAACUAGGGCAUGGCUUAUACCCCUGCUAUCCCUGGAACGAGGUUCCCAUGGUGCAUCAUGUGGGUGCAAGUGCGGUCACAGUAUGGUAGAGGCUGGGACUGUGGAGCAUUGCAUGCCAAGGGAAGUUUGGACCUGACACAUGCCUGGGAAUUGAUGGGGACGGCCGACACAAGAAGCGACCCUUGUGGUACGAGGAUGUCAUGAGAUUAGGUUCGCCACGCAUGGUUAAGAAACUCGAAUCGAUUCGUCUGCCUCUCACAGUUUGAGACUGCUUGAUCGCUAUGCUACACUGAGUAAUGAAAGAGUCUGAUGAUGACAUGGUCUUGAUGAUGAGCUUAUAUACAUAAAGAUGGAUCUAUGUUGGCUUAGAGUAAGAUGCAAAUGUAGACUGGUUGAUGAACUUAGAAUCUGAGCUAAAAUAUCGAAAGUAAGGACCCACUGUAGUCGCUUUUGGCAACACAAACCCCUCAGCCAAAGAGCCUUGCAUGUCUAGACGUGGUGGAGUAGUUUUUACCAUCGGUCGGGUAAGUCUUGUUAAGCUUAGAAGCUCAGCCUUGUUGUGGCUUCUCUUUUCAGGUGAAGUUGCAGCUUCCAAGCUUGCUAUUGGCUCAUGGCCGCCCCAACUCCCUCUGGGUUGGACGGUCGAGUGGGAUCCCUCCUCGGACGGCGGGGAAUGGGAUCAUUGAUGUCCUGGCUGGCCUCACCAGGGACGUCCGACCUCGACGAGUAGCUUCCGCUUGUUUUACCUUCUGUUUGUUUUCUUCAGAACUUGUUAAACUCUGAUUUACAACCAAGUGUGUAACAACUUGUUAAUCUAAUGGUGGACCUGUUGUAUUCUCUGGAACCACUCACCUUCGUGUGGGUCAUGCUAACUCGAUCCUGUUAAGUGGUUAAAUCGGAUGAAAUCCGAUGGCACCUUGAGUUGACUCGAUUAAGGCAUGAGUGUCGCAUCUUAAGCGACGUAACUGUGCUUUAGUUGGGUUAAUCCGAGGUGGUUCCGCCACAGCUGGUACCAGAGCAAGGUUUAGCAGGACAGAGAACACAAUAGGUCCUAAACACUUUCUUUUUGAAUAAAAUUUUGCAAGAAAAAUGUUGAAAAAUCUCGUACGAUCGUUAAGGAUGACCUUAGUACGAGAGGCCCUAGGGGAUUUUGCGGUUAUUUUUAGGUGGCUAUUACUUAUUGGUUAUCUUGCUAACCCCCAGCACUUCGCCACGUGUAUCAUACGUGUGCCGAGUUCUGCAUCAUGAGUAUGCGAGGGUUGAUAGGGAGUUCUAUUCAAGGGACCCUAUCAUCGCGGUUGUUUUGCCCACGUUUAUCAAAUGUGCGCAGGUUCCGUAUGUUAACUCAUACGAAGGAUGGUAUGGCUUGAUUCCAACAAACCUAUCAUCACGGUUGUUCGCCCACAUCUAUUAUACAUGCGCUGAUUCUGCAUCAUGAGUAUGCGAAGGGUUAUACGGUUCCAUUCAAAGGGGACCUAUUUCUACGGUUGUUGCGCUGUCCAUGCAGCCUUAAAUGCAUGGGUGCCGUUUCUAUAGUGAACGGUAAUGCUUGGGGACACUUUCGUGGGUGCUGGCACGAAAGGUCCAGGUGGUGGUAUUUUUCUGUAGGUACACUAACCGCGUUCGCUUAGGAGACGCUACUAGAACCUGACUAGAUAUUAUAGGGAGAGAUGUACUGGUUGCCUUGCCACCGGCACUGACUGCGUAAGACCAAAGGUUUUUGGCAGUUGUUUUGGUUGAGAGGAUGAGGUAGGUUGUGCAUGCGUCUUAAACUAAAAUCUGUGAAACCACCUCCCUAGAACAACCUUGCCUUGGUCAAAGCUCUUCCUCGGUUUAAGGAUUUCUAGCUUUCCCUUCCAACUUGCGCUCCGGUCGAAAUCCGAGUGCGUUUUCUAACCGACCUGUUCUUCUUCGUUGAGCCUCUAUCUCACAUUGUUUUGGUUCUUGGUUCCAGAUGGCUGCCCCCGGACACGUGCUGUACGGCGCUGACGGUGUUUCUCACUCUACGUGCCUACACUUUGAGGGUUUUCCUGCUAUUCUGUGGGAUACCUUGAGGUGGUUUGCGUACCAAUCCCCGCCUUUGUACAUGGGACGGAUGUACUAGGAGCACGGAGUGCAGAGAUGCUAUGUGCAGGUGGUUGUACCUCCACCCCCUGCGCAGCCCGAGUGGCCCCAGCUCGAAGUCUUGACUUGCGGACAUGCUCUGGAGGACACCGGGGAGUCGGCUGCUCUGCACCUCCUCACCCAGUUCUGUCGGCUACACCCGCUUGAGGUCACCUUAGACCCAAUCGGCUUGUUCCCUGCUAGGGAUCGGCUAGACCUGGCGUGGCUUGAUUGAGGUGUUGGCAACCUCCCAUUCUCUGGUCACCAUCUCUACCACCACCAGAUGCAUGUCAACUUUGUAUCGGCUGAUUGAACUUCAAGGCCGAGCGAUUGAUGUCUUGGCUCGGAUAGCCAUAGACACCCAAGGGCUUUUCAACUCCGCCAAGAGAGACUUGGUGGGACAGUCGUAUCAGCUUAUCCAGAGAGGCAUACAAAUCCAUGACAUGCAAGCCAGAAUCUCCGGGAUCGAGGGAGAAGUGACGGACCUGGUGGAUGGCAUGAUCGAGCUUGCCGAAGAGAAGAUGGAGAUCAAGAUGGAGCUCGCAGUUGCUAAUGCUCAUUUGGACGAGCACCACGCCGAGCUUGAUGCUAUACAUGCCCUUGAGAUGCAGUUGGAUGAACAAGAAGAUCCCGAGGAGGUCAUGGGAGCAUCCAGCAUGGACAUUGAGGAUGGCGACGCCCCUUCUCCGACUCACAGUGUUCCCUCAUAGGUUAAGAGCUGUAGGAAUCUAAUCUUUUGUUGUACUCCUCGGCAACCUAAGUUUUGGAUAGUGAUGUAAUAGGUUAGCCUUGAGUCGAGUAUUCCUCCUGUGUUUUGGGGAACAACAAUGCAAUGAUCUUAGUGAAAUCAGAUCUUGACUCGACUUUGUGACCCUCUUUGCGACACGCCUUGGAUGCCAGGUUGUGUGAGUUUUGUGCGGUGACCACACACAAGUUUUCUGUGGGUCUGACCAAAAGCUUGGCCGACCCCGAGUUGUAAGGUUGGAUGUGCUCGACUCCUCGAGGCAGUUCUUCGCCUCGCCCGACCCCUGGUUGCACUGUUUCGCUUAGCCCAACCCUUUUGGCCUAAGGUCGGAUAUAGUGGAACUCCUGGGAUAUGGUUAUGGUUCGCCUAAAGUUAUGUGCAGAACUAAGAUAGUUGCUAACUAAGAUGGCAAGAGGAAGUUUGUAUCUCUUUAAUAAAGACAUGUUGUUGUGUUGCAGUAUCAGCAAGAGUCGCAAGUGCGGAUUUAACAUAUGCGUUCCCACAUGAUUGGAAUACUUCUGAGGUUAUGGAAUUAAUGGAACGUUGACUCUUGCAGAUGGUGCAUCGCACCCGAUCUGGCUCUGUGCCUAGCGGUAGCGAGCAGAGGCAGGAUCUUCCUCCACCUCUGCCCCCACCCUUGCUGGAAGCCCUCCUAGCAGCUCAAACUGAGCUGCUAAGGCACAUUGUACAAGGACAACAACAGCAGCCCCAUGGAGGGAGAGUUCAUCAACAACCUCAAGUUGCUCGUUAUGAGGACUUCUUGAGCAUGCAACCCCCUUUAUUCUAGAAGACACAAGACCCGCUCGACGGUGACGCCUGGAUUCGUGCCAUCGAAUCCAAGUUCUCCCUCCUCACCGCCCAUUGCCUGGAGGAGAACAAGGCUCGGUUCGCUGCGCAGCAACUGCGUGGUUCUACCCUCCUUUGGUGGGAUCACUACCACGCCAUGCAGCCGGCCGACCACGUCGUCAGCUGGGAGGAGUUUAAGACGGCGUUCAGGGGGCCAUCAUAUCCCUAAAGGUCUCCUAGAGCUUAAGCUCAAUGAGUUCCUGGCCCUUACCCAGGGAAAUCGAGAUGUCCUGCACUAUGCGCAGGCCUUCAAUGAUUUGUGCCGAUACGCUGGAUACCAUGCGGACACAGAUGAGAAGAAGCGGGAUAGGUUCCGCAGAGGACUAAGCCUGGAGCUCAAGGAGAGGUUAAACCUGAUAAGGGUGAAUACAUACAACGAGUUGGUCAGAUUGGCCAUCUCACAAGAGGACUGCGUGAAGGCUCUAGCAGCCGAGAGGAAGAGGAAGGCUCCACUGCCAACGCCCAGCCCACCUACACAACAUUUUAGAAUGGUUUCACCAUAGGCGCCUAGCCGACUCCCGAUGGGUUGCCCGACCCCCACCAAUGGCAGCACUUCGUUUCCCGGGAUUCCAACCUCAGGCACCGCGGCCGACCCUACCGCUGCCACCGCGCCCUGCAAAUGGUAACCGCUGCUUCACCUGUGGUAAUGUGGGGCAUUUCACCAAGGACUGCCCCAGGAAUCAGAAUCAGCGCCCAGGGCAGAGCAAUGCGAUGCUCAAUAAAGGGAAGAGGCCCAAGAUGCAAGUUUGCCAAGGUCGGCUGAACUUCACCAACGCAGCAGAGCUUCAUGAAGGUGCACCGAUAAUGACGGGUACCUUUCUUAUUCACAGUCUUUUAGUUUUGGUUUUGUUUGACUCAGGAGCCUCACAUAGUUUUAUUGGAAGAAAGACUAGUGACAAAUAUGGGUUAAAGGAAUGCCAAACAAGAGGAUCUUUUAGGAUAUCCACCCCGGGUGGGGUAAUCACAUCUGAUAGGAUAAGUGUCAAUGUGCCUAUCCAGCUAGGCCGAACCCUUUUUAAGGAGAAUCUUGUUAUUCUCGAUCUGGAGGGGAUUGAUGUCAUCCUAGGAAUGGAUUGGAUGACUAGGCACUAGGUUGUGCUAGAUAUCCCAGCCCAAGCCAUCCAUGUCAACUCACCCCACCAAGGCCCCUCUGUUGUCCAAUUGCCUCGCCGAGAAGAUGUGAAUUCUUGUGCGUAUCCCGCAAUGGAGACCCGACUGAAGGACAUCCCUAUAGUCUGUGAGUACCCCGAUGUGUUUCCCAAUGUUUUGCCGGGCAUGCCGCCCGAUAGAGAUGUGGAGUUUUCCAUAGAGUUGAUCCCCGGCACCGCCCCUAUCUCCAAAAGACCUUAUCGGAUGCCACCCGCCGAGUUGGCUGAGUUGAAGACCCAACUACAUGAGUUGUUGGAGAAAGGCUUUAUCCGACCCAGCACUUCACCUUGGGGUUGCCCAGCUCUGUUUGUGAAGAAGAAGGAUGAGAGUCUACGCAUGUGUUUGGACUACCGACCCCUCAAUGCGGUGACUGUCAAGAACAAGUAUCCCCUUCCCCGCAUUGAUGAUUUGUUCGAUCAGUUAGCUGGAGCAAAAGUAUUCUCCAAGAUUGAUCUUCAUUCCAGUUAUCACAAAAUCAAGAUCAAACCCUGUGACAUUCUUAAAACUGCCUUCUCCACAAGAUAUGGACUCUACGAGUACCUGGUUAUAUCUUUUGGACUCACCAAUGCACCCGCUUACUUCAUGUAUCUCAUGAAUUCGGUGUUCAUGCCCGAGUUGGACAAGUUUGUGGUGGUGUUCAUUGAUGAUAUCCUAGUGUACUCGAAGAACGAAGAAGAACAUGCCAAUCAUCUUCAUGUGGUUCUUCAACAGUUGAGGGAUCAUCAACUUUAUGCCAAGUUCUCCAAGUGUGGAUUCUGGCUAGAUAGUGUUAAGUUCUUCGGGCACACUAUCUGUCGGAAUGGCAUAGCCGUUGACCCCCGCAAGGUACAGGAAGUCAUGGACAGGAAGUCACCCACUUCAGUUCACUAGAUCCAAAGUUUUCUUAGAUAGCUAAGCCGAUGACUAAGUUGCUGAAGAAAGAGGUCAAAUUUGUGUGGAACGACAAGUGUGAAGAAGCCUUCAACACCCUGAAACACUUGCUGACCUCAGCCCCAGUUUUGGCUCAACCUGACCCUUCUAGGCCGUUUGACGUGUACUGUGAAGCCUCUGGCAUUGGACUUGGGUGUGUUCUUAUGCAAGACCAUCGAGUUAUUGCCUAUGCCUCAUGGGCGUUACGACCUCAUGAGCUGAACUAUCCGACCCAUGAUCUUGAGUUGGCAGCAGUGAUUCAUGCCUUAAAGAUAUGGAGGCACUAUUUGAUGGGCACCCACUGCAACAUCUACACCGAUCACAAGAGCCUCAAAUACAUCUUCACUCAAGCCGACCUCAACAUGCGACAAAGAAGAUGGUUAGAGCUGAUUAAGGAUUACGACUUGGAAGUACAUUAUCACCGCGGCAAGGCCAACGUAGUGGCAGAUGCUCUUAGCCGCAAGACACAUUGCAAUUGCUUGUUGGCAACCAACUGCACAAAGACUCUGUGCCAUGAGGUGGGAAAACUUAAUUUGGAAAUUGUUUCCCAUGGAACCCUCGGUCACAUCUCGCUUGAGUCUGCUUUGGAGGACCAAAUUGGGACGGCACAGUUAGAGGAUGAGGAAGUAAGGCGAAUCAAAAGGAAGAUUUCAUGGAAGGAUGAGGGGUAUAAGAAAUUCCGACAGGAUGAGAAUGAGAGAGUGUACUAUGAGAACCAACUUGUUGUCCCGUCCGACCCCACUCUUAGGAAGCAACUCCUAGAUGAAGCUCAUCUCUCCAAGUUCUCAAUCCAUCCUGGCAGCAAUAAGAUGUAUCAUGAUCUCCGUCAAAUCUUCUAGUGAAGUGGAAUGAAACCAGAGAUUGCAUGGUAUGUGUCAGAAUGCGACACCUGUCAACGUGUCAAAGCCAACCAUUUAAAGGUAGCAGGUACCCUGCAGCCCCUACCUAUUCCCUCUUGGAAAUGGGAAGACAUCAGCAUGGACUUCAUUGUUGGACUACCCCUUACAUCGCAGCGGCAUGACUCCAUUUGGGUGAUUGUGGAUCGUCUUACCAAGACUGCCCACUUUCUUCCGGUUCACACCACCUACACGGCCAAGAAAUAUGCGGAGUUGUAUCUUGACCGCAUUGUUUCCCUGCACGGUGUGCCUAGGACGAUCAUAUCUGAUCGAGGAGCUCAGUUUGUAGCACGUUUUUGGGAACAGCUACAAGCAUCAAUGGGCACCAAGCUCAUUCGUAACUUGACUUACCACCCUCAAACCGAUGGUCAAACUGAAAGGGUAAAUCAGAUCCUUGAAGAUAUGUUGAGAGCUUGUGUAAUCCAUUAUGACAAAAAUUGGGAUAAGUGCUUACCAUUGGCAGAGUUCUCCUAUAACAAUAGCUACCAGACUAGCUUGAAGAUGGCACUGUUUGAAGCCCUAUAUGGUCGGAAAUGUCGGACGCCGUUGAAUUUGUCACAAGUCUGCGAAAGACAAACCUACGGCCCUGACUUAGUAGUAGAAGUCAAAGAACAAGUGAAGAUAAUUCAAGCAAACCUCAAGGCCGCCCAAUCUCAACAGAAGAGUUACUCCGACAGGAGAAGAAGACCCCUGCAGUUUGACAUUGGUGAUCAUGUGUAUCUUCGAGUCUCCCCGACCAAAGGAGUGCAACGGUUUGGAGUAAAAGGAAAGUUAGCUCCCCGAUACAUUUGUCCUUAUGAAGUUGUGGAAAUCUGUGGACCCGUUGCUUACAGGAUCCAACUCCCAGAACAGCUUUUGGCCAUACAUGAUGUUUUCCAUGUCUCCCACUUGAAGAAAUGUGUUCAAGUCCUGUCGUUGUCAAGAUUAGUCGGUCAAGACUUAGACUAGUAAAUUUCUUUUAUGCGCGUAAGGCUUCGGAUGGUGGCAUGGGAGACACAGAGUUUAGACUGGUUUGGGCAAGGGAACGCCCUACGUCCAGUGUCGGGAGCUGCUCGUGUUGCCCACGCAGGGUUCUGUAGUAGGGGUUACAGGAGUGCGAGAGAGGGAACCGGUCCCAAGUCUCUUGGAUGUACCCUGACGCUCUAGCAGGGUGCGCUCGUGCGUUCUGUUGUCUAGGGAGCAUUAUGGUGUUGUGCGUUUAGCCUCCCCCUAUCUCCGGCCCCUGAUUCCUCUUUUAUAGCAUGAGGAGGCCACCAGGGUUACAGGUGAGACUGAGUGUGGAGAGUAGUAAAAAGGUAAACAUGGCUGCGUAAAAAGAAUAAUGAGAGGGGGGAGCAAGUUCCCAGGUCGCCGGCGUCCUCGCCGGCCUUCGGCUCCUGCUGGCGCGUUCGCCAGAAGAGGGUGGCGGCAGCUGCACCCUGUCGAUAGCUUCCUCGGCGACUGUAGCCGCCGGACAUGAUGAUGGCGCUUCAUCAUGACCCUCGUGUCCGUUGGGGGAGGCGGCGGAUCUUGCCGCCCUGCUGACGGCCUGCGGAGAGCGGACGUCGCAUCUCUGCCGCCGGGCGCGCGGGACACGAGAGCGGGCGAGGCCUCUUCCUGCCAUGGGCGGUGCAGCCCAUGAGUGCCCUGUGGCCAAUCGGGAAGGGUCGCGGCUACUGUAGCAUGUACUGUGCGGCCGUGCAUGGGUACUUGCGACAGGUUGUGUGAGGGCGCGGAGAUCCUUCCUUCUGACAGCUUUGUGGCGCAUUUAUGGCGGAAUUGACAGGGAGACCCACGAGAGCCGCGCCCGAGGCGAAUACUCAUCUGGUGGGCCUGAGCCAGCCCGACCUUCUACGCUUGGGGUCGGGCGAAGCGGAGGCCUGCGGCGGGGCAUCGGAUGCUCCCGACCCCCGUUCUGUGGUCGGGCGAGGCGGAGCUUGGUCUCGCGAGGGUCAGGGACGCCUGACCCUAGGACGUCGGGUCGGGCGAGGCGGAGUGCGAUUCUUGCUCCCCAUGUUAGGCCGGCGCUGGCCUUGUUACCUCAGGUGGGCCUGGGCCUUUACGUUUUGUCGUCUUCUUGGGCUUGGGAGGAGUCGUUAAUAUUUCCCCCCAACAGUUGCCCCCGAGCCUGUGGUGGAGCAGGGACGCUCCUCCAGAGGCUGUUGUCAUCGCCAGUUAUGGGUCCUCACGGUUGAUCCGGGACAGGAGGUGUUGUUUGGAUGGCUCGACCGUGGGGGUUAAUUAGGCGACGCACCCUGUGAGCGACUUGGCGCGGGGGGACUUCUUGUAAUCCCCUUCUGCCUGCGAGCCUUAAGUUGAGACCACCCGCGUGACCUUAGGUUGCGAGGCCAGGCCCCGAGCCCCUGCGCGUUGUAGGGGACCGGUCGGGAGACCAGGUCGACUUUUGUGCGUUACCUCUCAAGCGUCCGUUCGUUAGGACGGAGGGGGCGAGCCGUGCCACGCUAUCCUCGUCGGACGAACUGUGGUGCUCAUUGAGCUGCUAUCGGGCAAAUUCGAGUGGGGCCCUAGUCCCCGUUCGGGAGGGGGGGGUCCAGCUUGGGAUAAGCUGGUGGCGUACCCCAGGUUCCCAUUGGCCCGUUCAUAUAGUUCCCAAAUCCGUUCGGUUGGAUCUGGGGGCUCGUUGCCUUUCUUCGGGGAAAAACCAUGAACUGUGAUGCCGGUUCGGGCUCGAACGUGAGAUUGAGACGCCCUGGGCUAUCGCGCGCCUGGGUGGUGGUCACUUGCGGACCCAUCUCCUCUCACCCCUCGCUCGGGGGUGUCCUGGAGCGGUUGUCGAACCCAUGGCGGGCCAACCUUCGAACUCCUGGACCAUAAUGGGCUGUGGGGGCGUUUCAGCCCCAUAUCCCUUUCUUACCUUUUGGUGGGCCUUGGGCUGGACGUGGAUGGAGGCCGCGUCUUGGGCCGGAUGCGGAGGGAGCAGCGCCUUGGGCCGGUCGUGGGGGACGGUCGUGCACGCAUCCCCAGGAGGUGAAGCGAAGGAGGGUGCUGACCCGUGAAUCGAGGGAGGAGGGGAUGUUUUUGUUGCCGGCCGUGCACACGGUUUCCGAAAAAGAGGCGGGUGUGGCAGAGCGUACCUAGUGCCGCAUUUGUGGUGACGAGGGCGUCUGUUCCACUCCCCCCGCGCUUUUCCUAUAAAAUGGAAGCCUCACCUCACCAGUUCCGCCCGCCGUCUGCUUUCAAGCCUUUUUGCCUCCUCGCGCACCCUUAGCUCUCUCGCGCCCGUUUCGUCUUCCUCCGCCCAGCGCCGCGCCCUUUCUCCUCAUCCCCCGUCGAGUCUCUUUCUCUACGGUGAUGGGAUCUUGGGCGCUUUCCCACUUCGGCCCCUCGCGCGCUGAGGACCUGGUAAGGAAGGGUCUCCUCUGCGAGAGGACGGAGGUGGGCAAAUGGGAGCUCCCGGGGAUGGAGCAGGCACCGACACCACCCGCCAGCUAUGUUGUCUCGUUCGCCCACUUCCACGAGAGAGGUUUCGUGACUCAGCCGAGCCUCUUCUUCCGUGGGCUUCUGCAUUACUACGGGCUUGAGCUGCAGCACCUCAAUCCCAAUGGGAUUCAGCACAUCGCGGCGUUCAUCGCGUUGUGCGAGGGGUUCCUAGGCAUCGAGCCCAACUUCUCGCUGUGGAAAUACUUCUUCACGGUCAGCCUGUACCAGAAGACCGAGAAGAGAGGGAGCCAACACCGGAUGCCCCCGGUGCCAAUAGGGUGCGCCGGAAUCCACCUCCGCCAUACUCGCGCCAAGGAGUACAUGGCGAUGAAGACCGCGGCGUCCCACAAGGGGUGGCACCAGCAAAGGUUCUAUGUGAAGAACUACUCCGACUCCCCCUUGCCGGUGUUCACCGGCCGGGUUAUCGAGGCGGCGCUAGAGGUGUGGGCGUAUGGCCCAGCUGACAAGGAGAAGAAGUGGAUCCAUGGCUUGUUGCAGGCCAUCAAGCACCUGAAGGGGCGGGGGCUGACCGGAGCCGGAGUUAUCGGGGCGUACCACGCCGGGCGGGUGGAGCGCUGAUGCUCCGGGUAAGUUCGCUGGCUGAGAUGACCCCUAAUGCACCGAUCGAGGGCACCGCCCUCGCGACGGGUGCGCUUGCCGCCUUCGAGAUCCGGCGGCGGAUUUGGAAGGCGCUAGAGGACAAGGGCACCGACUACCCGGUGCCCGGGCACCCUCCGAUUUGCCCGGACGAGAACUUCGUCGACCUGGUAAGGAAUUUGUGUGCAAACCUUCUUUUUUUUUUGUGUUUCUUGGUUCGCCGCUCUGACGCGGGGCCUUUUCGUGUCUGGAGGGCAGCUUGACCCGGGUCAUGGACUCGCGGCCGCCGGUGCCGGAGGAUGCCGAGCAACAGCUGCAGAACUGUCUCCUUGCUGAGAAGCAGAAGCGCCGCAAGGACAAGGAGACGGCAAAGAAGAAGAAGAAGGCCGCCAAGGAGUUCCAACGGUGGCGGCAAGGGCAGGUCGUGCCGGACGACGACGACGACGAUGAUGAGGAGGUAGAGGAGGAGGACGAUGAGGAGGAGGAGGAGUUUGUCCUGUUCCCCCGGUCGGGAGUGCUCGUCAUUCGGGAGACGCGCUCCCAAACAGCCAUGAGGGACGAAGCGGACGGAUCGUCCGCCCGGGGCCUGGUCCCGCAAAGCUUUGGGGCCACGCCCUAGGGGUCGGCAUAGAGCGCCCCCCAAGGGUCAGCGAAACCCGCUUCCCAGGGGUCGACGGAGGCCACUCCCGCCCCUAUGCCUACGGCCCAGGCGCAGAGGAGCGGCGACAAGCGGCCAUUGCCGGACACCCCAGGGUUGACGUCCGGCUCGGAGGCGAAGCGCGCACGCCAUCCUUGCACCGGGGGAACGUACAUUGAAUUUCCUCACGAACCUCGUUCCCUUCCAUGCGCUGUGUUUGUUUCUGCUGAUGUCUGUUGACUGUUUUGCAGCGCCGCACCUCGAGGCCUCGUCCCGCAGCUGGCGCCCAAGAAGGCGCUGCGGGUGUUGUCCGCCCCUGGGGGGCGUACCGCGGCCCCGCUUGCGGCGAGCGGCAGGGUCCCUGGUGAGGUUGCAGGUUCCACCGCGGAGGUGGCCCCCGCAGCGGCGACCGGUGGAGUAGUGCCGCCACCGGGCACGGGAGAGGGCGCAGACCUCGCUUUUCCUUCGGCUCCUUCGGCUGACCCCGCGGCGCAGGGUAUCGCCCCCGGGGGCCCCCCGGCCGGGGAGGUGAUCGACCUUGACGCCGAUGAGGCGAAGAGAACGGCGGCGGCGGAGAUAGGGACAGAUGUCCCUGCGGCCGCGACAGGGACAACGGCGGCGAUGGAGGAAGGAGAGUCUACCCCCGCAGCCACGGCGGGGACAGCGGCAGCGGGGGAGACCGGGAUGCCUGCCCCGGCGGCUGUGAUAGAGGAGGCGGUGGCGACGGAGGCGGGGACUUCCACCCGGGGGGCCAUGGUGGAGGUGGCACCUGUGCCGGAGGUGGAGGUGCCUGCUCCGGAGGCCCCGACGGGGGCGGAGACGCCUGCUUCAGCGGUCGUGACGGAGGGUGACGUGGCUACGGAGGCACGUGCUUCGGCGCCCACGUCGGAGGCGGUGGCGCCGAUGGGCGGGCCCGUGGCGGCCCCGACGGGGGCAGAGGCGCGUGCGCUGGGACCGUCAGUGGGCCCGGCAGCUUCUGGGAUGGUGGUGCCCGUUGUGACGGGGGUGUCAAGGUCGGCUCCCACCUCUGGUUCGGCCACUUCCGUUCCCAAGGCAUGGAGCGGGUUUGUCCUGCGUUGGUCAUCCCGUGACGACCCGCAGAGGCCCCUCUUCACAUUGGAUGAUGCCGCGAAAUGGGGCAAGUGGCAGGCGAUGCAGAGCGGCCUCGCCAACGCCCGCACGGCUCUGUCUUCGGCGCUGGGGCAGUUCGACGGCGUCGUCCUCCCUGGCAGCCAGGUAUGGUACCAUCUCCGUUGGUGGCCGUAUCCUUCCCGUUGUUCUACCCCUGAUGUCAUAUUGUUUUUCAGGCUCUCCAAGAAUGCAACCGGGGGAAAUCUGAUUUCCUUCGGCUGGAGCGGGGGCUCUGGGAGCGCUUCAACUUGGAGAGGCAGCGCACCGGGGAGAUGUCGAUGCAAGUUGCUGCCGCCCAGCAGGUCAUCAAUGACCUGCAGAGGCGCGAGCAAGCAGCUCAGGAGGACACGCGGAGGGUGGAGGCAAAGUUCCAGGUUGUUGCCGAGAGGGCCCACUACAACCGUGAGGAGUUCCAGGCUGCUGCCAAGAAAGCCCGCCACGACGCCGAGGAGCUCGCACGGCUGAAGGGGGAGCAUGGAGCCCUUCAAAAGACCGUCGAGUGCAUCCGGUGCGAGCGGCAAAAGGCCUGGCAGGACCAGGAUGCCGUGAGGGUCCGGAAGGAGGAGGCCAAUAAGGUGGCGGCCGACCUUGGGGCGGAGGUCGGUCAGCUUCGCGCGUAGGCGUAGGAGCUUCUGGCCUCCGUGGCCUAGAGGCUCGACCGGGAGCGCCAGCUGAACGCCCAGUCCGAGGGUAAGACUCUGCUCAUUUCUUUGUCUUUGUGAUGUUUCGGUGAUUUUCGAUUUAGCAAGUUCCUCCGGGUGAUCCUUUCAGGCGAGCUCACCCGGCUGAGGGAGGUGCUCGACGCGGAGCACGCUGAGCAUGGCGACCUGCGGGAUGCUGGUCGCGUCAUUUGCGACAGCCUCAACGUGGUUCAGGAGGAGGGGACGAGUUCGCUGGCGAUUCGUGUCCUCAGGACCUACCGCCGAGCCUGCGAGAUCGCCCUGGAGGCGCUCCACACCAGCAUGAGGCGAGCCUUCGGGGUCUUCUGCUCCCACUAUUCCGGCAUCAACUUCGCCGGGAUGAGCGGAGGGUAGGCCGCUGGCUACUCCGAGGCUGAGCUGAACGAGAUUGACGCGUCGGUGCUCAACCCGGUGGAGGCCUUGGCGAAGCUCCUGGAGGAGGAAGUCGUCCCUCCCGAAGAUCCCCGGUCGGGUUAACUAUAUCGGGCUUUUGGCGCCCAAGAUGUAAAUACGUCAGUUUCAGACUCGUUUUGUAAUGGCUGUAAAGGCUUUUCUAAAAAAAAUUUUGAUCCUCUUUCAUGUUUUUCAGACUUGGAAGUUUAGAGCGCGUCGUUGGUUGUGUCAGUAAGCUUUGAUGAGCGAGGGCACCGUAGCCGCUGGGACGUGGGUUUUUUCGUAGUCCGAUCCAUCUUGCCUGAACAUCAUUCGUGCGCUCUUUCUUUUUCAUGCCCGAAAGUUCAGAAAGAGGGUUGGCUCGGAGAGAAAAAGUGUUUUGAGAGGGUGUCCAGUGUCCUAGGCCAGAGCCCCUGAUAGCCCCCGAGGGAUAUGCGGCCCUGAGGUAGGGUUAGGGUCGGAUAUCCCUGAGUUCGAGUUGAAACUUGGAUGGGACCAACUCAAAAUUCUUUUUUCCGUAAAAAAUUUUUAGAUGUACAGAAGUGUUCAUGUACAAAACCUGGAAAUGAAGGCUAGGGGUAGAAGCGUCUUAGCUGUUCUAUGUUCCAAGCGUUGCUGAAGACUUGUCCGUCGGGAGUCGCCAGCUUGUAGGUGCCUGUUCGCAGUACCUGCGUGAUGAUGAAGGCACCUUCCCACGGAGGGGUCAGCUUGUGCCGACCCCUGUUAUCCUGGACCAGGCGGAGCACCAGGUCGCCAAUGUUGAAGGCUCGGCCUUGUACCUUGCGGCUGUAGUAGCGUCUUUAAGGCCUACUGGUACUUGGCCGAGUGUAGCGGGGCCACGUCGCGCGCCUCGUCGAGCUGAUCUUGUGCGUCUUCGAGCGAUGUUUGGUUCCCUUGUUCGUCGUACGCCUUGACCCUUGGCGACCCGUACUCCAGGUCGGUGGGUAAGAUGGCCUCGAACCCGUAGACCAUGAAGAACGGGGUGAAGCCAGUCGCACGACUGGGGGUUGUCCUUAGACUCCAAAUGACUGCUGGGAGCUUCGCGACCCACCAUCCGCCGAAUUUUUUGAGGCAGUCAAAGAUCCGUGGCUUGAGACCCUGGAGUAUCAUGCCGUUGGCUCGUUCGACCUGCCCGUUCGUGCAGGGAUGUGCCACGGCCGACCAGUCCACUCGGAUGUGGUGGUCGUCGCAGAACAGAAGGAACUUCUUUCCGAUGAACUGCGUGCCGUUGUCCGUGAUGAUGGAGUUGGGCAUCCCAAAGCGGUAGAUGAUGUCGGUGAAGAAUUGUACCGCCUGGUCGGACUUGAUCUGCGCGAUCGGUCGUGCUUCGAUCCACUUGGAGAACUUGUCGACGGCGACAAGUAGGUGGGUGAAGCCCCCAGGCACUUUUUUAAAGGGCCCGACGAGAUCCAGCCCCCAGACCGCGAAGGGUCACGUGAUGGGGAUGGUCUGGAGUGCCUGCUCGGGCAGAUGGGUUUGGCGUGCGAAGAACUGGCACCCUUCGCAGGUGUGGACCACGUGGGUGGCGUCGGCGACCGUUGUCGGCCAGUAGAAACCUUGCCGGAAGGUGUUGCCCACGAGGGUUCUUGGUGCGACAUGGUGGCCGCAGGCUCCGGCGUGGAUGUCUUGAAUUAGCACCUUUCCCUACUCGAUCGGGAUGCAGCGCUGGAGGAUGCCGUUGCGGCUUCUCUUGUAGAGCUCUUGGUUGAUAAUAACGAAGGAUUUGGCGCGACGCGCAAUCCUUCGUGCCUCCGUUUUGUUCCCCAGGAGCGCGUCGCGGAUGAGGUAGUCAAGGUACGGGGCUCUCCAAUCGGGUGGGGGGUCGGCCUCCACCACGAGGUCUGUCACGAUUUCCAUGACCAUGGGGUCGAAGGGGUCGGCUUCCGGGGCUGAGGCAGGCGAAGUAGUGCCAACUCCGUUGGGGCCAGCGCUCGAGCCCGGGACAGCUGGCGCGCUGCCAACCUCUCCCGAGUCAGGGCCCGAGUCUGGAGUCGGUGGCACGUCGCCGACCCUCUCCGGUUCUUGGUACCGGACUGAGGGCUUGAACUGGUCGCUGACGAAGACACCGUCGGGUACGGGCCUUCGGCCGGAUGCUGCUUUCUCUAGCUCAUCGGCUGCCUCGUUGAAACGCCUUGCGACGUGGUUGAGUUCCAGCCCGUCGAACUUGUCUUCAACCUUGCAAACUUCGUUGCAGUAGGCUACCAUCUUGGUGUCGUGGCAGCUCCACUCCUUCAUGACUUGUUCGAUGACUAGCUGAGAGUUGCCCCGGACAUCCAGCCGACGGAUGCCUCAUCGUCGUUCUUCUCCUCGUCAGGCUUCCGUCUCCGGUCACCUUUCACUGGGUUGCCUACAAAAUACCUCUUCAUGAGGUUGCAGUCUUUGUAGGCGUGCUUCAUGGGGAACUCGUGGUUCGGGCACGGUCCCUCGAGGAGCUUGUCGAAGAAACCGGGCGUGCCCUCUGGCGACGGUUGGCCUCGCUUAUGCUCGACAGCGGCCACGAGGGGAGCCUCGCGUCGCUUCUUGCUCUUCUUCUUCUACUGCUGGCAGUUGGAGGUGCCCUCGUCGACAUCCUCCUCUUGCUUUGCCUUACCCUUGGAGCGGUCGAAGAUUGCUCCAACGACCUCUUCACCCGAGGUGUAGCUGGUGGCGAUGUUGAGGAGCUCCUCUGUAGUCCGCGGGCCUCGACGUCCUAGCUCGUGGACGAGGGGCCGAUAGGAGGUUCCUGCCAGGAAGGCUCCUAUGACGUCGGCGUUUGCGACGUUGGAGAGCUCGGUGCGCUUCCUGGAGAAGCGUCGGAUGUAGUCCCGGAGGGACUCAUCUGAUCCCUGGUGGGAGCUUCGGAGGUCCCAGGAGUUGCUGGGGCAUGUGUACGUGCCCUGGAAGUUUCCCACGAAUAUUUCUUUCAGGUCGUUCCAGCUGCGGAUCCGACCUGAAGGGAUGUGUUCCAUCCAGGCUCGCGCCGAAUCGGCCAAAAAGAGUGGGAGGUUGCGGAUGAUGAACAGGUCAUCGUCCGCGCCACCGGCUUGCCAUGCAAGCCGGUAAUCGCUGAGCCAUACCCCGGGGUUCGUCUCCCCCGAGUAUUUGGCCACAUUUGUUGGUUGCCUGAAAUGCGACGGAAAUGACGCGUUCAGGAUGCACGCGGAGAAGGCCCAGGGCCCCACCGGAUCGGGGCUCGGGCUGCGGUCCUCUCCGCUGUUGUAGCGUCCGCCGUGGUGGACGUGGUAGCCGUGAUCUACUCCUUCCUCCCUGUCCGCGCGGGAGCGCCUCCGCGCGUCCAAGAUGUCGCGAGCGUCGCGGAUAGAGCUGAUGCGUCGGUGGAUGGACCGAGCCCCGCCGCCUACGGGCGGUGGUGUCUGCCGAGCGGGCGCGGCUUGGUUUGCCCUGGGCGGAGGCUGGUGAACAGACUCCCCCAGCCUCUCCGGAGGUGCGUCGGGCGCCAUCCUGCUGGCGUUUUGCCCGCGUCGCCGGGAUGCGGAGCUUUCCGCUUGCUGGAUAGUGGUGCACUCAAGCAGGUUGCGCACCUCCUGGCGCGCCUGAUGCUCCUCCAGCACGUGCCUGGCCACUCGCCGCUGUCCCGGUGGCGGAGCCGGGGAUGGUGGGGCGAGCGGGCAAGACGAGGAGAGGGAUCAGCUCGAUCCCCUCCCCGGUGGCGAGGAAGUCCAGACUCCCGAAGCGGAUCAGGGAGCCCGGAGCGAAGCUGGCGUCGUGGCUGGCCAUCUGAAGCUUGGAGAUGUACACGCAAAGGACCCCUACCUGGCGCGCCAACUGUCGUUGUCAAGAUUAGCAGGUCAAGACUUAGACUAGUAAAUUUCUUUUAUGUGCGUAAGGCUUCGGAUGGUGGCGUGGAAGACACGGGGUUUAGAAUAGUUCGGGCAAGGGAACGCCCUACGUCCAGUAUCGGGAGCUGCUUGUGUUGCCCACGCAGGGUUCUCUAGUAGGGGUUAUAGGACUGCGAGAGAGGGAAUCGGUCCCAAGUCUCUUGGAUGUACCCUGACGCUCUAGCAGGGUGCGCUCGUGCGUUCUGUUGUCUAGGGAGCAUUAUGGUGUUGUGCGUUUAGCCUCCCCCUAUCUCCGGCCCCCGAUUCCUCUUUUAUAGCAUAAGGAGGCCACCGGGGUUACAGGUGAGACUGAGUGUGGAGAGCAGUAAAAAGGUAAAAAUAGCUGAGUAAAAAGAAUAAUGAGAGGGGGGAGCAAGUUCCCAGGUCGCCGGCAUCCUCGCAGGCCUUCGGCUCCUGCCGGUGCGUUCACCGGAAGAGGGUGGCGGUAGCUGCACCCUGUCGACAGCCUCCUCGGUGACUGUAGCCACCGGACGUGAUGAUGGCGCUUCGUCGUGACCCUCAUGUCCGUUGGGGGAGGAAGCCGAUCUUGCCGCCCUGCUGACGGCCUGCGGAGAGCGGACGUCGCAUCUCUGCUGCCGGGCGUGCGAAACACGAGAGCAGGCGAGGCCUCUUCCUGCCAUGGGCGGUGCAGCUCAUGAGUGCCCUAUGGCCAAUCGGGGAGGGUCGCGGCUACUGUAGCAUGUACUGUGCGGCCGCGCAUGGGUACUUGCGACUGGUUACGUGAGGGCGUGGAGAUCCUUCCUUCUGACAGCUUUGUGGUGCAUUUAUGGCGGAAUUGACAGAGGGACCCACGAGAUCCGCGCCCGAGGCGGAUACUCAUCUGGUGGGCCUGAGCUGGCCCGACCUUCUACGCUUGGGGUCGGGCGAAGCGGAGGCCUACGACGGGGGGUCGGAUGCUCCCGACCCCGGUCCUGCGGUCGGGCGAGGCGGAGCUUGGUCUCGCGGGGGUCGGGGACGCCUGACCCUAGGACGCUGGGUCGGGCGAGGCGGAGCACGAUUCUUGCUCCCCGUGUUGGGCCAGCACUGGCCUUGUAACCUCAGGUGGGCCUGGGCCUUUACGUUUUGUCGUCUUCGUGGGCUUGGGAGGAGUCAUUAAUAUUUCCCCCCCAACAAGUCCCAACUGAGAUCUUGGGACAGGAGCAACUUCAAAUCGAGCCCGACCUGACGUAUGCUGAAUACCCGGCCAAGGUCCUCGACCGAAAGGAAAGACAUACCCGAUGGCAAACAGUCAAAAUGUACAAAAUACUAUGGAACAACCACACAGAAGAGGAAGCAACUUGGAAAACAGAAGAGUAUCUGAACCAACAUUUUCGAGGUUUUCUUUCCCACCAAGGAGGUAAGGACUACACACCCCCAUUGGUCGCUCUUACCCUCGAAUCUCGGGAUGAGAUUCUUUUUAAGGGGGGUAGGCUGUGACGACACUAGUUGAAAUCAGCCGAGUUAAUCCUAAUCCAAGUCUCUAAUCCCUCUGUCUCGGCUCCCCUGAGCUUAAGUGCUCCACCUCUGGUCCUAGUCCUGACCCCUGAAGAACCCAACCAGAACCACCGAUUCCCUCUAAGUCUCAACAGCAGCGUCCCUUUUCAAUCUUGGAGCUGUGGGACAACAGAGACUGAUUGGUGGACCCGCAAAUCUUUUUCCGGAUCUCCCGAGGCAGACGCACUCGAGCCGCAUGCGCCCGCUUCAGAGUUUCCUCGCCGCGUGGCAUAAUCCCUCCGACGCCCGCCGCUUCGCCCAGUCGUCGGCCGCGACAGGAUGGAUUCCCGCGCCCUCCUCCCCAAUUGCAGCGGAAGCCCCUCUGCAACCCUUUCUGCAGCGCCUCGUCUCGCUCGCGCCCUUGCCGGCCGCGCCUUGGUGCUCUGUCGCUGCUAUGGCAGAGCUUUGCCGCCUGCUGCGUCAAACCGCCUCACGGCUCGCGCCCAUCAUCUCGCCGGAUCCCCAGCUGCAAGGCCCGAUGCCUUCCGGCUUUUCCGCCGCCUAUCCACAGUCACGCCGCCUAUGAACUCGCUAUGCGACGAUUCCUCCAUCUCCAACCCUAACUCCGGCAGCGUCAGCUCUCUUCUCUCGCCCCACCAGUGCCGUGCGCCAGCAAUGCCGCUGUAUCCUGCUCGAUUGCGACGCCGUUCGCCCUGUCUUUUCGCCUGUUGCAACUUUGCUUGCAGCGUCUUUCUCCCUAUCACACCAAUCACAUCUGCCGCUCGACGGCACCCACCCCCAUCAAAAUCUUAGCCCUGGCAAAACUGCGCCUGCGCUGCCUUGUCUCCAGUGCCCAAUGGCCGAAGACGCUAUCUCCGAAGUCCUGUUCCGCCGCCCAUCGCCGCUCAAUCGCCACCAUGGCAACGCACUCGAUCCUUUUCUUCCGGUCUUCGUGUCGCUCGAACUCUCUCUCUCUUCCGCGCCGCUAUAAGAGGGAAUGCUAGAGUUCCACCGGAGUUCCUUCGCCCUUGCUGUCUCGCCGCCCCUCCUCUUAGUGCACCUUAGCACUGCCGCUGAAAUCUCGAAAGGUUCCCCUCUCUGUUCAAGUCCACCCCCUCAAUCCACCCAGCCGCCUGCUCCUCCGCGCUGUGCUAGAGCUUCCUUGUUACUCACAAGAAGCUCCACCACCACCGGAGCACCGCCGGGCAUCGUCGCCGCCCAAGCCUUAGUGCCUAAGACCUUCCUCCCCGUUCUGCUCCUUCCCAACCCCAAAGCUUCACCUUUAAACCGAAGGUAAACUAUCGACCCCUUACUGGUUCGCUCGACCCUGUCUGUUCGCCCGACCCUUUUCCGUCUCGCCCGACCCUGUCUGUCUGCCGACCCUUAUCCGCCUCGCCCAAGGACUCGGCUGUAUCCUUUUUCUUGACCCGAGGGUAUCUAUGUAAAAUUUUGGGGACUUCUCUGUGAUAAGUCUGAGGACCCCAAACACAGUUAUCCCUUAAAGUUUAAGGGUUAGAUUAUAAGUUUCUUCCAAUCCGACCCUUGGUCUUGUUCUCUAUCCACUGAAGCUUGAACCCCCACACUUUUUCUGUAGCUUUGCUACAAGUUUCUAGGCUAAGGCUUGCAAGUGUUGCUGUUGAAAUAACCGUCUAAACACUAACUCCUGCUUUGCCUUCGUGUAGAGCUAACUCUUGCUGACGGCGUCUACGAGCUACACCCGGUGCCAGAAGACGGAGGUGUAGCUAAGCUGCCAGUUCCAGAAGCUGGAGCCACCCCAGCUGAAGACCAGUUCCCUUCCUCCUCGCUUGAAGGCAAGCCCCAGAGCAUAACCCCAAAUUUCCAAACUUGCACAUGCCUUCCUGCUUAUGUUUGUGCAUUUACGUAUAGGAGUUGUUUGCAACCUUAGGUGCAUGACAUAAUUCCUUUGAUCUGAACACUAGUUUGUUGGGUCGAGUAGUUGCACUGCUUAAAUAGGUAUCGGUAAAAGGCGAGUGAUUUCCUGUCACUCACGAGUUAUAGGAUUUGGUUGUUUUCCCUCCUGUUACAAUUAUAAGGACGAUGGACGGGGCAGGGUUUUGGUUAACUCUUUUGGUGGUCGGCUGAUCGCCCCGUCUGUCUAUGGAAUCUGUUAAGGCCCGACAGUGUUGGUGUUCGUGAUCAAGUGUUUGAAAGUACUAAUCUCAUACCUAGUAUGGGAUGGGGAAGCCUAGUACCUGAUUGAACUAGGGCGUGGCUUAUACCCCUGCUGUCCCUGGAACGAGGUUCCCAUGGUGCAUCAUGUGGGUGCAAGUGCGGUCACAGUACGGUAGAGGCCAGGACUGUGGAGCAUUGCAUGCCAAGGGAAGUUUGGACCUGACACGUGCCUGAGAAUUGAUGGGGACGGCCGACACAGGAAGCAACCCUUGUGGUACGCGGAUGUCGUGAGAUUAGGUUCUCCACGCAUGGUUAAGAAACUCGAAUCGAUUCGUCUGCCUCUCACAGUUUGAGACUGCUUGAUCGCUGUGCUACACUGAGUAAUGAAAGAGUUUGAUGAUGACAUGGUCUUGAUGAUGAGCUUAUAUACAUAAAGAUGGAUCUAUGUUGGCUUAGAGUAAGAUGCAAAUGUAGACUGGUUAAUGAACUUAGAAUCUGAGCUAAAAUAUCGAAAAUAAGUACCCACUGUAGUUGCUUUUGGCAACACAAACCCCUCAGCCAAAGAGCCUUGCAUGUCUAGACGUGGUGGAGUAGUUUUUACCACCGGUCGGGUAAGUCUUGUUGAGCUUAGAAGCUCAGCCUUGUUGUGGCUUCUCUUUUCAGGUGAAGUUGUAGCUUCCGAGCUUGUUGUUGUCUCUUGGCUGCCCCAACUCCCCCCAGGUUGGACGGUCGAGUAGGAUCCCUCCUCAGACGGCGUGGAAUGGGAUCAUUGAUGUCCUGGCUGGCCUCACCAGGGACGUCCGACCCCGACGAGUAGCUUCCGCUUGUUUUACCUUCUGUUUGUUUUCUUCAAAACUUGUUAAACUCUGAUUUACAACCAAGUGUGUAACAACUUGUUAAUCAAAUGGUGGACCUGUUGUAUUCUCUGGAACCACUCACCUUCGUGUGGGUCAUGCUAACUCGGUCCUGUUAAAUGGUUAAAUCGGAUGAAAUCCGACGGCACCUUGAGUUGAGUCGAUUAAGGCAUGAGUGUCGCAUCUUAAGCGAUGUAACUGUGCUUUAGUUGGGUUAAUCCGAGGUGGUUCCGUCACAUAUAUCAUGGAGGGUUAUCACCAAAUUGUUAUGCACAUUGACUUGAUUGCAACAGAUGUUGCCAUUAAUUUUCAGAAGCUGAAAUAUUUGGUUCUUAGAGAUGGUUUUAAUUGCUGAAUUUAUAUAUCUCUAUAUACUUUUAUUUGGGCUGUGCAUAUUCUUAUGGAUGGAUUUAUUAUGGAUGAUAUUGAAUUAUCAUCCUUGGCAAUACACAUGGCCGAUGAAUCUCUUUGAUCAUCAUCCUAAAAUAGUAGCUUCCCGAUGAGAGAUCAUUUAUGAUCUUACUGGCGCCUUAAGUGCUCGGGGGGCAAAAUAUUAGCAAAACGAGCAAUUUACCACCAUGGAGUUUGUAUUUACUAAAUUGGCUUGCAAAGCAUUUUCAAAACAUUGGUAUUGUCUUUAUUUCACCAAAUGGUGUUGCUUUGAGAUCUUUAGCCGGUUGGAGUAUUUAACAUCAGCAAUCAAGCCGAAUAUAAAAUUCCUCUAUUCAUGCUGAAGAUUUUGGGAUCCAUGGUUGGAAAAGCAUGCUAAAGUGUCUAAUGGCUCAUUGCUGAAGGUCUGGCAAAUAUUUAUGCUUAAAUGAGUCAUUAGAUGAUUUUAUUAGUGGAUGUCUAGACGAUCAUUUCAAUUCUAUCAUGUGUCAUGUCUCUAAACAUUAGAAAUCUGGGAUAAUCACUCUGGAACAAUGAACAUCAGGUCACAACAUCCAAAAGGACAUUCUCAUGAGAGAAGACUGAUGUUUAGCAAUGUCAGAGGUGCAUCCUGGGCAACCGGUCUGACCGCCAUAUGGGGCCGGUUUGACCGGUAUGGUUAAAUUACCUCAUGGAGAUGAUAUCUGGCGGAUCGGCUUUCAAAGGGGGUUUCCACACAUUGGUGAUGUCUUUAUUUCAUCACAUGGUGUUGCUUUGAUCUAUAGCUAGUUAAAAGCUUUAACAUUAGGAAUUAAGCUGAAUCUGAAUUUUUCGAUUCGAGCUAGAAGGUUUGCAAUCCAUGAGUGUGAACCAUGUAGAAGCAUUUGAUGAUUCGUUGCUAGUAGUGCAGCAGCUAUCCAUGUGUAAAUGGAUCAUUGAAUGUUUAUAUUAGUAAAUGCCUAGAGGUCAUAUUUGAUAAAUACAAUCCUGUACCUAGGCGUAAGGAUUAGAAAUUAACACUCUGGCAUAACAAACAUCAGGCUAUAACGUCCAUGGGGAUGCUUUUAUAUUUAAAGGCCGAUGUUAGGCAAUGUCAGAGAGCACAUCCUGGGCAGACUGGUCUGACCGCCAUUGAGACCAGUCUAACCGGUAUGUCUACUACUUUGGCCAAUAAAGUUUCGGAACUUGCUAAAGCCAAAGUUGGUAGUUGGGGAAAGUUUGUUAUUUGCAUAAUGUAAGAUGCAUUGAAAGACAAGGCGAGAGUAAACAAGAGGGGUGCAAGAGUAAUCUGGCCAUUGUCGAUUCCAAGGUAAUUGUAUCAUGUUCAUCUUUUGGGCUAAUUACUCACCUUACUUUAUUUAUGGUCAAAAUAACUUGUGGGUGCAAUGUUGAAUCAUUUUAUCUUGCUUCAUGCUCAAUUUGAGAAGUGUUGCAAAGACCAAUUGACAUUAUAGCAAUUUGGCCACUUUAUGCACCCGCAAUGGCUUGCAAGUGUGAGAAUGACUUUGAAUUAGUAUUCCAAGAAUCCAUAGCUGAGGCAGUAAUACUCAGGCUUAUCUCACUUGCACAAGAUGUAUAAAUAUCAGCAACAAGGUGAUUUCUUCAUCUUGGGCAGAAUCAAGUAAUAUGGCCGAUAGACACUAUCGUCCUUAAAAGUGAAACAUUGUUGAUGCGGUGGUGCUCUACAUUGUUCCUGUGCAGUUCAAGUUCUGAUAAAUGUUUCUUGGUACGCAAGUUUUACCAAGAAAUAGGAGGGCAUGUGUUGACACCCAAAAGUCGCACGGCCCGAGAUAUGUGAGGCUAAGAUCAGAAUUGCUUGGCACUAACUCUUGAUAUUUUGCAAGUUUGGCUUGAAUAUGAAUUGUGCAGGACAGAAGGAUCGUUUUGGAUGCUCUGGAUGUAAUUGUGCUAAAAAGGAAGAAUCAGCACUUGGAACGACACCAAAAGUAGCAGAUAUGGCUGAUAUGACAGAGCUAUCCAGUUUGACCGGCCUACUGAAGCAGUCUGACUGGUUAUUGGUCCUGCAGCUGAUCUGGCAAACCAGACUGGUCACCAAACCGGUCAGACCGGUGUCAACAAAGUAAUUAAAAUGCAGAUUGGACUUCGCCAUUGCAUAGAUCUCGUCAAGAUGAUUGAAAUGCAUAUGUGGAUCGUCUAAUUUGGAGUCCGGAUGAGAGAGUUAUGGCUUCGACAAGAUUCAUCCCUAGGCUGACCGGUUUGGAUGGGCGGUUUGACCAACCAAAUUUGAGUUAGGAGUUGUAUUUUGACACCAGACUCAGGAUCGGCGGGUGGCAAGAAAUUGCGGAGGUACACAAAUCUGGCGAGCUGGGACCUAUGGUGGCUUCUGCGCGAGAGGAUGAGGACAGAGACCAGGGGGCAGGUAGCGGCGUCCUGGUGGAGAGGUGGUAUGCGGGGAACUAGGGACUAGGUGGUGGCGGUGUGGGAUGGGAAUGGGAGGAAUAAGAGGGGAACGUAGAAUUAGGGAUGGUUCUCUUAUAGGGUUUUAAAAACUAUCGACCAAGAGCUUCUCCAAAAUAUAGGUAGAGCGGGCACGGGUAUAGCUUUUUCAUGCCCGUGAGAUUUUACUCAUUGGGUUUAACUCCAAAACCUCACCCAUGCUCAUGGGUACAAACUUGCACCCAGAUCCUUACCCUACACGAUUUUUGCUCGCGGGCACACAGGUAAUUUGUGCCUGUUGCCAUCCCUAUUCCGAAGGCAGCUUAGCUCACCCGCCAUGCAGCCGUAAGUCAAGUUCACAUCUUUGGUUUGCAUUUGGCAUGACAAGCUAGUAUAAUUUACUAUCCUCGAGUACAAGGUUGGUCCAAAUAACUUCUAAACAAACAAAAAGUUCACUUAAAUCCUUGGAUCUACUAAACCAGUUCAAACUUCACCUAAUCACCUUUGACCACACGUAAAACCAGAUUCGCUGAUUUGGCGGGUUUGGAAAACCAGUUUUGAUGACUGUAUUGACACAUCAGCCAUCCUACGUGGCAAGUACCUUUUGGUCCACAUCACCCCCUCCCGGCAACGUCUAACCUGUGUGGCUUUGUCCCUCCCUAUUUCUCUGUUUCGACGGUCCCUAGCUCCGCCGCCAUCUGCGGCAUGCCGCGAUGCGCCGCGGACGCGAGCCACCCAAGGUCCCAGUAGCUCGAGCUCCCCACGGCACAUGGCAGUGCCUUGUCGUCACCUCUGAGCAGCGCCUGCUCAAGGUAGCCUGUGCCGUCCCACCGCCUGUUGCCCGGCGCAUUGGCUGCCACGCCUUCGCGCAGCGCACGGCCUACCUCAAGGAGGGGCAUGGACGAGGAGCGCGAACGGGAGCUCCUGAUUUGGUGGGGGUGGUGCCAUGGCCGACUCCUCGGAUGAGGCGACACACAUUCUGCAUAUCAUGCUUGGUAAGUGUUCGAUGAAUUUUCCCUUCAGUAAAAUUGGCUCUGACGGAAUUAUUUGUAAAACUUCAGAUUAGUGGUCGAUUUGGAAGCUGAAUGAACCAAAUCACUUCAACACUUGACAGAUCGAGUAACAUUGCCAAGAAGCAAACAAUAAAAUAAGAUGUGUGCUGCUCUGCGAUAUUGGAUUGAUACACGGAGAACCCUGAACCCUAGGCUUGUCACUGGAAGGUACGAGCAAACCCUUUCUUGUUCACACCCAAAUCUAAAUAAUUAUUAUCUACUUCUUACCCUUCUCAAUCUCACCCAUAUCCAAUGGAUAAUUAACUUUAUGCUAUAUAUAUAUAUAUCCAAUUGAUUAAUUGUACCCUCCUCGUAUCCUACCCUCCUCAUUUCUAAUAGGUAUAUAAUUUUCUACUGGUACCCUCCCUAUUUGAAGUGGGUGUGGAUUUGAGGAGAAGGUAUGGAUACCCAGUAGCAGGCCUACUGGUGCCGCAGGGACAGCGUAAGUGCCGUAGGAUAUCAGCCAAUGCACCAAAACUGAGUAGUGUGUGCUUAUGUAGUUCAGUUCGUAAUGAGCUGAUGCUCUUCGCAAUAAAGUGAAAUGAAUUUCGAGUACUUGUUUUUGCACUGAACCUCAGCAGUGGUGAAAUGAGAAUAUAAAUGCAUCUUUGCCACCUGCUCCACUGAAUUGUGAACUGAACAUGCUGUGUUUGUUUUUGCACUAAAGAAAUUGUGAAGUGAGAAUAUGAAUGCAUUUUUUGCAACUUUCUGUGAGGAAUGGUGAAGCCAACAGUGUACCCAUGAAAAUAAACUGACAUCCAGGAACCAACAUUUCACAAAAUUUUAUACAUCAGGACAUAAGGAAUUGGCUAAUAGAUUUGUUUCUUUUGCUUUGCACCAGCUUGCUUCUUCUUCUUGAUAGCAGUAGAGUUCAACUGUUCAAGAUGAUCUAGGAAGGCAUAUCAGCUGGCUCAUGUUGACUGCUGCUUUGAGUUCCUGGAUUCUUUCAAAUUGGCCUCCAAAGUGAAAUCUCACAGGUAGUACCUCCAUAGGGUCCAUAUCCCCUAAAACAAUUGCAACAAUAGAAAAGUAUGAGUACAUAAAAAAUCUAAACUUUAUAUGUCCGGUUGGAGUUGAAAGCAAUAGUUAAUCUACUCAUAGCUUAAAAUAUUUGUUCAUGUGGUAUAUCACAAUGAGGGACGUGGAUGACACUUUGCUAAUAGUAUAAAUCUUAUUAAUCCUUAGUAGGAUUCCCUUUUAAUGUUGAAUUAAUUCCUACCAGAAACACACCGCUGGCUGUUUAUACUGCAAACAUACAGGGCAUUGGCGGGCUGUACAUAUGGCACCCAAACCCUAGCCACGAUAGUAACAAAGAGAACCAAAUUUGCACUGCGUAAUGGAUAGGGGAAUAAACCUGGAUGUCUUACUUCACACCAAUUAACUUGUCUGUUGCGUGAUCAAUUGGUUAAUUGAUCUGGCUGCCGGCACCGGUGCAGAAACUUGACGACACAACAGGGAGGCAAGGAUGAAACCUAAUGACGAGCGAGAGGAGGGCAACGCACGAGGCGAUGGUCCGUGGAUCUAAAGGUACUUGCCAUGUAGGAUGGCUGAUGUGUCAAUACAGUCAUCAAAACUGGUUUUCCAAACCCGCUAAAUCCGCGAAUAUGGUUUUACAUGUGGUCAAAAGGUGAAGUUUGAACUGGUUUUGUAAAUACAGGAGGUUAAAUAAACCUUUUGUUUCUUUAGGAGGUUAUUUGGACCUAGCUUGUACUUGGGGUAGUAAAUUGGACUUUUUUCUAUACAAAAUGUAAGCAAAAAAUUGCAUCGUAGUCAACUCUAGGCCAGCUGAACACUGAUUAGUUAUUUCUAGUCUAUCAACCGAUACUUCUACACAGGCUAAUAAAUUUGAGAGAUUACACGGGCUAAUAAAUUUGAGAGACUAUUAAUCAAAAUUUAUUAGAAACUUUGUUUAUACUGUACUAAAAUAAGGGCCCGUAGCUAAUGAUCAAAAUUGUUUACCUUAUGCUCUCUCUCUAAAUAUUCUACAUAAUGUUCCUAUUGAUGUGUUCUCCAGUUGUAACAAAUUUUAGUUAGUAAUUACUCUAUAAACUUUUUCAUCCAAAUUCAUUUUUUUUACUUUGCAAACUCACCUCCAUACAUGUUUGAUAUGUGUUUAAGUUUAACGGAACCCUUAGUUUGCGCAAUUUGUUUAAAAUGGAAAUUUGUAUUGUCACGCUUCCUUCAUAGAUGUAUACAUGGUCUCCAUGAUGAUACACAUGAUGCAUAUAUACCUUAAGUUCGUAUUUUUCAUAUUAAUAUUGGUAGAAUAGGUAACUUUGAAACAUAUAUUGAUGUACUUUGAAAUAUUUAUUGUAAUGACAUAUGUGCAUAGAUGUAGAUACAAAUUUAAUGGGCUGUUUUAAGUUAUUUUUUAUAAUGGUUGUUGUUUUUUAAAAGAAACAUGGGUAUGUGUGUUUACUACAAGAAAUUUUCCGAUUUAUUAUGAAAAAUUUAUGACACAUGUCAAAACGUCAUAAAAUUUUGCAUCCGAGCAAAUUAAGUGAUGAAGUUAUGAAACAUCAUUAAAGUUGCAACCGAAGCCAAAUAGAAAUCAUCACUCAUUGUUACCUGGUGGUUUUGUGACUAUAUAAGGUGUACAAAAACGUCAUAAACCGGGCCCCACAUGUAAGCAUGUGUUGAAAACUAAGGUGUUCAAAAAUAUCAUUAACAAGGGGUUCCAUCAUGUAAGAAUGAGCUGAAAAAUAAGAUCUUCCAAUUCAUCAUAAACUCUACCACGCUCCCACAUGUCCGUCUGAGAUGAAAAAAAAAAUGAAGGAAAGUGAAAAGGAAAGAGUGUCUAUUAUAGGGUCGAAUGUGACCUCUUGAAUGUUACAAAUCAGCACUAUCAUUGAGGCAUGAACUAUGUAUGGUUCUUAAAAAAGACACAUUUUAUAUAUUAUAGUUCUGAUAAGUGUGCUCCAGUUGCCAAUUGCAUACUAGAGCAACGAGUGCAUUAUUUAUCAUUUCUCAACACGAUGUUCACUUCAAGGGACUCGUCGGCAUGCUCAUGUUGGUUGUGGUAAAAGCCUAGAGGCGUCAGUGCGCAGAUCUGCAAUGCCCCGCGAUAGGAAUAGUGCAUCUUAGCGGCGAAGGGAGGAGUAGGAUCUAUGGUCAAGUCAAUCCCCCUAUUUUGUGCUGCUACUUUCCCCUAUCAUCCUAGGAAAGGGGAUUUCUGAAAUUGGGGAUUUGGGUUGAAGGCAAUAGAUUCCAAUUUCUUCCUACACUUUGGUUUACAUUUCUACUGGUGAUAGAAGUAGAUAAUCUAUAGUUUAUGAAAUGCAAAAGCAAACAUUGAUUUCAAGUUACAAUUACUUUUUUUAAGCAUCCGAGUAUUGCAUUAUCUUCUUCUAUUGAUAGCUACUGCUUGGAAACAUCUUCCUGUGACACUACUUGUUAGGAUCCUUAGAACAUGUGCGAUCAUGGGUUGAGAGAUGUGGUGAAGUAUUCUUGGACCUUUCUCAGCCCUGGUCGUCGGUUUGCUUGUAGCUAAAAGGUAAAUGGCUACCUGCUUGGUAGAGAUUGAGGGAUAUGGGUACCCCAUGGGUCCCCACCGAUCUUGAUACUGGUCGGUCCUGACAAGUGGGACUGCCUGACCAGGGCGUGCGGGCCAAGGACUUGAAGAGACUUGGAGCACAAGACAAGGAGGCCGGGCGAUUCAAAUCAGCCCGGAUAUUACAGAAUACGUAUUGUAAUCCGACUCAGAUCACCUUCCAUGUAACAACCGAGUAGAUUAGAUUCAAACUGACUUGUAACCCUAGGUCGUCAGCCUAUAUAAGACGGCCAAGGGCGCCUCCCGAGGGCAACCCAAUCCAAUCUGUAAACCACGCACUAGCGCAAAGCAAUACAAACCACCAGAUUACAAGACGUAAGGUAUUACUCUCCGGAGGCCCGAACAUGUCUAAACCCUUGUGUUCUCAUGAUCACCUUCGAGUUCUUGGUCUCGCGAUCCUCUCUGCCUACAAAUCAACCACUUGGGAAACACUUGGUGGACUGCUGGGCUACUAAAUCCGAUAGAGAUUUUGGAUUUGUGGUUUCAUGUUACUGUUGUCAACGGUGACUUGUAAAUGGAUGUUUAAUUUGCAGGAUGAAAAGAAGCAAUGCGGUUACAUUAGUUGGGUUGAUCCAGAAUGUAAUGAUAGGUCCUAUGGUGUUCUAGUGAAGCUCAUUGAAGAAGAAGGUGUUGUCAACGGUGAGUUGAAAAUGGAUGUUUAAUUUGCAGGAUGAAAAGAAGCAAUGUGGUUACAUGAGCUGGGUUGAUCCAGAAUGAAUUGAUAGGGCCUAUGGUGUUCUGUUGAAGCUCAUUGAAGAAGAAGGUGCAAGCUUAAGAGGAUGCAAAAAAGUGGGAUGAAGAAUUGGCAAAAUCUAACAGUGAACUUAGAGAGAUUAGGAAUGAGCUCAAGAUGGUGUUGCAACAACUUCAGAAGGCUACUAACGAGCUAAAGUUCAUUAGGAAUUAUAGGCAUAAUGUCAAACUGGCGCACAUGCUGCUUGCAUUAUUUGUUGUUGUCGCGGAAUUGAUGCUUGGUGUCAUGGUUAAGUAGAUGGUUCAGAGGUGGGAUGAUGCUCUAUAUUUUGGUAGCUAAUGGUACUUUGAAGUACCAUAGGAUUGCCUUAUAUUUCUAAGCAUUGUAUCAAUGAUGUAUUCUAAUGAGUGUCACUUUGGUUAUGUUCUGAAAGUGUCACUUUGUUUAUUUUUUUAUCCUAUCAUUGUAAUAAUUUUAUUUAUCAUAUGGGAAUUUUUCUGAAAGUGUCACUUUGCCAAUCUUAAUGCAUGAUUUCAUUUUGUUGUUUCCAAGAGUGCCACAUCUACAAAAUAAAAAUGAAACCACGGAUGAAACUCUUUCUACAAUACAUGAUUUCAUAUUGAUGUUUCCAACAUAGCCACAUAAGCAAUAAGAAAAUGAAAUGGUGUUUGAAACUAUCCCUCCAAUGCAAUAUUUCAUAGUGCAGUUUCAUAGGCUCCCAAUAGCAUAUAAUUUCAUAGCUCAUAGAGAGAGGUGGUUUCUCUGCCUCACCAAGAAUCUCAACUAUCUCCACCUCUCCGGCAGCCUAACUGCGUCCGUCGACCUGUAGCAGACAUACAACACCUCGUAUAAAUACGGAGCGACAAACCCGCGAGUGAGAGAACUUAUCUCAGUUAUAAAUAAGUACUAAACGAGAGAAGGAAUUAUGAAAUACUCACGUACUUAACUCAGAAGGAAGCCAACAUCCGUAGAGGUACAUAACUGGAGUAGAGUGCUGAGGAACUCCGUACUCCUCCAAGCUACUCCCUCUUUCUCCCUAUUCUAAGCACUAGUCUAAGCAGGGCUUUGCCAUGGAGUGGACCUCUUCUCUUGAUACGAAUGAGAGUGUUUCUCCUAGUGGGGGAUGGAAGGUGGUGUGUUGAAGUGAGACCCCUGCUCUUCUAUUUAUAGGUUCUUAGGGUCCGUUCCCGAGGGGAACAUUCGGGGAAUCUUCCCUAACUGCCAUUGCAACUUUGGUAACUGGUGUCACGUGGCGGCUGGAGGUGAGAGGGGCUACCAUGGGUUCGACCGAACCAAGGGUUCGUCCAACCUAGGGCAACCGCCUUUGGCUGGUUCGCUGCCCUGUGGGUCCGCAUGUGGGUACGGGGUAUUAUGCAGUGAAUCUAGUCGGUUUACUCCCAUUAGUAGGCCCAUGGAUCCACGUGGUUGAUCCUGAUUGGUUGAGAGUGUGUUUUCUUGCUCUUGAGGUGUGUUUCCUCCAUUAAUAGACCUGCAUACAAAUAUUCACCAACACUUGUGGAAUUCAUUAGUAAUAACUCCUACCACUACUGUUGAUGCUCAUAUUUUAUGUGUUUACGCAAAAGUUGACGGUGUAGAUUUGGUACUUAAGAGCUGUCAACAACACCCCACACUUGUCCAUUGCUCAUCCUCAAGUGAAGGAGAAAGGACUAAAGUGAAACGUAACUUCAAAGGUAUGAAGCGAGCAUAAGAGAUAUCCCAAGCCUUACUUGCACUUGUGAACUUUGAAGUGCCUAUCAUGCCAUCUUGGAUAGUUGAGGAAUGGAACGAUCUUGAAUCAAGUCACUUCAACUCCUUAUGUCAAGUAACUUGGGAUUUUUUAAUAAGUUUUCAAAACAAACCUUGCUCAGCUCCUCAUUUGACUCCCUCAGAUCACUCAAUGUGUAUAUGUCUUCACCAUGGCAUUGGACUUCACUUCUAAUAAUGGCUAUAUGUGGGGCUCAAGGUAGGGUAUGAAGGAUAAGGCAUACUUGUAUCACAUAUAUUGCGAAGUCAAAAACCGGAUCCAAGGAGAAAACAAGUCAUACAAUCAGAUCAAGAUGUGCCCGUGUAUGAAUAUAGUGGAUGAAAUAGGGAAACUCCUUUUUGUAUGAUCUUUCUCCCUUUGUAAAUCUUUCUAAGGACGUGGCUAUCUUUCAUUUUGUUUUUCUUGGACUUUCAUGUGUCCAACUUUUUUUUGAAUACUUGGACCUUCAUGUGUCCAUAUUUUUUUUUUGAUAGCCCAUGUCUCUUUUGUAACAAUAAUUGGAGAGAGAGACCAACACAUAUGGUGGAGCAUUUAUUUUGUGGAAUGGUACAAUGCUAACUGUCAUAUGAGCAUAACAAGGGGUCUAUGGUGUGCAUGUGAAUCUUGAUCAUGAAAGCAUGAAAAGGAUUAGAUUUAAAAUUCGUUCAAACUCAUGAAUGAGGGAGAGAACGGAUAAAGAGACACAAACCGACACGGUGGACGAAGAUGGGCCUGAUUGGGCCACCCCUAGGUCAGCCGAGCCCCUGUGGGCCCGGCUCUAGCUCGCCUUUAGCGUGCGUGCUGGUGCAGCGUGGUGUGCUCUGUUUGUGGGUGUUGGUGUAUCAUGUCAGCUUUGGAGAGUCCGUGGCUCUCCCCAACACUUGUUUGUACCUAUGUGCUUUUUCCAAAAGACAAGCAAGUGAGACAAAGGACUCUAUUGGGUUGGAUGACCGGUGAGUCUAAACUUUACUAAAAUCAAAGUGGAGGCACUUACAAUUCUGAUUGGAAAUAAAAUGAAGGAAAAAUAAACCUAACUAAGACCCUAAAGGAAAAGGAUACAAGGGGCAUACCUAUGGAGCGCACUGCAUCGUAUAGAACUUUGUGCCCCAUGGUCUUAUACAAGUGCUUCAUCUUAGUGCAAAGACCACGAUGGAGGGUACGAAAGUCAUCCUUAAGCUCUUCCAUUUCUAACUUCUGCUCCGCUAACUCAUCGCUAAGCCUCCUAUUUUUCUAAUCGUAAAUCUACAAUCAUGGAGGUUAGCUGCUUAACCAUGGGGGCCUUUGGAGACUUCUCAUUACUAUCCUGAAAUUGGCACUCGGCCUUCCUAUUGGCAGUGGUGAGAGGUGCCAUCUAACCUUGUCGCCUUCCGGAGAUGACUCAUGGGAUUUAGCCAGCCCCCUGUCCUUGGGUGAGAGGUAUGGCUUGAGCUCUUCGCCACAGCCAUCCUGGGUUCGCACCCCAAAUAUUUGGAAAUGAGUUUGUGGUGGUGGAUUCCCUGCCCACGAAUCCUCCUCAUAGCAGUGCUAGAACACGUUGUCGUUCUUGCUAAACAAAGAUCUGACGUAGCGUUCGCUAGGCUUCAUGGGUGGCCUUGGGUAUUCAUCAAAUGUCAGCCUUUUUUAGGGAGUUGACAUGCGUGCCUGCUAUUUCAGUGUCUUCCGGGGCGAGGGUGAUGCGCGAUCAAGUGGGAGGUCGAGGCGGCCUUGGCCUAGUUCGAUCGAACCCCUAGCGACGCCUCUCGUGCCCCCGCUUCUCCUCUUGGGUGGUACGAUGACCAGAGGCUUGACAUCGAGUGCCUGGACCUCCUCCAUCAUCGACGAGGACAAUGGCAUUCGCCGAAGCGAUUUCCCCGUCGAGUUCAAAGGUCGAGCUCGGCUUGACAAAGGUGAUGAGGCCUUUGCCAGCCAUAGUGGUGAGCAGGGUCAACUGAUGUGGAUCUAGGUGGCUUUGAUAGAGAUGAGAGUGAAGUGAAUGAGGAGAGGAGGAAGAUGGGUUUUAAAGAAGGAACUCCUCUCCUCUAGCUUUUACACCUAAGGGGACGUGGAGGAAUGAGUCAAGGAAUGUUGGAGGAGCAUCUAUGUGAAGGCUGGAAGGUGGUAGCGCUUAGAGUGGUUCAGCCGAACCCUUCUGGGCUCUGUUGGGCCUCCCGUUGCUCCUGAGCGUGUGAGUAGUAGAGGGGGAAGUAGAGAGAGUGGGCCCAACCACUAUAUGUGCCGGGACUUUGGUAAAAGUUAGGAUAGAGCUAGGGUCAAUGACUUUGACCUUUGCUUAAGUUCACUUUCAUCAAAGCGACGUAUUUUUCUAUGAAGAUUGUAGCGGUGGACUUACCUUAACGACAUACCUUAGCCAUCGUGGGGUAUGAUUGCCCCUUCUGACGAUGAUGCGUUGAUGAUGUGCAUUGUGCUUGUGGUGGUGAUGUCGUCCUCUCGAUGUAUUUUCUCCCUUGCUUCUCUUCAUCCUUGAUGCAGUGUCUCGCAACCUGAAAGGUUAGCAUCCUGACAAUAUCUGAAGGUUAAACUUUCCUUAUAAAGUAUUUCAUUUAAAUCAAAGGAAACUUAUGAUCUUGGGCAUCUCAUGGUGAUCCCUUGCUCAACCACAUGUACAUCCACCUUGCUCCGCCAUUUGGAAUGGAUGAUAAUGUCUUGGCUGCAAGGUUAGUGCACAAAUACAACUAUGAGCCCUACAUAGAUAUUAUGAUAAAGUAGAACCAUAUACAACCAUCCUAAAGGGCAUUUAUGAUGGGAAACCCUAAGAUGAUCAUACAACUCAUAGUGCCUUAGCCCAACGGAUGACAGAUCUCGGAGAUAUCUUGGAUGAGCAUGAUCCUAAGAUGAAUUAGGAUGAAUCUUCAUGCUCAUGGAAAGAGUGGCUUGAUCUGAGUUUGAGUCAUGAGGGAAAUGAGUUUCUUUCAACUCAUCCUCUCCUUAGGUAGAGAUCUUCACGUUUCAUCAAAAUAUGAAUGUGGUGGCAAAAGCAAUCCAACCUAUGCUUUCAAUAGAAGUUCAUUUGAUAUGUAAUGUGAAUAUAACAUCUAUUGGGCAUCAAUGAAAAUCAAGGAAUGAAAUGUGAGUUUUGAAUCACUUGAUUUGAUUUGCAUCGAUCGGUAAUCAAGGAUAAGUAGUGAGUUUGUUUCACUCGAUUCAAUCGGCAUGACCCCUAUGAUCCCUUGAUGAAACAGAAUGAGCCCUACAGACUAUGAUACGAUGGUCAAUGUCACGGCAUAUUACUCAUUGUAUACAAAACACCUUCGAUGUUACCUUAACACGCGAACAUGAUGGGCUUCCUACGGUACCUCUUCCGAGAAGUUGUGGUUGAAACAGAUGAGUCAUUAAGAAUGAUCCUCUUCUUCCAACCACUCCUUCCUCAACCUCCCUCGAGACAUGGUCUCGAGGAAAUUUUAGAAGGAAGCACCGUAAGGGAAUCUGGAGGUAGGAUUCGCACGUGGCUCUCUUUCCCCAAUAUUCAUGCAAUUUAGGAGAGGUAUAUUCAGCAGAAUUUUGGAUAUAGUUGAGAUGAAAGCUCAAAUUCUGCUAACGAUAGUCCUCGGUUGCUCAAUGUGCUCUCCUCCUGAUAGGGCAUCGUUAUGCAGAUCAACCAGGGGAGUAGUUUGUCGGAUACGCUCCAAGAUUUCCUUAACUUCUGUUGGAUCCUUAAGCAAAAAGAGUCUUCGGAGAGGGCAUCAAGUUGAAGGCCAAAGUCCUCCAAUAAUACUAAUAGAAAGUGUUGUAGCAACACGUGGUUGGGUACAGAUAAGACUAGGCAAAUCUCCAUAAGAGCAGAAAAAUGAGCCCAUGCGGUGCCUAGCGAUUCCUCCUCUCACUACUUUAAGCAGAGGACCUUAAAUUGCAAAGAACCGAAGCGGGAUAGAGGAAAGAGGGAGAACCAAAAUUUAGUCCAUAGCUCUUCCCAAUUAUCGAUCACACUCUCCUCUAAGCGAAGGUACCAUUUUCUCACUCUCCCUGAGAGGGAGAAUGGGAAAAGCUUCUUCUUGAGAGCGUAUUGUGUCAAGCUGGAUAUUCUUUGGUAAGAACACAAGUGCUCGAACUCUCGCAGGUGAUGGUAGGGGUUCUCAUAGCUUAACCCCGAGAAGGAAUUUUCCUGAACUAGCUCUAUGAGUAUGGGAUGAAUCUCGUAGCCGGAUGAGAUAUUGGGUUCCAGAAAGGAUGGCUCUAAAGACUCACCCCGAAGUGUCGAAAGGUGUGUACGAGGAUAACCUUCCAUGGGUAGUAGGGGGUAAAUGUAGAAACAAAGAGAAUUAAACAGAUAUGAGGACCACUAUAGGUUCAUAGAUAAAUAGCAACCGUUCCCCAACAACGGCACCAAAAAGUUUGUAGGUAUAAUUAACGACUGCGAAUAAAUCCGCAAGCACAUGGAUACUAUGUAACUUUCACCUCAGAGUAUUCCAAGGGUAUCGAACCUAGGGGAAUGUGUGUGUAUACCUAUGACUCUAGCAUCCAAGGACAACCAACCAAAAGGUAGGCGAAGGGUAGAGAACAUUCCUAUGGAUAGCACUAGAUAAGUUAAAGGUCGAUCUAUCGGGUCAAGAUACUCGCUUCGGGCACCGGCUUACCUUGAAUGAGUUAGGCGCUUCCAGCCAACAGAUUCGUAGCUCCACUUACCACCUUCAGACUAAUGGCCAAACGGAAAGGGUGAACCAAAUUCUAGAAGAUAUGCUAGAUUCUUGUGUCAUACAUUUUGACAAAAAUUGGGACAAAUGCUUGCCAUUAGAAGAAUUCUCUUACAACAAUAGCUACCAUUCUAGCUUCAAAAUGGCACCAUUUGAAACCUUGUAUGGCCGAAGGUGUCGAACACCUUUGAGUUGGUCACAAGCAGGAGAAAGACGGACCUACAGACCUGAUCUAGUGAUUGAAGCUAAAGGACAAGUACAGAUAAUCCAGACACAUCUCAAGGUUGCUCAGUCACGACAGAAAAGUUACUUCAACAAAAGGAGAAGACCCUUACAGUUUGAUAUUGGUGAUCAUGUAUACCUCCGAGUCUCCCCGACUAGAGGUGUACAACGGUUUGGGGUCAAUGGAAAAUUGGCUUCUCGUGACAUUGGCCCCUAUGAAAUUGUGGAGACAUGCGGACCUGUUGCAUACCGGAUCAAACUUUCUGAGAAGCUUUCAGCCACUAACGACAUCUUCCAUGUCUCUCAACUUAAGAAGUGUGUUAGAAUCCCGACAGAAAUUUUGGAGCAAGAGCAUCUCGAAAUCGAGCCCGAUUUAUCCUAUGCAGAGUAUCCUGUCAAGGUCCUCAAUCAUAAGGAAAGAUACGCCCGAAGACAAGUUGUGAGGAUGUAUAAAAUUCAGUGGAGUAACCACACAGAAGAUGAAGCGAUAUGGGAAACGGAGGAAUACCUUAAUAAUCACUUCCGCAGUUUUCUUUUCGACCAGAGAGGUAAGGCACGCGAGCCACACUAGUUCAUCUUUUCACUCGAAUCUUGGGAUGGGAUUCCUUUUAAGGGGGGUAGGAUGUAACAACCUAGCCCAAUUAAACCAUGUUUAAUCUUAAGUAAUGUCAUUUGAGCAUAAAGAAGAACAAUUGGUAGUUGUGAAGACAAGUAAAAAGACACUAUUGCCCUCACAAGAUGAACAACUAUUUAAACCAUAACUCAAUUUUUUGCUUAAGAACUUAAAAAUCUGUCCACCUAAGAGUUGUAGAACUCAACUUUCCUAAAAACUUUUAUUUUUGGUGUUUUGCUUGAAUCUGAGCAGAAGACCUUAAAAACUCGAAGUUCAAAACUGUUUCAAUUUAAGAAAAACCGAUAAAGCCCAACUUUGGAGCUCUUUAUCUAAAAUUUUCCAAAAUAAAUUUAAGUUGAACUCUAAACAAAAGUUUUAGAGAUUUAAGAUCUUAACAACUUUGAUUAAAGGAGUAAGGUGGAAAUCUGCACAGAAGGCUUCCAAAACCCUGGUCAAAGUCAGUUAGUUUGGUCAACCCAGCCCCAAUCAACAAUCUAGGCUAAGUGUGGAAUAAGUUCAACCAUGCAUCUUGGCUUAAGCUUAUCGCACAAAGGUUGAACAGAACGCCAGCAAAACCCUUUCUAAGAGUUUGAGAGGUAAGUUCAUACAACAACUUCCUCAAUUGGACUAUGGUCAAAUUUGCAUCAGAAGCUUUUCAAAAUUGGGGCUCAAUUCAGCCAAAAACCUUGAAAUCAGCCAAACUGGAAAUCCGGCGUUCCUCCAAACUUUGAAGCUUUGUAUCUUCAAAUCUGCUGCGCAUUUGAACUCGGUUCAAUUACAAAAGUUGAACUUGGAUUUGAGGACUACAAGUUUUGCAAAGGGAGUAAAUACUGCAUAGUUCAAGAAUCGGGAGUUAAUGGCGUUUGAAGAUCGGCUCGGCGACACAAUCCUGCAAAUCCCUCAGCCAGAGCGUGCCCGAGCACGCACGCCGCAUGCUUCGGAGCGCCGCCGCCGUGUGGGAUGGCUUCACCGGCGAGAAGCCGUUGCGCUUGGUCUCCGGCCUCGGCAAGAUGCCGCCUCGCGCGCCCUGCCGCUAGUAAGCGCCACCAUCCCCCCUGCUCCCGUCCGCCCCGCCUUGCCCAAGGGCACACCCCACGUCCUGCCGUUGCUCUGCUCGCGCACACUCCCACGGACGCCUGCUCGACACCGCCGCCUCCGCCAACCGCCACCCCGGCCACGACGCCUCGAGCGCCGUCUUGCCAACCUGGUGCCCCGGCAAAGCCGUUUCCCGCGCGCAUGCUCGCUUCACCCCGAGCCUGUCACCUCGCCUCCCGCACCUCGCCGGUUACCACCUCUGUCCACCAAUGGUGCUGCCACCAUUAAUGCCCGCAGCAGCGCCCCGUCUCCCCUCCAACCUUCAGCUGUUAGUCCCAGCCCCACCUCGCUCGCUACUCCGCCCGGCCCUAUAAAUGGAGGCCCAGCCCCACCGGAGCCCCCUUCCCCACUCGCCCUUGCGACCCGCCAAGCUCCCCUGCUCCGCAUCCAAGUGCCGCUGCUUGGUCCUCCCGUGGAGAGCCCACUUCCGCGCAACCUCGCUCUCCGCCACCGCCGCAAAUCACUCCGCCACCAGCUCAUGCAGCUCGAGCCGCUGACUGUUGCCGUCACCAAGCUUCGACGUCGCUGAAACAUUGCCGCCCAGCUCCACCGCAGCCACAGCGCCGCCUUGCACCAUUCCGCCUCAACCGAGCCCUCUCUGCGCCCCAACAGCCGCCAAUCAACUCCUAGUGAGCUCCCGCGCCUUUCCCAUGACUUCUUGCCCUGGAUUGGCUGGCACAUCGCUGGAAUUUGGCCAAACCGCCGCCGUGCGUGCCGCCAAGGGCACACUUGUGUCCUUUCCCUUCUUCCAGGGACUUUAGCGCUAAAGUCAGGGACCUCUGCGCGUUUAACCUAUAGACCUAAAGGCUAGACCGUAAGUUUGCCGCAAUUUUCUUUUAAUUUCGACAGAAAAUGAUCCAAACUUUGAAAAUACACCAUAAAUUGUAUAAAAAUAGGAAAAAUGUCAAACCAAUUUUUCUAGACUCAUUAUAAAGUGUAGUUUCGAAUAAAGAUGUUGUUGACACAUGUCUCUGCUAGAAUUAAUGUUAUAUGUUUUAAUCCUUGUUUAAGCCAUUUAUAUCAUAAUAAAUUGUAGAAAAAUGCUAGAAUGGUAAAUCCAACUCUCAAUGUUUGUUUUAGAGAAUGGAAGCUUAUAAAAAUGAUGUGGAUCCUUGCUCAGAUGCUUGAAUCUCUGUUUUAGUUUUAUCAUCGGAAUCUAAGGUUGCUUUUAUCCUUUUGCAUAACAAUUAAACCAGAGAUGAUAAAAAUAUGUAACAAAUUGGAAUAAGUCAGUGGUGUAGUAUAGUUUGUAGGAAAAAUAUAGAACCUGAUCAGAAGCAAAAGGAAAACCACUUUCUUUUUUGGGGGAAGAAUAAUUAGGGUAAAUGUAUGGAAAAAUAUGCCCUUCACUAAAAAUUCUGAAAAAAUCACCAAAGGCUCUAUUUCACCUUUGGAACCUACUUUUAAAAGUUCAUACCCAGAUUCGUUAUGGUUUUUGUCUCUACCUUAUCAUAAUGAAACAAUUUUAAUUAUUUUUGUGCAACACUAAUAAGCCUCAAAUUUGUGCAGUAGCUUAAUCAUGGCAAGAUUAAGUUGCUGGUAAAGUUUCAACUUCACAGCUUACUGUUGAUAAUAGAAAUAAAAUUUGGAGAUGAACAAAAUUAAAUGGAAAAAAGAACCUUAAGUAAAGGUAAUAGUCUUUUUCGGAAGAGGUAAAAAAAAUAUUCAGAUAUAGGAUAACUUCCUGAUCUAAAGUUUAAUAAAGUUAAGUGUAUAUAUGUACACAAUCACCAUCAAGUCAAUCCCGGGUUUUAUACCAUUACACACCUUACCUUAUGCAGAUAAAGAAGGUGUAGAACCUUGUUUAGGUUAAUGUGGUCAUAAUAUAAUUUAUACUUCAGUGCUAAUUCGUGUUUUGCAUCCUAUGAGAAAGCAUGGAAGUUGAACUUGAUGCAUUUGCAUUUCGUGUAGAGCUGAACCUUGCUGACGGAACGUAUGAGCUUCACCCCGCGACAGAAGGAGCCGUAGUUGAUCUGCAUCAAGUCAGAGCCGAGCCCGUACCGAAGCAAGCCGAGGACCAGUUCGCUAACUCUCCAUGUAAAGGCAAGCCCCGGAGCAUAAAUUUCUAUCUUUUAAUACUUGCAAUACAAUUGAUUGCUUGAUUGUGCAUUUACGUUCCAGGAGUUGAUUGAAACCGUAGAUGCAUGACUUAGUACCCCUUUGAUCUGAAUACUAGUAUGAUAAGUCGAGUAGUUGCAAUACUUAAUAGGACUCGGUAAAAGUCGAGUGAUUGACUGUCACUCGCGAGUUAUAGGAAUUGUGUGCCUUCCUUUCAUUACAACUAUAAGGAUGAUGGAUGGGGCAGGGCUCUGUGAACUAUUUUCAUGGUUGGUGGAUUGCCCCAUCUGUCUACAUGAAUUUGGACUAAGGUCGAGAUGUGAUAGUGUUCGUGAUCAAGUAUUUGAAAGUACUAAUCUCAUACCUAAUAUGGGAUGGGGAAGCCUAGUACCUGAUUGAACUAGAACAUGAAUGGAUCGUUCCACUUUCUCUGGAAUGGAGUUCCCUUGCAACCGCAUGUGGUGACAAGUGCGGCCAUAGAACAACAAAGGCUGGGUCUAUGGAGCCUUGUACCAAGAGAAGUGGGUCCAACAUUGGUCUGGGAAUUGAUGGGGACGGCUGACAAAUGAAGCGACCCUUCAUGGUGCGCGGAUGUCAUGGGAUUAGGUUCGUCAUGCAUGGUUAAGAAAUUUGAAUCGAUUCAUCUGCCUCUCAUAGUUUGGGACUGCUUGAUCGCUAUGCUACACUGAGUAAGAAUGGAACUUGAUGAUGAUCUUAAUAUUGAUGCUUGUCAUAAAUUGCUUGGAAACUAUGCUUGUUUAGUAUAGUUGCUAACUUAGACAGGUAAAUGAACUUAGAACUGCUGGCUAAAACAUCAAAACCAAGGACCUACACUAGUUGCUUUUGGCAAAAACAAACCCCUCAGCCAAAAAACCUUGCAUGUCUAGAAGUUGGUGGAGUAGUACCACCGGUCGCUUAAGUCUUGUUGAGCGUAGUCACUCAGCUUUGUUGUGGCACAUCUUUUCAGGUGAUGUUGAUACCCCUGAGCUCGCUACAAGUUGCACUUGGCCUCCCCAACUUCCUCCUGGUUGGACGGUUGAGUGGGAUUCCUCCUCGGAUGGUGAGGACCGGGAUCAUUGAUGUCAUGAUCGACUUCGUCAUGAUAUCUUGCAACGACGUUUAGCUUCCGCUCAGUUAUUUCUAUUAUUUGAGAACUCUGCAAACCUUGCUUGAAUUUCGAACUUGAGGUUGUAAUAAUUUGAUGCACUUGUUUAAUGGAGAUGGACUAUUGUAAUCUUUGUAACCACUCGCCUUCGUGUGAGUCUUGCUUUCUCGAUCCUGAGAUAAGUGGUUUAUCGGAUGAAAUCCGACAGACGACCAAGUUGAUUUGUUUAAAGUACAUGAUCGCGUGUUAAGUGACUUAAGUGUGCUUUAGCCAAGUUAAUUUGGGUGGUUCCUCCAUAGUACAUGACCGGAGUAGAGUGCUGAGGAACUCAGCACUCCUCCGAGCUACUCCCUCUUCCUCUCUCUCUCUCUCUCUCCCUCCCUCCCUCCCUUUCUAAGCACUAGCCUAAGUAGAGCUUCGCCAUGGAGUGGAGCCCUUCUCUUGAUAGGAAUGAGAGUGUUUCUCCAAGUGUGGAAUGGAAGGUGGUGUGUUGAAAUGAGACCCCUCCUCUUCUAUUUAUAUGCUCUUAGGGUCAGUUCCCGAGGGGAAUAUUAGGGGAAUCUUCCCUAACCUCCAUUACAACACCGAUAACUAGCGACACAUGGCAGCUAGAGGCGAGAGGGGCCACCAUGGGCUCGGCCGACCCAGGGCAACUGCCUCUAGCUAGGUCACUGCCCUAUGGGUCCUCACGAGGGUACGAAGUUUAUGCGGUUUAUCUAGUCAGUUUACUCCCGGUUGUGGGUCCAUGGAUCCGCGUGCUUGAUCUUGAUUGGUUGAGAUUGUAUUUCCUUGCUCUUUAGGUGUGUUUCCUCCUUUAAUGGACCUACAUACAAAUAUUCACCAACACUUGUGGAAAUCAUUAGUAAUAACUCCUACCACUACUAUUGAUGCUCAUCUUUUAUGUGUUUAUGAAGGACCAAAAAGCCAACCAGAGGGGGUGAAUGGGAGCCUCAAAUAUUUCUUUUGAAAUUUUAGGCUUCUGUCCCUAAUUCAAACCCCAAAAUCGAAGCGAGCGGAAGACGAGAGAUCCACGAGCCAACUGGAUGGCUGGGUGUCUAUGGUGAUGACCGAUAACACAACGGGACUCUCAAGAAACAACUAGAAGCAAAAUCCAAAGAUCCAGAAAGCAAACUCCAAAUAUCUGAGUCAAAAUAGGACUCAAAAUGCUCCUGUCGGAAGUUCCGACCCCCUAUCGGAAGUUCUGAUACCCAUCAGAAGUAUCGGGGAUCUCCCGACAGGAGUUCUCUGUUGUUUCAGCAAUUUUCCCUUCGGAACUUCGGAAGUUACGUCGGAACUUCCGACAACACAGAAAUCAGCCUUCGUGAGGAGAGAAUAAAAAUCCAAAACUCGAUCAAAUGACCUCCAAAAAUCACGAAAUUUUAACCAUAGUUUUCCAACAACACAACAAAUAUGUUUCCAAAAGAUCUCCUCAAAAAGAUCAGCCAAUCAAAGGUAAUUAAAUAUCUUGUGAGGUACGCUGGUUUUUCAACCCUAGAGCUUGAAUCAUCCCGAUCUAUCAACUCACAUCCUAGUUCAUUUCCAAAAGACUGGUUUGACUCAAGAUCUCCUAUAAAUCACGAAUCAACCAAAAACGUGAGAGGGUGAAAAAGCGAGAAAACAAGAACGCAAAGAACACAAGAGAAAAUUGCACAAAGCCAUCAUCCCCCAACACACAGAGGACACGAGGAGGUUAGGGACUCCAUUCCCGCAACAAAAACUUAGUUCAAUACAUGGAUUCGGUGCUCAUAACAUCUGAGGACCUCUAGAGAGAUAGAUUAGAGAGAGAGAGACUAGACUAAUGAACUACUAAAACUUUAGAUAGAUGAAGUGCUUGGAGAGGUGUUCCAUACAACCACCCCCCCUAUUUAGAUACUCCCCUAAUGACUAAAUUACCCCUACAACUUAAAAUUAAGAUAAUUACCCACGCAGGGGCAUUUUGGUCUAUCUGUGUAUUUGGUCGAUCGGAUGGCCACGCUUCCUACACUGAAUUGCUUCGUCUCAACGCAACCUCUAUGAUUCCGCCAUGUGCCUCCGUGUUCCUCCUCGGAACCUCCGCCUGGGUUUUGUGGCCCAAAUUCGGAAACCAUCUUCCUGUGGUUUUUUUGGACCAAACCACCAAACCUGCUCCUCGACACGUGUCACCACCGUCCUCGACCACUCGGCUACCAAGUCUUCUAGCGCCCUUGCUUGACAUGCACGUCCACCGUCUUGACUUGGUCAACACAGUCACUCCUCCAUGUACACUUGCACUUGUCGAUGUCCCCAAGUGUCAGCCACCGCAGCUGAUCCUCCGGCGCUCUGGUCUCUCAGUCCAAGCCUCAUGUCCGUCCUUCACCGCUCCCGAUCCAUCAACACGGCCCGUAUCUACUUGAACUUCACCUGGCCAUUGAUCACCGCCUCCGAGCUCCACACCUGCGCAUCACAAACCAAGAGCACAUCAAUCCAACACAACGUUGUCAAUCACUCAUCAUCCAAGGGUGACCAUCCAUUGGUCCUUAGUUUAUGUAGGAGUUGGUGGUGUAGAUUUGGUACUUAAGAGCUGUCAACACUGCUUCACCAUGUUCGAUGCCAACGACUGUGAGGCCCUAGGCAAACCUAGGGAGAUUAUGUAGAUCAUUAUCUUUUAUGAUUAGUACCUUUAGAUUUUGUUGGAACUGUCUUGUUUAGACUGUGUCCCUUAUCAAAGAUUAGUACCUUCAACCUUGUAUAGCAAUCUCUCCAUGUUCAAGUACUAGUUGCAAAAUCCUGCUUAGUUAUUUAUUCCUAUACCAAAAUUUCUUGAGAUUUCAAUGUUAUUCACUUGCAAAAGACAAUUACAUUAUUAGUAAUCGACACGCCUAUUGCCAUUCUCCCCUACUCCCGAAUCCCCAUGUGGACGUUCCGACCUUCCCUUGGCAACUGUGCGCCAUUAUAUACCAAUACCCUACUAAUAUUAUAUACCAAUACCCUACUAGUAAGUGGUAAUAGCCAUCCCCUCUAUUGCCUCCACACUCUCUUUCUCUAGAGAACUAAACCAAUGACCAUGGGUUCUUCUCUGAUUGCUUCUUCUUUACCUUCCAACAACUUCUCCGAGAAGGAGCCCUUAGACGAUGUCUCCUUAUAGGUACAAGAGUCCCCCAUGUACUCCUAUAGUGUGGAGACAGAGUACAAGGAGGAGGAGGAUGACUAUGAUGCCACCGGCAUUGAGUAGGAUAAGGACGAUGAUGAGGAGGGAGAGAAUGAGGAGGAGGAGGAAGUGACGGCGGCGGCAGUGGUGGUGGAGGAGGAGGUGGUGGUGGUGGUGGCAGUGGAGGAGGGGGAAGCGGCAGUGGUUGUGGUGGAGGUGGAUGUGGUUGUGAUGGCGGUGGCCAUGGUGGCUACGGCAUUGGCGAAGGAUGAGGUGGUGGGCAAGGAGAGAGUCAAGAAGCAUACUAGCAAGAAGAGGAGGCGGGUGGCUCUGGCGGCGGGGGGAGGAGGAGGUGGAAUCAAAGUGGCAAAGAAGAGGAGGCCGAUGGACUUCGAUAUCUUCACCAUGCUUGCCGAUGCUAGCAUCGUGGUAGCAUCACCAGGGAACUCCUUGGAGCGAUCGUUGCAUAUUACUCUGAUUUAAGGUUUUCUUUUGCAUGUGCAUAGGUGUUCUUAUGUAAGCACCAUCAACCCCAUGUUUUCUAAUUUUCUUACAAAAGGACCUCUAGCCUAGUGGUUAGAGCACCUGAAUAGCAUCCAAUAGGCUUGGGUUCGACUUCCUAUGGGAGGGAAUUAAACGGUUUGGAAUAAAAAAAUUAUAAAAAAUAGGUAGGGGCUUCCCCUGCUGACUCUGGUAAAAAAUCCUAUGUUUUCUUAAUGUUAUUCUAGUGGGAAAUUUUGGUAAAUAGCAUAUCUUCUUUUGAUUGUAAGGUCAAUGGCCUAUUUUCUUUUGGAUGCAAGAUCAAUCCCUUAUUUCCCUGCUCAAAAAUCCCAUUUUUGGGGUGUAAGAACUAUCUAACCUCAAUAAAGAUUGAUGGGACAUUAGCACAAAUUUCUUCAUGUGCAUUGGUUCUUUGGUUUCCUCGGGCCAUAAUGCUACAUCAUAGCCUACCAUACCAUGUCUUGUCAUGUUAUUUUUUAGUUUUAUCCCACCACACACCAUUGAGGCAAAAUAGUCAAUGCUUUGUGAAUGUUCAUGAACGGAAUCUCUUGUACCGUGUAUUUAGCAACAAUAGAUUAUCCUGAUAUAUCAAUAAUAGACGAUUGUGAUUUGUGAAAUGGAUGUACUCCUAUGUAGUUUCCAUAGUUUCCAUCAUGUAGUUUCUUUAGAUUUUAUGUCAUUUGGAAGCUAAAGUCCAAAUGGGUGUCUUCUUCACUUCUUUGGGAACAAAGCAUAAGUACACCAAAUAAAUCUUAUAUAAACAGACUAUCCUACAUAAACACUUUCUCUCUUUGGUUUUUGUGUCUAACCUUUCAUCUCCCUUAUCCUUUCUCUCUUCCUCGGUUCCUGUGUAGACAUGGUUACUUGCACUAAAAACAAAUUCGUCCUCUUUUCUCAUUUAAUUACCAAUGGGUGGUUCUCCUACUCACAUGCUCUCAAAUUUUUUUGUUUUAUUUAACAUGGUUCUAUUUGGAACAAAGCAUAAAGAGAACCAAUAAAUCUUGUAUAAAUGGAUUAUCAUGCAUAAACUCUUUCCCACUUUGGUUCUCUUGUCUCUCCAUUCCUCUUCCUCACCCCUUUAUCUCUUCCUCAGUUCUCGUGAAAAUAUGGUUACUUGCACUAGAAACCAAUCCCUGCUCUUCCCUCAAUUAAUUCCUAAUGGGUGGAUCUCCUACUCACAUACCCUCAAUUAAUUAUACUAUAAAUAACGUGAUUCUAUUUGCAACAAAGCAUAAGCAGAACCAAUAAAUCUUGUAGAAACUGACUAUCCUGCAUACACCAUCAAGUACUUUCUAUACUUUUCAUGUCAUAUGGAAGCUUGUUUACACCAACUUUUUGCCAGAGUCAACCACUGUGGAUAAGGUUCUGAUAGCCGAUCAAGGAGAGAGAGAAAAGGAUCAUUGGAUAAGUAGUUUUUAGAAAUAGCUGUAAUAGUUCAUAUCAUACCGAACUCAGAUUUUAGCUUGCUCCAGGGUAUAAAUAUAAACUCUUAAGCCUUGUAAUAAGAAUCAAUCAAUCAAUCAAUACAAGCUUUCGGUGCCACGCCGCCAACCCCUUAGGAGUAGGAGUAGAGUAGAUUUGACGAGUUCCUUCUAAUGCGUAGGGCUGCAUCGGCUUUGAUCUCAGGUGAGCUUGUAAGUACCGUCACCCGAUCAUUAUGAUCCCUAUUAGAACUUUCUAAGUUAAAUCUUAUAUUCUGAUAUUCGGUCGUGUGUCUAGUUAUUGAGUUAACUUAGAUUACAAGUAGAACUUUCUAGGCUUUAUCCAAUAUUUUGCUUGUCCAACGUUGCUCAAGUUAUCGAAUGGAUUAGAUCUGGUUAGGCUAUCUUCAUCGGCUUUCUUGCCUUGUUUAAGCAUUCAAAGUUAUCAGAUCAUAUUGGUUGGUAGACUCUGCAUGCUUUUACUGCUUUAUAUAUGCUAGGUCGAUAGAUCUUUACCCUUGCCCCUCGUAUUGCUAGUUGUCAGGCCUCUGACGUCAGUGUGCUACUAUUGAGAGCUAAUGCUUCGGCUGGGUCUUAUCUGUAUCUCAUAGAAGUAUGAUGAUGUCAUUAAGUCAAUACGGGUGCGUAUGGGGCCUUGCUGCCGUGAGCCUGUCUGUUAAGAUUAAUGGGUUGAAGUUAAUGUCCUCUCACCGUGUUACCUUGUCUAAGUUCAAUACAUGGUCAUGACAUUGAUUAGAUUUUUUUACCUUAAUCGGCUUGUAAGCGGUAGGCAAGAGGCCUUUGGUGAUUGUGCUCUAGUCUUUUAUGUUGACAGAUUGAGGUUAAUGCCUUCUUAUUCGUGUUGCUUUGUCUAAAUUCAAUACACUUAUCAAGACAAUAAUUAAGAUUUGUUAAUGUAGCUGGCUUGCGUACAGUCAACAUCAGCUGAUCCUUGUUGCUAUGUUCUAAUCUUUUUUUAAGUUAGUAGAUUGAUGCCAAUGCUCUCUCAUUCAUGUUACCUUGUAUGAGUUCAAUACACUUAUCAAGACAUUGGCUAGAUCUGCUAGCUUAUCUGAUAAGUGCAUGGUUAACAAGGGCUACAUUCAUGGCUAUUGUGUUACAAUACUUUAUCUUAGUCUGUCAGCUGACAUAGCCAAUGGCACAUGCCAUUAAUGUUUUAUUUAUUUACAUCGCAUACUUACAUUAAAUAUUCAUCCGUCAUGGUGUUUAUUCAAAUAAUGCCUACCCAUGAGUUCAAAAGACUUCACCUCCGAUCGGCUGAGGAAUUUAAUGUUUACCUUGUCAAUUUUGUUGGAGGUAUGCCCUAGAGGCAAUCAUAGAGAUGAUGAUAUUCCAUUUGUAUCCAUGAUUUAUAUUGUGUUCCUUGAAUAUCCAUUAAAGGGUCUAAUUUUGUUGGAGGCCAUGUCUAUACGUAUCCGAACCCAUAGGGUCACACACAUAAGGGGCUGGAAGCCCAAUUCGGAUGUGAUCCGAGUUGGAUUAGGUUUAGAAGUACUAAUGGGCCUCGGACCCAGAGGCCCGUUAGGAACCUCUAUAAAUAGAGGGGUGGGGGCGCCCUAGGGUUCACACAUUUUGGGCGAAACAGAUCUGCCGUGCCUCCCAUGCCCUCGCCUGUUGCAAGUCACGGAUCUAGCAGUCUGGCUUGCGAUGCUUCCUCCCUGCACGUGUGGAUACCUUGGAGGUGUUGCGCCUGCAGCACUUGGACGAGCCGCCGACGAGCCACGACGAGCCGACAACGAGCCGCGGCACGAGGGCGAUCUUGCUGCACGUGGACGAGCUGCUGGACGUCGACGUGAUCGACUACGUACGACUACGCUGAUCGACUUCGCUGCAUCGAUGCAAAUCUACAUCUUCCGCACCAGUGCGUCGAGUGGUAAUCCCGUGAUCCUUAUACGGCAGUUUUUCUUGUUUACGCGGUAGAAAUUUUACGCUGAUCGACUUCGCUGCAUCGAUGCGAAUCUACAUCUUCCGCACCAGUGCGUCGAGUGGUAAUCCCGUGAUCCUUAUACGACAGUUUUUCUUGUUUACGCGGUAGAAAUUUUUGAUUUGCGCUAGUGUAGCCUACCUCGUAUCCCUACAAAUUUUUAGGUUAAAUUGACUGGCAGGCCUUGCAUCACUCGUGAACCGAUUUGGAGCCUGCACUGGAGUUAAGCAGAUCUCCCGGGUCCUCCGUGUUGUUCAACGUAGAAGUCUGAGGUCCAGAUUUCGCGUCAACAAAACUAAAGUCCCAACGGGUGAUAUCUUUGGUUCCCUUGUCUCUCAAUACAAUACUCUCUCACCCAGUCUCUCUUCCUUGGUUCUCAUGUAGACAUGGUUACUUUACUUGCACUAGGAACUACUUCUUGCUCUUCCCUCAUUUAAUUCCCAAUGGGUGCUUCCUCUACUCACAUGCCCCAAGAGGCCAAGAUGGAUCAAAUUUUUUGUUUCAUUUAAUGUGAUUCUAGUUGGAACAGUGCAAUGAUUUUUGGAGAAGUAGAAAAUCAAUAUGGGAGAAAUAUUAACAAAUAUUUGUGUCUUAUUUAACGUGAUUCUAUUUGCAACAAUGCAUCAUAAGAAGAACCAACAAAUCUAGUACAAACAGACUAUCCAUUUCGAGGAGAUUGAACGAAUGCAGACUAUCCUCUCACAUGAGAUUGAUGGUGAUAUAAUGCAUAAGUAGAGCAAACAAAUCUUGCAUGCAUGGAUUAGAAGAGGAUUAAGGUAACAGAAAAGUUCACAUAAUAGCUUCAUGAUUAAUAUAGCAUUGAAAGCACUAACAUCAUAGUUUUAAUGCUGCAUUUUCUCUUUCUGGUAUGAUUCCAUUGCAUCAAGGCGACGUUGGUCCUAAGCGCCUCCAAUGCCCUCACGAACAUUGGCAGAUCAUGCGCCCUGAGAGCUUCCCCUGCCACCAAUGCCGUUUCCCUCGUUCGUUUGAGCCUCCAAGAUCUUAAACCAUGCGGAAGCUUAAUGCACCAUUUCCUCCUCGGCCAAGGAGGUGUUCUCCUCCGCCUCCCGUUUCAUUCCAUGAACCUAGGUAGUGGCCUCCAAUGCUGUUUCAGAACAAGCGGGAGAUGGAGAGCUAUUGCCCUCGGGAAGGUAGGUGUGGAGGAUGGAGUCGGCGGUGGGCAUGCUAUUUCUUAAGUAUACAUACAUGAUGCAUCAUUGUUGUGUAGGUCCACACUCCUACAGUGGCAUAGGCAUGCACCCAAACGACAAUGGAACCAUACAUUGUUUUUAAAUACUAAAUUGGUGCAUUAUCACGAGGCACCGACACACUGAAACCACUGACGUGUAGAUGCAAUGCAACGAACAUGGACACGGCAAUGUAGAGAGAACAGACAUGAUCCUAGAGAUGGAUAUGGCAUAAGCUUAUUGUGGUAUACCUACGACAGCAUAGAGUGUAGCAAAACGCUCAUCACAACGACAACAACACCUGAGCGACCUUGAGUCCCCGGUAACAGCAACCGAGCGACCAAUGCAGACGCAUGCCACAAGAUGUCAUGAAUACCCCACCUCUAGUAAGCAAGGUGGCAGAAAGGGCAUACAGAAUGACCAUGGUGAUGCACACGAGUGUGACCGUGGUCCUAUAGCCAAGCGAAUACAGAUUUCUUCAGCUCCUCCAUUUCAUCCUCAUCUGCUUGCUCCAUUUUGUAUUGAUCUUACAAUCAACGAAGAAUGGCUGCUAUGGAGGUGGCAGAGCAUCCAAGUUGCCUGCUCCCUUCACAUGCCCAGCCAUCUUCCUACACUUACCAAUAGAACUGUACAAAUGACAAGAAAUGACCACAAACAAUGAUCAAACAUGCAAAUAGUAUGCUGAAGCUAUGAGCUCACCUCUCAUAGGAAGUGGAACCGAGGCCCAACCGGUCACAAUGUGAAAGAUGAAGAGAUGAGUAAAAGUCUUAUGUGGCCACUCCUAUACAUUGAAGCACCAUGUGUGAUCAACAACACGGUGCACCUUCUCGUAGUCACAGGAUUACAGUAUCCGUGAAAAUACGUGGGAUGCUCGGAAUAUAUAGGCUUACAUUGAUCAGCAAUCCCGCCAUAAGUAUAGGGCAGAAUAUGCAGUCUUUCGUUCACACACCUCUCACGAGUAGGCAUGCAAAUUAUUCAGCGUGGUUAGGAUAAAAAGCAAGAAUAUCCUUACAUGCGCAUGAGUUAAAAAAAUAGACGUUGAGCCAAAGAACUGGACGAUAAGACAAGUCCAUGUCCAAUGAUUCUUAAUAUAUACAUACUAAAAUGAGUUGUGUAUAAUCUAUCAGAAUCGCAUAGAUUUUAAUUGUAUAGCAAUAUUUUUUUCCUCCAGCUAUCAAAUUUUGAAAAAGUUCAUUUAUUAUAGUUGGAGAAAGCAGCAGUUCCCCUUUGAUCUUAGCGACAUGAAAUGCAUCUAGGUUCACUGAUACGUGGGCUCGUCUCCCAUCUUUGUUGUAUGCAAGAUGAAACACACCAAGCUUCGUCGAUAAAUGGACACGAUAAGAGCCUAUAAUCCUAUCAGUAACCCCAAAGCAAGUGUUGAUUAAAAAAUUUUCAUUCCACGCCAAGGAACUUGAAAGUGGGAUGUUAAAUUUUGUAUUCCCUCCCCUCCACCCAAAUCAUAAAACAUGACUACUGUAGUGCUGCUCCAAACUUCCGUCUUGUAUUUCCAAAAUCAGCGCUCUCCUCUAGCUGGCUAUAAAGUCCAACUAGAUCCGAGGCGUACCUCAGUGGCCGCGGCAAGUGCCACGGGCGGUGGGCAUCUAGGUGCGAGAUGAUCCGCGACAUUCCUGGAGAAAUCUCAGCUGCCUUGUGGCGGUUGUGGCCAUGUUGGCGCAGCUGAGAAGUUGAACGAUGAUGCCGUGCAAGCACUGGUUGCAUCGCUCGACCUUGCCGCACUGCAUCUUAUUCGAGUUCGACCAGUGAGAAUCUUAUUUCUUUUCUCUAUAGUCCCCCUCCAAUUUUCUAAACCUUGUUUUGAUCAUCGAAGAACACUUUUCUCAAGUUUAUUUCUGUCUAGAGCGGAGCCUAGUUAUGGCUAAAGGCGGCCACAGUACCAAUGCCACUGGAAUAUUUCUCUAGUGAACAAUAAAUUUCAAGGUGUAUUUAGUUAGAUUUGAGAUAUUUCUCUUAGCUUGGCCACUCUAGAUCUCUCUGCAAGGCCGACAUAUGCAUUUAUGUGGUCAUGGUACAUUUUUGUUUAUAUCUAAGACAAUUGUAGCAACUUGAAUAUUGACCAAAUACUUUUUAUGUAGAGCCUAGUUUCAGGUUCCCAUAUUGUUGAAAUUGAAUCACAUGUUGUGGUAUGUAACUAACCAAGUCAUUACCCAGUCCUAGAUUGUUUACUUUAUUUCAAUCUUUGUUCAAGUUUGAAGUUUUACUUUUGCUGGUUCCAUUUGUAGGCUGAAAUAAUGAAAAUAAUCCUUAGGUUGCAGUACCAAAUUCUAGUCCUCAAGGUUUGGAGUCAAAACCAUUUCUUGAUUAUGUGGUCAUGCAGUCAGCCUCAGCGACAAGCUCAAGCUGUGAAGUUUCUUUUGGAGAAAAUGCAGUAUGAGGAGAUUGAGAGUUUGAAGAAAGCAGUAAGAGAAAGUGAAUACUUCCUUCGUCAACUGCUAAACUUUAUAGGGUGAGCUCAAUGUAUUUCCUUUGAAGGCAUUUGCUCAUGUCCUCCCAGCGGCUUAGGCCAACUUUUUUUUGGUGAGAGAGAUAUCACGUGUAGUGGUUUGUGAUAUGUCAUGGAUAAUAUGCUUGUGCUUGUCCUUUGGACAAGAAUAAUAAUGUGUGAAGUGUGAUAAGAAAUAUUAAUUUGUAUGUUUGGUAUGUACCAAUUAUUUGAGCAAUUGAUUGAUACGUAAUAUUAAGUUAGAUUAUAUUUUAAUUAAGCACUACCUAGGCUUUACCCAAAAAUAACUAGGACCAAAAUGGGUUCCGCUAAACCUAAAUCCAUUUUUUGAAAAAAAAAUAAACCUAAAUCCUACCUGAUUAGGACAAAAAAUAUUAGCAUACAUUGGCUCCGCUCAAUAAUUAUUGGACCUAACAAAGUUAUGAUGAAAGCAAAUAUUCGGCCUAAAUCAAGUUAUGGCACAUCAUAUAUUGGGCAUGAUACAACAAGAAUUGUGCAUAAACUAAAUUAUGACCAUAGUAAAUAUUGGGCUUGGUACAAUAAGAACUGGGUUUAUAUCAAGUUAUGAUGAAACAGUUCAUGACAAUUGUCACGCUACAUCGUGCUGUGGUCCAACGUGGCUUGCAUCGUAGGAGUCAGUUUAUGACAUUUCCAAUAACGUUCUGUAAUGGUCAUUAUCUUAGUGACACACGGAAAUAAGGAGCGUCACAAAUCACGGUUUAUGACGCUCGAUUAGUGAAGGACGGUGUUUGUCACACGAGCGUUAUAAAUCAUAACGCAAAAAAUGUGUUUAUGAUACAUUUUGAUUCGUCACUAAUCAGUAAAUCCUUGUAGUGGUUCACAUGAUUAUUACAAUCCUGGUGGAGACACGCCAUAAAAGUUACUUACACACGAGGAACGUUUGGGUGUUUGACAUGCCUUAGCGUUUGGGAGUUAAUAUAAGACACAUAAUUUAUACUGGUUCAGGGCUGUUAGGCAAGUUUAGGAAUUUCUAAAUCAGAUGGAUCAAAUCAGAUUUCUACACUUUAACCUCCAUAAGGUUAGUUUCAUUACAAUACAUUCAAAAGGGGAAAUGUAAAAAGCUAAUUGAAUUUUGAGUUGUAGUAAAACUAGGCUUUUCAGCUUCCGGUGUAAGAAUUAGAUUAGAUUUGGAACUUUUCAAAGUUUAGAUAUAUAUUUAGAAAAACCACAUAGCGUAACAGAUUCAUACUGCUAUGAUUUUGAAAUUUAGAGCCAUCUGAUACGUUGUUUCCAUAAGCACUUGUGCAAAAAAAAAAUCAUCCUAGUACGAUGCAUCCUGCAUAUUGAUAAACUUGCCACUUGUACACUUGUUUCACCCUAGCUAGUUGACGUGUCUAAUCCCUUUACAACAACACAUUGCCUUCCUAUAGUACGUCACAGUCGAAUGAAGAUGUUUAAAUAUUGAGUUGACCGUGUAAUUAAUUGGAAGUUGCAUUGUGGGGACUCAGACACAAUGGUCACCAGACAGCCACCAGACUUCGAGAAAGGUUGACGGGAGGUUCCGAGCGGUGGAGGAUCACCUUAUGUGCUGAUUCGAAUAGAAAUUGGAUCGUUGCAAGUGUGCGACCGAUGCGCCUGCAGCAUCUCAGCUAGUCAACGAACCUAUAGCGCGACACCUUCGGGUUUGUCCACGACACGGCAACAUGGCUGCGCGCGCGAAAGAGAACUUUCUGUGCCAGGCUGACAGAGAUGAGGCAUCAUCAUUCACAGCAGGGUUGCGUCUAGCUUGGUGAAGAGACCGUAUAAAAAUGCUAUCUCCACGCGAGGUUCGGCCGCCUGAUCCCACGUUCUGCGUUGCACACAUGUUCGGAGAGCUCCAUCGUGGCAGCCGCAUGGACGCCGAGGCCGGCAAUCCGGCGACGCCGCCGUCUGGGUCCGACAGCGGCAGCGGCCGUGGACACUCGUGGGAGUACAGCCUCCGCAAGUACCUCCUGCUGCUGGCCACGCUGGUGGCCACGGUGACCUACACCGCCGGGUUCAACCCUCCAGGCGGCGUCUGGCAGGACGCCGACCCGACCAGCGGCCGCAUCGCCGGGGACCCCAUCAUCCGGGACACCAUGCGCGCACGCUACCUGGUCUUCUUCUACAGCAACGCCACCGCCUUUGCCUCAUCGCUGGUGGUGAUCGUCCUCAUCCUCAUCCUUUCCGUCCUGCACGACAAGCGGAGGAUCCGCCUGCCACCACUGCUCGCCGUCCUCCGGUUCUUCAUGGUGCUAGACCUGCUCAGCCUCAUGGCCGCCUACGCCGCGGGCACGUUCCGAGACGUGCUCACGGCCGUCUACUCCUUGCUCCUGCUGACCGGCGUCGUCGUCUACCUUGUGGUCCACUUGGUGCUCGCCUGGCGGCUUACGAGGAAGGACGGCGUCGCAACCGUCGCAACCGCGCCGGAAGACAGCGCGCUUCUGAGGCUUCGCAAGGUGCUGAUGCUGCUGGCCACGUUCGCGGUGAGCGUCACAUACGUGGCCGGGCUCAGCGCGCCGGGCGACUUCUGGGACAACGAAGAGAAUGGCCAUAAGCCUGGCGACGCGAUUCUCAAGGGAGGACCCCACGACGCGCGCCUCAAAGCCUUCUUCGUAUGCAACACCACGGCGUUCGUCGCGUCCCUGCUCAUCCUCAUCAUGCUACUGCAGAAGAAGCUAUGCUUCAGCAAGAAGGUGCGGUCCUACGAGCUCUACGGCUUCAUCGCCAUCACGCUCCUUGGUCUCGUGGCAGCAUACUCCGCCGGCAGCUGCCGGGAGAUUGACACUACGGUCUAUGUCAACGCCCUUAUCGGUGCUGUUGUUUUGUGCAUUAUUGUUCAAGUGAUUAUUGUGAAAUAUGUCAGCGAGACCUGCUGGUGGGGGCAGUUAAAGGACAUCUAUAGAAGAAUGUCAACAUGGCUGCGAGAAAUAAGAGCAUCUGGUGGUUUGGAGGAACAAACUCAAGGUCCACAACCUAGCCGUGCAAGCGCCAGGUACAGAGCACAGACCAAUCCUAGCUCGUCUUCUUCUGCAAACAUGGCAACACCAUAAUGCAAUUCAAUUCGUUUCAAAAUCUUAAUUUUUUUAAAAAAAUACAAAGCGAUUCAACUGGAUCUGUGUUCACUGUAAUAUGAUAGUGAUCAGCAAGGGAACCUACAAAGUCGUACGCUGGAGAAGGCUCGCUCUCUGGUCCUGUUGCUCGCCACUCUUGCAGCAGCCAUCACCUACCAAGCAGGGCUGGACCCGUCUGGUGGCCUGUGGCAGGACGACGACUCUGAGGCCGGGCACAUAGCCGGUGACCCGAUUCUCUUAACCGCAAAUCCCAGGCGGUACAAAACGUUCUUCUACUGCAACUCAGUCGCCUUCGUGGCCUCCCUGGUGGCCAUCGUCCUCGUCCGGAUGAAGACCCUGCACCAUCACAACGCGCUGGAGGCCGCCAUGGUACUGGACCUGUUUGGCCUCAUCGGAGCGUAUGCCGCUGGAAGCUGCCGGGAUGUGGGCACUUCCAUCUACGCCAUAGCCCUGGCAGGCGUAGUCCUGGUCUACGUGGUGAUCCAUGUCGUCUUCUUAACGUUGGACCACAGUAAUCGUCGGAUUGGGGACGAUGAGGUUGUGGAGAAGAGGCGCAAGCGACUGCUCCUCUUCGCCAUCUUGGCAGCCACUAUCACCUACCAAGCCGGGCUGACUCCACCAAGUGGCUUCCUGCAGAAGGACUACGAGUCUGGGCACCACGCAGGCGACCCAGUCCUGCUCUACAACGACCCACGCCGUUACAAGGCCUUCUUCUACUGCAACUCGGUGAGCUUCAUGCUGUCCAUCGCCCUUAUCAUCCUCCUGGUGAACCCAAACCUGUACAGACCAGCGAUCGGAAGCAAUGCGCUGUCUGUCUGCACGGCGGCAGGCAUGUUUGGUCUCAUAGGUCCCUACGCUGCUGGCAGCACACAGCAUCUGAAGACAUCGAUCUAUAUCUUCGCAUUGGCGCCUUUGGUUCUCUCCUUUGUGAUUGUGCUGGUUGCAGUGUUUGCGAUGAUCUAUAGAAAACAGGAGGACGAAGCUAACAACUGGAACAACGUCAUUACCAACAACAUAGCUGAUGAGUCACCCCAGGAUGGCGUUGCUCACUUCCAAGUUACUGCAGCACAGACCCCUGAGACAAUAGAUGAAGAAAAAUUGUUACACGCCAAGCGCAAGUAUCUGAUGCUCCUAGGGAUCCUGGUGGCGAGCGUCACCUACCAGGCUGGCCUGGAACCACCGGGAGCAGUUUGGCAGGGCGGGCCUGACGCGGGCGACCCAGUGAUGCACGACAACCAGAGGCCCCGGUACCUGGCCUUCUUCUACUGCAACUCCACCUCCUUCGUGGCGUCCAUCGUGGUCAUCAUCCUUCUCCUGCCUGAGUGGCUGCACAAGGAGAAGUGGUGGCUCCGAGUAAUGAACACGACGAUCGUGUUGGACCUGCUCGGCCUCCUGAUCGCCUAUGCUGCCGGCUCCAGCAGGUCGUGGAAGACCACCGGGUAUGUUUCCGCGCUCGUCAUCGCCGUGCUGGCCUAUUCUGCAGUCCAUGUGUUGCUGUCUUGCUUGAGCAGGAGACGUGCAUUUCCAGCAGCCGUCUCUGCAUCUCACUGUAAUGAAGAAGGAAACGGUGCAAGCUGAACCGUUUCCUCCCAAAAAAAAGAAGAAAAAAGUUGCUAUAGUCAACAGUUCCGCGUACGUCCGUUCUUCUAGUUUCUUUCUGUCACACUUUCAUAUUUGCACUGCAAUCGUUUGUGAUGAGUACUGCAAAACUGACAAAUAUAAUGUAUGUUUAAGAUUUGUAUUGCAAAUAGUUUGUGUAUUAUCUAUGAGAUUGGAAGGGCAUCACAUAUUUACAAGGAUUUUUCUGUGGUUUGAUGUUAAAAAAUUAGGCCAUUGCAAUAUUAAAUUCUGAGUUAAAUAAAUCUUGACAAUAGCAAAUCCUACCGUGUAAUUCUUUAACAUAUUAGGCAAUGGAAAAGUCAACCAUGAUUAAAGAUCGGAUCAGAUGGCGCAUGUACCGAGCACUUGCAAACCAGAAAGCCGUGGCUAGUGCAGAUGCUUUUUUCUAACAGGUCGUAGAAGACGACAAUGAAGACGGUGGUACUUCACGAUGGUCGACAUAACGGGAAAACGAGCUAGGGUGAAACGCUUCCAAAAAUCUUAUUUGUCCUUUCCUGGUGCUCAAAGGUGAAUAAUUCUGAAGACAUGCUCUCUUAUUUACUUGUCAUACCGGCGCUUGGUAUUUAAGUACACUAUGGUGGUGAAAAGAUAGAACCCUAACUUGAAUAUAUGUAUUUCUAGCCAACAAAUUGUAUAUAUAUAGGGAAUUCAUACGGUCUCAUGUCACAAUCUAAACCAAUUAGAUUUCCAAAUCUCGUUGACAUGUAGGCUAGAUCUCAAAAAGUAAAGUUGCAAAAGAAAAAUCGUGCCACGCAAGGCGAGGGGUUGAAUUCCUGUGGACCAUUCAUGUAGGACCGUGAGGGGUUGAAUUCCGGUGGACCAUUCAUGUAGGACGUGUGCCUGCACCCUUCCCCACCUUGAUCCGGUGAGCGUGUGUAAGAUCCAGCUAACGUACGGCUGUCCGUAAUUUAGACUGGCCGCACGGCAGCUCCUUUUACGGCAACUAGAAUCGUAAGCUUUUUGUCCGCUUCCUAGUUUUGGAAGAGAAACUAUCACUGCAGCCAGGGGCGGAUCUAGGGCCCAGGCUGCCCGGGCUGCUGCCCGGGGCGAGCCCAUGUAGUCCUUUAACAUAUGUGGUAUUUAGCCUAACAAAAGGAGGUUUAUGAGGCAAGAUUAGACUAUUUUGGCUGUGAUUAGCAACUUAGCCCGGGGUGCAGCCAUGUUUUGGAUCCGCCCCUGACUGCAGCCAUUUCUGCGCAGUGCGCACCCAAAAGAUCAUAUUGCUGCACAGGCGGUGCCCAGCGGACCAACACGAGUUUUAUCGCCAGGCCUCUGUUCAGAAACAAUAAAAGCUCAUGCAAUUUUCUACAUAAUGUACAUAUGAUUCAAAACUAUAAGCAAUUUGAUUUAUAAUAGGCUAUUUACAUAAAUGGAUUUGCCUCCCCCUCCCCUAAAUCUAAUAGUACAACAUCACAGGUUCCUUUUAUAACUCCUCAGUUCCUUUCAUGACCUGCCAUACAAUGAGAAAAAAGAGAAUUAAAUCAGCUAGCAAGUAGCACAUAAUAAAAAUGCAAAACAAUAAAAAAUUAAUUGGAUGAGGUGAAGAUCUUGUGUAUCCUAAUAAUCAAAGGAUCCACUCCAAAAAUAAAAAAGUAAUAGAAAUUGCCUAGGCAAAUGCAUUAUUUUCUUGUUCAUAGCAAAAAACUUCCUAACAAAAAAUAUUGAUUUGCCUAACUAAUAACAGUGAUUUGACUAAGAAUAAUACUUUGACUAAUUGAGAAGAGUAAUUUGCCUAACCAAAAAUAGCACUGUUAACUGAGAACAAACGCAUGAGAAAGCUACUUUCAAUAGUCUGAUAACAUUUUGAUAAUCCAGUGGUUAUGAUAAUAAAUCCAGUGAGUACAGACUUCCCCCUUCUAGUAUUGUAUGGAUGCAAUAUUCAUAAUGUUUCCUUUUGCUAUUCAUAAGGCAUGUUUCUAGACAUUAUUGUAGCAGAGAACUCAUGUACAAUCAACAUUUCUAGAAUUAUAAUCCAAGCUCAUUUUUAGCUACUUGGUCAUCUACAAUAUGAACCUAUGCACUGCUGAAGAAAUAGAGUCACCGACCUUUUUGUGGUACUUGAACACAGUGCAAUGCUGCAAUCAUUUUUGGGAAUGCCUGGUAACAGCAAUAGGAGAAAAAGGUGAAAUGGAUCAGAAAAAUAUAUUUGAUAGGAUCAUAAAAACACAUAAGAGAGAAAGGGGGGGGGGGGGGUGUGAGAGAGACGAAACUAUUGGAUGCAAUAAGGUCUCUGGAGUUAAGAAGCAGUAAGAAAUGAGCAGGGAAAACACAGCAACAGCAAAAAGGAAAUGAAGAAAGAUGAUUAGAUUUAUAGUGCAGCUCUAAUAAUAGAAGAAAAAGGAAGAAAUCCAAACAUCAUUGACAUGAACAAAUCCCAUGCCAUUGCUAUAGAUCCACCUGAAUUUUAAAAUAAAAUGCUUGAUCAUGUACAUAAGAAUUUUUAUUGCCUUAUGAAGUAUACUAUUCUGCCUAUUUCAGAGCCAUAUAAUUGCCUAAUCAUAACCAUAUUAUUGCCUUAUCAGUAAUACUAGUGCAAAGUACAGUCAAUGUGUUUCAGAACCAUGUUAUUGCCUACCUAAGAACCAUAUAUUGCUUAAUUUCUGCCCAUAUAAUUGCCUAAUGGAGUUGGAAUAUGUACUCCUAGGUUGACUGCACAUCGCAUUAACUUCACUACAGGAAACAGAACCUUUGCCGAGUGCCCGGGGCACUCGGCAAAGGCCUUAAAACACUCGGCAAAGGCUUUGCCGAGUGUAACACUCGGCAAAGCGCACACGGCAAACUUUGUGUCGGCAAAGACUAGUUUGCCGAGUGUCAAAACUCGAGCACUCGGCAAACAUUUUGCCGACGGCCUUUUUACACUCGGCGAAAAGAUGUACUCGGCGAAAUGCGGGAUGACGGCGUCGGGGUAACGGCGGGUUUGCCGAGUGCCAGACGGGAGGCACUCGGCAAACACCGGGUCUUUGCCUAGUGGCAACACUCGGCAAAGCCGGACCUUUGCCGAGUGUCAUCNNNNNNNNNNNNNNNNNNNNNNNNNNNNNNNNNNNNNNNNNNNNNNNNNNNNNNNNNNNNNNNNNNNNNNNNNNNNNNNNNNNNNNNNNNNNNNNNNNNNUGAGGUUGUACCACAGGCAUACACUGCAGAUCAACUUUCCCAUCUCGUGCCAUAGGCAGGGCAAUGACAAGAAGCACAUGCUUAUCGAGUGGACCUUGGGCAUGAGUUCCCGGUGCUCCUGUUCCGGUCUAGAACGUACAACGCUAGCCAGCGGCAUUUCCCCUAUAAAACAAUAUAUGUUUUUGUAUGCCAGUACUCUAGUAAUAACAGAACAAUUUGAUGCCUAAACACAGAUGCGUGUUUACAAGAAACCAUGGCAAUAUAUACAGAGUUGCGCGAUAUCCUAUCUAUAUAAAUGUAAAAAUGUGUACAUCCACUAGGCACUCGGCAAACCCGGCCCCCUUUGCCAUGUGCCGGGUCCCAGGCACUCGGCAAAGCCGGCCCCCUUUGCCGUGUGCCGGGUCCCAGGCACUCGGCAAACCCGGCCCCCUUUGCCGUGUGCCGGGCCCCAGGCACUCGGCAAAGCCGGCCCCUUUGCCGAGUGCCUUGACCCUAGCACUCGGCAAAGUUACCUUUCCUGCACCUGGGAACCCCCCCUUUGCCGAGUGUUAAGUCCAAAACACUCAACAAAGGCCCCUCUUUGCCGAGUGUUACACUCGGCAAAGUGACCAGAACCCCCCCUUUUUCGACAUUUUGCCACGUAUAACGGACCCCUCUCAAUUCACAAUACACAUAUCACAGGCAUUUGUAAUAAACAACCACAUGGAUAAUUCACAACCACAGGCAUAAUUCAUAAACACCACAGGCAUAGUUCAACAUAAGCACGAAAUAAUCCAUAAAUCCAAGUUCUUCUCACAAUUUAGUUUCCACAUUGUUCACAACCAAGUCUACUUCCGUGGAGGCCAAGGAGACCACUGUGACAAAUCUUGAUCUUCAUUAUUCGAAGCCGCCGAUUGAUUCUGCACAUAGGAUAGGACAUUCUGAGGUAACAUCUAAAGUUGUCAAAUUUAAACUAUUGAAUCUUAAGCACAAUGUGUCAAGUGACUCACAGGAGUAGUCGUGGGUGGCUGAGGCGGAGGGAACAUCAUCGGCGGUAGCGGAGGCAAAGACUGACCCAUGCUCGAAGCAAAGUUCUGCAUGUACUGGAACAUCUGCUCCAUCCUAAUCCGGUUUUCCUCCUCCAUCCUCCGCCGCAUUUCCUCCAUCUGCACCGCCAUCUCCUCUUGUUUCUUCCUUGAUUCUUCCACCUGGGCCUACAAUAUUUCAUUGCAAUGUUAUAAUGCAAAGCUAAAGUAUAACAACAAACGAACGAUGAAUGGAAGAGAAAGAACCUGUAGAGCCUCCAUCUGGAACUGUGCAGCGGUGGGUCGUGGGCGUACCGCCGGGCUCAAGUCCAUGCUCCUAGCUCGGAUCUGGGAGAGAGUGGGAGUAGAGGCCGUGUCGAUGACGCCGUCGCCAAUCCAAUAUCGGCCAUGCUUCUUGCCUCCUCCCACCCUCAUCACGGUUUCUCCAUCAAUGUCCUCGGGGCAGCGUCGGGCCGGGGCGGCGUCGGGCGGCGCGGGCGGCGUCGGGGCGGGCCGUGCGGGGCGGGGCGGCGCGGGCGGCGCGGGCGGCCGGGGGGGCGUGCGGUGCGGGCGGUCAGCGGGGCGGGCGGCCGGGGCGGCGCGUGCGUGUAUGUGUGGUUGUGUGCGUGAGGACUUAGCGGAUUGGAUGGACAUUCGAAACCUUUGCCAAGUGCCCUUGAUCUAGCACCCGGCACACCCUUUGCCGAGUGCUAGAUCAGGGGCACUCGGCAAAGUGUAUUUUUUCCACAAAUUGCGUACUAACGCUGUCACGUGGACCCGGGGUAAUUUUGCCGAGUGCCCUACGGAUGACACUCGGCAAACAAUGUGUUUGCCGAGUGCCCUGGGGAUGACACUCGGCAAACAAUGUGUUUGCCGAGUGCCCUACUGCGACACUCGGCAAAAACGUACCUAUAUUGCAUGUGCAACAACACUUUUAGUACUUAAAAGUAUGUAAACUUUGUGUAAACCUAGUCAAAUUCACUAAACAUUGCGUAUUCCAUUUUUUAAGUAAUAUUGUUCCAUUAUUUCAUGGAUUUAUAGCUCAUAUUUAAUUUAUAUCUAUUAAAUUCAUAUACGUACAAUUAAUGAAUAAAAAUUACCAAACGGAUCUGAAAAAUUCCCAAAAUUUGACAUGAACCAAUCUAUGUUCUCUAUAGCCUAUAAAAAAAAUUUGGACUCAAUGAGAAUUACAUUUAUCGAUUCAUCUCAAAAUCUUACCGGAUCCUUCCAACUUCUACGAAUCCUCUCCGGAGAUGCUUCGAAUUCUAAACAUCAUAUGUCAAAACUUGUGCGAAACCUUGUCAAUUUUUUACCACAGCCUCUACAUAUGAAAUCAUAGCAUCUUGCAAAAUCUCAUGAUUUUCAAGCCUCGUUUGUAUUUUUGAGAAUUAAACAAUCAUUUCGCCACACGUUCGUAGUCGUGUUUCCUUAGCAAAAUGUUCGAAAUUCCUUUUCAUUUUCUGGGUGAGACCUCAAUUUGGACUCACUAACAUGAAUAUGAUUUUUCCACUCAUAUUAUUCCAUUAUUCCAAUCACCUGCAGUUCAAAUUUGCCUUAAAUCAAAAAAUUACUCUAAAUGAAAUUAAUUGAUUAAAUAUAGCAAACAGGUCAAAAAAUAGUCCACCUUCUACCAUGCAGUGCCAAAUACCAUACAUGUAGAGUGUAAAAAGUUUGGAGGGUGGAGGAGGGAAAAAAAUUAUUUUUGCCGAGUGUGUCAAAAGACACUCGGCAAACCCUAUAGUAUGCCGAGUGUGCCCCCUAGCACUUGGCAUACUAGUGGCUUUGCCGAGUGUCCCAUCACGACACUCGGCAAACUAAUGGCUUUGCCGAGUGCCCCCCGUAGACACUCGGCAAAGCCUAACGUCCGUCACGGAGUCGCGACGGCGGCGGCACGGGGAAGUCACGUGCUCGUCAGUUUGCCGAGUGUCCAACUUUGCCGAGUGCCUUGUGGGUGUUUGCCGAGUGUUUUUUUGGCGGCACUCGGCAAACCGGUCCUUCGCCGAGUGUAUUAUGUUUGCCGAGUGUUUUUGGUAUUGCACUCAGCAAACCGGUUCUUUGCCGAGUGCCUGAAAAAAUACACUCGGCGAAGUAAUUACACUCGGCGACUUUGAGGUUUCCCGUAGUGCUUCCAUGUGGCGCAAACUAAAAAAACAGUUCAGAUCAUCCUGAAGAACUAGCUUCUCUGUCUAAAAUACCAGUGCUAGUAGUUGGAUGUGACCUACUACUAAAGGCAGCCAAUCGAAAUCAUAUAAAAAUGUGAUUACAUAUCUCUAGUUUCUAGCUUCUUAAUAUUGGUAAUUUACCUUAGCAAUUACAAUAAGCAACUUUUAGGGACCUCAUAAGCAAAGUUUUGAAAAACUGUAAGAAAAUUAGAGCAUAGACAAUAGCAUUAUAUUUUUGACCCCAUGAAGAAACCAUUAUCUUUCACGAAAACAAGUCUUAAUAUUGGUAAAUUUGACUAGCACAAUAGAUAAUGGCCCCACUUAAUCGAAAGCAUGUAAAUGUCACAUAUAGAAAUCCGGAUGGCCUGAUCCUAAGCUAAGCACGAAGUGAUCUAAUAUGAUCUGCUGACUGGAAGGCAAGAGAUAAUUAACUUGGAAAGCCUAAAAAGAAAGGGACAAGUCAAUUUAUAGCUAUAGUAUUGCAUGGCUAUAACAUUAUAACAUAAUAAGCAUAUAAGGACCUUUCUUUUGAGGCGUAGAGGGGGGCUUAGAAAAGGCUUCUAGUAUGAAAUACAGCAGGCACACAUUGAUCAAAAAAAUGUGUGGGGACCUCCCUCCGGGAGUCCCGCUGAUCACCUGUAUUAGUUCCUGGAUCAGUCAUCAUCACAGUUCAGUAUUUGAAGCAAUAAAAAGACGUACAAUUUAAUAUGAAAAGGUUUUCACCUUAGUGCAGCGAAGUGGUACCCAUCCACUAACAAAAUGGUCUAAACACUUGGAUACAUGUAUGAUGAAAGCAAGACUGAGUACACUUAUGGUUGGUACCCAUAGAUUAAAUGCAAUAUGGGAGGUGGUAUAUUAAAUGCAAUAUGGGAGGUGGUAUAUUAAAUGCAAUAUGGGAGGUGGUAUAGGAAUAUGGUUGAGAGGCAAAACCUAUACCUAAAACAUCUCACAAAUGCAAAGUGGAUUUAAAAAGGUGAGUUUUAUAAAGACUAAGAUAUUAUUAUUAUAUUAUAUAAUGAAAGUUGUGGUCCUGGAGGGGGAACUGCCUCCCAUCCUAGUCCCCAGAUUUUAAUUCUAGAAUCGGAAACUGCCUCCCAUCCCAGUCCCCAGAUUUUAAUUCUGGAAUCCGGUCCACGACCUUCAUCCGGCAUUAUCAUCACACUAAUUCCCACCCAAAGAUUAAUCAUGGAAGCUUUAACAAAGUGGGCUCGUAACCGUGAGCCUUGGCUAUCAAUAGAUCAAAACUCUGCGCAGAGGUGUAUACAUCCAUACAUUCAAUCAGUCCAUACCUUGUUCUUAGGCGGCACUGACCUACGAGACCCAUGCCCGCUCGCGUCUAUCUCUAGACAGCAUUCUCUAGGUCCAUCCACGGAUAUACUGGGUCUAAACAGGGGUCACUAACCAUCCGCUAUGCGGAUCCAAUCCCUGGAAAUGUGCACAAAUACUGGUAGAAAACUCGACAUUAGUCCUGGUUGGUAGGCCUCAAAUCUCUCUAAAAAAUAUCUAGGAUAAAAUUUUCGAGACAAAAGGGAGGUUCUUUAGUCCCCGGACGUUCAACCGGGAUUAAAGUUCCCUUUAGUCCCGGUUAAAAGGGGCUGCCACGCCAAGCGUGGCACGGGCCCCUUUAGUCCUGAUUGGUUUUUCCAACAGGGACUAAAGGGCAUCCACGCAUGCGCCUGCAUACUCACCUGCAUGGCACAUGCAAGAACCCCUUUAGUUACCCUUUAGUACUUAAGACUUUUUUUUAUAAUGAAAUCAAACUAGUGUUUAUACAAAUCAAACUAGUAUUUAUAAAAUUACUAUAUAUACAAUUCAUAGUAUACUAUACAAUUCUUAGCAUAUUAUACAAAUCAAACUAGUAUACAUAUAAUUGCUAUAUAUACAAAAAUUUGUCCCAAUCAUUCCUAGGAUCCUCGCGUCGAGGUGUUGUGAUAGAGUCGGAGUGCCCGAUCUUUCGGUGAGUGGAGAUAAAUUCGACUUGGUGGAAGUAGACCCUCACGAUCCGACUACGACGAGCGAACCCGAAGCGCCAAUGCAAUCGCUGAACCAACUCCCGAUGGUUACCAACCUCGCCGGUGCGAGAUCAGCCUGAUCACGAAGAUCGAUUCCUGUCCGCAAUCGAAGAACGAACAAGAAAGAGAGGCGAGCAAUCUAAAUAUCACUCGAAGGUGGAGUUCUGAAUCACAAGGACAGCGCGUAUUUGCGCGUGUUCAAGAGUAGCUAAAGCUAGAUGUAAAACAAAACUCAAGUCGUAAACAAAAAGGACUCGGACUAAAUAAAGGGGGCGCAGCCCCUGGAGUCCGAAGGGGUCACGGCGCCCAACCCUAGGCGCCCCACCUGGGCUGCCCUGUUGGGCCAUCUUCUUAUUCCGAUGGGCCUUCGUUCCUUAACAGCAUGAUGAAGUUUAAUUCUCUCGCACGGGCUCGAGUGAUUGGCCCAACUGGAUGAGCAACUGUAGGCGCCUGAGGUGGAGGAGCAACUGGAGGCGCCUGAGGUGCUGCUGGUGUAGAUGUACUCGUGGUGUCCUCAUCAUGUUGCUUGGUGCAUCUAAUGCUUGUCCGUUGUAAUGAAAUUCUCCUUGUGGAUUUAUCACCUCGUCCACCAGGAAUCCUACAAGACCUUCACAUAUUGCCCCUACCCUGUCCUUCUCCAAGAUGCUAUGUGGAAUACUCAACAUCUAUAAUUUUAAAAUAUAAGGAGCUAGAAAAUAAUUAACUAUUAAUAGUUUUAUUUUAGUUACUUUGAUCUCAUGCGGCGGCGUCAUGCCCUUGGGUCCCACAAAACUAUACAGGUGCUCACAGACAUAGUAUCCAUAUAAAUUAUUCGCAGGUUCUUGUCUUAAGCACUUCAGUGGGAAAAAAUAAGUUAUGAAAUAUUCGUGUUAUAGAAUGUACAAAAUGUGCAACCUUCAUACGUACCAGGAAGUCUAUUUUGAAUGUAAGUUUUUCAUUGAAUGAACCUUUGUGUUUCUUGAGGAAUUGUUUCUAUGUGCUGCGGAUUAAAAUAAUGAAUGAUACACUGUUAGGUGAAAAUUUAGAAAACAAACUUUUGCAUAGAGAUAAAGGUCCAGAGAUAUUACAAGUUUAGGAUGUCUUCAAUGUCUUUGUAGUCCAUCGGUGGUUUCCUCAACGAAUCAAACACAGUGAUGUGGUUUCUAUCAGUCUCAAUUAUUAGGAGGAUCCAGUGAAAACCGCGUACGUAAAUGUUCAUAUUAGUGCUAACUAACAUUAAUCAGGUAAGGAAAAAGAAAAUAAAAAUAGACGGUACCCACCCUUACUCAAAGUUGUAUGGCAGUAGUAUGUAAGUCUUGUAAUGUUGUUUGUCCAUGAAAUUGUAUACCGCCUCCAAUGUUUUUUUUAGCUGCUCCCGUAUUUGCUUUUGGUUAACUAGGGAUGGAUCCAUGAAGCCAAUAUGAAAGUACGCUUCUCUAUGGCACGUCUGAAUUAGCAUCCUACAUAAAAUGGAAGAUGAAGUUAGUAGGGCGACAAAAAAAAUGAUAUGAGCCAAAAUUUACAUAUAGAUAAACAGACACUUACGGAACCCAGGCGCUGAUGAGAGAGAUGUCAAGGGCAUCCUGAUGCUACACUUCAUAUAUAUCCUUGAAUUCCAUCCACAGGACUUUCUUGCCCUCAUCGAAAAAAUCUAUCGGUUUUACCUGAAGACCAAACAUUUCCCUCUCAUCGGCAGACUGCUUCAUGUACCAUUCAUGGAAUUUGUACAUCUUCGUGGAUAGCUUCCGUACCAACUCAAGCCUUACUAGAGGCUUGCCUAGCUCAAAGGUCCAAUCUGGUACAACUGGCUCUAGAGCUGGCAUAUCAACAUGCCCUAGACAUUCAGCAAGGGACAUACCUAUUUCCUGCAUGAAUUUCAUGAUAUGUAUUUGCUGAUCCAAGGGCAUUGCUGCUAUAUUUUUAGCAUCAUUUUCUGGUAGAUCCCCGAGGUGGGGGACAAUACCACUUGAAGACGGCUUUACUUUCCUUUUUUUCCUCUCAUGAGCCUUGACUAACGCCCGGUCAUAGUUCGAUAGUUGUGGCAUCGUCUUCUUGGCUCCUUUUGAUAUCUUAAUAAAAAAUUGUAAUUUUCUUGGAUCUACUGGUGGGUAAUUUUCUUCGAUAAUUGUAAUUGAUAUCUUCUUUGACUGCCUCCCAUCUUUUUGCAUUGGUCAUAUCGGUCGCUGGCUUCUUAGUGGGUUAAGCCUUCUUUGCUUUCUUCUUUUGCUAACUUGGAUUGGAAGGCAGUGGUCUUACUCCCGACGACGGUUCCUUACUCGAUGCAGGUCUUAGUCCCGGCGACGAUGAUCGAGGAGGGGUGUUGUUGUCGUCGUCGUUGCUCGCACCACCAGGAUGUGUUGGAGAUGGAGACGGUGAUCGAGCAGGAAGCGACGGUCCCGGUGAUGACGACGGUCCUGGAGUAGGAUGUGCUGGAGAUGACGGUCUUGAGCUUUGAGGAGAUGGUCGCUGAGAGGGAUCUACGGGGAGCAGUGAUGCCUCCGUGCCGGGGAUGAUGAUGUAGGGUUUGCGCCAUAGAAUGAUCCCGUGAAGCGCAUCUCCUAGUGUCCUUUCCCCGUUGUCUCCUGGGAGGUCGAGCUCUAGGCCUUCAUAUUGCCUAUCAAUGAGCUGCUCUAGGCCGACGCUGGCAUAACCAGGUGAAAUCUCCAUGCCAUGUCUUGUCUGUCCUGGCAGGAUUAGUAAGGCACUCCCGUACGCCACCUGUACAUAUAGCAGAAAUAAAGAAGUUAUUAAACUCCCAAGGCGUGGAUCGAUUGAGAAGAUUGUAUAAAAUAUGUAUACGUAUACCUUAAUGGUGAUGUUGCCGAACGGUCUAUGCAGCUCACAUGAGGUGUGUUGCGUGAUGACAUCCACAGGGUAUCGUUGGUCGUCCAUAGGUAAUCUUGGCAUCUGCUCAUCGAGGAUCCCUGUGGAAGCACAGCUGCUCCCGAGGUGUUGAGAAGGACUGCUAGGGCCACUUGACGAUUGGUUUGGAUACACAAGGCAUGAACAAAAGUAUACACAAGGCAUGAACCAUUUUGGAUCAGAUCAGAGGUGAACAAGAGGACCCCCAUGAAAACCAAGGUUAUGCCGGACGAAGCCUCAUCAAGAUCUUCACCAAGGAAAAAUCCUGCAACGGGGAGGAAAGGCGAUGAUGAAGAGAUGCAGAAGAACAUUUUGUUUGUACUUCAUGAGCUCCAUCAUUACUAUGUUGUUUCAACUAUUUGGUUUGUACAGUGGUGUAACCUAAUCCUAACUAUUCUAAUCUCUUACACCUACAAUUUUUUUACCUUAAUUUUAUUGCAAUGACUAAAUAUUAACAACACAUUUACUCUAUUUUUUCUCAUACCUAAUAUUGAUCAAGUUCUUUUAACUAAUACGAAUCAUAUAUAACAAGCUAGUUAUCCAUCAGAUUCUAGCUCAAAAACAUGUAUAAAUAAAAAUCCUCUCCAUUCUCCCUCAUUCUAAAAAACUCAUUUUUCUCCCUCUCUAAAGCAUAAAACAAAGCAUAAUAACAAUAAAUGAAGGGACGAUGAAGUAGCUAACCUUCACAAUACUUUGGAUGAGUGAAAUCUCCACGGAAUUGAGGAAAAAAAAUUCGAGCAACACCUCCCAUAGGGUUGAAGCAUCACCAUGGAGAGGAGGCCGAAUGUCUCCGGUGGAGUGGAGUGGCUCGGGCUAGAGGAGGAAGAAGAGCUCUUUGACUGGUGAUUUUAUAUGGGAGGAGAUUUUGUCCCGGUUGGAAAUUCGAACCGGGAUAAAAUACAACCCCUUUUAUCCCGGUUGGUGGUUUAGUCACGGUUGGAAGCAUUACUUGUGGCCCAAAAAGUUUGUUAUCCAUUCUGAUCAUGAAUCUUUGAAGGAUAUUUGUAGUCAAGGAAAAAUGAAUUGUAGACAUGCCAAGUGCGUUGAAUUUAUUGAAUCUUUUCUUUAUAUUAUUAAGCUGAAGAAAGGGAAAGAGAAUAUUAUUGCUGAUGCUUUGUCUAGGAGGCAUACCUUGCUGAAUCAACUUGAUUACAAAAUCUUUGGAUUACAAAUAAUUAAAGACUAAUAUGUUCAUGAUGCUAAUUUUAAAGAUGUGUUGCUACAUUGUAAAGAUGGGAAAGGAUGGAACAAAUUCAUCAUUAGUGAUGGGUUUGUGUUUAGAGCUAACAAGCUAUGUAUUCCAGCUAGCUCUGUUUAUUUGUUGUUGCUGCAGGAAGCACAUGGAGGUGUCUUAAUGGGGUAUUUGGAGCAAAGAAAACGGAGGACAUACUUGCUGGUCAUUUCUUUUGGCCACAGAUGAGAAGAGAUGUGGAGAGAUUUGUUGCUCAUUGCACGACAUGUCAAAAGGCUAAUUCAAGGUUAAAUCCACAUGAUUUGUAUUUUCCUCUACCAGUUCUUUUUGCUCUUUGGGAAGAUAUUUCUAUGGAUUUUGUGUUGGGAUUGCCAAGGACUAGGAGGGUAAGUGAUAGUGUGUUUAUGGUUGUUGAUAGAGUUUCUAAGAUGGCACAUUUCAUACUAUGUCAUAAAAUUGAUGAUGCUACUCAUAUUGCUGAUUUGUUCUUUCGAGAAAUUAUUCGUUUGCAUGGUGUGCCCAACACAAUUGUUUCUGAUCAUGAUGCCAAAUUUCUUAGUCAUUUUUGGAAGACUUUAUGGGCAAAAUUGGAGACUAAGCUUUUAUUUUCUACUACAUAUCAUCCCCAAACUGAUGGUCAAACUGAAGUUGUGAAUAGAACUUUGUCUACGAUGUUACGGGCUGUUUUAAAGAAGAAGAUUACACUACUAGAUUUUAGGGCUAUUGCCAUGGCUAUCAUCCCAUCAACUCAAAUUUCAUUGCAACACGUAGGGGUUAUUGCAACGAUUUUGAGUUUUCAUUGCAACUGGUAGACGUUAUGCCACCAUUUGAAAAUUCAUUGCAAUAGGUAGGCGAUAUUACCAAGUGUGUGUUUUCGUUGUAAUAUUUAAUUUUUUUUGUUGCAAUAUCGACGGGUUAUUGCCACAAAAUAUGCAAUGUUGCCACAUAACCCAAGGCAACAACGGAAAAUCUAUUGCAAUAGGUCGGUGUUGUCGCAACGAGUUGAAAAUGGUUGCGAGUUGCUGAAGAAAUUGCCACGGUUUUUUUGCGUUGUUAUAAAGUUUUUUUUUGCGUUGCAAUAUGUAAGGGUUAUUGGCACGAAAUACGUAAUGUUGCAAGUAGGAAGCAAUAUUGCAACGAAUUUGUUACGUUGCCACAUAGCCCAUGGCAACAACAAGAAAUUUGUUGCAAUAAUAGGUGUUGUCGCCACGAGUUGAAAAAUGAUUGCGAGUUUUACUUAAUGGAAAAAUUAAAAGAUACGCAAUGAGGGAAUCAAACUAGGAUCUCCAGAGUUUGGACUCGAGCACCUCACCACCACGCUACGCAAUAGUUGGGUGAUAGAUAGGAGCCGAAGUAAAAGAAAUAAAUUCUAUGUUAGUUACAGAAAUAAAUUCUAUAAAUAUUCGUUGCAAUAGGUACGUGUUAUUACCAUCAUUAUGCAAUUUUGUUGCAAAAGAUUGAUUUGUCGCAACCAUUUGUUGCACUGUUGCUUCCGUGGCAACCCUUGGGCAAGGACGCCAUGUCACCCGACAACCGGCCGCGCCAGGUCACCGGCCCCCCAGCAACGCGCCACGUCACCCGGCCACGGCGUGCCAGGUUUUGAACCCUAGUUUUAGAGACCACACUCCAACGCCUUACCACUACACUACACCAACACUUAAGAUGAAGUAUGGUAUUCUAUAUUUUAUACGUUCAUUUUCUCGUGUUUUAUUUCAGAAAAAUUAAAAGAUGCGCAAUGGGGGAAUCGAACCAAGGUCUCCAGAGUUUAGACUCGAGCACCUCACCACCAUGCUACGCAAUAGUUGGGUGAUGGAUAGGAGCCGAAGUAAAAGAAAUAAAUUCUUUGUUAGUUACAGCAAUAUAUCUAUAGUGUAGGUUAAUUACUGAGUUCUUUAGUGCCCACCGUAUUGGAGAGAUCAAACGCAGCAUCAUUGAGGUUGAAGAAAAGGAAAAAAUUACUAUUGAAACAGAUUGAAUAAACAUAAUUUCUACCAGAUAUUAGCAUUUCUGUGUAACUUUCAUGGAUCCUAUGUGCUGCAAUUAUUAUGUGGUAAUUUGGAGAUAGAAGUUUGAAUUUUCCUAACAAGACAAUUGAAUUUUUCAUCUAUCUCUAAGGCAUGGGCUAGAAUCGAACAUACAAGCUUAAAUAUAAUUUUUGUGUAUUUUUUGAAUCUUAUUGGUGGUACACAUAGUUCAAGUUGGAAUUACUUUCGAUAAGCAUGUAGCAAUUCAUUUAAAUGAUAGAAAAUACUAACUUUAUUAAAAAAUUCUUGAAACUCCUACAUUACAACUUAGAUGUUUUCUCUUACAUGCAAAAAUAUAAUUAGGGGUAUAUAAAAUAAUUAUUUUGCAAGUUACUUCACAAGGGUGUAUUAAUUAGUUAGUUAAAAAAUAGAAAAUAACUUUUUUUACAAGAAGUGGCAAUGUAAAUCCACAAAUGUCAACAACAAGGUAAAGGUAAGUUUGUGUCCAAAUUUGAGGUGCAUACGAGUUCAAAUAUAAUACGAGCUAUUCAAAUUUCAAAGUUUGAUUUGAGUUGUGUGAAAUAAUAUGAGAGGUCUAUCCAUUUUCUGAACAACAUAUACUCCAAUCUUUUUGAAAUCUUAUGAAACUUUUAUGUCAAGCUUAUAGACCCAAAAUAUGUUGUCAUGUAAAUUUGUAGAAUUUUCUGAUCAAAUUUAGAUAUUAUUUUAAUCAUUAUGUGUAAUUUGGAGAUAGAAGUUUGAAUUGUCCCUAAAAGAAAAUUGAAUUUUUCAUCUAUCUCCAAGGCAUGGGCUAUAAUUGAACAUACAAGUCUAAAUAUAAUUUUUUUGUACUUUUUUAAUCUUAUUGGAGGUACACAUAGUUUAACUUGGAAUUACUUUCGAUAAGCACGUAGAAAUUCAUUUAAAUGGUAGAAAAUAUUAAAUAUGUUAAAAAUUCUGGAAACUCCUACAUCACAACUUUUAUGUUGUUUAUUACAUUUUAAAAAUAUAUUGAUAUAUAUAAGAUAAUAAGUUUUGUGUGUUACUUCAUAAUGCUGCAAUAAAAUGAAAAAAGAAAAAGAAAAACAUUAAGCACAGAAGAAAUGGAAGAUGGGCUGUUUCGGCCCAAAUAGCCCAACUAUUUCCGACCGUUCAUCGCAGAUUCGACGGCUCUGAUCGCGUUCCCAUCAUAUAUAAUAUGCUGCAUCCCCUACCCAAACCAUAGCUCCUUCACCCGCGCACCAUUGGCACCCAGCCAACUCCAGCCGCACCUCCCUUUCUCCUCCUCUCUGCAGCCACACUCCCCUUUCUCCUCCUCCCCCGAUGCCAUCCUCACCUUUGCUGCCCCACCCCAGCGGGCCUCCCUCCUCCACCUCCGAUAGCGCCCCUCCUCCCUUCUCCCCCCACUCUCCUCUCUUCCUCGCGCUGUCGAGAAGCGUUCCCAGGAGCGCCACCGCGCGCUGCAGCAGCAGCUGGGGUCCAGGGCUGCCGACCUCGACGGCCCGUGGAUUGCUGCAGCCACGGGGUUCACCGCCGACUCCGACAACGAGGAUGACUCAGACGAGGCCACGGCGUCGCGAGAGGAAGGGGAGCCCAAGAAGCCGAAGGUGACCGCGCCUCCCUCCUCCACCUUCGAUCGCACCUCCCUCCCUAGAUCUGGUGGUAGGCCAGGCGGAGGAAUGGGGCCGGUUCAUCAGGUGGGCAUCCUACAUGUUGGUGGAGGAGGCAGCGGCUCUGCUUAGGGUUUGGAGGUGGCCAUCCCUGGUAAGUCCCCUCCCCGCUCCGUUCGGAUCUCCGCCACUGGGAGAACCCUAGGGCCCUGCUUAGGACGGUCGGUCUCCCCCUGCUUCGGAUCUCCCCCCUCUGUUCGGCCCUGCUUAUGGCGGUUGGUGGCUUGAACCCUAGCGGCGAUGGCAGCCCCAGGCUUCGGUCCCCGCCGCUGGGAGAAGCUAGGGACGUUUUCCUUGCUGCGGGCAUCUCCUUCCUACCGCAGCAACUCAAGGUUCGUUCCCAUGGCUGAAACAGUUAGAUGCAGGGUGUGUGUGAUGUCGUCAACAUUGCCGAUGCACAUUUGAGCAGAUGCUUAGCGUGAUGAUUAUGCUUACAUGCUGAUUCUCGUGGUCAGGUACAGAUUGUUAGGGUGCUCUAUGUUUUUAGCUUUCGAUUGGAAUCCUAGCAAUCAGUCUGUCUCAUGUCUUUCACUGGUAAAGAGCUAUGCAGUUCAGAUACACCAUAUGGCGGUAGGACUCAAUUUUAAAGCCAAAUUACUGAGUCUAGGGAAUGUAUGUAAACACACCAAGGAACCAAAUCAAGGUUCCAAAGUUGGAAUCCAAUCUGUGCAUUGCUCUAUUGCCUGCACACUGCAUAUAUGUGAGUUUUUUUACAUUAUUUUCUUAGUUUGGCGUAUCUGUAGUUGUACACACCUUCACUAGAAAGAUUCAAAACUAUUCAUGCCUUAACAUAACUAGUAGCACUAGGUGUGUCUUGCUUCCGGCAUUUUGCUCAUAGAUAAUCCUAAAUAUGCCAUCUCACUAACACUACGGGAAACAGAACCUUUGCCGAGUGCCUGGGGCACUCGGCAAAGGCCUAAAAACACUCGGCAAAGCCUUUGCCGAGUGUAACACUCGGCAAAGAGCACACGGCAAAUGUUGUGUCGGCAAAGCCUAGUUCACCGAGUGUCAAAACUAAUCGGCCUAUAUCGGCCGUCGCCUUGCCCUUUUUGGAGAGGACCCAUGCCUUGAGCUGGGAGCAAGGUCGGCCAUCAUGUGACGCCGACUGCGGCAAAAUACAAAAUCAUUAAAAAUUACGUAGAACUGAACGUUACAAUAAAGAAUUGAAGUUGCGUACCCAUUUUUCUCUAUAUUCAUCAAGGCUUAGGCUGCCUUGAUGGUGUGAUGCAGUUGGCAUCUGCAAACGCCGCUGCCGGCAAGAAAGGUGGGUCUCCAACCACCCGGGCUCCAACCACACGUCGACCAUCCUCUCCCAGCAUGGCAUAUGCGCACGACACCACCACGGAGGCACCUACAUCAUCAAGCGUGUGACGUAUGAAAAAGAAAAUGAGCCUAAUUAAUCAUAAAUAGUAAGCAUCAACGUUCUUUACUUACCCUCAUGAAUUGAUCCUUAGUCAUGUUCAUUGUUCUUCCCUCCUCUUUUCUAACCUUCGUAUGAUUGUAUUGAGCGUUGAACUCUAUGAUGGCCUGGAUGCGCGCCUCGUAAUGCAUGUCCCUCACGAGCUUCUUGGCGGCUACAUCACAGACGGCCUUCGCCUUGGCCUCGAACCCCUCCUGGCAUCUAUAGAAGUCCUGCAUAUACACGCGUAAACAGUUAUUAUUUCAAGAAUGUCGAAAGUAGCUGAUGUAUUGAGCAAUUUAGUACGAGGAGUACUUACCCACAGGUCGGCCUUGACCCACUCCGCUAUGUUGGGGAAUCUUCUCUGUUGACGAUCAGGGACGUCGGGGGCGGCGACGUAGUGAUCCCACGUGUAGGCCGGCUGCAGCUGUCCGGCGUACACCACCAAGCCAGGGAAGUGAACCCUGCACAAAAGGCCAAGGAUCCCGUUGGCCUUACGGUUGUGGUCACCCCCGCUGAGCUUAACCCAACUCCUGCACAAGUAAUUAAUAUUAAUUAUUAGUUUUUGUAACUUACAACAUAAGAACAAUUUUAAGAAUAUUUAAAGUUACUUACUUGGUCCCAACCGGUUUAAUGAGCGGGCGUAAAUGCUCAGGUAUCGGCCGCUUCGGGAGGGAUGAGGGACCUCGCAACCAUAUCUUGGCCUGGGUAUCCCCUGCCUCCCCGUCCCCCUCCUGCUCCUGCUGCUCCUCCUCCUCCGCCUCCUCGUCCCCAGAGGAGUGUGCGGAAGGUACCUCCUCCUCCUCCUCCUCCUCCNNNNNNNNNNNNNNNNNNNNNNNNNNNNNNNNNNNNNNNNNNNNNNNNNNNNNNNNNNNNNNNNNNNNNNNNNNNNNNNNNNNNNNNNNNNNNNNNNNNNUUCCCUCGAGGCCUCUGGACCACCUCUUGCUCCUCCUCCUCCUCCUCCUCCUCAACCAUACGUCGAGGCCUGCCUCGACGCCUCCCCUCGACCACUCCCUGAACGUGACCCUGACCCUGAACCAGUCCCUGCCGCGGCCAGUCUCUCGCAAAUCGACGUGAGCUUCCUGAUACCGCCCACCAUUGCUUAAUGACCUGCAAUUAAAAAGAGUACACGAGUCAGCAUAGGCAAACAAAACAUAAUUACAAAUAUAUGCAAAUUACAAGUAAUUAUAGCUAAAUUAUUACGAAUCAUACAUGUAUUAGAAAUAAUCAUCAUGAUCGGGAUUAGCUGGAUCAUAAGUCUCAUCAUCACUAUCACGCGUGUCGAUAUAGUCAAGCUCGUGCUCCGAAGAAGGAAUGUCGUCAUCACUGUCAUUAUCUAACUGUAAUCGUUGAAGUAAUUCUAAGUCCUUCACAUUCUGAACCUCGUCUCCACCGUCCUCUACAGCAACCCUCUCGUUGUCUACUUCCAUUCCGAUCGCUUCGGUUAAAUCUAUCACAAAACUCCCUUCGAGCCCAUCUUCUUGGAAUAACUCUCCUUCGUACGUGUCGGGGUCUAUAUUGUAAUCUUCAUUGUUUGGUACAGGUAGUUUACCGUGUGGCGAUACCUUGUACACAACAUCCCAACCCUUAAGACGGCUGUCGGUUUGGCACGGGUAUGACAAAUAAGAGGUUUGCACCCAUGAAAAGUGAGUUCGUAUAUUUCUUCAAUUCUUCCGUAGUACUCGACUCCAUCGGAGCCUAGCAUGAAAACUCCGGUAUUUGUGGUUCUUCGAUUGGGCCGACUCUGCUCGUGCCUUGUUGUGUGAAACCUAUAUCCGUUGACGUCAUAACCGGCAAACGACCUGACCCUAUAGUCACAGCCAUCGGCAACCUGUCUCAACUCGACAUUCAUAGACGCAUCGGUUCGGCCCUGCAAGUACGAACAGGGUGGUUCGUUAUAUUAAUCGUAUGCACGAGUAUCUAGAAUGUUCGCGGAAAUGAAAUUUUACCUUCUGUUUGAACCAAGAAAUGAAAUCGGGCAUUCCAUUUCCCGCACCCUCUUUAAGAAGAGUCUCAGCUUCGUGCAGGGCCGGUUGCCUUGAUUUACGCCAGAAUUGACGAUGAAAUUGCCUAUGCCAACGAGAAAGAUACGUUUAGGCAAGAGAUACCAUUAAUACGUCGAAACAAGUUUGUCGAUGACUUACAUCAUGUACGGCUCCACUUCAGAUAGGUUGGUCAACACAUACAGCAUGAUAGAGCGCCACUCUUCAUGAUUAAGGGUCUUGCGGGUCGCACCACUUGCACUUCCGAGUUGCCCUCGGAAAAUGCUAAGGCUUAAUUCAUCUUCGCUAGCAUUGUAACGAGGAGGUGGAUUAUGCACGCUAGGAAGGUUGUCAGCGUAGUAUUUCGAUGUGAAGUUUGACACCUCCUCCAGAAUGUAUGCCUCUGCAAUGGAUGCUUCAAUUUUGCACUUAUUCUUACAUUUAGUUCGAAGAACCUUUUGACAUCUCUCAAUUGAGUAGCACCAACGACCCUGCACAGGCCCCCCCAUUCGUGCUUCAUACGGGAGGUGUAGAAUCAUAUGCUGCAUUGGAUUGAAGAAGCAUGGAGGAAAGAUCUUCUCCAACUUACAGAGCAACACAGGCGCCAUUGUUUCCAUUUCUGCAACCACGGUACGAGAUAACUCCUUCGCGCAAAGCCGGCGGAAGAAAUUGCUCAACUCCGCUAGCACCUGCCACACAUGCUCAGGGACAUAGCCUCGAACCAUCACCGGAAGGAGGCGCUCAAGCCAUAUAUGGUAAUCAUGACUCUUGAGCCCGUUGAUUCGCAUAGUUGCUAAAUUCACUCCCCUCUUCAAGUUCGCUGCAUAGCCAUCAGGGAACAUUAAUGUUUGGAACCAUUCUAGAACCUCCCUCCUUUGGGCCCUCGUCAGAACGAAAUCGGCCUUAGGCUUCCUCCAUGACUUGCCAGCUCUUGGAGGCGCCAUGUUUAGCUGUGGUCUAUUGCACAAUGUCGCUUGAUCCACUCUAGCCUUAACGUUAUCCUUUGUCUUGUCAGGAAUGUCCAUUAUUGUACCAAAAAUUGCCUCGGCAAUAUUUUUUUCCAUGUGCAUUACAUCAAUGUUAUGUGGAACAAGGAGAUCAUCAAAAUAUGGAAGGUUCCACAAGCACGACUUCUGCGUCCAAGCAUGUUGCUCGCCAUAUCCCAAAAAACCACCUUCUUCAUUAUUGAACUCAAGAGCGUCUAACUGAGCACGAAGUGCGGCCCCUGUCAUCAUCGGCGGUGCGGGGGCUGUAACUACAACAUCUUUGGUAAAGUUCUUCAUGUCUCGUCUAAAUGGAUGGUCAGGAGGGAGGAAUUGUCGAUGUUUGUCGAACGAGGAAUAUUUGCCCCCUUUCGACAACCAAAUGAACUUCAAAGAUGCUUUACAUACUGGGCAAGGGAACUUCCCGUGAACACACCAUCCGGAGAAAAUCCCAUAUGCCGGCAAGUCAUGCAGUGAGUACUGGUACCAAAUAUGCAUCUUGAAGUUUGUCUUUGUGGAUCGGUCAUAGGUCCAUACCCCUUCCUCCCAAGCACGGAGCAAAUCAUCAAUCAGAGGCUCCAUAUACACACUCAUAUUAUUCCCCGGAUGCUCUGGAAUUAUCAACGACAAGAAUAUAUUAUGUCGUUGAAAUAGGACGCCGGGUGGGAGAUUCAGUGGGAUAACGAAAAUGGGCCAACAGGUGUACGGGGCGGCCACCAUUCCAUAGGGAUUGAACCCAUCAGUUGCCAACGCAACGCGUACGUUACGGGCCUCUAGAGCUUUUGCAGGAUAAAUCGCAUCAAAGCUUCUCCAGGCUUCAGCAUCGGAUGGGUGUACCAGCUUCUCUGGAUUAUAGCGACGGCCAUUUUUGUGCCAUGUCAUCUGUUUCACGGAUUCUUCAGUCAUGAAAAGUUGUUGGAUCCUCGGUAUGAAAGGAAGAUACCGUAGAACCUUCACAGGAAUUGCGAGCUGCUUUUUCUGACCGUCACCAUAGUCAACCUCCAGAAAUCUAGACGAUUCACACUUCACACAGUAUUUUGCUUCCGCAUACUCUUUCCUAAAUAAGAUGCAUCCCUUCGGGCAAGCAUGUAUAUGCUCGUAUGGCAUCUUAAGUGCACGAAGGAGUUUCUGUGCCUCAUACAUGCUCUUUGGCAAGAUGUGACCAACCGGGAGCAGGCUUCCAAAAACUGUCAACAUAAUAUCAAACGUGUCUCGACUCAAACUAAACUGAGACUUCACAGCCAUUAGGCGUGCAAUGGCAUCUAGCUGAGAAACCUUGGUAUGGCCGUGAAGGGGUUGCUGUGCCGCAGACACCAUUUCGUAAUAAGCCUUAGCGGUAGCCUCUGGCUCCUCCUCCCUACGUGCCUCUUCGAAGUGUGCUUCAUGAAAGUCAUUUAACAUGUCUCCCACCCCGGCAUCAUCAUCAAAUUCCUCGAUUCGUUGUCUCAAGACCUCCUCUCUCCCACGGUCAGAUUCACCAUGGUAGAUCCACCUGGUGUAGUCUGACGUAAAUCCGUUCUUCACCAGAUGUUUGCCCAUCUCCAGCUUGGUUUGCCGACGCAUGUUUCCACAUUUGCUGCACGGACACCAAGUCGAUCGAGCUCCAUUGACACUUGCAAACGCCCGUUCCAAGAAAGCAUCCGUCUUGUCAAGCCAUUCAUUGGUCAACGUAUUCUGACUAGUGCGACCCGUGUACAUCCACUGACGAUCCUCCAUCCUCUACCAUUUAAAUAAGUAAUACAAAAUUCACAUGGCAUAUACACGCUCCUAUAUUGUCUACUAGGUAAAGAUAGGUCCUAAUCCCACCCGAGGAUGUGUAGGUGGGUUUAGUAUCCAUGGUCUAAUCCGACCCGAGAUAAAAUUUCGACCCCAUCACAUUUAAGUUCCCAGUCAUUGCUUAGCCAUUAGCACUUGGUUUCAGAUAUCAUCAGGGAGUAGCUGCCGAAAUUUGUCUCAGGUCGGAGUAGACCAUGGAUACUAAACCCACCUACACAUCCUCGGGCUGUCCAAAAAACGUGGACAAUUCGAAACAGAUACGAUUAUAGAUAUGCAAAGAUCUGCAUAUUUCCAACCGUAUCUCUUUCGAACGGGAGACGCCUAACUAGGUUACGUGAUAUACGAACAUUAUACGGAAAGAGAGGUGUAGCAUGCCUCACCUAUCUAUAUCUUGCAAAGUGACGAGUCGAGGACGGUCCUUGUAAGCCUCUCCUGCAACAAAAGAAACAAAACACUGUUUAAGUCAAAAUUCCGGCAGCAUCUCCCCUGCACGGGGAGGUUUCCAAAACCUGCAACAUAAUAAACGGCACGAUGGCCGACAACCACAAUCUCACCAAAGAGUUGGCACGAUGGCCAACAACCACAACCACACCUCUAUUAUUUUCAACCUUUUGUAAUUUCUACUAUUCCUUCUUCUCGAAUUUUCUAAAUCCAUACCUCUAAUUUAUAAAAUAAAUGCUACCUCUCUAGUAUUUUCAACAUUUAAUUUCUAAUUUCCAAUUUUCAUGCAUACUCUAAUUUACGAUGUGUAGCGGCAACAUAAACUUACCGGAGGGGUGACGGAGGAGCGGGCGCGGGGCAGCGGCGGGGGCGCGGCCGGGCGGCGACGGCGCGGGGCGGCCGAGGGUCGGGGCCGGGGGUCGGGGCCGGCCGGCGGCGGGCGUGUGCGGGCAAGCCGGCAGCGGGACGCCCGGGGCCGGUGUUGGGCGGCCGGGGCUGGCCGCGGGCGGCGCGGGCCGGGGGCGGCCGGGGCGGCGUCAGGCGGCCGGGGCAGGCCGCGAGCGGGGCCGGGGGCGCUUGGAGCAGGCCGCGGGCGGCACGGGCCGGGUGGCGGCGUAAGCGGCCGGAGCAGCGUCAGGCCUGGGCAGCGUCAGGCGGGCGCGCGGGCUGCGGCGUCUGGCGGCGGCGACGGCGUGGGGCGGGCGGCGCUCGCGUGGGGUGGGCGGCGGCGGCGGGCGGCACGGGCGGUCAGCGGGACGGGCGGCCGGGGCGGCGCGUGCGUGUAUGUGUGGUUGUGUGCGUGAGGACUUAGCCGAUUGGGAUUGGGUGGAUAUCCGAAAACUUUGCCGAGUGCCCGUGAUGUAGCACUCGGCACACCCUUUGCCGAGUGCUAGAUCAGGGGCACUCGGCAAAGUGUAUUUUUUUCCCCGAAAUUCGUACUGAGGCUUACACGUGGACCGGGUGUCACCUUUGCCGAGUACCCUUGAUCUAGCACUCGGCAUACCCUUUGCCGAGUGCUAGAUCCGGGGCACUCGGCAAAGUGUAUUUUUUAUCCCCGAAUUUCGUACUGACACUGUGACGUGGACCCGGGGUGACUUUGCCGAGUGCCCUAUUUAUGACACUCGGCAAACCAUCCCUUUGCCGAGUACCCUACGUAGCACUCGGCAAACACCUACCUAUAUUGCAUGUGCAACAACACUUUUAGUAAUUAAAAGUACGUAAACUUUGUGUAAACCUAGUCAAAUUCACUAAACAUUGCGUAUUCCAUUUUUUAAGUAAUAUUGUACCAUUAUUUCAUGGAUUUAUAGCUCAUAUUUAAUUUAUAUCUAUUAAAUUCAUAUACGUGCAAUUAAUGAAUAAAAAUUACCAAACGGAUCUGAAAAUUUCCCAAAAUUUGACAUGAACCUAUCUAUGUUCUCUACAGCCUAUAAAAAAAAAUUUGGACUCAAUGAGAAUUACAUUUAUCGAUUCAUCUCAAAAUCUUACCGGAUCCUUUGAACUUCUCUGAAACCUCUCCGGAGAUGCUUCGAAUUCUAAACAUCAUAUGUCAAAACUUGUGCGAAACCUUAUCAAUUUUUUACCACGGCCUCUGCAUACGAAAUCAUAGCAUCUUGCAAAGUCUCAUGAUUUUCAAACUUCGUUUGUAUUUUUGAGAAUUAAACAAUCAUUUGGCCACACGUUCGUAGUCGUGUUUCCUUAGCAAAAUGUUCGAAAUUUCUUUUCAUUUUCUAGGUGAGACCUCAAUUUAGACUCACUAACAUGAAUAUGAUUUUUUCACUCAUAUUAUUCCAUUAUUCCAACCACCUGCAGUUCAAAUUUGACUUAAAUCAAAAAAUUACUCUAAAUGAAAUUAAUUGAUUAAAUAUAGCAAACAGGUCAAAAAAUAGUCCAUCUUCUACCAUGCAGUGCCAAAUUGCCAUACAUGUGGAGUGUAAAAAGUUUGGAGGGUGGAGGAGGGGAAAAAAAAUUAUGUUUGCCGAGUGUGUGAAAAGACACUCGGCAAACCCUAUAGUUUGCCGAGUGUACCCCCUAGCACUCGGCAAACUAUAGGGUUUGCCGAGUGUCUUUUCACACACUCGGCAAACAUAAUUUUUUUUCCCCUCCUCCACCCUCCAAACUUUUUACACUCCACAUGUAUGGCAAUUUGGCACUGCAUGGUAGAAGAUGGACUAUUUUUUGACCUGUUUGCUAUAUUUAAUCAAUUAAUUUCAUUUAGAGUAAUUUUUUGAUUUAAGUCAAAUUUGAACUGCAGGUGGUUGGAAUAAUGGAAUAAUAUGAGUGAAAAAAUCAUAUUCAUGUUAGUGAGUCUAAAUUGAGGUCUCACCUAGAAAAUGAAAAGAAAUUUCGAACAUUUUGCUAAGGAAGNNNNNNNNNNNNNNNNNNNNNNNNNNNNNNNNNNNNNNNNNNNNNNNNNNNNNNNNNNNNNNNNNNNNNNNNNNNNNNNNNNNNNNNNNNNNNNNNNNNNNNNNNNNNNNNNNNNNNNNNNNNNNNNNNNNNNNNNNNNNNNNNNNNNNNNNNNNNNNNNNNNNNNNNNNNNNNNNNNNNNNNNNNNNNNNNNNNNNNNNNNNNNNNNNNNNNNNNNNNNNNNNNNNNNNNNNNNNNNNNNNNNNNNNNNNNNNNNNNNNNNNNNNNNNNNNNNNNNNNNNNNNNNNNNNNAAAUGAAAUUAAUUGAUUAAAUAUAGCAGACAGGUCAAAAAAUAGUCCAUCUUCUACCAUGCAGUGCCAACUCUCGACACACGUGGAGUGUAAAAAGAGUGGAGGGUGGAGGAGGGGACAAACAAUAAUGUUUGCCGAGUGUGUCAUCAUGACACUCGGCAAACCCGUGCCUUUGUCGAGUGCCCUAUAUUGACACUCGGCAAACAUUAACGGCCGUCACGGAGGGGCGCCGGCGGCGGCACGGGGAAGUCACGUGGGUGUCAGUUUGCCGAGUGUGAAAGUUUGCCGAGUGCCUGUUGGGUGUUUGCCGAGUGUUUUUUGGGUGGCACUCGGCAAACCGGUCAUUCGCCGAGUGUUUUAUUUUUGCCGUGUGUUUUUUAUGUUACACUCGGCAAAACGGUGCUUCGCCGAGUGCCCGAAAAAAUUACACUCGGCGAAGUAAUUACACUCGGCGAAGUAAUUACACUCGGCGACAUUAAGCUUUCCCGUAGUGUAAGUUCACUGUUAAUUGUAUGGUUUGAGCAGCAAUUGCUCACCCCUUUAAUCAUUUGCUCUCAUUUUCUUGAGUUAUACGUUGUCCUUUGUUAAUCUGCAUUUGACUCAAUUAUAGCUAUUCUAGAUCUCCAAUAUCAUGUUGUAUAUGAAAACUUGAUAGGUUACACAUUCUGAAAUGCAAAGAAUUAACAUGUUGUAGUAACCCACUGUUAUCACUUAAAUUUAAAUGGUGUAGUUGUGGAAUAAUAAGCUAUGUUCAGGAUCAUAUAUGCUAUUUUUUUCUAGAUCUUCCUGAUCAAAUUUACAUGGUUCAAUACUGAAUAUUAAGAUAUACCGUUAGCACUGUCCCUUCUAAAGAGAUCCACUGAUAGUUUGCUGAAUAUUAAGAUAUACCGUUAGCUACUGCACUGUACACAUUUCUUUUGCAGGUUGUUCUUCACCUGACAGGUAAAAGGUUUGAAGCAUCCUUUGCAUAUCCGUGUGCUAAUCUUCUUUUCAUACAUUCUUAGGCCAACAUUUAUAGGAUUUUUUUACCUUAUGUUUGUUUAGCAUAGUAUUUAGAAACCGUCAGCAUUACCUGCAUGCAAGACAUGGUGAUAGAUAUUGCCCACACCAAUGUGAUGUUCCUUUAUCUACCGAUUCUUACUCUAUGUCACUGUGAUGCUGCUGACUCGAUCAAUUGAUGAUCAAUUGACUCAAGUCGCAGGCCAGGGCUGCGCUCUUCUUCCGGGGCUCCAAGAUGGACCUGUCCGCAUUGCCGAGCACAGAGGCAGAGUCCAGCGCGGCUGCCGCACCAGUCAAAGGGAGGAAUGCUGCCUUCCACAAAUCUCUUCCAUUUGUGUCUUGCUAGAUGACAUCUGAAAUUUUCCACAAAUUUCUGUGGAGCCCCAUGGCGCAGUUGGAGCCCUUGCAGGUCGUCGUGCUAUAGCACAGGGCAACCCUGAUGAAGUUGCUGCAGCACUGUGUAGAUACGCAGCACCAGAACCUUCUACUUAGUUGCUGACACUAAUCUCAUCAAGAACCAUGUCUAUUUGUAUCUUACAAAUUUCAUUGGAUAGGUUGAUGUGUUGCCAUCAUCAUGUGGGGCCUGUGGAGCAGAAUGUGUCACCCUGAUGAACUAGUUAUGUUGUAUUAAAACAUGUGUUUGAUAGCAGUACAAAACUUUGCGCAGUCUUGAUCACUUGUAUGUAGUUCCCAUACAAGGUAGUUCCCAGUUGUAUGUAGCAGUCUUGAUCACUUUUUAAAUAAACUGCAUGUGAACUUAAAAAAAGGCAAUUUAGUCUAGGAUGUUGUGCACUUAACAUCCUAUGAAGUAUGAUAUGCAUACACAUAACCUGUUUGAUUAAAUGCCUUGAUGCUCAACAACUAGUAUGCCAACUUUCGUACUUGUCAACCUGUUUGAUUAACCUGUUCAUGAUUCAUAUAUAAUAAUGUAAAGCUAACAAGAUAAUUGCUGGUAGAGUGACUUUCUAUUAGAAUGUUGCACAUCUUAGUGUGGGUAUUUUCCAAGAAAACAAAAUGAAUGUUAAACGCAUCGUGUAUCACUUGCAGGAAAGCUCGGGUGAAGAGCAGGGCAGCAGGAAAUGGUGGCAUUUCUGAGAUCAAAGUGUUUGUCAGGUAGAAGCAAGAUGAGUUGGAGGCCAAGCUUGAGCUUGUUCUAGGUCAAAAUCGACCAAGCUAAUUGUUGGUGCUAUUGGUGCAUGAUAACUAUUGGUCCUGUUGGUUUUUGCUAACUGUUCAUGCUAUCUGUUGUUUCUGUAAGCAAAGAAACAUGAAUGUAUUGCUGUUUUUGAAUGAUCUGAAUGUAUUUGCUGAACCUGGACAUGCUAACUGUUUUUAUUUUGGUUGAUAUAAUAUUAUAUGUAUUUUGGGUUGAAAUGAUGAUUGUGAUAUAUGCGCUGAAAUAGUAUUUGGUGGGCUCUUGUUCAGUGGGUUUCAUAUGUGGGCUGAAAAUUAUAGCCAUGACGUUGAGCAUAUAACGACGAUCCAUAUUUCAUUGCGAUACCCUUUAAGCAUGUUGCAACGCCAUAUUUUUUUGGGAUACGGUUGAUGGCUAUAUACGCAUAUAGCCAUGACUAGUAUUUCGUUGAGAUAGCCUGUUAGUAUAUUGCAAUAACAUAGGUCUCGUAUUGUAACAACAUUCUUGUGUUGCAUUAUCGCUUAUUUGCAACAGCACAAUGUCAUUGCAAUAGCCUCUAUAGCAACAAUCCCUACCAUUGCAAUAGCCACUAUUGCAAUGACAACGGUUGCCUGUGUCAUUGUAAUAGCAUAUUGCAACGCCAUUUUACACGAAGACAUGAUUUUUAGCGCCACGACACGAAAUCGUUGCAACAGACCCCUAUUGCAACGAAAUGACCCCUAUUGCAACGGUUUCGUGCCGUUGCGCUAGUGACAAAACCUUGUAGUGCAUAGAAAUAGUCCCCACGUAAUAGUUUCCAUUGCAAAACUAAUUAUUGCCAUCAAAAAUGGUUCCAUUGCAAUAUAGUUUAUUUCCAUGAAAUAAAUUUAGUUGCCAUAGGAUAUGUCACAACGUCAAGUUUCCAUGGCAAUAUAUUAUAUUGCCACCAUGUAAAUCGUUUGUACGUUGCAACUAUGUACUAUAGCAAUGACUGCUUGCGUUGCAAUACAUACUAAUGCAACAAAAUCCUCCAUUGCCAUACUCUAUAAUGCAAUGAAAAAGUGUGUGGCAAUUACCAUAAGUUGCAAUGGCCCACAAAAAAUGUUGCAAAGAGCUAUUGCAACGCCAGUACUUGCGACGUCUGCCAACCAACCAGUCGCUGUUGCAAUUGCUAGAUAUUGUAUCGAUUUUGGGCAUAUUGCAACGUUUUUCCGCCGUUGCAAUAGACCAAAAAUCUAGUAGUGUUAAGAUGUGGGAAGAUUGUUUGCCUUAUAUUGAAUUUGCUUAUAAUCGCUCGCUACUGAGAGACCAAGUUGAGAUGUGCCUUGGUCUAUUUGUGAUGAGUGAUUGACUAGAUGAUUUGAGAAUUCACCGGUUGAGUCCAUACUUCAUAUGUGCAUGAUUAUGCUAAUGGCUAACCGGAUGUGUUGUGUUGUGGUGUUCGUACAAAACAUAUCUUGUGUGUUGUGUCUCUUGGCUUAUGAUGUGCAGGUGUAGGAUGCGACAUGGCGAUCGACGGCAUGAGGUCAGGGUCAAGCGCGAAAGGUCCAUGCCGAUGUACUAGGGCUGUGAAGGGUGGACACGAGUAGGCUUGGACCGAGGGACCUGAGGAGUCCGGGCGGAGUCAUGGGCGAUCCACAUGGUGCAUGGAAGAGUAAGAGUACACUGACGGUGAUGGAGACAACGUCAGUCGAGUCAAGCAGGACGGAGCCGAGUCGAGUAGGUGGCCCGGAGCGGGAGUGAAAGACUUGGAGGCAUCAAAGGCUUGGCGGAGGCCGGACACGCGUCGACAUCGAUGAGUCACGCCUGCAGGGUGUGCAAGAGGGUUUGACCGGUUUGACCUCAAAACUUGGGGUGAGUCACGCCAGGAGGGUUUGCAGAGGGUUUGACUGGUUUGAUCUCAAAACCAUGGGUAAGUCACCCCAGGUGGGUGUGCAGAGGGUUUGGGUGGUUUGGGCCUCAAAACCACCAUGCAAGUGGGUUUGCCAGUUUGGGCCUCAAAACUAGGGGCGAGUUCGGUGCGGCCGGACGGCGUCGAGUUGGAGGACGCGUGGCACCAUCGCAAAGCAUCGAUCGAGGAGAAGCGAGGUAGUGAAGGCGCCGGGUCCAUCCGAUGAUCGAAGAAAAAGUUGGACGGUUUUGCACCUAGGGGGUUUGGAGUUGUAUGCUUAAUGUAAGGGCAUUUUGGAUAUUGGCCAAAUGCCUAUAUAUGGUAUGAGGGCUGUUUGGGGGCAGCAAUCCCCCUUGGGCUAGUAGGUGGUAGUCUACUCAUUUGUUUGUGACAGGCUUUGGGAGAGAGUUGAGGUGAGAGAGAAGAGGAUCUUUGUUUGAUCUUUUCGUCAUCCUAGCUUUAAUUGUGCUAAGGAGUGGCUUGUAACCGGACAUGGUGAAGUAAUCCAAAGAUCUAUUUUAUGCCAUUUUGUUCCAUUCCAUUUGGAUUUGCAAUUUCCGUUUGUGUUCUUCGCGUUCUUGUUUUCUCCCUUUUCUUCCCUCUCACAUUUUUUGUCGAUUCGUGUUUUGUGGGGAGUUUUGAGUCAAUCUGGUUAUUUGGAAAUGAACUAGGACGUCAGUUUAACCUUUACGCUGAAGGGAUUUGAUUGGAACCUCACAAGUUCAUAGAUCGGGUCGAUUCAAGUUCUAGGGUUGAAAAAGCGGUGUUCUUCACAAGAAUUUUAAUUCCCUUUGUUUCGCUAAUCUUUUUGAGGAUAUUUUUUGGGAAUAUGUUUUUUAUGUUGUUGGGAAGCUAUGGUUAAAAUUUCAUGAUUUUUGGAGGUCGUUUGAUUGAGUUUCGGAUUUUUCUUCCAUCUUCACGCAAGCUGAAAUCUGAGAUUCCGGAAUAUUCCGGACCUAAUCCCGGUUCUUCAAUUGGUAUAAGAGCUUGGUUAAGGAUCACACCACCUUAAUCGGCUUUGUGAUCCACGAAGCGACAAGGUAAAGGGCACUUUUGCUUGUGGAUUUGGUUUUCACGAUUUGAACUUGCUUUCGGCUAAUCCUAAGUGGUGCUUUGAGCUAUGGCACCAAGUUGUUCUUUGUGUGCAUCUUUGUCCUUCGAUUUUGAUGGAAGGGUGAUUUUAUCGGAGGAUGAGCACAAGUGGAGAAAGAGGUGUGAAGAGCUAAACAAGGAUGAUGAAGCGAUUGCAUUGAUGCACCUUUUGAUGGAAGAGAUGAAUCAAGAAGAUUAUCUCUGACACAAGCUUCACAAGAUGAGUAGAGGUAAACUCUUCCAAGGUAUAAUUGGCUUGUUCACCCACCUUUGUGCUCAUGGCGAGACAAUUUUUGAACUUAAGAAGAAUUUGCCUUUGCCAUGCAAAUCUUGUGAAAAACUAAAAAGGGAUGUUCUUCUUGGUGACAAGCAACUUGAAUCUUGUAGAAGAUUAAUUGAUAAUCUCUCAAUUGAUAAUGAUGAAUUGAACUCUUCUCUUGGUUGCUUGAAAUCUGAAAAUGACUUGUUGAAAGCUAAUGCCUCUAUUCCAUGCAAUUCAUUUGUUACUUUGAAAAGUGAUCUUGAUAAGGCUAGAGAUGAAAUUUCUUUGUUAAAGUGCAAUGCUUCUUUACCAUGUGUUUCAUGUGAGUCUUUGCUUGCUGAAUUUAAUGAACUAAAAUUGACUCACACCACAUGUGUAGAUGAAUUUGAGCAUGCUAGGGUUCAAAUUUGUGAAAUGAAGUCUACGCCUUGUAGCAUGUGCUCUUAGUGCUUGAUGAUGAUGUUUGCCCUACUUCUUGUCAUAAUCAUGAUGCUUUGCUUGAUGUGAAUGAUGAUGUUUCUUCAUGCGGUCUUAUUUGCACAUCAUGCAUUGAAUUGGAAAAUAAAGUUUUGGCUUUCAAGCAAAUGCGCGAUGAUAUGAGCACCUAGUGGGUUGAGCACAAUGCGAUGAGUGCCAAUCUUGAGAAAGAAAAUGAACUCAUGCGUACCACAUAUGCUAAGUGCAUUGAAAAGGAGAUGGAUAAUUUGAGAAAUUCUCCAUGUGGUACUUGUGAUCGCCUCAAAUUUGAAAAUGAGGUUUUGGCCACAAGAUGCAAGAGUCUUUGUGCUAAGUCUUUUGAUUCUCGCAAUUUUAGUCACUCCAAUGUUGGUGUUUCCAAAAUUGCUUCUUCUCAAUCGGAGUUGGCUUCUUGUGUUGAGCGUAAGUCUUUGGACAAUAUCACUUGUGCUAGUGCUUUGGAUAUCUCUUCUAUAGCUACUCCUAAGCUUGUUGCUUCUUUCGGUAUUGCCCAAGAAAAUCAAGUGGCAAGUGUGCUUCUCACUUUUUUGGAACUCAUACUCCCAAACCGAAGUUCCAUUGCACCUUUUGCAAGAAAGAUUGGCAUACCAUUGAGUUUUCCUUUCGUCGUGUCAAGCAUGAGCGACGUGUUCAUGCAAAAGUUUUUAGGAAGCCAUGUAGCCUUUCCCAUGGCACGUGUGAACCUAAUGUGGGUACCAAGUCAAAUGGUGUUGUUGAUGCUUCUUGCUCUAAGUCCCAAGGGACUUCUCACUUGAAUGAGAAUGGUGAUUCGUCCUCUCGGACCAUGCCUCCAAAUAGGCCUUUGAACCAUUGCUCUUAUUGUGAGAAAGAUGGGCAUCAAGAGAGUUUUUGUUAUCGUCGUGCAAGACAAAUGCACUGAACUUGUGCUUCUAUGCCUUUGUUUGUUCAUAGCCCGUCUCCUGGCAUGAGCACUUGUGAGCCUAGUAAGAAGUCACAUUUCAUUGAUGGGUUUCAUGACUCCUUUUCUAGUGAGUUAGGUCAUGCAUGUGGACAUGCUUCUAGUUCUUCUUAUGUUGGUACAUGAUAUGGUUCUCAUGGUGCUUGUGUUGGUUCUCCUCUUAAGACCUUGGGGGAUCCUUGCCUUUUUGCUAGUGGUAGCACUCGUUCUUCUUCUCGAGUUGCUCCUUUGAGGCAUGUUUCCAACGGUGUUUCAAAGUCCACACAUUUAACCGGCAUUUGCAUCAUGAUAACUCACAUGAUAAAUUGAGUACAUCUUUUACCCGUGUGACAAAGUUUUGGAUUCCCAAAUAUAUGCUUGCUAACCCUUUGGGAUCCAAGACUCAGUCUUGUCUGUCCCCUCAUGUGUAGGUAUGGAGUUGUAGGUGGAGGACAUGAGCGCAAAGGGACUUGAUCUUUUGCAUGAGGUGAUCAAGACUUGAUGGUUCUCCACACCAUUUGGAUGUACACUUGUAUAGGGAGUUUUUCGUUUCGUGUAUACUACUCACUUGUGGACUCUUUUGCAUGUUUUGUACUUGUAACAUGCUGUGAAUAUACCAUGGUAGGCUAGCCACCUUUUCAUGUUAGCAUGUGUGAUCUUCAUGUAUCUCUUGCCAUGCUAGCUUUGUAAUAUAUCUUGGUGGAUGAUCCACAUGAAUAUCAUGCCAUGCUUUAGCUUAGUCUUUGUAUUGGGUAUGGCAUAUUGUUCAUUGGUAUCAUUUUAGCUUAGUAUCUUUGUAUAAUCCUUUGCACCUUGUUGACAUGUUUUCUUGCCCAAUAUUUUAUUCAUAAAUGUAGAAUCAUGUUGCAAUGCUUUAAUUCCUCUCAUUGGUAUCAUCAUUGCAUUGUGUGACAUGAAUUGAGCUUUAUCUUACUUUUGGGCUUGCCUUGUCUUUGGGUUGCAUUUUCUCUUCUUUUUGAUUGGAGUUAGAGCUUUUCUUUCGCCCCUUCUUUUUCUAGCUUUUCUUUGCUAGGUGUCUUUGGUUAAGGGAGAGUUUGGCUUCAUUCGAGGGGGAGUUUGGACCAAGGACUUGCUCUGGUUUUUGAUAUCCACUAUUGAUCUUUUAAUUGGUAUCAUAUUUGAUCUUUCAAUUGGAUUUCAUUUUCUUCAAGUGAUAUCAAUUUUUGAUCCUUCAAUUGGUAUCUUUUCUAUGGUACUCAAUUGGAAUCGUUGGCAGUUCUUCUUUUGCCAUGGAGCUUUUCUUAGAUUGGUUUGACCCCUCAUGAGCUUUCUUGAUUUGAGUCGAACCCCAUCUCUUUUAGCAUCAUAUUGCAUUUGUACCAUAUUGCACCUUGUACACUUUGCACUAGAUGAGCUUCUCCUAUAUAUCCUUAGCAUUUCCUUAUGCUAUUUGUGAGCUAGUGCAUUGGUUGGUGAUUGUGUAGCAAUGUGCAGCAUAUGCUCUUGAUGAUAUUGUCAUAUAACCAUGUUGAGCUAAAUUUUUUUGUGAAUCAAAUGUUAAUCUUGAAUAAUGAAUUCUAAAAUGCUCUUCACCCAUGACUAGCUACCUAUUUAUGCAUUGCUCUUGCUUGAAUGCUAGUUCCAUGUUUAGCUUUUGCUUGGAAUUCAUAUUCUUUUCAAUUGAAUCAAAGAUCUAGGUAUCAUUGCAAAUGUUUAGCCCAUGAUGCAUUCCUUGGGGAAGCAUGGCUUUCUUGUUUCGCAAAGGCACUUCAUGUAUCUUGUUUAAUGUGAAUGAUGAAAAAUGAUGAUAAAAAAAAUCAGUAAUUCACCAUGUUAUUGUUCUUAAUGUUGAUAUCCUUGCUUGCAUAGUUGUUACAUGAUGUCUACCAAAAGAAGUAGGCACAUGGUUUCAACAAGCUUUAAACAUGACUUGUGAUGCAUAUGUGGGUGUUUGCAAUGAUCUCUUAUUGAGAAUGUAUCUUGCUUGUAUGAGCUUUGAUGUCCUAGUUUUCUUCUUGCUUGAGUGAUUCGUGACUAGGUGCUUGCUCAUGUGGUGAUACUUUUAUAAACUGCAAAAUUUGUCAACUUGCUUCGUCUUUUGCUUAUAUCAUAAUAUCCUCUUGAUGGCGAUGCAAUUGCUCUUUAUGAUCUACCUGCUUGUGCAUUAUCUCACUUGCAGCCUUUGCAAGUGCUUUGUGAUAUAUUUGAGAAGCUUGGUAGGUUGUACACCCAUGGCAUGCAUUUUGUGCUCCCAUGCGUAUCUUAUGUUUGCAUUUAAGGAGGAGUCUUGCAUUUAAUGGGGAGUUUUGCAUUUGAGGGGGAGCAUGCAUUCUUUUGCUCUUGUGCACGCAUUUCAUUGUGGCAUGUUUUUAGGGGGAGUGCAUGUGUUUAGGGGGAGCCUAUGAGCUUUGUGUGCUCUUUUCUAUGUUGCUUGUGUUUAGUGGCAGCUUAUGAGCUUUGUGCUAGUUUUGUGCUCUCUUUUGCUCUUUUUGCUGGUUGUGUUGAGCUUUUACCUCUUCUUGAGGAACCAACAUUUUGUUUGAGCUUUUGAUCAUCACAUGAUUGGUGUUGAGCCCUUUCUUCCUCUUAUUGAGGGAUCAUGUGUUAUUUGUCUCGAUUGUGUUGAGUCCUUGCCUAUGUCUUUGAGGACCAAGACUUUUCCAAGUUGAUUUGGCCUUUGUGAUGCUUCUCAUGCCAAGUGACUCCAAUCUUUGCCUUUACAUGGCUUUCAAGCACUUGGUUGAGAUUUUUGCCUAAUUGGUUUCACAACUUGGCUUUUAUGGCUCUUAUCUCGAGUGACUUUGACCUUGGCUUUUACUUGGCUUCUGAUCACUUGGAUGAUAUUUUUAGCUUUUGCCUCUCAAACCAUUUUGUUGUGCUUAAAUGCUAUCAACACACUCAUCAAAGGGGAGAUUGAGAAAAUCAAGUUGAUAUGAACCUUGAUUUUAUAGUGAUGAGCGUUUGACAAAUGUCGAAAUGGCUUUGACAGCAUUUUGGGAUUCAUGAAGCUCUUGUGUCUCUCGCCUGACUUUUUGGUUGUCUUGUGGGAUUCAUCAAGGGGGAGAUUGACAAAUGGCUUUGAUGCAACCUAGAAUUUUUUUUUGGAGCUUGCGUAAUCCCUUCUCAUUUCAAGUGGCCUUGUGUUUGUUUUUACUUGGUUCUUGGGCACUUGAAUGAGUUCUCUUUUGCUUUCAAAUCAUCUUUUGUCAAUGCACUUAUCAAGGGGGAGAUUGAGAGACCAAGUUGAGAUGUGCCUUGGUCUAUUUGUGAUGAAUGAUUGACUAGAUGAUUUGAGGCUUCACCGGUUGAGUCCAUACUUCAUAUGUGCAUGAUUAUGCUAACGGCUAACCGAAUGUGUUGUGUUGCGGUGUUCGUACAAAACAUAUCUUGUGUGUUGUGUCUCUUGGCUUGUGAUGUGCAGGUGUAGGAUGCGUCAUGGCGAUCGACGGCAUCAGGUGAAGGUCAAGCGUGAAAGUUCCAUGCUGAUGUACUAGGGUUGUGAAGGGUGGACACUAGUAGGCUUGGACCGAGGGACUCGAGGAGUUCGGGUGGAGUCAUGGGCGAUCCACAGGGUGCACGUAAUAGCAAGAGUACACUAACGGUGAUGGAGACGACGUCGGUCGAGUCAAGCGGGACGGAGGAGAGUCGAGUAGGCGGCCCGGAGCGGGAGAGAAAGACUUGGAGGUGUCAAAGGCUUGGCGGAGGCCGGACACACGUCGACAUCGGUGAGUCACGCCUGCAGGGUGUGCAAGAGGGUUUGACCGGUUUGACCUCAAAACUAGGGGUGAGUCACGCCAGGUGGGUGUGUAGAGGAUUUGACCGGUUUGACCUCAAAACUGGGGGUGAGUCACACCAGGUGGGUGUGCAAAGGGUUUGGGUGGUUUGGGCCUCAAAACCACCAUGCAGGCAGGUUUGCCAGUUUGGGCCUCAAAACUGAGGGUGAGUUCGGUGCGGUCGGACGGCGUCGAGUCGGAGGACGUGUGGCACCAUCGCGGAGCUUGCAUCGAGGCGAAGCGAGGUCGUGAAGGCGCCAGGUCCAUCCGAUGAACGAAGAAAAAGUUGACAGUUUUGCACCUAGGAGGUUUGGAGUUGUAUGCUUAAUGUAAGGGCAUUUUGGACAUUGGCCAAAUGCCUAUAUAUGUGUAUGAGGGCUGUUUGGGGCAACAAUCCCCCUUGGUCUAGUAGGUGGUAGUCUAGUUAUUUGUUUGUGAGAGGCUUUGGGAGAGAGGUGAGGCGAGAGAGGAGAGGAUCUUUGUUUGAUCUUUUCGCCAUCCUAGCUUUAAUUAUGCUAAGGAGUGGUUUGUAACCGGACAUGGUGAAGUAAUCAGAAGAUCUAUUUCAUUCCAUCUUGUUCCAUUCCAUUUGGAUUUGCAAUUUCCGUUUGUGUUCUUUGCGUUCUUGUUUUCUUCCUUUUCUUCCCUCUCACAUUUUUGGUCGAUUCGUGUUUUGUGGGGAGUUUUGAGUCAAUCCGGUUGUUUGGAAAUGAACUAGGAUGUGAGUUGAACCUUUACCCUGAAGGGAUUUGAUUGGAACCUCACAAGUUCAUAGAUCGGGUCGAUUCAAGUUCUAGGGUUGAAAAAGCGGUGUUGUUUGCAAGAAUUUUAAUUCCCUUUGUUUGGCUAAUCAUUUUGAGGAGAUCUUUUGGGAAUAUGUUUGUUAUGUUGUUGGGAAGCUAUGGUUAAAAUUUCGUGAUUCUUGGAGGUUGUUUGAUCGAGUUUCGCAUUUUUCUUCCAUCUUCACGCAGGCUGAAAUCUGGGAUUCCGGAAUAUUCCGGACCUAAUUCCGGAUAUUUCCGAACCUACGGAAAUCUCCGGAGAUUUCUCCAGAAAAUUCCGCACGUCCAGAAUUUUCCGAAGGUUCCUCCGGAUUUUUCCGCACAGAGGUGUUAGUUUUCAAAGUUACUCUUUCGGAGCUUGUUUGGAGCCUUUCUUGCUUCUGCUAUUCUUAAAUUGGGUUCCUAGCAUCAUUCCGAGGUCCAUUAGCUCGUGUGUAGCUAAGUGGGCUUGAUUUUGCUAGAAGAGAGGCUUGUGGGUUUUUAGCCGAAGUUCUUGGAGAAAAUUUGAAUCGGCUCCCAUUCACCCCCCUGGUCACCUUUCCGGUCCUUCAGCUACAUUCUAGUACAAAGAUGUGCCCAUUUUAUAUUAUUUACGGUUUGUUGCCUUGUGGUCCUAUUGAUUUAAUACCUUUGCCAUCUUCUGAAGAACUAAAUUUUGUUGCUACUAAGCAUGCUGAAUUGAUGUUAAAAUUGCAUGAAACAACUAAAGAAAACAUAGAACGUAUGAAUGCUAAAUAUAAGUUUGCUAGUGAUAAAGGUAGAAAGGAACUAAAGUUUGAACCUAGAGAUUUAGUUUCGCUGGAUUUGAGAAAGGAAAGUUUUCAUGAAUUGGGAAAAUCUAAACUACUGCCUGAGGCUGAUGGACUAUUUAAAGUGCUAGAGAAAAUUAAUGACAAUACAUAUAUACUAGAUCUACCUACAGUCUUUGGGAUUAGUCCUACCUUUAACAUUGCCGAUUUAAAGCUGUAUUUGGGAGAGGAAGCUGAGCUUGAGUUGAGGACGAGUCAAAUGCAAGAAGGGGAGGAUGAUGAGGACAUCAACACCAAUGAUACAUCCACACUGACAGAAGUACCAAUUUCUGGUCCCAUUACUUGUACUCUUGCUCGUCAACUCAACCAUAUUUAUACCAUGGAGACACGUGCACUCUUGUUUUGCUUAAGAAUCAGGGAGAAGACCGAAAGUGAAAUGGAUUCGAGCAGGCUGGAUUUGGACUGCAGAAAAACACCAACUUGUGACGGUCGCAUACGGACUCGAAUUGGAGCAUUCAAGUACUUCAUGGAAUCCUUAUGAAGUCUAUUUUCAUAUGGAUCUAGACUCAUGUCCUUAUCUACUGAGAUCAAAUUACUACCUAGAGGUUUUUCUAUCCAAGGUGCUCCGUCAUCUUAUUUUGGCCCAAUGGGCCAUGUAUCAAGUUGGGUCUAUUAGGGAUGCAUCCUAGGGUUGGAGCAUGACCCCAACACCCUUGUGGUCAUCCUCCCACAUUCUUAUACCCCUUAGCUGCCACCAGGAACACUCGGGUUUUGUUUAGAUUAAGUUUACCUUUUGCUACUUGCUUGUAAGCGCGCGUACUGGAUCAGCCGCCCGUCUUCUUGUCUUCGGAACCAUAUCGGAGAUUGAGUUUGAAACCUUCAUAUACAUCUAGUAAUUCAGUACUUUUUCUACUUAUUCUUUCUAGUUUUUCAAUUGCUUCCAGGACGAGUGCCCUAGUGGUUGGGGUAUUGCACUCCACAAGAUCGUGCAGCCAUUGGAGGUGGUGUAUCAAUUGCUGAGGCACAGUGUCCUUGGAAGGCUAUAGUCGAGUUGUGAACGUCGUCUCCAUCCACCAAUUGGGUUAUCCCCUUCCCUCUCAUCGAAUGAUCGAGACUCAACCCAACGGGCUCACAUCAAGUGAAGGUCUUAGGGAUUUUUUGGUUUGUUAGCAACUUCUACUCCCGAUAGUCACCUCGGGGGUAGUAUGUGCAAUUGAAUUAUUUUGCAGGCAUGCUGGAGCACUUUCAUAAAAGGAAAAGAGAAGAAAUCAAAGGACAAUAAAGGUGACAAAAGUGAAAAAGCAUAAAUACGAGCUUCGGACGUGGAGCACAAUGGUUUCAACGAUCAUAAAAUGCUUCAUCUUCUUCUUCCAUGCCUAACACAAUGCUAAAUAUGGGGGAGGACUUGGCGGACGAAGAUAAAAAUGCUAUAUGCAAUGCAAGGACCACGGUCACAAGAAGAUGCUCAUUUUUCUUCAUCCAUGCUAAGCACAAUGCUCAAGUAUGGGGGAGGCAGUGCUACACUUCAUUACAAGCAUCAAAAGGACAGUAAGCUUUUCCUCAACCAUCUCUUUCUAAAUGCCUGUGUAUAUCAGCCUUCAACCAUAGACUCGAUGCAAUCUUUGUAUAUCUCUCUCUAUAAUAACAUGCCUACUAGGAGUACAACCUAGUUUUUGUUUUCAAUAGAUGAUGAUCACCAUCACCUUGUGCUCACCAAAUGAUGAAGGUUGCCGCUUUGUUUUACAUGUAUAUGACUUGACUGUUUGCUCUCUUUUCAAUGAACCUAAAUUGAUUAAAUACCGGCUCUUCUAAUUGUGGAGGUUAAAUGACUAAAUUCUAGACCCACAAGCUCUAUGUUGCUCUUUUAUUCAAGUUUACAAAUGACCUAAUAAAUUGAUUUGUUUUUAUUUAAAUUUAGUUCAUAUGCUAUCUACAUUUGUGAAUCUCUUGCAAAGUUCUACCUACCAGAGCCUAUAUACAUGCAUGAUCUUACAUGAUAAAACCUUUAGAUGGCAAACUUAUAUUUUGAUGAGUUGGAUUAAAAUUGAUUUAUGUGGUAUGAGACUUCGUGGCCCAGCACUGUGGACUAGAGGUUACUGUCGUAGAACCAGCUCCGUGUACUUUGUACUUUGAUGGAUCUUCAUGUGGGGCUGGAUCAGGAAUCGACAUCAUCCUCAUAUCCCCUUGGGGGGCAAGUUAUGAUUUCUCUCUGCCGAUUGAGGCAUCCACCACUAAUAAUCAAGCAGAGUAUCGGGCCAUCUUAAAAGGGAUCCAGCUAUUAAGAGAAGUCAAGGCUAACGUAGUGGAAAUAUUUGGAGAUUCCAUGCUUAUUGUGGACCAGUUGUCUGGGAGAUUUGAAUGCAAAGAUGAUAUCCUAAGGAUCUGUUAUGAAGAGUGCCUCCAGAACAUAUUCCCAGGGAUUACAAUGAAGAGGCUAAUAGGCUUGCCCAGCAUGCCUUCGAGUAUCAGCCGAUUCAAGGUGACAUGGUCCUAGAGCUUGCGGCUGAUGACUGGAGGAAGGAGAUCGUCGAUUAUCUAAAGGAUCCAUCCAAGAAAGUCGACCGACGAGUACGCUUUCAGGCUACGAAAUAUGUGCUGCUUGAAGGUGAUUUGUUUUACCAAUGAUGGAUGGGGUGUUACUCAAAUGCCUUGGGGUGGAAGAAGCAAAGACUCUGAUGGGGGAAAUUCAUGAAGGUGUAUGUGGGGCCCAUCAAUCGGUCUUCAAGAUGAAAUGGAUGAUUAGGAAUAACAGAUAUUACUGGCCGAUGACACUCGAGGAUUGUUUUAAAUAUUAUAAGGGGUGCCAAGAUUGUCAGAAAUUUGGUAAUGUGCAACGAGCACUAGCUUCGGCUAUGAACCCAAUGGUAAAGCCGUGGCCAUUUAGAGGAUGGGGGAUCAACCUCAUCGGUCAGAUUUAUCCGCCAUCAAGUAAAGGACAUAAGUUUAUUUUGGUGGCUACUGAUUAUUUCACCAAGUGAGUGGAGACAGUUCCUCUGAAAACCAUGACGUCAGCCAACAUGAUCGAAUUUGUGAAGGAACACAUUAUCUAUCGGUUUGGUAUUCCUCAUACUAUUACAACUGACCAGGAAACGAUGUUUACUUCGGGAGAGUUUGAAGAAUUCACUGCCGACAUGGGAAUCAAGUAGCUAAAUUCUUCCCCGUAUUAUGCUCAGGCCAAUGGCCAGGUUGAAUCGUCCAACAAGGGGGUAAUCAAGUUAAUUAAAAGGAAGAUAGAGGAACAACCAAGGCGGUGGCAUACAACUUUGAGUGGGUCCUUGUGGGCCUACAGGAUGGCUUGCCAUGGCACUACCAAAGUGUCUCCUUACCAAUUAGUGUAUGGACACGAAGCGGUGCUACCUUGGGAGUUGAAAACUGGGUCUAAGCGUACGUCACUUCAAGAUUAGUUGACGGCUGAUGCCUAGUUUAUCCUCAUGAAAGGGGAAUUGGAGGAUUUGGCGGGUCAGCGAUUGAGGGCCUUGAUCAGUAUUGAGGAGAAUAAGAAAAGGGUCGCCAGAUGGUAUGACAAGAAGGUCAAGGUUAAAUAGUUCUCCCAAGGAGACUUGGUUUAGAAGUUGGUCUUGCCAAUAGGAUCUAAAGAUCCCAAAUAUGGAAAAUGGUCGCCUACUUGGGAAGGGCCGUAUAAGAUUAGUCGGUGUGCACCGGGAAAUGCAUACAUAUUAGAGACCAUCGAGGGAGAAGAAUUUACAAGGGCACUAAAUGGAAGGUAUUUAAAAAAUAUGGCAUAUCGGUUUCCUAUGGCCGAUUCCUAUUGACUCGGGUUUAUAUAGCCGAUGUGAGGAGCAUCGCCCUAAGGACAAAAGGCAAGAAGCAUCUGUUCAAAUAAGCCAAUUAUUAUUCGGUACAAUAAUUGGGUACAUGGCUGACGUGGUACAAGUCAUCCUUACAAUAAAAAGUACCGAUACAUUCAUUGAAUUACAAUAUGUUAACAGCGUUUUAACUAAGCUUUGCUCGUGUUGAUCUCUCUUUGAAUCUGGCCUAGUUUGAUCAAAAGGCGGGUGCUCUUUUCCUCCACAUCCGCCAUGGCGUCUUCAAGAGCGACUUGGCGGGGCAAUUGAUGACUCCUUUCAAUCAGCGGCUGGGGUGGCUUCUUGGAGGAGUUGGCCUCGUUGUGGUCCACAAUCUUCUGGGUGUGGGUGGGGAGAUGAUCUUUAAGUUCUUCACGAUGGGCUUCAAUCAGAUCUUUGUCCGCCUGCAUCAGUGGUUCGUCGGAAUGCAUGAUCUCGAUAGCUCGCUCAAGACCAGGGCUGAGCUGGGUUGGCUGAAAAAUAGUGGGCAGUCAGUCGAUGGUAAAGAUCGGUCAAGGAGCCCAAAUUUGAUGUUGUACCUGAUUGACGCAAGAAGAAGAAGCCAUCCGGAUGCCUGGUUGGAGAUCUAAAAGCGUUUAGCAGAGGGCAAAUGUGUGGACGUGGUGUGAGUGCCUCUGGAAGAGACACUGAGAUUUCGUAUUUAUAGAAGGAAAGGUUGAGGAGCAAUGGUUAGUAAAAGCAUUCAUUCAAAGCGGACGACCUUUGGGUUCGUAUUCACGCAGCAACAUUAAAAGUGUUAAUGUUUUACACAACAUCCAAAAGGCAUUCAAUGUUCAGUACAUUCAUCCAAGGAGGAUAUUAAUGGCCGCAAUCGCCCGCUAGCAGAUCUGAUCUGCUGAAUCUAAUACUCGCUGGUCGUCUUCGGCCGAUCCAGGAACUUCUGGCACAUUGCGGUGAAGUCGAAUGGCCUCAUGGGUGAGAUUUUGCCUUUCCUGUUUCAAAUCGGCAAUGGUGGCCGGGAGGUCUAGGAGGUUCUUUUCUUCAACAGCGAUGGCUUUCACAACCUGCUCCAUCUCCUUGGCAAGUUCUACCCUGCGCCGCUUGAGUCGGUCGAUGGCGCUGACAAUGCUUGGGCGCGAACUCUCGAGGGUGCCAAUUCGGUGAUGCAAUUCUUGAGCUCGGUGCUUAUAUGAUUCCUCCUCUUCGCGUGCUUUUGCCAGCCUAGCACGAUCGGCCAUAUGCCGCAGAGCUCUAAACACCGGGAUUUGCAUUGAUUCAAUAUAUGGCGUAGGUGCAAGAGCUUCCUAUGCGUCUUCUAGGACUCAACCUUUGAUUUAAUUAAAGAUUUUCUGAAUCGAAGAGGUAUCUUCCACCAAUCGGCCGAUAUCAUCCUCGAGGAGGGUUCGUAUACUCUGGAGCUUGGCACGGAUUUCUUCGGGUAUUGAGCCUAGAGCCACUUGACGUGAAGUAACUUCCUCAUCAUCAGAGACAGCAACCGCGAAGGAAAAGAGGCUAUUGUUGGGCGUGUCAUGUUCCUGAGAAGAAGGUGAAGAGGGAAAAGUGUUUUAGCCAACAGGAGUAGGAACUCGGCUGGUAAAGUAAUAAUGGUUCUUACCUCCUUGAAGUGGAUUUCUUCUACUUGCGUUGGUGGGAGUGCUACCCUCGUUUAAGGAAUCAGCGCGAUUGGCUCGUCAGAAGAGGAAGAAAUGAUUGGCAUGGUGCUUGGACCAGCUUCCUAGAGAAUGACAGGGAAAAAAAUCUCUAUGAGCAUAAAAGGAUAAUUGGAUCUGAGAUUGAGUGUCAGUUAUCUUACUUUUGAAAAUCGCGCGGUUGAUGGCUGCCUAAAGGGGACAAUCAAUGUACCUGGGAUGGCCUGUGCCAAAAAUUGGUUAGUUUUGGUUAAGGGUUGAGAAAGACAAAUGAAAGGUACAUUCUUUACCUCGACUAGAAGGAUUGCUGGUGGUUCGGUCUUUGCCUGGAGGUCAGCUGAUGGACGAAUGGUUUGCUCCGGGAGGAUUCACAUGACCUAAUAAGGGGUGGAAUUUAAUGGUGACAUCAUACUUAGAGGAUGUGCAGCAUAUGGGAUUACCUGUACAGCUUCUCCCAGCAAGGAUGCAGCUGCCGAUCCGGCUUCUGAAACUGCUUGGGGGUCAACCUCUUGAAUGACUAGCAGUACUUCUGAUUGAGUCAGCACAGCUAAGGGCUUGGCUAGCAGCGUCGCCGAUUGAUCAGCCAAUUCUGUGCGAGCGCGCACCCAACGGCCUGUUUUUUUCAAAGAAGACAUCUUCAGUUUCUGCUUCAAUCGGCUAGUGGCUAUGUCCUCCAACAACGGGGUAUAAAAGCCGAUAAUCAGGAAUGAUGUAUAUGGAUGGCGAUUCUCUAUCGGCCUACCGCUUCGGCUGCGUGUUGGAGGAGGUUGGCUUUCGGACUAUGCAAAAAGGGGAAAUCAGUAACAAUCUGUAGCAUAAAGAAGACAGUGAGAAAUCGGCCGGGAAGAUUGUUACCUCUGCGUUUGGGUCAAUUUGAGCAGGGUCCAAGCUUGUUACAAUAUAUUGCAAGAGACGCGUAGAAAAGGUGUUGUUUCCACUCACCCCACCAUAAUUUGAAUUGCUGAACAGAGAAGGGUGCUACUAACCAAUUGGUCAAGUUGAUGGUGCUCGAAUCUUGUGUCAAGCUGCACAACCGAUUGUAUUCGAGCCCUCUUGAAAGCCACUCCUGGAACUUCACAUGGCCGACAAAGUAAAUUCCAAUCGGCAUCUAUCCUAGGCCAAAUUGCCGAGCUGCCACCGAUGGAUUGUAGAAUUCAUAAGUUGGGGAGUCCUUUCCAGAAAAGAAGUUUGUUGGCAGGAUCUCGGGCUUGAUCAAAAUAUCCACGAGCCCAUCUUCAAAGAAGCUGGUACUCGAGUCAAAGAAAUCAGGAUUUUCAAAGAGUGGCUCGUCUCUCUGGUAUGGAUACCAGCUUGUGGUUUCUUCACUAAAGCCAACAUAGAAACAUCUGAAAUAUUCGGCUGUUCUUGUGGGGGUAAAUCUACUGCAGGAAAAGAUGACAUGGCCUCACCAAAAGAGGUGCAACGCCGUCGUAAUGAUGGAUCAUCCUCUGAUUCAAUAUUGGGGAAAGUUUUGGACUCGACUUGUUCUCUAGAGAUCUUGCUCAUGUACAAGUUAAGCCAAAGGGUGAUAAAUGACCAGGGACUGCCAGGGUUCCCGAUAGGCUCUCCAGAUGAUAAUUUUACGGCGAUCUGAUGAAUCAUAUAAUAGGCCAAUCCCAACAAAUGUUUCCCCAGAGGAAUAGUGGAGCCUCUUGCUAAUGCUUCAGCCAAAGCUUGUGUGUUGGAGGAAGGGCUGAUUGCUCUACCACAGAAAAAGUGUUUCUCUAGCCACAUCAUUAAAAAGGCCAUAUACUCUCUGUCGCCGAUAGGCCCGGUCUUCAUGUUUUUCUCGAUGAAGCCCUUCCACCUGCCGAUUCCUUUUGUUUCCAGAUGGUGAGUGGGCUUGAUUAAGAAGUCAAAAGGCGAAUCAGGAGAAGAGACGUCAAGACUGGUCAACAUCAAGACAUCGACCAAAGUGGGGAUCAUGGGCCAUGGCCAAAAAGGAACGCAUUAAGGGCGUCAGACCAGAAGUAAGAUGCCAAUGACCAAGGAAUCAUUUCUCUCCAUUUGGGACAGAGACAAGUUUAUAUAGUGGCCGAUUUUUAUUUCAUCCCAAAGAACUCUCUUGGAGUUGGACAUCCUCAAGAACCAUUCCCUCCAGCCAUGGGUCUCAUUCGACCAGGAUCUAAAUGUGCCUGACCAGUUGCUCAGAUCCAUACUUGAUUGCUUGAAGAUGAUUCUGUGAGUUUCCAAGUUGAUUAACUCGGUUGGAUCUGGAUUCCCCAUGGGGCCAAGAAUGAUAAGACCCGGUGCAUUGGAUAUAUGAAUAGUGAUUCUUUGCCUAAGCUGCUGAGAAGAUAUGAGGGAAAAACUAAGAACAGAUCUAAAGAUGCGCAAAAAUGGUGAAAAGUGGAAAGGGAAAAAAUUCCAGAGUAUUUACCUCUGGGAUGAAAGCCAUGGUUGCCGAUGGAAUCGCCAUUGGAGAGACUGGUGUGGAAUGAUCAAAAGAUGAAAGAGGAGUCACCGGAGAAAUGUAGCUGGAAGCUGAAUGGGCACCAGAAUGCAUUGGAAGAUGACCCGCUGGAAGAUAAAAGCUUUUGAGCUCCGGAAGAAGGAGCGGCGGGGGAGGCGAGCACUUAAAGGACGGUUCAAGAGAAGGGUAAAGGCAGGAUUUUUACUGCACCGUCCAAGCGAAUUUUGGAAAGAGCGGUUGCCUGUAGGCGCUUCAUUCAAAAAAAUCGCAAUGAUUAGAAAGAAGACUCUGGAGCAAAAGGAGUUUUGCCGCGUUUAUUGUUGCGUUUUCUUUGGGAGAAGAGCUUGAGUUGAGAAAAUUUCAGAGCAAAAGAUUUGUUUCACUCCGAAAUUGGGAGGCAUGUGUUGACAUCGGAAUUUGACACGUGUUUAGAUUGGCGUCAAAGAAGAAAUGGCGGCCGAUGCAGCAAAAAAGAAGCUACAGUUGGGAAUCAGCCAAUUGGAGCUACAAUGUUUCAGUUGAUUGGCUGAAGGAGUCAAUAAAGGUUGAUUGGGAGUCAGAACGGCUUGGCCGAUUUGGGCCGAAAGUGGGCUAGGGUGACGAUUAGCCAGAAGAUGAAAGAUUGGCCUAUGAGGAAAUAAUAACCAACUCCGAUGCAGGUUGCGUUCGUUUGUAAAUAUUUGUCAUCUUAAAAUUAGAGAUAGAACCUAGUCGGUUAGGAAGUCAGUUGUAAUAGGGUAUAAAUAGCUGCCUCGUAAGGCUUGUAAAAACAAGACAUCAAUCAAUACAACAAAAUCUACUUUUUCCUUGCAAUUUACUUUCAAGUCGGCGACUUUGCCAAAACCUUUUCUUUUCACGAGUUCAUACGGGUUGGCAGGGCUACGUCGACAUGACCUCCGGCCAAUUUGUAAGUUCCAUUUAUCGAGUAAUAUCUAAGCUUUAACUUCGAGCGCAUCGUUGUCAUUUUGUUUAGAUUUAUUCACCAGUUAUCGAUAUUUGCUAGCAUUAUAGCUUUACCUAUUAUUGUAGCUUUUAUCACCAGUUAUCCAGCUUCAGAUAUGAACUAUCAUCUUUUAUUACUUUCAUCUUUUAUCAUCACAUAGCCGAUUAGAUCUAUUCUAAGUGUUGCUUUUGUAGUGUUGUUUGGGUUGCUCUAGUAGUUUUCCUUACAAUUGCUACGUGGUUGUCGCAUGUUUUAUAGCCAGUCACUUCUACAGUAAAUCGGCCGAUUCGCUGAUACACUUCCCAAGACAGAUCGGAAACAUAGCCAAUCAAAACCCCUAGAAUUUAACGCUUGUCUUUCCUUGUCAAUCAACAGGUCAGAUUGACUAGCACACCGCGCGAACCGCAUCAGGGUGAUCAACCGAACAGGAGUUAAGCAGAUUCUCCCGGGUCGUGUGUCUGACGUCGAGAGGCAUCCAUCAAUUUUUAGCGUCAACAUUUGCCAACAUCGUUGAAGAAACUGAAACCAAAGGACUCGGAGGAGGGCAAGAAAUGCGCAUAGAGCAGAAUGACAUCUUCAACUAGCCGCCCAGCUCUCAAGUAUGAACCUCGAUAAAGCAUUUGAAGCAGUGCAAACACGGCAACACAAGACGCCACUUGCCACUAUUGCCUCCAUCGACCUCAUUACUCGUGCUAUGCCUCAAGAUAAGUAUAGUACGUUGAUAGCGCAGUUGGCAGAACACGCCUAUGAACUACUCGACAGAGCGACUCCAAUUCCAUCGGUAUCUCACACCCCGUCGGGGUGUAGUCAGCAUGGCAGCAGCAGAGACCACGCAAGACCUUCAGCUCAACCACGUGAAGACGCCAGACAACACGGGGGCACAAUUGGGGCUUCGAGGCAAAAUAGAGAUGUACUCGAAAACUCAAGACAACACAGAAGUGCGCUUGAGGGCAGUAGAAUAGCUUCUAGGGGAGGCGCACGCCACCAUAGAGCUAACCCCGAACCCUCACUCAUCGAUGGUGAUCUCAUGAAUAAAAUCAACAGCAACCGUGAUGCACGCAACAUCAUCAACAACCGACGUCGGGAGCAUGAACUUGAAGAAGACUACAGGGGUGAUGAUAAUCAUUACUUUCCCGCCUUUACAAGACGGGUUAGGAGCACAAUCUUACCAGAGAAUUUCAAACCUUUGGGUAUCUCCAAGUACGGUGGCAAGCAAGAUCCAGUUCAGUGGCUCCGCUACUACUCGUUGGUGGUCCAGGCUGCAAGGGGGACUGAUGACACAAAGGUCAUCUUUUUUCCUAUAUGCAUGGAAACUGCGCCACUAACCUGGCAAGACUUGAAACUAGCUUUCACUUGCAACUACGUAGGGGCAAUGCAACACACCGGUAACAGGAUCGACUUGGCACAAGUCAAGCAGCUACAAGAUGAAACACUACGUAGCUAUCUACGUCGUUUCUUUGACAAAAAUGCCACAAUUGUGGACAUCUUAGAACUAGACGUAAUAGAAUGCUUCCAGAAUGGCCUCUAUGAUUGCCGCAUGUUCCAAGACUUCAGUAGACAUCACCCCACGGAUGUCAAGGCACUCAAGAUCAUGGCCCAGUCAUGGGCAAACGAGGAGGAUAAAGAAUGUGAGAGGUUUGACUCAAAUCACUAUCGCGGCCGUGACAACAACAAUAAUCACGAUAACAACCAAGAGCAAAAUAGAAACCGCAACGGCGACCACCGAAAUAACUACUCGGGCAACCAAAACCGUAAGCGCAAGCUUGACAAUACCAUUGCAGCAAUGACAAAUUCAAAUAAAAAGGAUCUAAUAGACAUGAAGAUAGUGUUGGGAUACGAGGUAGGCUACACUAGCGCAAAUCACAAUUUCUACCGCGUAAAACCAGGAAGAACUGCCGUAUAAGGAUCACGGGAUUACCACUCGAUGCACUACUGGUGCAGAAGAUGUAGAUUUGCGUCGAUGCAGCGAAGACGAUCAACGUAGUCGUACGUAGUCGAUCAACGUAGUCGUACGUAGUCGAUCACGUCAACAUCCAGCAGCUCCUCAGCAGCUCGUCCACGUGCAGCAAGAUCGCCCUCGUGGUCGCGGCUCGUCGUCGCUCGUCGACGGCUCGUCCAAGUGCUGCAGGCGCAACACCUCCAAGGUAUCCACACGUGAAGGGAGGAAGCAUCGCAAGCCGGACUGCUAGAUCCGUGACUUGCAACAGGCGAGGGCGUGGGAGGCAAGGCAGAUCUGUUUCACCCAAAAGGUGUGAACCCUAGGGCGCCCCCACCCCUCUAUUUAUAGAGGUUCCUAACGGGCCUCUGGGUCCGAGGCCCAUUAGUACUUCUAAACCUAAUCCAACUCGGAUCACAUCCGAAUUGGGCUUCCAGCCCCUUAAGUGUGUGACCCUAUGGGUUCGGAUACGUAUAGACAUGGUCCGAGUACUCCCACUCAGCCCAAUAGUCGGUAGCGGCCUCUAGGAAGACGUGCUAACUCCUAUAUGCACACGAAGAUCAUAUCAGAGGAACCAUCACAACAUUAUAUACAUGCUAUUCCCUUUGCCUCACAAUAUUUGGUCUAGCGUCAAGCCGACCGCUCUUUCUCGAUCAUGUGAUUCGGAAUCCCUUUGUAGGUUAAUUCUUAACCGUACGUAGCAUGGCCAUGCAUUUUCGGAUCCGAUCACUCGAGGGGCCCAGAGAUAUCACUCUCAAUCAGAGAGGGGCAAAUCCCAUCUUGAUUGACCAUGUCUCAUAGCAUGCUUCUUGACAAACCCGAAAGCUACCUUUAUAACUACCCUGUUACGGCGUAGCGUUUGAUAGCCCCUAAGUAGGUCGAUCCACAUCUUGAAUACAUGCGACAAUCUCAGGUCUAAGGACAAAGCGUAUAUGUUGUUUAAAGAGAGAACUACUUCUCGUGUUGGGUCAGUCCUAGCACAUGUCUCCACAUGUGUCCACAUAAUUAUUUCAACAUCUCCAUGUCCAUGACUUGUGAAACAUAGUCAUCAACUAAUACAUGUGCUAGUCUAAUAUUCAUGUGUGUCCUCACAUGAACUCCGACCAGGGACAACUUUAGAAUAACCAUACAAGUAAAGAGUUUCACAUACAAUUCACAUAAUUGCAAAUCAAUUCAAGUAGCCUUUAAUGGAUAUUCAAUGAACACAAUAUACAAAUCAUGGAUACAAAUGGAAUAUCAUCAUCUCUAUGAUUGCCUCUAGGGCGUACCUCCAACAGUCUCCCACUUGCACUAGAGUCAAUCUAGAAGGUACCUAAUACCCAUAGCUCUUACAUGCGCAUCAUGCUUAGCCUGCGGGAGUGGUUUUGUCAACGGAUCAGAAAUGUUCAGAUCCGUGUGUAUUUUGCAUGUCUUGAUCUCACCCCGGUUAACGAAGUCUCGAAUGAGAUGAAAUCGCCGCAUUACGUGUUUGUUCUUCUUGUGGUUCCUUGGCUCCUUUGCUUGCACAAUUGCCUCAUUGUUAUCACAGUAGAGAUUCAAUGGGCUGGAUGCAUUCAGGAACACACCAAGCUCAAUGAGGAAAUUCCUUAUCCAAACACCCUCCUUUGCAGCUUCCGAGGCCACGAUGUACUCGGCUUCUGUCGUAGAAUCGGCCACCGUCUCCUGCUUGGAAUUCUUCCAACUAAAAGCACCACCAUUUAGCGUGAACACAAAUCCUGAUUGUGACUUUGAAUCAUCUCUGUCGGUUUGGAAACUAGCAUCGGUGUAACCUGUUACAACGAGCUCCUCCUCACCUCCAUAGAUGAGGAACAUAUCUUUAGUCCUUCUCAAGUACUUAAGAAUGUUUUUCACCGCUAUCCAGUGACUCUCACCUGGAUCAGAUUGGUGUCUGCUUGUCAUACUUAGCACAUAUGAAACAUCUGGGCGAGUACUUAUCAUUGCAUACAUGAUAGAUCCAAUAGCCGAGGCAUAUGGCACUCUACUCAUGCGAUCCCGCUCAUCAGCAGUCGAAGGACACUGAGUCUUGCUGAGAUGUAUGCCAUGUGACAUAGGCAAGAACCCUUUCUUUGCCUCUUCCAUGCUGAACUGCUUCAACACUUUGUCAAUGUAAGUAUCUUGGCUUAAACCUAUAAGCCUUCUCGAUCUAUCUCUAUAGAUCUUAAUGCCCAGAAUAUAUGCCGCUUCCCCUAAGUCCUUCAUCGAAAAACUAUUUUUCAGUGAAGCCUUACGGACUCAAGCAUAGGAAUGUUAUUUCCAAUCAGUAAUAUGUCAUCCACAUAUAAGAUUAGAAAUACUACAGAGCUCCCACUAACCUUCUUGUAAACACAAGACUCUUCCUCGUUCUUGGUGAAGUCAAACCCUUUGACCACUUCAUCAAAAUGAAUGUUCCAACUCCUAGAUGCUUGCUUCAAUCCAUAAAUGGAUCUCUGAAGCUUGCAUACCUUUCCAGCAAUUUUCGGAUCGACAAAACCCUCGGGCUGCAUCAUAUACACGUCCUCAGCUAGGUUUCCAUUCAGGAAAGCUGUCUUGACAUCCAUCUGCCAUAUCUCCUAAUCGAAAUAUGCAGCUAUAGCUAGAAUAAUCCAAAUGGACUUAAGCAUCACUACGGGUGAGAAGGUCUCGUCAUAGUCAACUCCUUGAACUUGUCGAAAACCUUUUGCAACAAGUCGUGCUUUAUAGAUGUGAAUAUUUCCAUCCAUGUCCUUUUUUUUCUUAUAGAUCCACUUGCACUCUAUGGCUUUAACACCAUUAGGCGGGUCAACCAAGUUCCAAACUUGAUUGUCUCCCAUGGACUCUAUUUUGGAUUGCAUGGCACUCUGCCAUUUUUCGGAGUCUGCGUCCAUCAUUGCUUCUGCAUAUGUCGCAGUCUCAUCAUUGUCCAACAAUAAUAUCUCCCGCAUUUCGCGGAGCCUUGCCGACCUUCGUGGUUGUGGCGGUGCUUCUCUUGCCAUGGGUAUCUCAACUUGUUCUGCUACGUUAGCAUCACACAUUGAUUCUUGCCCGAUCGGCUCAUCUCGAACUUCUUCAAGAUGCACUGUCUUUCCACUCUUUUCUCCUUUGAGAAACUCUUUCUCUAGGAAAACCCCGUUCUGAGUGACAAACACUUUGCCUUCUGACCGGUUGUAGAAAUAAUAUCCCAAAGUUUCCUUUGGAUAUCCCACGAAAAUGCACUUAUCCGACUUGGGUGUGAUCUUGUCUGACUGAAGUCGCUUGACAAACACUUCACAUCCCCAAAUCUUUAGAAAAGACAAACUAGGAAUCUUUCCAGUCCAUAUCUCAUAUGGUGUCUUAACUACGGAUUUAAAUGGUACCCUAUUAAGUGUGAAAGCUGCUGUUUCUAGAGCGUAUCCCCAAAAUGACAACGGUAGGUCCGACUGGCUCAUCAUUGAUCGAACCAUGUCUAGCAAAGUUCGAUUACGUCGCUCAGAUACACCAUUUCUCUGAGGUUUUCCAGGCGGCGUAAGUUGUGGAACAAUUCCACAACUCUUUAGAUGAUUGCUGAACAAUUCCACAACUCUUUAGAUGAUUGCUAAACUCGUGGCUCAAAUAUUUGCCACCACGAUCAGAUCGUAAGGCCUUAAUUUUCUUGCCACGCUGAGUUUCAACUUCAUUCUGAAAUUCCUUGAACUUUUCAAAGGUUUCAGACUUGUGCCUCAUCAAGUAGACAUAGCCAUAUCUACUAAAAUCAUCAGUGAAAGUUAUGAAGUAUUGGAAUCCUCCUCUAGCCGUCAUGCUCAUUGGUCCACAUACAUCGCUAUGUACGAGUUCCAACAAGUCUACUGCUCUCUCAGGAAAUCAUGUGAAAGGCAUCUUGGUCAUCUUGCCUAGCAAGCAAGCCUCACAUGUCUCGUAUGAUUCAAAAUCAAACGAAGUUAGAAGUCCAUCAGAAUGGAGCUUCUUCAUGCGCUUUUCACUUAUAUGACCCAAACGACAAUGCCACAAGUAGGUAGGACUCAAAUCAUUAGGUCGAGGCCUCUUAGCACUUACGUUACAGACAGGUGAACCAUCAAGAUUUAAAACAAAUAAUCCAUUCACAAUGGGUGCAAAAGCCAUAAACAUAUCAUUCUUAGAGAUCACACAACCAUUGUUUUCACUCGCAAAUGAAUAACCAUCCUUCAUCAAGCAUGAAGGAGACAAAAUGUUUCGACAUAAAUCAGGAACAAAAUAACAAUUAUUCAACUCCAUAAUAAAUCCUGACGGGAGGUGGAGUUGCAUCGUCCCGACGGUCAACGUAGCAACUCUUGCAUUAUUGCCCACACGGAAAUCAACUUCUCCUCUUUCCAUGCUUCUACUUCUUAUCAUUCCCUGCAUCGAAUUGCAAAUAUGAGCAACCGAUCCGGUAUCAAAUACCCAAGAAUUAAUAAUUGUAUCAGCGAGAAAUAUGUUGUCUAUAACAUUAAUAACAAGCGUACCUGAGGUGGAAGUACUCUUACUUCCGCCAUUCUUCAACGAAGCUAGGUACUGCUUGCAAUUUCUCUUCCAAUGACCAAGUUCAUGACCAUAAAAGUACUCUUUGUCUGGAGCAGGUCCAGGUCCAGCUUUAACCUUGGGCGCUGGGUUUGGCUUGGACGUUCCAGCCUUGCCCUUCUUCUUCCAAGAACUGCCCUUCUUCUUAAAGCUAGGCUUGUUCUGUAUAGCCAUCACAUGGCUGCUACUAGCGCUUUUCUUGAUGUCAGCCUCUGCUGUUUUAAGCGUGCCACACAGCUCAUUCAGACCCUUCUCCGUCCCAUGCAUAUGGUAGUUCGAGAUGAAGCUCCCAUAGCUAGGUGGAAGAGACGAAAGAAUGAAAUCAGUGACCAACUCUUGGCCCAAUGGAAAGCCCAGCUUCUCCAACCGUUGAGUGUAACCAUCCAUCUUGAUUACGUGUGGUCCUACUACUGCACCUUCUGCUAGCUUGCUCUCCACAAAGGCCUUAGACACAUUGAACCUUUCAGUCCUGGCCAGUGUUUGGAACAUGUCUCUAAGCACCACGAUCAUAUUGUGCACCUCAUGGUUUGUUUCAAACUGCAUCUGCAGCUCGGGUUCCAUGCAAGCAAGCAUAAGGCAGCUUACUUCGAGGUUAGCAUCACAUGCUUUCUUGUAAGCAUUCUUAGCAGCAGUGGGUGCAUCAUCAGCAGGUUCUUCUGGUAGUGGGUUGUCUAGAACAUCUUCCUUUUUCUCAGCCCUAAGAACAAUUCUCAGGUUACGGAUCCAAUCCGAGUAAUUUGUUCCAUUCAACUUGUCCUUCUCAAGGACCGAACGCAAAACAAACGGUGUAGUGCUGCUAGGUGCCAUUUAAUCUACAACAAAAGUAAUGCAAAAUACACUAAGACAAACGUAUCCAUGAUAGAGCAAAUCACAUUAAACUAUUUUAACAGAAUCUACUCCCACUAAAAUCAAUAUCCCUUUAUUGAAACUUAGUGAUUCAGGAUCCACAACUAACAAGUCUACUAGUGAGCUUUAGCAUCACCGCUAGCAAACAAGGUAGAUCGGUAAGCAACUUUUGCUAAUCAUAUCACAUAUGACUCCUGCUGUUGGGUGACAUCUCUAUAUCUUUGUGCCCAACCAUUAUGCCCCAAGGUCCUUAACCGUUAAGAUAACCUUGUUAAGCAAACCAACCCUUAUGCGUGUAAGUGUCCGACACAAACCCGUCUAGUCAAGGAAAACUAGUGGUACCCUAAUUUCAUAGACCCACCACUAAUUGUACAAGACAUGGGACGGUGCAAGUUUUUGUUGGGAGGGCAUACUAACUUAAACUUUGUGAGGGAUCAUUCUACUUCUAACAUCACAGCAUGCAGAAAGUAAAACAUAAAUAGAAUAGCAUUCACACAGUUGUGACACAGUAUGGCCCAUUUUCUUAUGGUGAUCUACAUCUCCAUAGAACCUGUUCACCAUGGUGAUCUCCAUCUCCAUGUUCCAUGUGCGCCAUCCUCCUGAUGAUGAGUCCUCCAAGAACUAGAACAUGCUAUUACGCCUAAUAGCUAGUAAAGAAGCUAGUAAUGAAGAUUACAUAGUUGCUUGGAUCAUCACAGAUUGGUACGCAGACCAUUAAAUACAUUAAAGUGACAACACAUAUGGCUCCAGCCGUGUUGCCGUACGCGUGACAUGCAGGUCAUGAAUGAGUUACACACAUGCAUCAUGUACACAAGGGGCCAUACUGAUCACAAGAUAUAUACAUCUUGCAAAACAAAGUUAGGCGUUCUAACGAUCCAAACUUCGAAGGUCCGAAACUCCAUCUUCCAAGCCGAAUUUGGGAAAUCUAAUUUUGCCGAAAAUGGCAACACCAUCGAAUUUCAUGUGUAACUUUUUCUGUAGAUCAAUUUUCAUAUAAAAUUCGCCCCGAUCCGAGAUCAUACCAAAAAGUUACGGCUGGUUUACCGAAGCACACGCACACGGCAAAAUCCCGACCCCGGUAGUUGAUCCAAUCUACUAUUGCAUAUCUCAUGCGCCUGGCGUAUGAACCUAGAUUUCAAUUCGACCAAUCACAUUGAUCUUCGCUCACUGCAACUGGAAUUACGUGUAUCACUUAACUCCGAUGGUGGAAACCCGACCGGUAGGAGUAUGUCGUUACACUACCAUUGCAGCAAGAACACGAAACCAGGACAUAGAUCAAACUGAAAACUCGCAUAUCUCCAUAUGCACACAUCUCGAAUCCAAAACAAAGUUGCUACGGCUCUGAUACCACUGUUGGGAUAUGAGGUAGGCUACACUAGCGCAAAUCAAAAUUUCUACCACGUAAAACCAGGAAGAACUGCCGUAUAAGGAUCACGGGAUUACCACUCGACGCACUACUAGUGUGGAAGAUGUAGAUUUGCGUCGAUGCAGUGAAGACGAUCAACGUAGUUGUAUGUAAUCGAUCAACGUAGUCGUACGUAGUCGAUCACGUCAAUGUCCAACAGCUCCUCAGCAGCUCGUCCACGUGCAGCAAGAUCGCCCUCGUACCGCGGCUCGUCGUCGGCUUGUCGUGGCUCGUCGGCGGCUCGUCGUGGCUCAUCGGCGGCUUGUCGUGGCUCGUCGGCGGCUCGUCCAAGUAGGUCGAUUCACAUCUUGAAUACAUGCGACAAUCUCAGGUCUAAGGACAAAGCGUAUAUGUUGUUUAAAGAGAGAACUACUUCUCGUGUUGGGUCAGUCCUAGCACAUGUCUCCACAUGUGUCCACAUUAUUAGUUCAACAUCUCCAUGUCUAUGACUUGUGAAACAUAGUCAUCAACUAAUACAUGUGCUAGUCUAAUAUUCAUGUGUGUCCUCACAUGAACUCCGACUAGGGACAACUUUAGAAUAACCAUACAAGUAAAGAGUUUCACAUACAAUUCACAUAAUUGCAAAUCAAUUCAAGUAGCCUUUAAUGGAUAUUCAAUGAACACAAUAUACAAAUCAUGGAUACAAAUGGAAUAUCAUCAUCUCUAUGAUUGCCUCUAGGGUAUACCUCCAACAGAUAGGCUCGCAUUCAGCGAGCUACUGAAGAAGCAGUGCCUGUGGCACCCGCACAGCAAGCACGCCGUGAUAGAUUGCUACAGCCUACACAGGGUAAUGAAAGAUUUGCCAGAACCCCAAACAAUAACAAUGACAAGAGAAAGGUAAGGCAGACGAAGGCGAAGACGGCAAAAAGAAGUUUCAAAUCCCAUCCACAAUCGUCAAUGUCAUCUUUGGCGGGAUCCCAGGCACUUCCUCUAAGCAGUCCUAGAAAUUUGUACUCAAAGAGAUCGUGUCCAUUGAGCCCAAUACUCUCACACCCCUCAAGUGGUCCGAGGUACAGAUUACCUUCUCCAGGAAAGACCAAUGGACAAGUUUCUUAGAACCAGGACAGUUCCCCCUUGUCCUGGACCUAGUUGUCGCUGGCUCAAGACUCACCAAAGUACUCUUUGAUGUCAUUUUUGCCACAACUCUAAAGAAGAUGGGCCUUGACAUUACUAACAUGCUCAUCCCAAUGAACUCCCCGUUCUAUUGGAUCGUCCCAGGCAACGCAGCUAUACCGCUUGGACAAGUAGUCCUACCAGUUACCUUCGGAACCAAAGAACACUACUAGGUAGAAUACAUCCGGUUCGAGAUGCUGGACUUUGAGACUUCUUAUCACGUUAUCCUCGGAAGACCAGUACUGGCCAAAUUCAUGGCAAUCCCACAGAAUGUUUACCUGCUCCUGAAGAUGCCAGGACCCAAGGGAGUACUCUCCCUCCGUGGAGACUUGUGAAGGUCAUACAAAUGUGACACAGAAGUUGUUGAGUUGGCGGCGACUACUCAAGUACCCAACCCGAUGCAACAAGUCUUCACCGCUUCAAAAAAGCUCUAUCCGGCAUAACUCAAAAUCCCAGAGAACAAGUCGGGAGCUACUAAAGUCAAGCUGGCAAGUGAUAUGGACUUCAAUGCCAUUGACCUUGAGAUGACGACUCCUCCAAGACAGCCCUGAUUGGCACAGGGUUGGAUGCCAAAUAGGAAAGCACACUCGUCAGUUUCCUUCAGGCAAACCGAGACAUUUUUGCAUGGAAACCAACACAUAUGCUAGGUGUGCCCAAGUAGUUGAUCGAGCACUCACUCAAUAUAGAUCCUAAAGCUACUCCAAAGAGACAACGACAACACAGAUUCUCCCAGGACAUAAGAGAAGCCAUCAAGAAAGAGCUAGCAAAACUACUCGUGGUAGGCUUCAUAAAAGAAGUCUUCCAUCCUGAGUGGCUCGCUAACCCAGUCCUGGUCUCCAAGAAGAACAAUAAUGAAUGGAAGAUGUGUGUGGACUACACAUACCUCAACAAGCCCUGUCCUAAGGAUCCCUUUGGGCUCCCAAGAAUUGAUCAAGUCGAUGAUUCUACAGCUGGAUGCGAAUUAGUCUACUUCCUGGAUUGCUACUCAGGAUAUCAACAGAUAGCCCUCAAGAAAGAAGACCAAGUCAAAACUGCGUUUAUCACCCCUUUUGGAGCUUUCUACUACAAAACAAUGUCUUUCAGGUUUAAGAACGCAGGAGCAACGUAUCAACGCUCCAUCCAGGUGUGCUUUGAGAAUUAACUCCACCACAACGUACAAGUAUACGUGGACGACGUAGUAGUCAAGACCAGAAAUCCAGAUGAUCUCAUUGAAGACUUGGAAGAAACCUUCACCAGCCUGUGAGCAUUCCGGUAAAAACUCAACCCUACAAAGUACGUCUUUGGUGUACCGUUAGGGAAACUACUCAGGUUCAUCAUCAGCCACAGAGGCAUUGAAGCAAACCCCGAGAAAAUCACCGCCAUCACCAAUAUGCAAGCUCCGUUCAGCAUUAAGGACAUCAAGAAACUAACAGGAUGCAUGGUGGCCCUCAACAGAUUCAUUUCGAGGCUUGGAGAAGAGGGCCUCCCCUUCUUCAAACUACUCAAGUGGCAAGAUAAGUUUUAAUGGACCGAGGAGGCGGAUAAAGCUUUGUUACAGUUGAAGGAUCUCACAGCGCCAACCCCAAUCGAAGACUUGCUGUUAUAUAUUGCUGCAACUACUCAUGUCAUAAGCACGGCAAUAGUAGUUAAAAGGUCUGAACCAGGUCACUUAUACAAGGUCCAGAGACUAGUCUAAAAGCUCGGUACCCACCGGUCCAAAAGCUGCUUUACGCCAUACUACUCACCUCGCGGAAACUGCGACACUACUAUUGGAGGUAUGCCCUAGAGGCAAUCAUAGAGAUGAUGAUAUUCUAUUUGUAUCCAUGUUUUAUAUUGUGUUCCUUGAAUAUCCAUUAAAGGCUACUUAAAUUGAUUUGCAAUUAUGUGAAUUGUAUGUGAUACUCUUUACUUGUAUGAUUAUUCUAAAGUUGUCCCUAGUCGGAGUUCAUGUGAGGACACACAUGAAUAUUAGACUAGUACAUGUAUUAGUUGAUGACUAUGUUUCACAAGUCAUGGACAUGGAGAUUUCAAACUAAUCAUGUAGGCACAUGUAGAGAUAUGUGCUAGGAAUGACCCAACACGAGAAGUAGUUCUCUUUUUACACAACAAGUACGCUUUGUCCUUAAACCUGAGAUUGUCGCAUGUACUCAAGAUGUGGAUUGACUUACUUACGGGUUAUCAAACAGGGUAGUUAAAAAGGUAGCUUUCGGGUUUGUCAAGAAGCAUGCUAAGAGGCAUGGUACAAUCAAGAUGGGAUUUGCCUCUCUCUAAUUGAGAGUGAUAUCUCUAGGCCCCUCGAGUGAUUGGAUCCGAAAAUGCAUGGCCAUGCUACAAAUGGUUAAGAGUUAACCUACAAAAGGAUUCCGAAUCACAGGAUCGAGAAAGAGCGGUCGGCUUGGAGCUAGACCAAAUAUCGUGAGGCAAAGGGAAUAACAUGUACGUGAUAUUGUGACGGUUCGUCUAAUAUGAUCUUCGUGUGCGUAUAGGAGUUGGCACGUCUUGCUAGAGGCCGCUACCGACUAUUGGGCCGAGUAGGAGUACUCGGGCCAUGUCUAUAUGUAUUCGAACUCAUAGGGUCACACACUUAAGGGGCUGGAAGCCCAAUUCGGAUAUGAUCCGAGUUGGAUCAGGUUUAGGAGUACUAAUGGGCCUCGGACCCAGAGGCCCGUCAGGAACCUCUAUAAAUAGAGGGGUGGGGGUGCCCUAGGGUUUACACCUUUUGGCGAAACACAUCUGCCCCGCCUCCCACGCCCUCGGCUGUUGCAACUCGCGGAUCUAGCAGUCCGGCUUGCGAUGCUUCCUCCCUGCACGUGUGGAUACCUUGUAGGGUUGCGCCUGCAGCACUUGGACGAGCCACCGACGAGCCACGACGAGCCGCCAACGAGCCACGACGAGACAACGACGAGCCGCGGCACGAGGGCGAUCUUGCUGCACGUGGACGAGCUGCUGAGGAGCUGCUGGAUGUUGACGUGAUCGACUACGUACGACUACGUUGAUUGUCUUCGCUGCAUAGACGCAAAUCUACAUCUUCCGCACCAGUAGUGUGUCGAGUGGUAAUCCCGUGAUCCUUAUAUGGCAGUUCUUCCUGGUUUUACGCGGUAGAAAUUGUGAUUUGCGCUAGUGUAGCCUACCUCGUAUCCUGACAGUGGUAUCAGAGCCGUAGCUGUUUAGUUUUGGAUUCAGGAUGUGUGCAUAUGGAGAUAUGCGAGUUUUCAGUUUGAUCUAUGUCCUGGUUUCGUGCUCUUCGCUGCAAUGGUAGUGUAACGGCAUACUCCUACCGGUCGGUUUCCGCCAUCGGAGUUAAGUGAUACACGUAAUUCCAGUUGCAGUGAGCGAAGAUCAAUAUGAUUGGUCGAAUCAAAAUCUAGGGUCAUACGCCAGGCGCAUUAGAUGUGCAAAAGUAGAUUGGAUCUACUACCAGGGUUGGGAUUUUUGCCGUAUGCGUAUGCUUCGGUAAAUCAGCCGUAACUUUUCGGUACGAUCUCGGAUCGGUGCGAAUUUUAUAUGAAAAUUGAUCUACAGAAAAAGUUACACAUGAAAUUCAACGCUUUUCCGUUUUCGGCGAAAUUAGAUUUCCCAAAUUCGGCUUGGAAGAUGGAGUUUCUGGCAUCCGAAGUUUGGAACGUUAGGACGCUUAACUCUAUUUUGCAGGAUGUAUGUAUCUUGUGAUCAGUAUGGCCCUUUGUGUAUGUGAUGCAUGUGUGUAACUCAUUCGUGACCUGCCUGUCGCACGUACGGCAACACAGCAGGAGCCAUAUGUGUUGUCACUUUAUUGUAUUUAAUGGUCUGCGUACCAAUGUGUGAUGAUCCAAGCAACUAUGUAAUCUUCAUUACUAGCUUCUUUACUAGCUAUUAGGCGUAAUAGCAUGUUCUAGUUCUUGGAGGACUCAUCACCAGGAGGAUGGCGCACAUGGAACAUGGAGAUGGAGAUCACCAUGGUGAACAGGUUCUAUGGAGAUGGAGAUCACCAUAUGAAAACGGGCCAUACUGUGUCACAACUGUGUGAAUGCUAUUUUGUUUAUGUUUUACUUUCUACAUGCUGUGAUGUUAGAAGUAGAACGAUCCCUCACAAAGUUUAAGUUGCUAUGCCCUCCCAACUAAAACUUGCACCGUCCCAUGUCUUGUACAAUUAGUGGUGGGUCUAUGAAAUUAGGAUGUCACUAGUUUUCCUUGACUAGACGGGUUUGUGUCGGACACUUACACGCAUAAGGGUUGGUUUGCUUAACAAGGUUAUCUUAACGGUUAAGGACCUUGGGGCAUAAAGGUUGGGCGCCGAGACAUGGAGAUGUCACCCAACAACAGGAGUCAUAUGUGAUAUGAUUAGCAAAAGUUGCUUACCGAUCUACCUUGUUUGCUAGCGGUGAUGCUAAAGCUCACUAGUAGACUCGUUAGUUGUGGAUCCUGAAUCACUAAGUAUCAAUAGAGGGAUAUUAAUUUUAGUGGGAGUAGAUUUUGUUAAAAUAGUUUAAUGUGAUUUUCUCUAUCAUGGAUACGUUUGUCUUAGUGUAUUUUGCAUUACUUUUGUUGUAGAUUAAAUGGCACCUAGCAACACCACCACAUCGUUUACUUUGCGUUCGAUCCUUGAGAAGGACAAGUUGAAUGGAACAAACUACUCGGAUUGGAUCCGUAACCUGAGAAUUGUUCUCAGGGCCGAUAAAAAGGAAGAUGUUCUAGACACCCCACUACCACCAGUACCUGCUGAUGAUGCAUCUGCUGCCGUUAAGGCUGCUUACAAGAAGGCAUUUGAUGCUAAUCUUGAGGUAAGCUGCCUUAUGCUUGCUUGCAUGAAACUCGAGCUGCAGAUGCAGUUCGAAACAAAUCAUGAGGCACACGAUAUGAUCGUGGCGCUCAAGGACAUGUUCCAGACACAGGCUAGGACUAAAAGGUUCAAUGUGUCCAAAGCCUUUCUGGAGUGCAAGCUAGCAGAAGGCGCAGCAGUAGGACCACAUGUAAUCAAGAUGGUUGGUUACACUCAGCGAUUGGAGAAGCUGGGCUUCCCGAUGGGCAAAGAGUUGGCCACUGACUUCAUUCUUUCAUCUCUUCCGCCUAGCUAUGGGAACUUCAUGUCGAACUACCAUAUGCUUGGGAUGGAGAAGGGUCUGAAUGAACUAUGUGGUAUGCUCAAGACAGCAGAGGUAGACAUCAAGAAAAGCGCUAGUACCAGCCAUGUGAUGGCUAUACAGAACAAGUCUAGCUUUAAGAAGAAGGGCAAUUCUUGGAAGAAGAAGGGCAAGGCUGGAAUGUCCAAGCCAAACCCAGCGCCCAAGGUUAAAGCUGGACCUGGACCUGCUCCAGACAAAGAGUGCUUUUACUGUCAUGAAAUUGGUCACUGGAAGAGAAACUGCAAGCAGUACCUAGCUUCGUUGAAGAAUGGCGGAAGUAAGAGUACUUCUACCUCAGGUACGCUUGUUGUUAAUGUUAUAGACAACAUUUUUCUCGUUGAUACAAUUAUUAAUUCUUGGGUAUUUGAUACCGGAUCGGUUGCUCAUAUUUGUAAUUCGAUGCAGGGAAUGAUAAGAAGUAGAAGUGUGGAAAGAGGAGAAGUUGAUUUCCGCGUGGGCAAUAAUGCAAGAGUUUCUACGUUGAUCGUCGGGACGAUGCAACUCCACCUCCCGUCAGGAUUUAUUAUGGAGUUGAAUAAUUGUUAUUUCGUUCCUAGUUUAAGUCGAAACAUUUUGUCUCCUUGAUGCUUGAUGAAGGAUGGUUAUUCAUUUGCGAGUGAAAACAAUGGUUGUGUGAUCUCUAAGAAUGAUAUGUUUAUGGCUUUUGCACCCAUUGUGAAUGGAUUGUUUGUUUUAAAUCUUGAUGGUUCACCUGUCUGUAACGUAAGUGCUAAAAGGCCUCGGCCUAAUGAUUUGAGUCCUACCUACUUGUGGCAUUGUCGUUUGGGUCAUAUAAGUGAAAAGCGCAUGAAGAAGCUCCAUUCUGAUGGACUUCUAACUUCGUUUGAUUUUGAAUCAUACGAGACAUGUGAGGCUUGCUUGCUAGGCAAGAUGACCAAGACGCCUUUCAGAGGAUUUCCUGAGAGAGCAGUAGACUUGUUGGAACUCGUACAUAGUGAUGUAUGCGGACCAAUGAGCACGACGGCUAGAGGAGGAUUCCAAUACUUCAUAACUUUCACUGAUGAUUUUAGUAGAUAUGGCUAUGUCUACUUGAUGAGGCACAAGUCUGAAACCUUUGAAAAGUUUAAGGAAUUUCAGAAUUAAGUUGAAAAUCAACGUGGCAACAAAUUAAGGCCUUACAAUCUGAUCGUGGAGGCGAGUAUUUGAGCCACGAGUUUAGCAAUCAUCUAAAGAGUUGCGGAAUUGUUCCACAACUUACGCCGCCUGGAACACCUCAGAGAAGCGGUGUGUCUGAGCGACGUAAUCGAACUUUGUUAGACAUGGUUCGAUCAAUGAUGAGCCAGUCGGACCUACCGUUAUCAUUUUGGGGAUACGCUCUAGAAACACCAGCUUUCACACUUAAUAGGGUACCAUCUAAAUCCGUAGUUAAGACACCAUAUGAGAUAUGGACUGGAAAGGUUCCUAGUUUGUCUUUUCUAAAGAUUUGGGGAUGUGAAGUGUUUGUCAAGCGACUUCAGUCGGACAAGAUCACACCCAAGUCAGAUAAGUGCAAUUUCGUGGGAUAUUCAAAGGAAACUUUGGGAUAUUAUUUCUACAACCGAUCAGAAGGCAAAGUGUUUGUCGCUCGGAACGGGGUUUUCCUAGAGAAAGAGUUUCUCAAAGGAGAAAAGAGUAGAAAGACAGUGCAUCUUGAAGAAGUUCAAGAUGAGCCAAUUGGGCAAGAAUCAAUGAGUGAUGCUAACGUAGCAGAACAAGUUGAGAUACCCAUGGCAAGAGAAGCACCGCCACAACCAUGAAGGUCGGCAAGGCUCCGCGAAAUGCGGGAAAUAUUAUUGUUGGACAAUCAUGAGCCUGCGACAUAUGUAGAAGCAAUGAUGGACCCAGACUCCGAAAAAUGGCAAAGUGCCAUGCAAUCCGAAAUAGAGUCCAUGGGAGACAAUCAAGUUUGGAACUUGGUUGACCCGCCUGAUGGUGUUAAAGCCAUAGAGUGCAAGUGUAUCUAUAAGAAGAAAAAGGACAUGGAUGGAAAUGUUCACAUCUAUAAAGCACAACUUGUCGCAAAAGGUUUUCGACAAGUUCAAGGAGUUGAAUACGAUGAGACCUUAUCGCUCGUAGUGAUGCUUAAGUCCAUUCGGAUUAUUCUAGCUAUAGCUGCAUAUUUCGAUUAUGAGAUAUGGCAGAUGGAUGUCAAGACAGCUUUCCUGAAUGGAAACCUAGCUGAGGACGUGUAUAUGAUGCAGCCCGAGGGUUUUGUCGAUCUGAAAAAUGCUGGAAAGGUAUGCAAGCUUCAGAGAUCCAUUUAUGGAUUGAAGCAAGCAUCUAGGAGUUGGAACAUUCGUUUUGAUGAAGUGGUCAAAGGGUUUGACUUCACCAAGAACGAGGAAGAGUCUUGUGUUUACAAGAAGGUUAGUGGGAGCUCUGUAGUAUUUCUAAUCUUAUAUGUGGAUGACAUAUUACUGAUUGGAAAUAACAUUCCUAUGCUUGAGUCCGUAAGGCUUCACUGAAAAAUAGUUUUUCGAUGAAGGACUUAGGGGAAGCGGCAUAUAUUCUGGGUAUUAAGAUCUAUAGAGAUAGAUCGAGAAGGCUUAUAGGUUUAAGCCAAGAUACUUACAUUGACAAAGUGUUGAAGCAGUUCAGCAUGGAAGAGGCAAAGAAAGGGUUCUUGCCUAUGUCACAUGGCAUACAUCUCAGCAAGACUCAGUGUCCUUCGACUGCUGAUGAGCGGGAUCGCAUGAGUAGAGUGCCAUAUGCCUCGGCUAUUGGAUCUAUCAUGUAUGCAAUGAUAAGUACUCACCCAUAUGUUUCAUAUGCGCUAAGUAUGACAAGCAGACAUCAAUCUGAUCCAGGUGAGAGUCACUGGACAGCGGUGAAAAACAUUCUUAAGUACUUGAGAAGGACUAAAGAUAUGUUCCUCGUCUAUGGAGGUGAGGAGGAGCUCGUUGUAACAGGUUACACCGAUGCUAGUUUCCAAACCGACAGAGAUGAUUCAAAGUCACAAUCAAGAUUUGUGUUCAUGCUAAAUGGUGGUGCUUUUAGUUGGAAGAAUUCCAAGCAGGAGACGGUGGCCGAUUCUACGACAGAAGCCGAGUACAUCGUGGCUUCGGAAGCUGCGAAGGAGGGUGUUUGGAUAAGGAAUUUCCUCAUUGAGCUUGGUGUGUUCCCGAAUGCGUCCAGCCCAUUGAAUCUCUACUGUGAUAACAAUGGGGCAAUUGUGCAAGCAAAGGAGCCAAGGAACCACCAGAAGAACAAACACGUAAUGCGGCGAUUUCAUCUCAUUUGAGACUUCGUUAACCGGGGUGAGAUCAAGAUAUGCAAAAUACACACGGAUCUGAACAUUUUUGAUCCGUUGACAAAACCACUCCCGCAGGCUAAGCAUGAUGCGCAUGUAAGAGCUAUGGGUAUUAGGUACCUUCUAGAUUGACUCUAGUGCAAGUGGGAGACUGUUGGAGGUAUGCCCUAGAGGCAAUCAUAGAGAUGAUGAUAUUCCAUUUGUAUCCAUGAUUUGUAUAUUGUGUUCAUUGAAUAUCCAUUGAAGGACUCCGCCGUUAUCAUGAUCACAAUGUGAACAUCAAAGUACUCGUUGUAAUAGAGUAGGACUUCUCUAGUCGCAUCCGACUAGUAUUCUUGUAACCAACCGACCUGUAACCCUACUCCCGUAUAUAUAACGCGAGGUAGGGACCCCCUCCAAAGAAAUUCAAUACAACGAACACACAAGACGUAGGGUAUUACGCUAUUCAGCAGUCCAAACCUGUCUAAAUUGUGUAUCUGCGUUUACCUUCGAGUUCCUGAUCUCGACAAGCCCCACGAAUCAAAACACUACCUCGGGCACCCCCUUAGUAGGUUGCUGAGUCUAAACACUGACACCUUAUUGUGGCACCAGAUGGAGAGUCUGUGUUAUUUGGACUAGCUUCUUAUUGAACUUGUAAUGCCACUUCAAAAAAUAACUAGCUGGGUUUGAUGAAUUGGCACAAACUUGAUGUAUGGAGUUGUAAUAUCACUGGUGGAAAACGUAGCAUUAGUCCAAGUUGGAUAAGGCCAUAGAUCCCGAAAAUCUAACCGGGACUAAAGUUUCGAGACUGGGGGGGGGAGGGGUUAUUCUUUAGUCUCAGGUCAUUCACCCGGGACUAAAGGCCCCCUUUAGUCCUAGUUGAUUUUAUUAGUCUCAGUUGGUAAAACCAACCAGGACUAAAGGGGUGGCAACGCCAGGCGCAGCACGGGUCCCUUUAGUCAUGGUUGGUUUUACCAACCAGGAUUAAAGGGGGUACAUGCAUGUGCCUGCAUGGCGCAGGCACGUACCCCUUUAGUACAUAAGACUUUUUCUUUAAAUUCUUUUCCAUAUCGAUAUUGUAUGCAAGUCAUAUUAAUAUUGUAUGCAAGUCGCAUAUAGAUUUCAUGGCAGUAAUAUAUAUAUAUAUAUAUAUAUUUAUAAUUCUUAGUAUAUUAUACAAAUCAAACUAUUAUUUAUACAAUUACUAUAUAUACAAUAAUUUGUCCACUUUAUUCCUAGGAUCGUCCUGUCGUGGUGUUGCUCGUGCGGCUAUUGAACGUCCAUCGUAAUAAAAUUCUCCCACGGGAUUUAUCACCUCGUCCACCAGGAAUCCUAUGAGACCUUCACAUAUUGCAAAAAUUCUCUGCUUCUCCAAGAGUCUUUCUUGAAUCUUCCACAUCUGUAAUUUGAAAAUAUGUGAAUGUUACACGAACAAUUAAAUAUAAGGAGCUAGAAAAGAAUUAAUUAUUAAUAGUUUUAUUUUAUGUACAUCUAGAUCAUGCAACGAUAGCAACUUGCCAUGCACAAAACUGUUCAUGUUCUCACAAACAUAGUAACCACAUAGAUUAUUGCCUUGUUCCUCUCCCAACCACUUUAGUAGGAAAAAAAACAAGUUAUGAAAUAUUCGUGUUAUAGAAUGUACAAAAUGUGCAAACAUCAUACGUACCAGGAACUUUGUAUUGAGAGUAAGUUUUUCUUUGAAGUCACCAUAGUGAGUCUGAAGGAAUCGUUUCCAUGCGCUGCGGAUGAAAAUAAUGAAUGAUCUAGUGUUAGGUGAAAAUUUAGGAAAUAAACUUUUUCAUAGAUACAAAGGUCCAGAAUUAUUACGAGUUUAGCAUGUAUUGAAUGUCUUGGUACUCCGCUGGUGGUUCCCUCGAUGAAUUGAACACAACGACGUGGCUUCUAUCAAUCAUAAUUAUUAGGAGGAUCCAGUGGAAACUGCAUACAUAAAUAUUUAUAUUAGAGCUAACUAACAUUAAUUAGGUAAGGAAAGAGAAAACCAAAAUAGAUGGUACCCACACUUACUUAAAGUUGUAUGGUAGUAGUAUGUAUUCCUUGUAAUUUUGUUUGUCCAAGAAAUUGUAUACUGCCUUCAAUGUUUUCUUUGGCUGAUCCCGUAUUUGAGCUUGGUUAACGAGCGAUGGAUCCAUGAAGCCAACAUUAAAGUACGAUUCUCUAUGGCACCUCUGAAUUAGCAUCCUACAUAAAAUGGAAGUAGAAGUUACUAGGAUGACGCACACACAAAAAAAAUGAUAUGAGCCAAAUUUGCAUAUUGAAAAAUAGACACUUACAUAACCCAGGCACUGAUGAGAGAGAUGUCAAGGGCAUCAUGAUGGUACACUUCAUAUAUAUCCUUGAAUUCCAUCCAUAGGAGUUUCUCACCUUCACUGAAAAAAUCAAUCGGCUUAACCUGAAGAGCGAACAUGAGCCUCUCGUUGGCAGACUGCUCCAUGUACCAUUCAUGGAAUUCGUACAUCUUCGUGGAGAGCUUUUGUACCAAUUCAGGCCUUACUAGAGGCUUGCCUACCUCAAGGAGCCAUUAAGGUACAAUUCGCUCUGGAGCUAGCGGUUCAACUUGCCCUAGAACUUCAGCAAGAGACAUACUUGUAUCUUGCAUAAAUCCAAUGACUUUGAUUUGUUGUUCUAAGGGCACUGCUUGUAUAGUUUGAGCGUCUUUAUCCGGUAGAUCCCCAAGCUGGGGGACAGUACGACUUGAAGACGACGCUCCUCGCCAUUUUUUCUUCUCAUCAGACUUAACUAACGAAUGCUCGUAGUUUGAUACUAUAGUCCUCUUUGCUUCUUUUGACAUGCCAAUAAAAAAUUUUAAUUUUGUUGGAUCUAGUGGCUUUGGCUCCAUUUCCUUUGCUUUUCUUUGUUCAGCGCAUUUUUUGAAGAACUCCUUCACCGUUGCUUAGGAUAUUUCCCGCAAUUCCUCAGUAGUCAUAUCGGCCGGUAGCUUCUGAAUGGGUUUAGACUUCUUUGUUUUCUUUGGCUGCCUUAGCUUGGAAGGCGGUGGUCGUGGCUUCUUCAGAGGUGCUGCAAGUUCCUUGCUCACUGCGGGUCUUACUCCCGGCAAUGGUGAUCAGGGAGGGGUGUUGUGGUCAUCAUCACUCACACCACCAGGAUUUGAUGGAGAUGUAGACGGUGAUCGAGCUGGAUGCGACGGUCCUGGUGGUGACGACGGUCCUGGAGGUGGAUGUGCUAGAGAUGACGGUCUUGAGUUUUGAGGAGAUGGUUGCUACGGGGGAUCUACAGGGAGCAAUGAUGCCUCCAUGCCAGGGAUGAUGAUGUCGUUUGAGCCAUAGAAUGAUCGCAUGAAGUACAUCUCCUAGUGUCCUUUCCCCAUCACCUCCCGGGAGGUCGAGCUCUAAGCCUUCAUAUUGACUAUCAACAAUCCGCUCUCGGCCAAUGCUGGAGUAGCCAGGUGGAAUCUCCAUGCCAGGGCUUAUCUACCCUUGCAGGAUUGGUAAAGCACUCCCAUACGCCACCUGUACAUAUAGGAGAAAUAAAGAAGUUAUUAAACUCCCAAGGCGUGGAUGGCUUGAGAAGAUUGCAUAAAUUAUAUAUAUGUAUACCUUAAUAGUGAUGUUACCGAAUGGUCUAUGCAGCUCACCUGAGGUACGCUGAGUGAUGUCAUCCACAGGGUACCGUUGGUUGUCCACGGGUAAUCUUGUCAUGUGCUCAUCGGGGACCAUUGUGGAAGCAUAGCUGCUUCGGCGGUGAGAAGGGUUGACGAUGUUAGGAUCCUGCAGCUUUAAAUAUGUGCCGCCCGCUCUCCUCUUGCUGUUCCUUUCUUCACUUGUAGCUUCUGUAUGAGUCGAUGUCCCUACGGAAAGUGAACUUCCACGGAACGACCCCGUAGCCUUGGCAAUGUUCUGGGUGUUCGGGAUUCCCGAGCGCCAAUGUGAGCUCAUUGUUCUCUCUAUCCCCCUUCAACUUCGCAACUUUAGCAUCUUCAAUGUUUUUGAUAAGCCUUUCGGCCUUCUGACGUAUUGUUUCAUUGAACAUAAGUGUCUCAUCCUCUUGGCUCAGGUUGCCUCCAUGAGCGUAAUACUAAUUUUUUGAUCUAUCGGGCCAGUCAAUAGUUGCUAGUACGAUACCUCGAUCGAAUAGGUCUUGUUCCAUCUUGCACCAUUUGGGGAUUGUAGUGAUGUAACCAUGUCGCCCUAAACGAUGAUGGCACUCCUUGCUAGCAUUGGGAACAUUGACGCGAACCUUAUUCGCACUACCUUCGCUCAUCUUGUAUUCGACAAAUGAGUUCUAGUGGUCCCUUAACUUUGACCACUCAUUGAAAUCCAGAUUCUUCUUGAAGGUCUGGAAUUGGGUUUCCAUCUUCUUCAGCGUCCUUUCUUUCACAUCUUUUUCUUCGACACCUUCAGCAAGUGUGAAGUGUUUCUUCACAUCUGCCCACAACAUAUCUUUUUAUGUCCACGGGAGCACGUAUGGAUCAUCUUGUCUACCCUUCCAUUGUUUAAUGUUGAUGGGCACGUUGUCCCUUACAAUAGCCCUGAUCUCACUCAUGAACUUUCUAGCCACAUGUUUGGGAGCAAUUGGCUUGCCCUCUUCUUUCACUUCCGUGAUGUGAAGCCUUCCCUCCAUUAUCUUUGUACGACCUCGGGGCUUAUUUCGCUUUGUCGAUCCAGAGGGUUAAUAGUUCAAGAUUCUUUAAUUUGUACAUAGUAAUAAUGAAUAUGAAAUUAUAGAUGGGGUACAAAAACUGAAAAUGAUAUAUACCUCGCCGAAACCUUCCGUCAUGUCAAGGUUUUGUUCCGAGUUGUCAUCAACGCGGUGCUCGGGCUCAUCAUUGCCAUCACCAGACAUGUUGAGGAACAUGUCCGCUUGGAUACCCUCAUCCUCGGUGUACAUUAUUGGAAUGUUGGAGCCACUACCACCAGCAAUAAUCUGCUCUAUUAAAUACCUUGCAUCCUCUUCGUCUCCCAUCUCAACUAAUUUAAACACAAAUGAAAUCAUAGAUACAUUAAAUUAAAAAUUGUAUCAAGUAGUAUAAUUAAUGUUUAAACAUGAAAUCAUAGAACAACCAUGAAAUAAAAGAAACUGAUUGAAAUAUAAACAUGAAACCAUACAUUAAAUUAUAAAUAUAUAUAUAUGAAAUCAUAUAUAUAAUAAAACUUGUACAAUUUAUUACAUGAAAUUAAAUAUUACAAAAUCUCUACUUGUAUAUUGUCAUAAAAAAUGUCAUUAAAUUAUAUGUACAACACCUCUACUAAUUUAUAUAUUUGUAUAUAUACAUUAGUAUAUAUACAUUAGUAUAUAUACAAAUUUUCUAAGCAUUUCUACAAAUUUAUACUAAUUUUCUAAUCUUUUUAUACUAAAUUAUACAAAUGUACACUAAAUUGUACAAAAUGUAUACUAAAUUAUACUAAAGGUGAUGAUGCGGACAAUCUCCAACAUGUCAAAGAACCUACUUGCAAGGAUGCACCCCGACAAGAAUGAGUUUAGCAUCUUUGACUUCAUUUGGAAGGAGAUUAUUAUUUGCUCUUACUCACCCAAGAAAGUGACAAAGUUGGAGAUUUUGACAGACAAGGGUCAUCCCGUCUACAAGCCAAAGAAGGGUCAUCUUAAGAGGCUUUGCAAAAUUGGGUCCCAUGGUAUUCGUCCUCCACCUCCACAAGGACCUUCUCAUGGGCCUUCAUCUUCUCAAGGACCAUCCAUUGGAGCUUCAUCUUCUCAUGGGCCAUCAUCGUCUCGUAGGCCCUCUAGCUCUAGAGGUCCUCCACCCUCCCGUGCUCCUAAGAAGAAAGGGAUCUUCAACUUCCUAUCCCAAGGUCUCUUUGCUUGCUUCAAUGUGGGCCGCCACAAUGCGGAAGAAAUGUAUGCUCACAAGAAGCAUAUGGAUGAGCAACUCUUAGAGAUAGAAAAGGGGCAAAAGGAUCUCGUGGCUAAGAAUGAUAUCCCACACUCUCCCUUCCAUGCUCCUAUGGAUUUUUCUUCUCCACCGGUUUUCUACAACCCUUGGGAGGAAAUUGGGUAGCCCUCCAUGUUCUUUGGAGCACCCCAAGAAGAAGAUGAGGACUUGGGUGGGCAAGAGGAGUUUGAGGAAGAAGAUGAAGAUAUCCCCCUAUUCAUACUCCAGAAGAUGAGGGUGAUGAUGAUGAGGAUGAGGAUGAGGAUGAUGAUGAUGAGUGAUGGCUAUGAAAGGGCCUCCCCUUUUUGGAGCUUGAUGCCAAAGGGGAAGUGAGCUCACCAUGGACAAUAUGGUGGUGGUUGCUAUCUUUUUAUGAGUUUUUAGUUUGUGGGCUUGUGGACAUGUAAGAAUUUUUAUGUGGUUUGAUGCAUGGUGUGCCAAGUGAACUUUUAAGUUUAUAAGACUUAUUCCUGAUUUUCUAUGUUAGUGUGGAUCUAUAACUUUAUUCAUAUGUGAUGAUCAUGGCUUGGUGUAUUGUAUAUUUUUCACUUUGUUAAAGUGUUAUAUCUUGUCAUAUGCAUCACGAUGAUAUUUAUGUCACACCUUUGCACCCCACGAAUGCAAAUAUAUAGGGGGAGCCCACUUAGCAUGUGCAAAUGGUGUUUGAGGCCAUCUUGUCUCUAUCUUGAAAGAUGCAAAUGUUAAGGGGAAGCUCACCUAUAUGAUUGGAUUCAAAUGAUUAUAUAUGUCUCAUGUGAGCCUUAAUUGUGUUGUCAUCAAUCACCAAACGGGGGAGAUUGAAAGUGCAUUUGGCCCCCUGAGUGGAUUUUGGUGUUGAUGGCAUGCAUAAUUAAGGGACUAAUGAUUUUAUCAAGUAAUUGACAAGUUUAAAUCCUAAGAAAUGCAAAGGUGUAAGAAAAGAACCCCAAAUUUAAUUGAAGAACGGUGUUGGAGCAUAAAAGAAGACCUAUUUAUACUUUCUAUUUUUGAAAUUGAGUAUAGGAACACCGUAUUAUAAAGGGGGACGUGGAUGGAUAGCUUGAAGAUGUCAAGUGCUUGUUUGAUAUGCUAACAACCCAUGAGAGACACCACUUACACACUUGCAUAUUUAAUUUCUCAUAGUUUCAGUGAAUGUUGGAAGUUCCAACACCUGCUGGAAGUUUUAAAAAACUUCCAAAAGGGGGUGCUCAUUGGAUUUAAUUGAACAAUGUUGGAAGUUCUGAUAAUAGGCACAAGAAGUUUCCAGUAACUUCCAGCAAGGGGUUUCCAGCCGUUUUAUUUGAACUAUGUCAGAAGUUCCGACACUGUGUCGAAAGUUCUGACAAGCACAUAACAGAACUGUAACGGCUAGUUUUUCGGGCUCGGAUAUUUAUACCCCCUUAGCCUCCCUUUAUUUGCUGCUGACCUAACCCAAGACAAAGACCCCAUAGAGCAUCCAAUACUCCUCCCCACUCCCUUCUUAAGCUAAAUCUUUAAGAGUUUUGAUUUAGGGUUGGGUGAGAGAAAGAUUAGAGGUGUGAGACUUGGGGCUUUGAGUGUGAGGUUCAACAAGUUCAUCUCAAGAGCACUUGAAGCAUCUUCGGCCUUCGAUUUGUGUUUGUUACUCUUGAAACUUGCUUCUAGACGGUUUAGCGUCGCCCGUUUGAGCACCCUUUUUGUGUGGUGCAUCCGGGAAGUUUGUAUCACCCAUCCUCUUUGUAAGGAUUCAUAGUAAGUGACUCAAUCCUCCUUUGUGGUUGAUUGAGAGAGGUAAAGGGUUAGUGAGGACCCAGCUCUUUGUAAGCACCUCAACGGAGACGUAGCUUCCUUCGUGGGAGUGAACUUCGGUAAACAAAUCCUUUGUCUCGUGUGCUUGUUGUGUUCCUCUAGUUCUUGUUGACCUAGAAGCUUAUUUUGUGCCGAUCUAUAUAUUUGUGAAGUUCCUCUUACAUAUAUCACCUGUAGUAGUCUCUGUUCCUCACUUCUAAUCUUUUAAUUCAAAAGAAUUAGCAGUUUCAAGUUUUAUGUUGAAUUUCGUUCAGCUCAUUUCCUACCAUCGGAAGUUCUGCCUCUGUACCGGAAGUUCUGACGUAUCUAAUAUCUCUGCGAAAUGUUUCAGGAAAUUUUUAAAGAAAGCCUAUUAACCCCCCCCUCGAGGCAUCACAAGAUCCUUUCAGGAGCGGCGAACAGGAGACGUGCGGGCGCGGGGGCGGCGGAUCUUGAGAAGUGUGGGAUACGAGGUAGGGGAGAAGAGGGGGCGUGUAUUAACCUCCCCCCCUUUAGUCCCAGGUUGACUUUGCAACCAGGACUAAAGGGCUUUUAGUCCCGGUUGCAAAAUCCACCCGGGACUAAAGGCCCCUUUAGUCCCGGUUGCAAUUUGCAACCGCGACUAAAGGGUGCUUUUCGCGUAGGAGUUCAAAAUGCACGCUUUAGUCCUGGUUGCAAUUUGCAACCGGGAGGGGCUUUAUUCCCGGGUUGACUUUUCAAUCAGGACUAAAGGGCUUUUUUUUAUUUUCCAUCUCCCACCUGUUUUGCAAUUGCAAUUUAUAUAUGUUUUCCACCGGUUUUAUUAAAGAAAAAAUAAAAACUUGAUCAAUGUUAGGUAGGGGAAAAUAGAGUUAAUGUGAUUAUAAAAUUGAGUCCUUGCAAAAACAUUACAUAAAUAAAUUAUUACGUGAGAAAUGGACAUAGGUCUUCGUAUUAGAUAGAUAACUUGAUCAAUAUUCAUAGUUUCCACCAAUCAACCUUCAUAAAGAUAAAAAUAAUUCAUAUAAAAAUUACACCAUUCAACAUUCAUAACAUUCGCUAAAGAUGCAUAUAAAGCUUACACUCAUAAUAAGACAAUAAAGAUACAUAUACACUUUAGAUUACACACGCUCCAUAGUGGAGUUUACAUAGUCAAUUAUUCUAAAAUAAUAGUACAACAUAGCAAAAUGUUCGCCCUCCAAACCAUCUCUGCACAUAACUCAAUCUUCUACGAAGUCUAUCGAAGUCACCUCCACAUAUCGAGUACCAUAAAAUAAUGGUACAACAGAAGAUCUUCGAGUCCACAUACUCGGGCUGAAUAUCAUAUAGGAAUCUUGAAAUAAUUGUCCAAACAUCUUUUGGAGCAAGUGCCACAGUCUCGUAAUAGAAGUAUGGUGGCACACACAUAAUAGCCCAUCUAGGCAAAAGAUUCGUUCACAGAACAUGGCCCAUGGUGGCAAGCCAAAACCAACCAAAAGCCGCUAGCUCAAGGUUAGUGAACAGAUCUUUGCCUAAAGAGGAUAUUGGCCAGCUAACUUCUAUUAUAAGAAUUAGGCUCCAAAAGGCGUUUGGAACACUAUUUCAAGAUUCUUUUAUGAUAUUCGAUGUGAGUUUGUUGACUCGAAACUCUUCUGUUCUACCAUUAUUUUCUGAUAUUGGAGGAGCGGAGGUGACUCUCCAUAGACUUCAUAGAAGAUUAAGUUAUGUGUAGAGAAUAGUGUAAGCACAUUUAUGCCAUGUGCAUACACUGUUCUCUGGGAUUGGAGAAACGGAGGUCGUACAUCCAUUGCCGGUCCACCUGCAUCGUAUUACGUGGAAAAUGAACAUAGGGCUUCGUAUUACAUUAAGAACUUGAUCAAUAUUAGGUAGAGGAAAAAAUAGAGUCACUACCGGUUAAAAUAUUAUUAUGCUGUUAAAAUAGUGCUACAAUUGAAUAUUUUUUAAUCUCGAAAUUCAUAUCACUACCGGUUCAAACCGUUGAUGAUAAACCGAUUUUCACCGGUGGUUUGCACACCGGUGGUGAAAAUUGGAUUAUCGUGCGGUUCUCCAUACAAACUGGUGGUGAUGAUCCCAUUUUCACCAAAUGGUUUGUGGGGAAACCCGGCAGUGAUAAUUCCAUUUUCACCACGGUUUGUGGGGAGAACGAAGUGAUAAUCCCGUUUUUCACAACCGGUGUGCAAAUCGCCAGUUAAAAUUGGGUUAUCACUUCCGAACUUUCUGUAGCGUCAAGUCAAAACUGCGGGUGAUGGGGUUUUUGGACCCAGCAGUGAUAGGCAUGUUGUAGUAGUGGAAGGAUACACGCAUGUACUAUUCACCGUGUUUUCUCUGCUUGUAAGCCUGUUAUUUCGUGGUAUAGAACUGUUCUUUGAAUCAUUGGGUGUGAUGUAUGACUACACGUUCAUACAAAUUAUUGUAAUGAUUGUUUAGUAGGGCCCAAGAAUUUCUUUAGGGGGCACAAAGCUGAAAGUUUGACGGUUAGAAGAUUUGCAAAUGAUGGAAGCGACCGGUGUAACUACACAAAGUGAACGCACUAAAUCUACUUGAUUCUUCUUUGCUUCGUAGAAACUUGAGCGCAUUUAGUCUAAUUAGCUAGUGCAUCUAUGUCCUUCUAUAAAAAUUAAAUAAAGGGUAGCACGAAUGCUAAAGAAAAGAUGCCUUCAUGCAUCAGAUGCUCCUUGUCCAAGAACUUAUGUCACCAAACUAUUUUAAUUCGUAGAACCAAUAUCUUUGCAACCUGCGUCACUACACGGCACAUGGCAUAUCAUUUCAAAUAAUAGUAGCAUGCUUCGUCACAAAUGGUAGGUCGUUUUAACAUUUCUAUAUUAUAACUUUAUAAAUUAUAUGGUUUUAACAUUUCUAUAUUAUAACUUUAUAAAUUAUGUCUAGAUGCAUAGUAAAAACUAGAAAUCUAGAAAUGUUAAAAUGACAUACAAUUUGGCAUGGAGGGAGUAUAACAUUUUGAAGAAAAAACUAACUUAUGUUUUAGAUACUUGUGGCGUUGUCAAACUUGAAAAGACACUUAUUCGUCACUAUAUGGGACAGUAGCCUCUCAAAGUUUGAGAAAUAAAGAUAGAUUUAAUGCAUUAGACCCCGGUACUAAUGGGUGAUAGACUCGUAUUAAUACCGGAUCAAAAACCAAUCGAUACUAAGUCUCGGGACGAAUGCUGAGUUUUCUAGUAGUGAUUGCUCUCCUUUCCAGUUGACAAAAUCUGCAUGGCACUAAUUCGUAAUUACAGUAAUGUAGGUCAUUUGAGUAAGACUCCAUCUUAAGCAAAGUGCUGCCGAUCUAGCUCUCUGGCAUGAAUCCCGGAAUGGCUUGUUGCGAAAGUGAUAGUGCUGUACUGCUGUGUGUUGUUUGCGUCUCGUUCAGUUUGAAAGGAGCAGAAAAAGCUGAUUCACGUUCUGCUGCAUACCAUUACAAUGGUCCCUACCGCAACGAAAAUGCUUUCCCCGAAAGGAAUGGCACCUUGUCCACUUGCUCUCAUUCUCUUGCGACGUGCAGCAUGCUCUUCAUAUUUACCAAUAAUAGGUCAAGUGAGGUAGGAGCAGAAGGAUCAUAAGAAACAAUGUCACCAUAAUCAGUCAAAUGAUUGAAUUUGGAAUGAACAAACAAGCUGUGACCCUUCAUCUUAUUACACCAACUUUUACACAAGAACGAGAUGCACAGUUGCAAAUUAGUAGAGAUACAUGUGGAACCCAACAAGUCGCCGGAAAAGUACCAUCAGAAGCGCAAAUUGCUCACUUCACUUAGCUCUUUUUCUGAGCAAGCCUGGACUUGAUCUUCUCCACCUCCUUGCUACCGACCUGGAACGCCUUGGUGAGGACAUAGUUAGGCACCUCCGGCGUCGCCGCGAACAGUGUCAUGGGGAGGGACUGCGUGCCGGGUAGCUGGCUGUUGAAGGCCGAUAUAACGGCGGCGGGCACGUCCUCGUUGUUCUUCUGGAAGUGUACCAGGCCGCGGGGGAAGACGAAGACGUCGCCGGCAGUGAUAGUCUUCGCAAUCAGCUUGUUCCCGGUGGUUAUGAAGCCCACAUCCAGGGUGCCCUGCAGGACGAAGACAAUCUCGGUGGCGCGAGGGUGGGUGUGCGGCGGGUUCAGGCCACCGGGGGCGUAAUCUAUGCGUGACAGCGACACGCCGAGGGUGUUGAGGCCCGGCACCUUCUCGACGUUGGCGCCGGUGACGACGGAGCCGUAGGUGUUGUUGGUGUUACCGGGGUUGGCGAGGCCUUUGAAGUAGAAGUCGUCCUCUGUCACGGUGGCCUUGCAGGGAAAUCCGUUCACCUUCAUGGCUGAACAUACACAGGUUAGAAUUGCAUUCCAUUUUACCAAAGACUAUUUUUACAAAACAAAUAAUAAAGCACUCACUGGACGUGAUAUCCGCGACGCAGAUGUCCUGGAGCAACUCGGGGUCGCCGGCAAGGGACGGGGAGGGAAGGAGGAGCACGGCGACGACGAUGGCAAAGGAAAGCAACGGAGAUGGAAUGGCCAUUGUGAACUUGUUCCUCUGCUCGUGCUUGUAUUAUGGCCAGGGGCCACCCUUUCUUUACUCCCUUGUGCUCACUCCUUUUACUGUCGCUGGUUGCUCUGAAUGGGAUGAUGAAUGGACGGAAGAUAUGGAUCGUAUUUAUAACUGGUGGGGACGAGAAAGAGAGUGAUGUGAGUGCGAAGGUAUGUGUGGCAAGAUUGUCCUUUCACCCCAAGAAAUGUGCUGGCCGUGCGCGUGAGGUGGUAGGAGAGGGGAUUGCUGAAAGAGUACACAAUGAACAACGUGAUUGGCUGGUUAUUUUAUUACACUUCUAGUGAUUUUGAACGGGGAGCAGAUUUGUCUAGUAUUAUCGGAGAGGUAGGGAAUUGCGCUAUCUACUGGGGAACUAAACAAUAUACUAAUGAUGCUUUUUCUAUUUUGCGAGUUAGAAGUUGCCGCUACAUCUAACAAAGCCCCAGUGACCCUAACAGAGGGGUAAGCUACUGAGAACAUAUCUGACGACGACGAAGGAUCUUCUUUUACAGAUUUAUGUUUGAUUCCUGCGUCGCCAGCUUGCACGGGUAAAAAGCACAGUAAAUGUGACAAUUUGAACCCACUAGAUAUCAGAGAAGGAUUAACCUUACAGGGUUUGUUGGCUUAAUAUUUUCACAACAUGUUUUUCUUUAAUUUCUAGUACUGCAUAUAUCUAAUUUAGGGGCCAGGUAAAAGUAAAGUAGUGAAUAAAACUAUUCUACCAAUAAACUUAUUUCUAAACCUUGGACCUGAAAUUUGACUUGUUGCAUCUUUUUCCCUCACCUCAAUAUAUAGAUUCCCUAGAUGAACCUUACAUCAAAUCCUUUGAAUACUCACACCCACCUUGAUCCUUCAUCUUGCCCAGUUGCUGUCACAUGGAUGUUGUUGAUGUUUUGUAAAGAGUAAAUUUCACUAGCAGGCCUUAAACUUGUCUUGAGUUCUCAUCCCAGUCCCAGUACUUCGGUACUCUCAAAAUGCAUAUGACGGUCCAUAAACUUGUCCCGAGCUAUCAUCCUAGUCCUUAAACUUGUCUCGACCCCACUAUUCUCGAAAUGCAUAUCAAGGUCCAUAAACUUGUCCCGAACUCUCAUCAACUAAAUUUAUGUUUGAGAUUUGAACUUGGUUUCAAAUCUUUGUGAAUUUUUUUAUCAAUUUUAAAUGAGACUCAGACUUGGUUUUAAAUCCUCAUGAACUAUGGAUCAAUUAUGAGUGGUACUCAAACUUGGUUUCAAAUCCUAAAAGUUCGUUUCUCACUUAAAAACCAAUCAAAAGUUCAAGAGGAUUUGAAACCAACUCCGAAUCCCAUUCAAAAUUGAUAAAAAAUCCAUAAAAAAAUUGAAACCAAGUUGAAAACCCACUGAAAUGUUUAGUGAAUGAGAGCUCAAGAAAAGUUGACGAUCCUGGAUGAAAGCCGAGGACAAGUUUAGGGAUCGGUAUGUGCAUUUCAAGAGUACCAGGACCGGGAUGAGAGUUCGGGACAAGUUUAAGUACCGUUAUGUCCAUUUUGAGAGUAUGGGACCGGUACGAGAACUCGGCACAAGUAUAGUAGUACUAGAUUGAUUGUAAACCAAUACUAUAGUAGUACUAGAUUGAUUGUACGGAUACAUGCAUGUAUAUCAACAAGAGGCAGAGCUAGGAUUGUUGAGGCGGGUAUAUCCAUCUCUUAACCAAAAACUUUCUAGUUCAAUAGUAAAAAAGUUCACUUUGGUAGAACUGCCCAAAUUAAAUCGGCUUAAGGGCGCUAACCAUCCUUUUAAUGAUUAAUCCGAUCAAUACGCACUUAAAAUGGCAUAAUCUGACAGUCUGUCGGGUAAAUCGCAAUUAAGCCACUGAAUGUCUCAAUUGAAACAAUACACCAUGAGUCUCAUGCGAACGCGAGCAGAGAUAAUACAAACAUCACAGAGUUUACAUAAAUUAAGGUACAACACUUAGCCUUUAUAAAUUGAGUUUAAAUUCAAGAAAAAACAGAGCAUUAGGAUAGCACAACAGAAACAAAAUUAGAACUAGAGUAAAAUAUGAUACACAGGAAGAUAGAAAUGGUGCGAGCAAAGGAGAACACAUUGAGCCCACCGAUGUUCCAUCAACAAGAAGCAACACCACCUGAAAUAAGGUCACAACAAUAACCCUGAGUAUACUAAUACUCAGCUAGGCUUACCCAACUAUGGUAUAUACUUAGCCGACUAGUAGCAUGCAUGGCUUUUUGACUGUUAGGUUUGUUUUGCCAAAGAGCAACUAAUAGUGUGUCCUUACUUUCAGUAUUUUAGCCAAGUUUGAACUGAGAUAAUCUAUUCUCUAGAUUUGCAUAAACAUAAUAUUCAAUGUAGCAAAACAAUUGAUCAAAUAAACAAUAGUAACAACCAUCAUCGUAUUUUCACAUCUUCAUUCACAUGUUCCACUUCUUACUACAAUGUGAUGUAGUGGUCAAGGUUCUCUUAUCCAAGAGGUACUACAAAAUCGAUUCGAUUUUAUCCUUUGCAAGGUAAACCUAAUCACACAACGUACGCUGCCCUGUCAGGCCGCAUAUGGCAACGGUUCUCUGCGCAAACGCCAGCAUUUGAACUUCCCAUCGUAGCUCCUCAAGUACUAGUCCCCACCGAUACCUCCCAGGGUCAAAAAUGAAUUUCAAUAAUCCACCGGUACCACCCAGCCGAUCAAAGGUAUGUUGGCGCUCAUUAUUGCCACCCUUUUUUGCCAUUUAAGUGGUGUUUUUGGACUUAUUCUUAUACUAACCCACAACUUGCCACCUGAAAUAACCCCAUAUUCACAUAUGUGUUGUGUUUUGGACCAUAUUGCAAAAUCACAGGAAAUAUGGUAUGAAUGAAGUGUUUUUCUACAAGUUGGAUUUGGGCCUGGACUUUGGAUAUUGGAAGGUCCAAACAUGAACAUUGAAUUGCAGACCAGCAGGAGGAGCUGAACUUGCACGGGCCAUAUCUUCCUCAUCCAAACUUGGUGUCAAAAUUGCAUGGUUUGAAAAGAUCUACAACUUUCGUCUGAACCGCUCGGGCAUUUGAUGCUUACAAGGGGCAGGCCGAUCGCCCUGCCCUGAUCGAGGCCCCUUUUCACUAGGAGGAAGCCCUCGAUGAUCCUAAGGUUUCUAUAACGAUCGACCCCUAAACCUCCCGAGUUAAUCUUAAUCGGAGCCCUUUUACCUUAGUCAUCUGUCUUGCUUGACCGCGCCUAAGUGCUCAGCUAUCCGCCCGGUCCCGACCCCUGAGAUCCGACCCCUUCCCGCUUCGCUCCUCUCCCGACCCCGACGAGCGCAGCCCACCGUCGGAUCCUGCUAAUCUUCCUCAAACCACCGUUCUCUCCACCGGUGGACCCGCAAGAUCUUUUUCCCAGAUCCUCCGCGAUAGGCGCACUCGAGUUGCAUGCCCGCUUCAGAGUCUCCCUGCUGCGUGGCUCGUCUUCUCCGAUGCCCGCCGCUCAGUUUUGUCUCUGGCAAGCGACCAAGUGGGUUCUCGCGCCCCUUUCCCCAAUGGCAGCGGAAGCCCCUCUGCACCCCUUUCUGCAGAGCCUCGCCUCCCGCGCCCAUCAUCACGCCACCAGAUCCCGGCCCCAGAGCCCGAUGUCGCCCGUCUUUUCCGUCCCUUCAGCCACAGUUGCGCCGCCCGGUCUCUGCCACCCGACGAUUCCUCCACCGCCAACCCCGACCGCGGCCGUGACAGCUCCUUUCCCCCGCCUUGUCAGAAGCCGCCCAACAAUCUGUUGUUUCGCGCUCGCCCGCGCGCCCGCAGCUGCCGGUCUUCUCACCUGUGCGCCCUCGAUUCUAGCGCCGUUAAACCGGUCGCUUCUAUCAAAUCUUCCGCACAGCGACGCCCGCUUUCCGCCAAAUCUCAACCACCAGUCUACCCGCUCCUACGACGCCCUGACGGCAGAACGCAAUGAUCGCUGGCGUCACCCCCGGAGUUCUGCACCACCGCCCUCUUCGCUCAAUCGCCGCCCCGGCAGAGCACUCCAUUGUUUCUCCCCGGCCUUCGCGCCGCUCCCCUUCUCUCUCUCCCACGCCACUUCCUUUCUCCGUUCCAACAGCUAUAAAAGGAAUGGCCCUAUCGCCGGAGUUCCCUCCGCCAUUGUUGCCUUCAGCCAUUCUCUCGCUCUCUGCUCAAGCUCCUAGCGCCACCCACCAAGUUGUUGAGGAGUUCUUCUCUCAGAUUCUCUCUCAGUUUUCUCCAAGUCACCCUGCAGCUUGCUCCUCCGUGCUGCGUAAAAGCUCUCUUGUGAUCUGCAAGAAGCGCCACCUCCGCCGUAUCAUUCCCAAUCUUAGCCCUUGUUUGAAGCUUUAGUCCAUCCGCCCAAGUCUGCUUCUUCCCGACCCCAAGCUUUCCUUUCAGGAAGAAGGUGAGUUGCCGACCCCAGUCCGCCUCGCCCGACCCCUCCUAUCCGCCCGACCCCGGUUCCGUCUCGCCCGACCCUAUCUAUUCCGCCGACCCUUAUCCACCUCGCCCGAGGGCUUGGCUGUGAUCUUUUUCUUCAACCCGAGGGUGUAUAUGUAAAACUUGGGAACCCUUCAGCGCUUGCGUCUAAGGACCCCUAGUAUACCACAUCCUCUAGUUCAAGGAUCAGAUCAUGAGUUCCUUUCCUACCCUUACCUCUUGAUCAUCAUCAGCUCUCUUGAACCACCAUAACCUCCUGCUCUUUGUCGCAAGUUUCUGGGCGCAGGCGAACCAGUGUUGCUGUUGAAAUAACUGUCUAUGCUAACCCUUGCAUUGCAUUCGUGUAGAGCUGCACCUCGCCGACGGCUUCUACGAGCUUCAUCCGGUGCCAGAAGAAGAAGCUGUAGCUGAGUUCCUGCCCGCUGAAGCCGAAGUCGCCCCCGAAGUCGAGCAGUUUCCGCCCCCUUUGCUUGAAGGCAAGCCCCGGUUGCAUGAAAGUCCUAUGUGUUUUACCAGACUUGCGCAUGCCUUCGGUAACAUGCUUGUGCAUUUACAUAUAGGAGUUGUGUGAAACCCUAGAUGCAUGACUUAGUUGUCCCCAUGAUCUGAACACUAGCUGUUGGACCGUGUAGUCACCUUGCUUAACUAGGAGACGGUAAAAGUCGAGUGAUCUCCUUUCACUCGCGAGUUGUAGGAGUUGGAUGUCUAUCUUUCUGUUACAACUAUAAGGACGAUGGAUGGGGCAGGGUUUGGGUAACUCUUUGGUGGACGGAUGGUCGCCCCUUUUUUUUUAUGAAAACUUGCUAAGGCCCGACAGUGGUGGUGUUCGUGAUCAAGUGUUUGAAAGUACUAGCCUCAUACUUAGUAUGGGAUGAGGAAGCCUAGUACCGGAUUGAACCUAGACGUGAGCGGUCGUCCCAUUGUUCUUGGAACGGAGUUUCCCCUGCUGGUUGUCGCACGUGGUGGCAAGCGUGGUCACAGGACGACAGAGGUCGGGUCUGUGGAACCUUGCACCAAAGGAAAUGGGCCCGACACGGGUUAGGGGAUUGAUGGGGAAGGCCGACACAGGAAGCGACCUCCGGGUGCGCGGAUGUCGUGAGGCUAGGUUCACCAUGCAUGGUUAAAGAACUCGAAUCGAUUCGUCUGCCUCUCACAGCUUCAGAUUGCUUGAUCGCUAUGUCACCCUGAGUAAAUGAGGAAUCUGAUGAUGGCAAUGUUUGUUGUUAUAUCUACACAUCUUGUUUGGCUCUAUGGAUGCUUAGAAUAGGUUGCACAACCUAGACUGGUAAAUGAACCUAGAACCGGAGCUAAAACUUGAAAAUAAGGUUACUUAGUGCUUUUGGAUAACAAACCCCUCAGCCAAAAAGCCCGGCAUGUCUAGAAGGAGAAGUAGUUUUACUCCCAUCGGUUAAGUCUUGUUGAGCUUAGUAGCUCAGCCUUGUUGUGGCUCCUGUUUUUCAGGUGGAGUUGCUGCUCCCGACCCCUCUCUGGUUGGUGCUUGGCCGCCCCAGCUUCCACCAGGCUGGACGGUCGAGUGGGAUCCCUCCUCGGACGGCGAGGAGAGGACUCAGUGAUGUUCCGGUGGGCCUCACCAGGACAUCCGACCCCGACGAAGUCUUCCACUAGUGUUUACCUUCUGUUGUUUUUCCUUUGAACCGUGUACAAACUCUGAUGUUGGAUUUUAUGGCCGAACUAAAUGGGUAAACUUGUUUAACUCAGUGGACUCGUUGUAUUCUUUGGAACCACUCACCUUCGUGUGAGUUGCUAAACUCGAUCCUGUUCAAGUGGUUAAAUCGGAUGAAAUCCGAUGGCACUUCGUGUUAACUCGGCUUAGGCAGGAGUGUCGCAUGUUCGGCGGCUUAACCCUAUCUAAAUCAAGCUAAUCCGAAGUGGAUCCGCCACAGCUGGUAUCAGAGCCGUGUUUGGCAUUUUAGAGAACACAACAAGCCCUAAACACUUUCUUGAAAAGAUAAAAGUUGCAAGAAACUUUUGAAAAUCUCGUACGACCGUUAAGGAUGACUUUAGUGCGAGAGGCCCUAGGGGAUUUUUGGGGUUUGUUUUAGGUGACUAAUAACUAUUUGGUUAUUUUGCUAACCCUUCCAGCACUUCGCCACGUCUGUCAUACGUGUGCCGAGUUCCGCAUCGCGAGCAUGCGAGGGUUGAUAGGGAGUUCCAUUCAAAGGACCCUAUCGUCGCGGUUGUUUUCGCCCACGUCUAUCACACGUGUGCAGGUUCCGUAUGUGAUCCAUACGAAGGUUGGUACGGUUCGAUUCCAACAAACCCAUCAGCACGGUUGGUUCACCACGUUUAUCAUACGUGUGCUGAUUCCGCAUCACGAGUAUGCGAAGGGUUAUAUGGUUCCAUUCAAAGGGAACCUAUUUCCACGGUUGAGUGCUGUCCAUGCAGCCUUAAACGCAUGGGUGCCGUUCCUAUAGUGAGCGGUAAUGUUUGGGAACGCUUUCGUGGGUGCUGGCACGAAAGGUUCGUGUGUGGUGUUUUUCUGCAGGUACGCUAACCGCAUUCGUUUAGGAGACGUUGUAGAACCGACUAGUUAUUAUAGGGAGAGACGUAAUGGUUGCCUUGUCACCGGCACUGACCGCGUAAGACCCGAGUUUUGGGCAGUUGUUUUUGGUUAAGUGUAAGGUAGGCCGUGCAUGCGUCAUAACUAAAAAUCUGUAAUGUUCCCUCUCAACAGCAACCUUGUUCGGAAGAGUUCUUUUGGAUCUAAGGAUUUCUAGUUUCUUUUAGUUUCUCUCGGUUAAAACCGAAUGCUUCUCUAUCCGACCCCUGACCCUUGGAAUCUAUCUCACGUGGUUUUGGUUCUUGGUUCCAGAUGGCUGUUCCCGGACAUGUUCUUUUUGGAGCGGACGGUACCUUCCAAUCAACGUGCCUACAUUUCGAGGGUUUCCCUGCGAUUUUGUGGGAUACGCUGAAGUGGUUUGGGUACCAGUCCCCGCCCUUGUAUGCCGGGCGGUUAUAUCUGGAGCAGGGCAUCCAGACGUGCCAAGUGCAGGCCUUGGUACCUCCUCCCCCUGCACGGCCCGACAGGCCUUCGUUUUCCAGGCUUCCAACCGCAAGUGCCCCGGCCGACCCUGCCAACACCACCUCGCCUGGCAGCCAAUAACCGUUGUUUUACCUGCGGCAAUGAAGGACAUUUUGCAAAGGAUUGCCCCAGGAACAAGAAUCAACCGCAAGGUCGGAACCCCAUGGCAGCCAGAGGAAGAAGGCCCAAGGUGUAAGUCCGACAAGGCCGACUCAACUACACCAUCUUGACCAAACUCCCCGAAGGUGCGCCAGUAAUGACGGGUACCUUCCUUGUUUUAAAUCAAGCUGUUGUUGUGUUGUUUGAUUUGGGAGCCUCUCAUAGCUUUAUCGGGAGUAAGGCUAGGGAAAGAUGUGGGCUAAGUGUCGGUCACACUAAGGAACCUUAUGUGAUCGCCACACCUGGAGGAAGGAUAACAUUGGAUCAGAUUGUUAUUCUUGUACCUCUCCAGCUAGGCCCCACCCUCUUCAAGGAAAACCUUAUAAUCCUUGACCUAGAAGGCCUAGAUGUCAUCCUUGGUCAUGUACUCCAUACGAAGGUUGGUACGGUUCCAAGUGCAGGCCUUGGUACCUCCUCCCCCUGUAAGACCCAAAGUUUCGGGCAGUUAUUUUUGGUUAAGUGUCAGGUAGGCCGUGCAUGCGUCAUAACUAAAAAGCUGUAAGGUUUCCUUGUCAAUAGCAACCUUGUUUGGAAGAGUUCUUUUUGGAUCUAAGGAUUUCUAGUUCUUCUGUUGCUCUCGGUUAAAGCCGAAUGCAUCUCUGCCCGACCCCUGACCCUUGGAGUCUAUCUCACGUGGUUUUGGUUUCUUGGUUCCAGAUGGCUGUUCCCGGGCAUGUUCUAUUUGGAGCGGACGGUACUUUCCAGUCGACAUGUCUGCAUUUCGAGGGUUUCCCCGCGAUUUUGUGGGACACGUUGAAGUGGUUUGGGUACCAGUCCCCACCCUUGUACGCCGGACGGCUAUAUCUGGAGCAGGGUAUCCAGACGUGCCAAGUGCAGGCGGUGGUACCUCCUCCCCCUGUGCGGCCCGACUGGCCUGUUGGGAUACGAGGUAGGCUACACUAGCGCAAAAUAAAAUUUCUACCACGUAUAACCAGGAAGAACUGCCGUAUAAGGAUCACGGGAUUACCACUCGACGCACUACUGGUGCGGAAGAUGUAGAUAUGCGUCGAUGCAGUGAAGACGAUCACGUAGUCGUACGUAGUCGAUCACGUCCAGCAGCUCCUCAGCAGCUCGUCCACGUGCACAGUAAGAUCGCCUCCGGUACCGCGGCUCAUCGUCGGCUCGUCGUGGCUCGUCGGCGGCUCGUCGAUGGCUCGUCCAAGUGCUGCAGGCGCAACACCUCCAAGGUAUCCACACGUGCAGGGAGGAAGUGUCGCAAGCCGGACUGCUAGAUCCGUGAGUUGCAACAGGCGAGGGCGUGGGAGGCGCGGCAGGUGUGUUUCGCCAAAAAGGUGUAAACCCUAGGGCGCCCCCACCCCUCUAUUUAUAGAGGUUCCUGAUGGGCCUCUGGAUCCGAGGCCCAUUAGUACUCCUAAACCUAAUCCAACUCGGAUCAGAUCCGAAUUGGGCUUCCAGCCCCUUAAGUGUGUGACCCUAUGGGUUCGGAUACGUAUAGACAUGGCCCGAGUACUCCUACUCGGCCCAAUAGUCGGUAGCGGCCUCUAGCAAGACGUGCCAACUCCUAUACGCAUACGAAGAUCAUAUCAGACGAACCAUCACAACAUAUAUACAUGCUAUUCCCUUUGCCUCACGAUAUUUGGUCUAGCUUCAAGCCGACCGCUCUUUCUCGAUCCUGUGAUUCGGAAUCCCUUUGUAGGUUAACUCUUAACCGUACGUAGCAUGGCCAUGCAUUUUCGGAUCCGAUCACUCGAGGGGCCCAGAGAUAUCACUCUCAAUCAGAGAGGGGCAAAUCCCAUCUUGAUUGACCAUGUCUCAUAGCAUGCUUCUUGACAAACCCGAAAGCUACCUUUAUAACUACCCUGUUACGGCGUAGCGUUUGAUAGCCCCUAAGUAGGUCGAUCCACAUCUAGAAUACAUGCGACAAUCUCAGGUCUAAGGACAAAGCGUAUAUGUUGUUUAAAGAGAGAACUACUUCUCGUGUUGGAUCAGUCCUAACACAUGUCUCCACAUGUGUCCACAUUAUUAGUUCAACAUCUCCAUGUCCAUGACUUGUGAAACAUAGUCAUCAACUAAUACAUGUGCUAGUCUAAUAUUCAUGUGUGUCCUCACAUGAACUCCGACUAGGGACAACUUUAGAAUAACCAUACAAGUAAAGAGUUUCACAUACAAUUCACAUAAUUGCAAAUCAAUUCAAGUAGCCUUUAAUGGAUAUUCAAUGAACACAAUAUACAAAUCAUGGAUACAAAUGGAAUAUCAUCAUCUCUAUGAUUGCCUCUAGGGCAUACCUCCAACAGUCUCCCACUUGCACUAGAGUCAAUCUAGAAGGUACCUAAUACCCAUAGCUCUUACAUGCGCAUCAUGCUUAGCUUGCGGGAGUGGUUUUGUCAACGGAUCAGAAAUGUUCAGAUCCGUGUGUAUUUUGCAUAUCUUGAUCUCACCCCGGUUAACGAAGUCUCGAAUGAGAUGAAAUCGCCGCAUUACGUGUUUGUUCUUCUGGUGGUUCCUUGGCUCCUUUGCUUGCGCAAUUGCCCCAUUGUUAUCACAGUAGAGAUUCAAUGGGCUGGACGCAUUCGGGAACACACCAAGCUCAAUGAGGAAAUUCCUUAUCCAAACACCUUCCUUCGCGGCUUCCGAAGCCGCGAUGUACUCGGCUUCUGUCGUAGAAUCGGCCACCGUCUCCUGCCUGGAAGUCUUCCAACUAACAGCACCACCAUUUAGCGUGAACACAAAUCCUGAUUGUGACUUUGAAUCAUCUCUGUCGGUUUGGAAACUAGCAUCGGUGUAACCUGUUACAACGAGCUCCUCCUGACCUCCAUAGACGAGGAACAUAUCUUUAGUCCUUCUCAAGUACUUAAGAAUGUUUUUCACCGCUGUCCAGUGACUCUCACCUGGAUCAGAUUGGUGUCUGCUUGUCAUACUUAGCGCAUAUGAAACGUCUGGGCGAGUACUUAUCAUUGCAUACAUGAUAGAUCCAAUAGCCAAGGCAUAUGGCACUCUACUCAUGCGAUCCCGCUCAUCAGCAGUCGAAGGACACUGAGUCUUGCUGAGAUGUAUGCCAUGUGACAUAGGCAAGAACCCUUUCUUUGCCUCUUCCAUGCUGAACCGCUUCAACACUUUGUCAAUAUAAGUAUCUUGGCUCAAACCUAUAAGCCUUCUCGAUCUAUCUCUAUAGAUCUUAAUGCCCAGAAUAUAUGCCGCUUCCCCUAAGUCCUUCAUCGAAAAACUAUUUUUCAGUGAAGUCUUUACGGACUCAAGCAUAGGAAUGUUAUUUCCAAUCAGUAAUAUGUCAUCCACAUAUAAGAUUAGAAAUACUACAGAGCUCCCACUAACCUUCUUGUAAACACAAGACUCUUCUUCGUUCUUGGUGAAGUCAAACCCUUUGACCACUUCAUCAAAACGAAUGUUCCAACUCCUAGAUGCUUGCUUCAAUCCAUAAAUGGAUCUCUGAAGCUUGCAUACCUUUCCAGCAUUUUUCGGAUCAACAAAACCUUCGGGCUGUAUCAUAUACACGUCCUCAGCUAAGUUUCCAUUCAGGAAAGCUGUCUUGACAUCCAUCUGCCAUAUCUCAUAAUCGAAAUAUGCAGCUAUAGCUAGAAUGGACUUAAGCAUCACUACGGGCGAGAAGGUCUCGUCGUAGUCAACACCUUGAACUUGUCGGAAACCUUUUGCGACAAGUCGUGCUUUAUAGAUGUGAACAUUUCCAUCCAUGUCCUUUUUCUUCUUAUAGAUCCACUUGCACUCUAUGGCUUUAACACCAUCAGGCGGGUCAACCAAGUUCCAAACUUGAUUGUCUCCCAUGGACUCUAUUUCGGAUUGCAUGGCACUCUGCCAUUUUUCGGAGUCUGGGUCCAUCAUUGCUUCUGCAUAUGUCGCAGGCUCAUCAUUGUCCAACAAUAAUAUUUCUCGCAUUUCGCGGAGCCUUGCUGACCUUCGUGGUUGUGGCGGUGCUUCUCUUGCCAUGGGUAUCUCAACUUGUUCUGCUACGUUAGCAUCACUCAUUGAUUCUUCCCCGAUUGGCUCAUCUUGAACUUCUUCAAGAUGCACUGUCUUUCCACUCUUUUCUCCUUUGAGAAACUCUUUCUCUAGGAAAACCCCGUUCCGAGCGACAAACACUUUGCCUUCUGAUCGGUUGUAGAAAUAAUAUCCCAAAGUUUCCUUUGGAUAUCCCACGAAAAUGCACUUAUCCGACUUGGGUGUGAUCUUGUCCGACUGAAGUCGCUUGACAAACACUUCACAUCCCCAAAUCUUUAGAAAAGACAAACUAGGAACCUUUCCAGUCCAUAUCUCAUAUGGUGUCUUAACUACGGAUUUAGAUGGUACCCUAUUUAGUGUGAAAGCUGCUGUUUCUAGAGCGUAUCCCCAAAAUGACAACGGUAGGUCCGACUGGCUCAUCAUUGAUCGAACCAUGUCUAACAAAGUUCGAUUACGUCGCUCGGACACACCGUUUCUCUGAGGUGUUCCAGACGGCGUAAGUUGUGGAACAAUUCCGCAACUCUUUAGAUGAUUUCUAAACUCGUGGCUCAAAUACUCGCCUCCACAAUCAGAUCGUAAGACCUUAAUUUUCUUGCCACGCUGAUUUUCAACUUCAUUCUGAAAUUCCUUGAACUUUUCAAAGGUUUCAGACUUGUGCCUCAUCAAGUAGUCAUAGCCAUAUCUACUAAAAUCAUCAGUGAAAGUUAUGAAGUAUUGGAAUCCUCCUCUAGCCGUCGUGCUCAUUGGUCCGCAUACAUCACUAUGUACGAGUUCCAACAAGUCUACUGCUCUCUCAGGAAAUCCUGUGAAAGACGUCUUGGUCAUCUUGCCUAGCAAGCAAGCCUCACAUGUCUCGUAUGAUUCAAAAUCAAACGAAGUUAGAAGUCCAUCAGAAUGGAUCUUCUUCAUGCGCUUAUCACUUAUGUGACCCAAACGACAAUGCCACAAGUAGGUAGGACUCAAAUCAUUAGGCCGAGGCCUUUUAGCACUUACAUUACAGAGAGGUGAACCAUCAAGAUUUAAAACAAAUAAUCCAUUCACAAUGGGUGCAAAAGCCAUAAACAUAUUAUUCUUAGAGAUCACACAACCAUUGUUUUCACUCGCAAAUGAAUAACCAUCCUUCAUCAAGCAUGAAGGAGACAAAAUGUUUCGACUUAAACAAGGAACAAAAUAACAAUUAUUCAACUCCAUAAUAAAUCCUGACGGGAGGUGGAGUUGCAUCGUCCCGACGGUCAAAGCAGCAACUCUUGCAUUAUUGCCCACGCGGAAAUCAACUUCUCCUCUUUCCACACUUCUACUUCUUAUCAUUCCCUGCAUCGAAUUGCAAAUAUGAGCAACCGAUCCGGUAUCAAAUACCCAAGAAUUAAUAACUGUAUCAGCGAGAAAUAUGUUGUCUAUAACAUUAACAACAAGCGUACCUGAGGUAGAAGUACUCUUACUUCCGCCGUUCUUCAACGAAGCUAGGUACUGCUUGCAGUUUCUCUUCCAGUGACCAAGUUCAUGACAGUAAAAGCACUCUUUGUCUGGAGCAGGUCCAGGUCCAGCUUUAACCUUGGGCGGUGGGUUUGGCUUGGACGUUCCAGCCUUGCCCUUCUUCUUCCAAGAAUUGCCCUUCUUCUUAAAGCUGGGCUUGUUCUGUAUCGCCAUCACAUGGCUUGUACUAGCGCUUUUCUUGAUGUCAGCCUCUGCUGUCUUGAGCAUACCACACAGCUCAUUCAGACCCUUCUCCGUCCCAUGCAUAUGGUAGUUCGAGAUGAAGUUCCCAUAGCUAGGCGGAAGAGACGAAAGAAUGAAAUCAGUGGCCAACUCUUGGCCCAGUGGGAAGCCUAGCUUCUCCAACCGUUGAGUGUAACCAACCAUCUUGAUUACGUGUGGUCCUACUGCUGCGCCUUCUGCUAGCUUGCUCUCAACAAAGGCCUUAGACACAUUGAACCUUUCAGUCCUGGCCUGUGUUUGGAACAUGUCUCUAAGCGCCACGAUCAUAUCGUGCACCUCAUGGUUUGUUUCGAACUGCAUCUGCAGCUUGGGUUCCAUGCAAGCAAGCAUAAGGCAGCUUACUUCGAGGUUAGCAUCACAUGCUUUCUUGUAAGCAUUCUUAGCAGCAGCGGGUGCAUCCUCAGCAGGUUCUUCUGGUAGUGGGUUGUCUAGAACAUCUUCCUUUUUCUCAGCCCUGAGAACAAUUCUCAGGUUGCGGAUCCAAUCCGAGUAGUUUGUUCCAUUCAACUUGUCCUUCUCAAGGACCGAACGCAAAGCAAACGAUGUGGUGGUGUUGCUAGGUGCCAUUUAAUCUACAACAAAAGUAAUGCAAAAUACACUAAGACAAACGUAUCCAUGAUAGAGCAAAUUACAUUAAACUAUUUUAACAGAAUCUACUCCCACUAAAAUCAAUAUCCCUCUAUUGAAACUUAGUGAUUCAGGAUCCACAACUAACAAGUCUACUAGUGAGCUUUAGCAUCACCGCUAGCAAACGAGGUAGAUCGGUAAGCAACUUUUGCUAAUCAUAUCACAUAUGACUCCUGUUGUUGGGUGACAUCUCUAUUCUCGGCGCCCAACCUUUAUGCCCCAAGGUCCUUAACCGUUAAGAUAACCUUGUUAAGCAAACCAACCCUUAUGCGUGUAAGUGUCUGACACAAACCCGUCUAGUCAAGGAAAACUAGUGGCACCCUAAUUUCAUAGACCUACCACUAAUUGUACAAGACAUGGGACGGUGCAAGUUUUAGUUGGGAGGGCAUACUAACUUAAACUUUGUGAGGGAUCGUUCUACUUCUAACAUCACAACAUGCAGAAAGUAAAACAUAAACAGAAUAGCAUUCACACAGCUUGUGACACAGUAUGGCCCGUUUUCAUAUGGUAAUCUCCAUCUCCAUAUAACCUGUUCACCAUGGUGAUCUCCAUCUCCAUGUUCCAUGUGCGCCAUCCUCCUGGUGAUGAGUCCUCCAAGAACUAGAGCAUGCUAUUACGCCUAAUAUCUAGUAAAGAAUCUAGUAAUGAAGAUUACAUAGUUGCUUGGAUCAUCACAGAUUGGUACGCAAACCAUUAAAUACAAUAAAGUGACAACACAUAUGGCUCCUGCCGUGUUGCCGUACGCACGACACGCAGGUCACGAAUGAGUUACACACAUGCAUCACAUACACAAGGGGGCCAUACUGAUCACAAGAUACAUGCAUACAUCCUGCAAAACAGAGUUAGGCGUCCUAACGUUCCAAACUUCGGAGGCCCGAAACUCCAUCUUCCAAGCCGAAUUUGGGAAAUCUAAUUUCGCCGAAAACGGCGAAGCGGUUGAAUUUCAUGUGUAACUUUUUCUGUAGAUCAAUUUUCGUAUAGAAAUCACCUCGAUCCGAGAUCGUACCGAAAAGUUACGGCUGAUUUACCGAAGCAUACGCAUACGGCAAAAUCCCGACCCCGGCAGUAGAUCCCAUUUACCAUUGCACAUCUAAUGCGCCUGGCGUAUGACCCUGGAUCUCGAUUCGACCAAUCAUAUUCAUCUUCGCUCACUGCAACUGGAUUUACGUGUAUCACUUAACUCCGAUGGCGGAAACCGACCGGUAGGAGUAUGUCGUUACACUACCAUUGCAGCAAGGGCACGAAAUCAGGACAUAGAUCAAACAGAGAACUCGCAUAUCUCCAUAUGCACACAUCCCGAAUCCAAAACUAAGCAGCUACGGCUCUGAUACCACUAUUGGGAUACGAGGUAGGCUACACAAGCGCAAAACAAAAUUUCUACCGCGUAUAACCAGGAAGAACUGCCGUAUAAGGAUCACGGGAUUACCACUCGACGCACUACUGGUGCGGAAGAUGUAGAUAUGCGUCGAUGCAGUGAAGACGAUCACGUAGUCGUACGUAGUCGAUCACGUCCAGCAGCUCCUCAGCAGCUCGUCCACGUGCACAGCAAGAUCGCCUCCGGUACCGUGGCUCGUCGUCGGCUCGUCGGCGGCUCGUCGAUGGCUCGUCCAAGUGCUGCAGGCGCAACACCUCCAAGGUAUCCACACGUGCAGGGAGGAAGCGUCGCAAGCCGGAGUGCUAGAUCCGCGAGUUGCAACAGGCGAGGGCGUGGGAGGCGCGGCAGGUGUGUUUCGCCAAAAAGGUGUAAACCCUAGGGCGCCCCCACCCCUCUAUUUAUAGAGGUUCCUGAUGGGCCUCUGGAUCCGAGGCCCAUUAGUACUCCUAAACCUAAUCCAACUCGGAUCAGAUCCGAAUUGGGCUUCCAGCCCCUUAAGUGUGUGACCCUAUGGGUUCGGAUACGUAUAGACAUGGCCCGAGUACUCCUACUCGGCCCAAUAGUCGGUAGCGGCCUCUAGCAAGACGUGCCAACUCCUAUACGCAUACGAAGAUCAUAUCAGACGAACCAUCACAACAUAUAUACAUGCUAUUCCCUUUGCCUCACGAUAUUUGGUCUAGCUUCAAGCCGACCGCUCUUUCUCGAUCCUGUGAUUCGGAAUCCCUUUGUAGGUUAACUCUUAACCGUACGUAGCAUGGCCAUGCAUUUUCGGAUCCGAUCACUCGAGGGGUCCAGAGAUAUCACUCUCAAUCAGAGAGGGGCAAAUCCCAUCUUGAUUGACGAUGUCUCAUAGCAUGCUUCUUGACAAACCCGAAAGCUACCUUUAUAACUACCCUGUUACGGCGUAGCGUUUGAUAGCCCCUAAGUAGGUCGAUCCACAUCUAGAAUACAUGCGACAAUCUCAGGUCUAAGGACAAAGCGUAUAUGUUGUUUAAAGAGAGAACUACUUCUCGUGUUGGGUCAGUCCUAACACAUGUCUCCACAUGUGUCCACAUUAUUAGUUCAACAUCUCCAUGUCCAUGACUUGUGAAACAUAGUCAUCAACUAAUACAUGUGCUAGUCUAAUAUUCAUGUGUGUCCUCACAUGAACUCCGACUAGGGACAACUUUAGAAUAACCAUACAAGUAAAGAGUUUCACAUACAAUUCACAUAAUUGCAAAUCAAUUCAAGUAGCCUUUAAUGGAUAUUCAAUGAACACAAUAUACAAAUCAUGGAUACAAAUGGAAUAUCAUCAUCUCUAUGAUUGCCUCUAGGGCAUACCUCCAACAUGGCCCUCUUUCGGCAUAAUAGCCUAUGGCCUAUGUGUGGGUCCCUCUUGUCAGCGUCACCUUCCUCCUCUUCCUCCGCUUCUUUCUCCUCUCCCUUCUUCCUCUUUCUUCACCCGAUCGGCCUUUUCCCCGUCAGGAACCGGCUGGACCCGGCAUGGCUCGACCGCAUUGGGAAUAUUGAGGUGCUAGCCACCACAUGUGCCAUGGUCACCAUCUCCACCAAUAUCAGGUGCAUGGCAGCUCUUUACCGGCUGAUAGUGCUUCAAGGGAGAGCCAUGACCCUCUUCGCCCGGACAGCAGCGGAUGCUCACGGGUACCUCCAAUCGGCACGGAGAGAUAUGGUAGGCCAAACCUACCAGCUUAUUCAACGGGGUAUCCAGAUCCACGACAUGCAAGACCGGAUCUCUGAGCUUGAGGGAGAAGUCGCCGACCUAGUGGACGGCAUGAUAGAGCUAUCGGAGGAGAAGAUGGAGAUGGAAAUGGAGUUGGCAGUUGCCAAUGCCCAUUUGGAGGAGCAUCAAGCUGAGCUCGAUGAUAUGCAUGCCCUCAACAUGCAGCUCGAAGCUCAAGAGGACCCUGAGGAAGACGAAGGAGCGUCCAACAUGGAUAUCGAGGAAGAUGGCACCCCUUCUCCUACUCAUAGUGUCCAUUGGUAGAUUGAGGGUUCUCAGGGGAUCAUUCUUUUGCUGUACUCCUCGGCAGCCUAAAUUUUGGAAAGGUUGUAAUAGGUUAGCCUAGAGUCGAGUACUUCCUGUGAUUGGAACACCGUUGUAUAUAAAGUUAAUUCUGGUGUCUGGCCUUAGUCCUUGCACGGUGUGGAUGCUAGGCUAAGUGAGUUGCACCAUGACCAUAUGCUGUGUUCUGGGAGCCUGUUCCGUUGGCCGACCCCAGUUUGUGAGACCGAGUGCGCCGACCCUUGAGGCAGUUUCCGCCUCGUCCGACCCUUUUUAAGUAUGGAUCGUUGCCCGACCCCUUGGCUUGAGUUGGAUCAUAGGGGUCUGUAUAUGACAUGUUUCACCUGAAGUUGAGUACCAGGUCAAGAUAAAUGUUAUCUACACUGAGAAUGAGAAAAGUGUGUUUUCCCUAUGAGGACGUGUGUUGCACCAUUGGCAAGAGUUGCACUGGAGAAAUUAAAUUAUGCGAUCCAUUUGUUGGAUUACAUCUAAGGUUAUGAAAUUAAUGGAGCGUUAACUCUUGCAGAUGGCGCAUCGCACCAGGUCUGGUUCUGUGCCCAGCAGUAGUGAACAGCGACAGGAUCUUCCCCCGCCCCCGCCCUCAUCGCCACUGGAGGCAAUCCUGGCAACUCAAACUAAGCUGCUAAGACAUCUGGUACAAGGGCAACAGCAACAGUCACAUGGUGGAAGAGCUCAGCAGCAGCCGCAUAUCGCUCGGUAUGAGGACUUUCUGGGGACACAGCCCCCUUUGUUCCAAAAGACACAAGAACCGCUCGAUGCUAACGCCUGGGUUCGUACGAUCGAAUCCAAGUUUGAGCUUCUCACCGCCCCAUGCCCCGACAACAACAAGGCUCGAUUUGCAGCUCAACAGCUGCGUGGCUUCGCACGGCUUUGGUGGGAUCACUACCAUGCCAUGUUGCCGGCUGGCCAUGUGAUCAGUUGGAAUGAGUUCAAGACGGCGUUCAAGGCGCAUCACAUUCCAGAAGGUCUCUUGGAGCGCAAGCUCAACGAGUUUCUGGCCCUUACCCAAGGAACCCAAGAUGUGCUGCACUACGCUCAAGCUUUCAACGACCUGUGCCGCUAUGCCGGCUACCAUGCGGACACAGACGAGAAGAAGCGGGACAGACCGCCGAGGACUGAGCUUGGAGCUCAGGGAAAGGUUGAACCCCAUCAAGGUGGACACCUACAAUGAGUUGGUCAAUCUGGCCAUCUCUCAAGAGGAUUGCAUGCAAGCUCUCAAGGCCGACCAGAAGAGGAAAGCCUCUGUGGCAUUUCCGAGUCUGCCAACUCGAAGGUUCCGGAUGGUUCCUCCACAAGCCCAUGGCCGACCCCAGCAGUCAGGAAGGUGGAUUGCCCGACCCCCGCCAGUAACAGCGCCUCGUUUUCUAGGCUUCCAACCGCAGGUGCCCCGGCCGACCCUACCAACGCCACCCCACCCGGCAGCUAGUAGCCGUUGUUUUACCUGCGGCAACGAAGGGCACUUUGCAAAGGACUGCCCCAGGAACAAGAAUCAACAGCAAGGUCUGAACCCCAUGGCAGCCAGAGGAAGAAGGCCCAAGGUGCAAGUCUGACAAGGCCGACUCAACUACACCAGCUUGACCGAGCUCCCCGAAGGUGCGCCAGUAAUGACGGGUACUUUCCUUGUUUUAAAUCAAGCUGUUGUUGUGUUGUUUGAUUCGGGAGCCUCUCAUAGCUUUAUCGGGAGUAAGGCUAGGGAAAGAUGUGAGCUGGAUAUCGGUCACACUAAGGAACCUUAUGUGAUCGCCACUCGUGGAGGAAGGAUAACAUCGGAUCAGAUUGUUACUCUUGUACCCCUCCAGCUAGGCCCCACCCUCUUCAAGGAAAACCUUAUCAUCCUUGACCUAGAGGGCAUAGAUGUCAUCCUUGGUAUGGAUUGGAUGGCCCGACAUCAUGUGGUUCUAGAUACAGUAGCCCGAUCCCUCUACCUCAGCUCACCCUUCCAUGGCAGUUCUACCAUAUCCUUGACCCAUCCUGAGUCUGCACUUCCUUGUGCCUACCCCCUCUCGGGAGCCCGUCUAGAAGGCCUCUCUGUUAUCUGUGAGUACCCUGACGUGUUUCCGGAAGACUUGCCGGGUAUGCCACCUGAUAGAGAAGUGGAGUUUUCCAUAGAGUUGAUCCCUGGCACAGCCCCAAUAUCUAAGAGACCCUAUCGGAUGCCACCCGCUAAGUUAGCCGAGUUGAAGACCCAGUUGCAUGAUCUGUUGGAAAAAGGCUUCAUCCGACCCAGUACAUCAUCUUGGGGUUGCCCUGCCCUGUUUGUGAACAAGAAGGAUGGUAGUCUACGUAUGUGUGUGGAUUACCGAUCCCUCAAUACUGUGACCGUCAAGAACAAGUACCCACUGCCAUGCAUUGAUGUCUUGUUUGAUCAGUUAGCCAGAGCAAAAGUGUUCUCCAAGAUCGAUCUUCGUUCUGGUUAUCACCAAAUCAAGAUCCGACCCUGCGACAUACCCAAGACAGCUUUCUCUACCAGAUAUGGACUGUAUGAGUACCUAGUCAUGUCCUUUGGACUCACCAAUGCACCCGCCUAUUUCAUGUACCUCAUGAACUCGGUAUUCAUGCCCGAGCUGGACAAGUUUGUAGUGGUGUUCAUUGAUGAUAUCCUAGUGUACUCGAAGAACGAAGAGGAACAUGCCGACCAUCUUCAUGUAGUUCUCCGACGGCUAAGAGAUCACCAACUCUAUGCCAAGUUCUCCAAGUGUGAGUUCUGGUUAGAUAGUGUCAAGUUUUUGGGACACACUAUCUCCAAGGAUGGUAUCGCCGUUGACCCCAGUAAGGUGCAGGAAGUCAUGGAAUGGAAGCCUCCUGCCUUAGUGCACUAGAUCAGAAGUUUCCUUGGACUGGCCGGCUACUAUCGGCGCUUCAUACCGGAUUUCUCUAAGAUAGCUAAGCCGAUGACCGAGUUGUUGAAGAAAGAGGUCAAAUUUGUGCCGUUGACCCCAGUUCUGGCUCAGCCCAACCCCUCUAGGCCGUAUGACGUAUACUGUGACGCCUCUGGCACUGGACUUGGGUGUGUUCUUAUGCAAGACAAUCGAGUCAUUGCCUAUGCCUCACGGGCGUUACAACCUCAUGAGCUGAGCUACCCAACCCAUGACCUCGAGUUGGCAGCAGUGAUUCAUGCCUUAAAAAUAUGGAGACACUAUCUGAUGGGCACUCACUGCAACAUCUACACCGACCACAAGAGCCUCAAGUACAUCUUCACUCAAGCCGACCUCAACAUGCGCCAGAGAAGAUGGUUGGAGUUGAUAAAGGACUAUGAUUUGGAAGUUCACUAUCAUCCCGGCAAAGCCAAUGUGGUAGACGAUGCCCUUAGUCGCAAACACCGUUGCAACUGCUUGUUGUCAACAGCCUUCACCAAGACUCUGUGUCACGAGAUGGGAAAACUCGGUUUGGAGAUUAUUUCUCAGGGAACCCUUGGUCACAUCAUCCUUGACUCAGUUUUGGAAGACCAAAUCCGGUAAGCACAAGUAAGAGAUAAGGAAAUACAACGGAUCAUCAGGAAGAUCUCAGUAAAGGAUGAGGGAUAUAAGCAAUUCUGGCAGGACAAAACGAGAGGUGUACAUUAUGGAAACCGACUAGUUGUACCCGCCAACCCCAACCUUAGGAAGCAAAUCCUAGAUGAAGCUCAUCUCUCCAAGUUCUCAAUCCAUCCUGGCAGCACAAAGAUGUACCAUGAUCUCCGUCAAGCCUUUUGGUGGAGUGGAAUGAAGCCGGAAAUUGCCCGGUAUGUUUCAGAAUGUGACACCUGUCAACGCGUCAAGGCCAGUCAUUUAAAGGUAGCAGGUACCCUGCAACCGCUACCUAUUCCCUCUUGGAAAUGGGAAGACAUCAGCAUGGAUUUCAUAGUUGGAUUGCCCCUUACAUCGCAAUGAUAUGAUUCCAUCUGGGUUGUAGUGGACCGUUUGACCAAGACCGCACACUUCCUUCUUGUUCGCACCACCUACACAGUCAAGCAGUAUGCAGAAUUGUACCUCGACCGCAUAGUUUCCCUACACGGUGUACCCAAGACCAUCGUCUCUGAUCGAGGAGUUCAGUUUGUGGCACGUUUUUGGGAGCAACUACAAGCAUCCAUGGGCACCAAGCUCAUCCGAAGCUCAACAUAUCAUCCUCAAACCGAUGGCCAAACCGAGAGAAUCAAUCAGAUCCUCGAAGACAUGUUAAGAGCUUGUGUUAUCCACUAUGACAAGAAUUGGGACAAGUGUCUACCCUUAGCAGAAUUCUCCUACAAUAACAGCUACCAAGCCAGUUUGAAGAUGGCACCGUUCGAAGCCCUGUAUGGCCGGAGAUGCCGGACACCCUUGAACUGGUCCCAACCAGGAGAAAGACAGGUCUAUGGCCCUGACUUGGUGGCAGAAGCCGAAGAGCAAGUAAAGGUAAUUCAAGCUAAUCUCAAGGCUGCCCAAUCUCGACAGAAGAGUUACUCCGACCGGCGGAGAAGACCCCUGCAGUUCGACCUUGGUGAUCAUGUGUACCUUCGAGUCUCCCCGACCAAAGGAGUACAACGGUUUGGAGUAAAAGGCAAGUUAGCUCCCCGUUAUAUUGGCCCUUAUGAGAUUGUGGAGAUAUGUGGACCCGUUGCUUACCGGAUCCAACUCCCAGAACAGCUAUCAGCCAUACACGAUGUCUUCCAUGUGUCUCAACUGAAGAAAUGUGUCCGAGUUCCAGCAGAAAUCUUAGAGCAAGAACAGCUUCAGGUAGAGCCCGACCUGACCUACGCCGAGUACCCAGAUCGAGUUCUUAACCAGAAGGAAAGGCACACCCGACGCCAAGUGGUAAAGAUGUACAAGAUCCUCUGGAGAAACCACACCGAAGAUGAAGCAACAUGGGAAACGGACAAAUAUCUGAACAAGAGCUUUCCAGGUUUUCUAUCUCGUCAAGGAGGUAAAAACGGCACCCCGCUUUUGAUGCCUGAAUCUCAGGACAAGAUUCUUUUUAAGAGGGGUAGGCUGUGACGACCGACCCCUAAUCUCCCGAGUUAAUCUUAAUCGGAGCCCUUGAUCAUAGUCAUCUGUCUUGUUUUACCGCGCCUGAGUGCUCAGCCUUCCGCCCGGUUCCAACCCCGGAGACCCGACCCCUCCCCGCUUCGCUCCGAUCCCGACCCCGGCAAGCUCAGCCCACCGUCGGAUCCUUCUAAAUCUUCCUCAAACGUCCGUCCUAUCCGCCCGGUGGACCCGCGAGAUCUCUUCCCCAGAUCCUCCGCGACAGGUGCACUCGAGUUGCAUGCCCACUUCAGAGUCUCCCUGCCGCGUGGCUCGUCUUCUCCGACGCCGCCGCUCAGUUUUGUCUCUGUCUAGCGACCGAGUGGUUUCUCGCGCCUCCUUCCCCAAUGGCAGCGGAAGCCCCUCUGCAUCCUUUCUGCAGAGCCUCGCCUCCCGCACCCAUCAUCACGCCGCCAGAUCCCGGCCUCAGAGCCCGAUGUCGCCCAUCUUUUCCAUCACUUCGAGCACAGUCGCGCCGCCUGGUCUCCGCUACACGACGAUUCCUCCAUCGCCAACCCCGACCGUGGCAGCGACAGCUCCUUUCCCCGCCCUGUCAGAAGCCGCCCGACAAUCUGUUGCUCCGCGCUCGCCCGCGCGCCCGCGGCUGCCUGUCUUCUCACCUGUGCGCCCUCGAUUCUAGCACCGUUAAACCGGUCGCUUCUAUCAAAUCUUCCGCAUGGCGACGCCUGCCUCCGCCAAAUUUCAACCACCGGCAUACCCGCUCCUGCGCCGCCCUGACGCCAGAACCCAAUGACCGCUGGCGUCACCCCCAGAGUCCUGCACCACCGCCCUCUUCACUCAAUCACCGCCCCGGCAGAGCACUCCAUUGCUUCUCCCCGGCCUUCGCGCCGCUCCCCUUCUCUCUCUCCCGCACCGCUUCCUUCGUCCAUUCCAGCAGCUAUAAAAGGAAUGCACCAGCCGCCGAAGUUCCCUCCGCCAUUGUUGCCUUUAGCCAUUCUCUCGCUCCCUGCUCAAGCUCCUAGCGCCACACACCAAGUUCUUGAGGAACUCUGCUCUCAGAUUCUCCCUUAGUUUUCUCCAAGUCACCCAGCCGCUUGCUCCUCCGUGCUGCGUAAAAGCUCUCUUGUGAUCUGCAAGAAGCACCGCCGCCACCGUAGCAUUUCCGGUCUUAGCCGUUGUUCAAAGCUUUAGUCCCUCCGCCCAAGUCUGCUUUUUCCCGACCCUAAGCCUUCCUUUUAGGAAGAAGGUAAGCUGCCGACCUCAGACCGCUUCGCCCGACCCCUCCUAUCCGCCCGACCCCAGUUCCGUCUCGCCCGACCCUAUCUGUUCCGCCGACCCGUAUCCGCCUCGCCCGAAGGUCCGACUGUGAUCUUUUCUUCAACCCGAGGGUGUAUGUGUAAAAUUUAGGAACCCUUCAGCGCUUGCGUCUGAGGAUCCCUAGUAUACCACAUCCUCUAGUUCAAGGACCAGAUCAUAAGUUCCUUUCCGACCCUUGCCUCUUGAUCAUCACCAGCUCUCUUGAACCUCCCUUCCCUCCUGCUCCUUGUCGCGAGUUUCUGGGCUCAGGCGAGCCAGUGUUGCUGUUGAAAUAACCGCCUAUGCUAACUUUUGCAUUGCAUUCGUGUAGAGCUGCACCUCACCGACGGCUUCUACGAGCUACACCCGGCGCCAGAAGAUGAAGCUGUAGCUGAGCUCCUGCCCGCUGAAGCCGAAGUCGCCCCCGAAGUCGAGCAGUUUCCUUCCUCUUUGCUCGAAGGCAAGCCUCGGUUGCAUGAAAACCCUGUGUGUUUUACCAGACUUGCGCAUGCCUUCUGUAACAUGAUUGUGCAUUUACGUAUAGGAGUUGUUUGAAACCCUAGAUGCAUGACUUAGUUAUCCCCAUGAUCUGAGCACUAGCUGUUGGACCGAGUAGCCGCUUGCUUAACUAGGAGACGGUAAAAGCCGAGUGAUUCACUGUCACUCGUGAGUUGUAGGAGUUGGAUGUCUACCUUUCUGUUACAACUAUAAGGACGAUGGACGGGGCAGGGUUUUGGUAACUUUUUGGUGGACGAAUGGUCGCCCCGUCUGUCUAUGAAAAUCUUGCUAAGGCCCGACAGUGGUGGUGUUCGUGAUCAAGUGUUUGAAAGUACUAGCCUCAUACUUAGUAUGGGAUGAGGAAGCCUAGUACCGGAUUGAACCUAGACAUGAGCGGUUGCCCCAUUGUUCUUGGAAUGGAGUUCCCCUGCUGGUUGUCGCACGUGGUGGUAAGCGUGGUCACAGGACGGCAGAGGCCGGGUCUGUGGAACCUUGCACCAAAGGAAAUGGGCCCGACACGGGUUAGGGGAUUGAUGGGGAAGGCCGACACAGGAAGCGACCUCUGGGUGCGCGGAUGUCGUGAGGCUAGGUUCACCGUGCAUGGUUAAAGAACUCGAAUCGAUUCGUCUGCCUCUCACAGUUUGAGAUUGCUUGAUCGCUAUGUCACCCUGAGUAAAUGAGGAAUCUGAUGAUGACAUGGUGUUUGUUGUUAUAUCUGCACAUCUUGUUUGGCUCUAUGAUUGCUUAGAAUAGGUUGCAAAACCUAGACCGGCUAAUGAACUUAGAACUGGAUCUAAAACUUGAAAAUAGGGUUUUACUUAGUGCUUUUGGCAAACAAACCCCUCAGCCAAAAAGCCCUGCAUGUCUAGGAGGAGGAGUAGUUUACUCCUUUCGGUUAAGUCUUGUUGAGCUUAGUAGCUCAGCCUUGUUGUGGCUCCUAUUUUUCAGGUGAAGUUGCUGCUCCCGACCCCUCUUUUGCUAGCGCUUGGCCGCCCCAGCUUCCGCCGGGCUGGACGGUCGAGUGGGAUCCUUCCUUGGACGGCGAGGAGAGGAAUCAGUGAUGUCCCGGUUGGCCUCACCAGGGACGUUCGACCCCGACGAUGGCUUUCGCUAGCGGUUUUACCUUUUGUUGUUUUCCUUUGAACCUUGUAAAAACUCUGAUGUUGGUUUUUGUGGCCGAACUAAAGGGUUAAAUCGUUUAACUCAGUGGACUCGUUGUAUUCUCUGGAACCACUCACCUUCGUGUGAGUUUGCUAAACUCGAUCCUGUUCAAGUGGUUAGUCGGAUGAGAUCCGACGGCCUUCGUGUUAACUUGGCUUGAGCAUGGGUGUCGCAUGUUAGGCGGCUUAACCCUGUCUAAUCAAGCUAAUCCGAAGUGGAUCCGCCAUAGUUAGUUUGUGCAAAGGGAUUCGAGUGGUGUAGAGGUGAGUUAGUGUAUGAUUAUGCUAAGUGAGGAUUUUUAGACAAGUUCAGGCCAUUCGAAAGCGUAAUAUCCUACGUCCUGUGUGUUGUCUUGCUUAGAAUUGCUUGCCUUUGUUGGUACAGCAGCUGGCCUUUCAUAGGCUAGGCCCAUGGGAGGGCUGAUCGGGGCGAGCCUUGCGCCACAAUCCUUCCUCCCUCUUUUGUGCGAAUGCGGUGACCCAAUGGCCUCCCACCUAGCUACAGUCUCCUAACGCACUGUCCACUUGACCUGACACCCCUCGCCUUGGUGUGCACGGCUUCAAGGUACCUUGACCAGAUCCUUUGUACAUCAAUCUCAUCUUUUACAAUCUUACUCUGGUAAUCCUUCACUCUUCUCAGUCCAGACCCACCGUCCUAGGGCAUAGGGUGAUGAAUCUAGUUGACAGGAUCCUUCCCGGGAGACCUUUGCCACUUCCCGAGUCCAUAGUGUGGGCCUACCUCUCUCAUAGAGGACGGUGGCAAGCCAGGUGGGCGCUCUUGACAUGAGGGUGGCGCCCGCCGCCUGUUGGAUAGGUCGGGUGAGGCCGUCAGUCCCCGGGGCGCCAAGCCAUGUCCCAUCAAGUGUAAUGAUGGUGUUUUUACAGGAUGGGGCACCUGCUGAUAGCCUACCUCGACUAUCAUGCCCUUCUUAUUCCAGGAUAUGCCAUCGCUCGCUUUGCCUUGAACCGAGCCUUUCCGGGAGGCUUCCCAGGAAGUCUCCUUGGCUAUGUCCCGUUCGCACCGUGUGGGCCCUUAGUAGGUCCUAUUAUGUGGAGGCGAUAUUUUCCUUGUCCUUCCUAGGCUUCGGAUUUGUAGGUCCAUCUCCUUAAUUAUUUGGGCUUCAUGAGGGGGAGCCCCUUUCAACAAGCGGGCCCCAUUUGUAAGUGCCUUCUUGAGGGACCCUCGUUCCCUUGGUGCUGACAACUAGUUAUUGGCUCUUAGCCCCCGAUCUUGGAAGCUAGCUGAGCCAUUGGAGGUACGUUGCACGGCCUGGAGAAUCGUUGCCGAAGCUUGACCUACAAAAGAAUAUGCAUACAUUAUGUAGCACUUAUUGUAGAAUUUUGGAACUACUGAAAUUUAUUCAGUGAUGAAAGUAAAUGUUUUGUGCCGUGAUCUUGUUUCAGUCAUAUUUCUGCCAAGCAGUUACCCUGUUGUGUUUAGGCUCCCAGUCCCUGUUUUAGCCAUUGCCACUGCGUGUAAGAUCUUUGUCUUGUGUACGCGUACUGGCACUGCCGCUGCACAUCUAAGAUCUUUGUCUCGUGUACGCGUGCUAGUGUUUAGGCAUGACAAAAGAUCCAAGGCUGUUGCAGAUUAUGGCGUGCUCUGCUCGAGUAGAUUAACAACCGCUUAGAGGAGAUAGCAAAAAUAAGUAGUUGACAUUGCAAUAAAAAGUUUGCGUGAUUGCGCGUAAAGUAGUCGUUGAGACUUUUUUGCCUUUUGGUGAGUAGAGCGCAUGUUGCCAUGCACAGGAUCUGUGCCUCCAUUGGGUGUAGCCGCUGGGAGCCUCCAGGACUCAGUGCACCAGACUAGUGGCUAUAGACUCCAUAUUUCGGUGUACUAAGCCCAUGGCUAUCAGUCAACAUACCCUAGGAGUAGUCAGCGAAGUGUAGCUCUAUUGGGUAAUUGCCGAAAAGAGUCAUACACAAAUAAGUACUCUGGGCAUUACCCAUCAUGUGAAAAACAAGCUAGAAAAAUUAUAUGAAAUACUUAGAAAAGUGACUUAGCUUGAUUCGUGUAUGAUUGUCGACGAAGCCAUAUCGGUCGUUGAUGAAGCUGACUAGUCGGAGUCGAUUCUGACUAGUUGUUGAUGAUGUGAAGUCUGUCCCGACUAGUUUCUAUUCGAGAUGAGUAGUCGAGGUUGUCGUUGGUGAGUUGACAAAGCCAUGCGCGAUGAAGUCGUAGUGCCCCUGUACGUCUUCAGUGUACAUUAAGCGAAGAUCUUGUCGCUUCCUGGUAUACUUCUAGGUGCACAUAGUUGAAUUCCACCAAAUUUGCUUUCCCGGAGAAGAAUGAGCCACAUGAGACAGCUAUCUCUGCCUCGAUCCACGCAUGGCUGUAACAGAUGCUAUUCAUCUUAAAAUUAUGGUGUGGGUCACUAGGUCUCUACUAAUCCAAUAGUAGUGCGUCGGUACUUGUUGUAAUCGCGCACAUUGAUGGGAAACUUGUAUCUUCAACUCGAAUCAGACUGCCUCUACCUUUUUCUUCUCCUCAUGCACCUAGUACAGCAGCUGUGGAUGGGAUCGUUGGCGUUCAUGGCUUUGGGCUUGAUUAUUUUGACUGACUUGUCCUCUGCCUCGAACCGUGAACAACAACAGCCAAUUUUGUUUCCCCGCAGCAGGAACAGCAGUCCCGAUCCACAUGAAGCGUUGAGGAUGGCUUCGACUAGGAAUUGAUUUCCGUGGGUCCACAAGAGAUUAACAGGCGACAAUUUCAACUCAGUGACUUGCACCAAUGUUGAGAUGUCAAUUGAUAGGUCACGGAACUCGGCGACUUGCUUCUCGUUGAGUAGAUCUAUUUUGAAGAUGAGGUCCUUCAAGCUCACCCAAUGAUCUUGACGAUCACCCCUACCUAGCAUGUCAGAUGUUGAUGUUUUAAACCCAGCAACCUACCGAGGGAUAUCCUGAGGUAGUAGAUUUUUUGGUGGGGUAUUGCCGGACCUAGAGCUUGAUGGUAAAAGUAAGGGACACAAGACACAGAUUUAUACAAGUUCAGGUCACCAGAGUAGCAUAAUAUCCUACGUCCUGUUUGGGGUGUUGUAUAUUGCGUCCUGCGCUUGGGUGAUGUUUGGUGUUAUUGGUUCAGGUUGGUUCUGCCGAUCUAGGUAGCCCUACCCUCCUUUAUAUACUCCAUGGGAUGGGAUUACAAGUUAGUUACAAGGUAUGAGUCCUAGUAGGAUUAUAGGGGAAUCCUAGUAGGACUCUGUCUUCUUCCUUCCUUGUGGGUACUGAGGAUCUAUCCUUAACACCACAUUUAUUCAGUUGCUCUCUUAUUUAAGUUUGCUGAUUACCUGAUAACUUGUCUUGAUUUUUAUUAAACUUACUUCUUUAUACUAUAUACAUUCGUGAAUCUCUUGCAAAGUUCUACCCUACCAAAGCCUAUAUACUUACUUGUCCUUUCAUGAUGAAACCCUUAAUUUGCAAACUUAUAUUCUGAUGAGUUGGAUUAGGAUUGAUUUUUGUGGUUUGAGACUUAGAAGCUGGCCAUUUCUUUGUGUUACAUUUGUUUUGCUAGCCUUUACUAUCCAUGCAUUGUGAUUUUCUUUACUAGAAAAUUUGCAAACCUCGCUAGAUAUCCACCUAAACCUUCCUUCUCCACAACCUAUUAAGAUGAGUAUGAUUAAAUUUUUCGAAUGUCAUUUCUAUGCCCACCUGCAACAAAUUUUUACUCACUUUUCAUGCUCGGGGACGAGCAUCGUUCAAGCAUGGAGGAGAGUCAGUGCACUACCUAACCACAACAAGGAAUCUUCUGUUCUAUGACAAACCCAAAAGUGUCAUAAACGCAUUUUUUGCAUCACAAACCGUGAUUUGUGAUGCUUGAGUGACAAAAACUCUUCGUCAUUAAUCGAGUGUCAUAAACCACGAUUAGUGAUGUUCCUUAUUUUGGUGCGUCACUAAGAUAAUGAUGAAUGAAAAUUGAUCCCACAAGUCGUUAUAAACUGCCUCCUUCAUAGCAUGCUACGUUGGACCAUAGUCCAAUGUGGCAUGACAUUUGUGAUGAACUGUUUCGUCAUAGAUUGAAUUAGGCCUAUUUCUUGUUGGAUCGAGCCUAAUAAAUGUUGUCGUCAUAGAUUGAUUUAGGCCUAAUUCAUUUGGGUCGAGGCCAAUAACUACUAUCGUCAUAGAUUGAUUUAGGCCCAAUUCUUCUUGGACCAAGCCCAAUAAUCGCUAUCAUCGUAACUUAGUUUGGACCUAAUUCUUGUUGGAUCAACCGCAACAUAUGCUAACAUCAGAACUUUGUUUAUGCCCAAUUCUUAAUGGAUUUAGCCGAACAUUUGCUGGCAUCAUAACUUUGUUUAGGCUCAUGAAAUAAUGGGUCGAGGGGGCGAGCCCACAAAAUUUUGGGCCCAAUUAUUUUAGUGUGUAGCCUAGGUAUAAUUGACAGUACAAAUAAUUUGUACAUACCACAGAUACAAAUAAAUGUUUCUUAUCACACUUCACACAUUAUUAUUCAUGUCCAAAGAACAAGCAUAACCAUGUUGUCCAUAAGAGAUCACAAACCACUACAUAGGAUAUCUCCCUGACCAAGAAAAAAGCUAGCCUAGAUCACAAAUUAGUACAAGCAGCUGGGAGGACAUGAGCAGAUGCCUAAGAAAUACAUUGACCUUACCCUAUGAAGUUUAGUAGUUGAUGAAGGAGGUACUCAGUUUGUCUCACUACUUUCUUCAAACUCUCAACCUCCUCAGACUGCAUUUUCAUUACUGCAUGUGAAUUUUGUGCCUUCAUCUUCAACUCACUCAACAUUUGCUCUUAUUCAACAACUUGUUGUCUUAGUUCUGCAGCUUCUUGCAGCUCUCCAAAAGAAACUUUAGAUCUUGAGCUUGUAGGUGACGCUAGCUGCACGGCCACAUAAUCAAGGAAGGUACUUGACUGCAAAUCUUGCGGACCAAAAUUUGGUACUUCAACCCUAAGGAUUUUUUUCAAUAUUUCAGCCUACAAAUGAAAGGAGCACAAGUCAAACUUCAAUUUUAAACAAAGCAACUGAAUAAAGUAAAGAAUACAAGAGUAGGAUAAUCACUUGUUUAGUUACACACCGCGACAUGUGACUGAAUUUCAGAAAUGUAGGAACGUGGAACUAGGUCGUGCAUAAUAAGUAUUUGGUCAGUUGUCUUAUAUAUAAGGAAUAGAAUGUACCAUGACUAUAGUAAUGCAUAUGCCAGCCUUGCAGAGAGAUCUAGAGCGGCCAAGGUAAGAUAAGGAGCUCAAAUCUAACACAAUACACCGUGAAAUUUACUAUUCGCUAAAAAAAUACUCCAGCGGCAUCGGACCAUGGCCACCUCUAUCCGUAACUUGGCUCCGCUCUAGAUGGAAAUAAACUUGAGCAAAGUGCUCUUCGGUGAAGCACAUGUAGAUUCAGCAAAAUUGGAGGGGGGCUACAGAGAAAAGAAAUGAGAUUCUCACUGGUGGAGCUCGAAGAUGCAGUGGUGCAUGGUUGGAUGGGGUAGCCGGUGCUUGCGCGGCAUCCUCUCUCAACUGCUCAGCUGCGCUAGCAUGGGCGCCAGCAGCGGACCUAGGAUUUUACCACAGGAUAUGCUGAAAAAAAUCUUAUGCAAUUUGAUAAAACCAUUUACAAUUUGGUAAAACCAUAUUCUAAUUCGGUAAACCACAUGCACUAAAUAACAUGAUAAGUCUUAAAUUUAAAGAUUCAGCUAGAAAUAAUAACAAAUCACAAUAUAAAUAGUUCAAAUAAAAUACAAAUAGUUUGAAAUAUGUUUUAAAAGAAACUUACAAUAUUACUUGUCUACUUUGUUUACCCGCCGCUUUUUGAAUGACAUGAAUGUGUUGGUUAUAUCAUCUUCAUUCACUUGGAAGAAAAUAUCCCGCUCAAUGAAUGUGACUAGACAAUCAUCCAAAACACUAUCACUUUAACCAAUGCAGAAAAUACCCUUCCAACACUCACUAUUGCCACUAGUAAAAGCAAUACCAAUUUGAGAAGCAAGUAAACCAUAUCAUAAACUUUGUGCCUCCAUGUUUGAACAAGCUUAACAGAGAGAUCAACGAUGUUGUCUAGACCCUUGAGGCUAUCAUCUCAUUGCAUGUCAUCAAUAUAAUUAUCAAGUUGCAAUUCAAGUUUGAGCAAAUCAUUGUUGGAGAAGUCCUUAUGAUAAAAUUCAGCCCCUGAAUAGGUGAUCUCGCUGGUGCCUCAACAUGAUCCCGCUGGGGUAGUGAUUCAUCGCUGCAGGGUUAGUGAUUCACAUUGCCAUUGCCGAAGAUCAUUGCAUCAUCAUAGAACUUUCCAUCAUCCAAGAAGUAGAUGCCUCCCUGGAGGUACUCAUCCGCCUUGUAGGAUCUGGAGCAGCCAUGCCCGACGAAUAGCAUUUGGUCACCCAGCGUGUCUAGCUCGCUCCAUUUGAAGGGGUACAGAUUGAUAGGGAAGUUGGCAUCGACGUCAGCAAUGUUCCGUUUGAUCCCCCGAAACACCUUGAACUUGGACGUUGGCUGGUUAGAAUGAGGCGUGAACUUCAUGAUGGAUGUCAGUUGUCACUUGAGCACGCAUGGCUGCAAUGCUGAUGGUGCCGACGGGAUCACGUUGAGGUGUGUGCUGGGCCCCAGGGUAUGCCGUGGCUCACCCAGCAUACCUUGUGGGUCCACCCCUGAUGGGCGCAACCGCUGCAAGGAUGCUAAGAUGUUCCUCCGAGACUGCCACUAACCAUCUCGCACAUUGAUGCUUGCCGCCACUACUAAGGUACCCCGCGACCGCUGAGGUCAGCUGCUACCGCAGAUUUAGUUGGACAUUAAAGCCAGCAGAGAAGAGAGUGCUGAUUUUGGAAAUACAAGGCGGGAGUUUGGAGUGGCAGAGUGGUAGCUAUGUUUUUAUUAUUUGGGGAGAGGCAAGGGAACACAAAUUUAAAGAUCUCGCUUUCAAGUUCCUAGGCGCAAAAUGAAAAUUUGGGAAGCUGCACUUGCUGCAAGGUCACUGACAAGAUUCUGCACUCUUAUAGCACCCAUUUGUCAGCGAAGCAGGGUGCGUUUCAUCUUGCAUACAACCUAGGCGGGAGACUAAUAUCUAGAAGAGGCCCACGCUUCAGUGAACCUAGGUGCGUAUUCAGUUGUUCACCACAAAAGGAAACAACUGCUUUCGCCAACUAUAAUGCCUACACGUUUGUUUUUUGAACUUAUUUGGAUGUAAGGAUUUUCCUUCUUUUUAUCCUGACCAAAGUGCACUCGUGUACCAGCCAAAUAUUUCGCAUGCUUACCCAUGAACGAAAGCAUGCAUAUUAUGUCCUAUACUUGGGGCAGGAUUCUUGAUUAGUAUAGGCCUGCAUACCUGCAUAUUCCGAGUAUCCCACAUACUUUCAUGGCUACUGUAAUCCCAUGAGGUGUGAACUGCGAGAAGGUGCAUUGCGUUGUUGAUCGGUCAUGGUGCUUCAAUAUAUAGGCGUGCCCCCAAGGCCUUUGCUCACCGGCUCUUCAUCUUUCACAUUGUUACUGGUUGUGGUAGGCGACCUACUUGGUUCUGCACCCUGUGAGAGGUGAGCUCAUAGCUUCCACAUAUUGUUUAUAGGUUAUCAUCAUUGCUUGUGGUCAAUGCUUGUCAUUUAUAUAGUUUUGUUGGUAAGUGUAUGUAGGAGGAUGGCGGGUCAGGCAAACAGAACAUGCAACUUCAAUGUUGUGCCACCUCCGCAGCAGGCUUCAUUGAUCCGUAUGAUCUGUAUGACAUGGAAGAAGCGGACAAGGAUGAAAUAGAGGAGUUGAAGCAAACAAGCAAGAUUUGUAUGAUCUUAUGCAUUAUAUUAGCAUCAAUCUGAUGUAUGAUCCAUUGUCAUAAAAGCGAAUAGGCCAGACUAAAAUUUUCGAUCCUUUGUUGUGAAAAUGGUUUGAAUUUUGUCAAGGUGAACAAGGAUUUCCUUGCUUUUGAUAGAGAGGAAAAUAGGUCACAUUAUUUGUUAAUGUUUGUCACAAAUUGAUUUUCAGCCUCUCCAAAAACUGAUGCACUAUUCCAACCACAAUCACAUUAAAUGUAACAUAAAAUUUGAUCGAUCUUGGCCUCUCAAGGUAUGUGAGUAGGAGAAGCACCCCUUGUGAAAUAAAUGAGGGAAGCCCAGAAAUUUGUUUAAGUGCAAGUAACCAUGUCUACACGGGAACCAAGGAAGAGAGAAAGCGUGAGGGAGAGGAAAUAGAGCAAACAGAGCAGUAAAAUAGGGGAUUGAUAUUCCAUGCAAAAGGAAUUCAUUAUAUUCUUGAUGAAGCUAGAUGGAAAUUAUGUUGUUGGAAAAGUCAAUAGGCCGGACAAAAAUUUUUUAUCCUUUGUUGUGAAAAUGGUUUGAAUGUACGAAAUGAGUGUGGAGUUAGUCAAAAACAUUUGGGUGGUGCAGUGGUGGAUAGCAACUGUCUCACAGCCCUUGGCCCGUGUACCAAACCCUGCCAUUGCAAAAUUUUUGCUCGCUUAUUAUCUGCGGGCUCCACCAUUACACAUGGCAAUGAAAUGUUUUUGCUUUCCCCAACUAGCAAGGAUUGCCUUGCCAAGUCUUGGCAAGCUCGGCACUCUUGCAAACAAAAUGAAAUCACGCAAUGAGAUUGGCAAAGUGACAAUACAUCAUCGGCACAAUGUUCAAAAACAUAAGGCAACAUAACCAAAGUGACACUUGCGAUUCUUGGCGCGGUACAAACAUAUGAUCUAUUGUCAAAGAAGUAAAUAGGACAGAGUAAAUACACAAUACAAGAUAGUCAUGAACAUUCAACGGUGAGGGAUAAGGAUACCCAUGGGUCCCCACCGAAUAGGAUACUAGUUGGCCCUGAUAGGUGUGUUGGAGGUAUGCCCUAGAGGCAAUCAUAGAGAUGAUGAUAUUCCAUUUGUAUCCACGAUUUGUAUAUUGUGUUCAUUGAAUAUCCAUUAAAGGCUACUUGAAUUGAUUUGCAAUUAUGUGAAUUGUAUGUGAAACUCUUUACUUGUAUGGUUAUUCUAAAGUUGUCUCUAGUCGGAGUUCAUGUGAGGACACACAUGAAUAUUAGACUAGCACAUGUAUUAGUUGAUGACUAUGUUUCACAAGUCAUGGAUAUGGAGAUGUUAAACUAAUAAUGUGGGCACAUGUGGAGAAGUAGUUCUCUCUUUACACAACAUGUACACUUUGUCCUUAGACCUGAGAUUGUCGUAUGUACUCAAGAUGUGGAUUGACUUACUUAGGGGGUUAUCAAACGCUACACCGUGACAGGGUAGUUAAAAAGGUAGCUUUCAGGUUUGUCAAGAAGCAUGCUGUGAGACAUGGUCAAUCAAGAUAGGAUUUGCCCCUCUCUGAUUGAAAGUGAUUUCUCUGGGCCCCUCGAGUGAUCGGAUUCGAAACUGCAUGGCCAUGCUACGUACGGUUAAGAGUUAACCUACAAAGGAAUUUUGAAUCACAGGAUCGAGAAAGAGCGGUCGGCUUGAAGCUAGACCAAAUAUCGUGAGGCAAAGGGAAUAGCAUGUACAUAAUGUUGUGAUGGUUCGUCUGAUAUGAUCUUCGUGUGCGUAUAGGAGUUGGCACGUCUUGCUAGAGUCCACUACUGACUAUUGGGCCGACUAGGAGUACUCGGGCCAUGUCUAUACAUAUCCGAACCCAUAGGGUCACACACUUAAGGGGCUGGAAGCCCAAUUCGGAUGUGAUCCGAGUUGGAUUAGGUUUAGAAGUACUAAUGGGCCUCGGACCCAGAGGCCCGUUAGGAACCUCUAUAAAUAGAAGGGUGGGGCGCCCUAGGGUUUACACCUUUUGGCGAAACACAUCUGCUGCGCCUCCCACGCCCUCGCCUGUUGCAACUCGCGAACCUAGCAGUCCGGCUUGUGACGCUUCCUCGUUGCAUGUGUGGAUACCUUGGAGGUGUUGCGCAUGCAGCACUUGGACGAGCCGCCGACAAUCCACGAUGAGCCACCGACGAGCCGACGACGAGCUGCGACACGAGGGCGAUCUUGCUGCACAUGGACGAGCUACUGAGGAGCUGCUAGACGUCGACAUGAUCGACUACGUGUUCGACUAUACUAAUCGACUUUGCUGCAUCGACAGGAAUCUAAAUCUUCCGCAUCAGUGCAUCGAGUGGUAAUCCUGUGAUCCUUAUACGACAGUUUUCCUGGUUUACGCGGUAGAAAAUUUUGAUUUACGCUAGUGUAGCCUACCUCGUAUCCUGACAGUGGUAUUAGAGCCGUAGCUGUUUAGUUUUGGAUUCGGGAUGUGUGCAUAUGGAGAUAUGCGAGUUUUCAGUUUGAUCUAUGUCUUGGUUUCGUGUUCGUGUUGCAAUGGUUGUGUAACGACAUACUCCUACCGGUCGGGUUUCCACCAUCGAAGUUAAGUGAUACACGUAAUGCCAAUUGCAGCGAGCGAAGAUCAAUAUGAGAUGUGCAAUAGUAGAUUGGAUCUACUACCGGGUCGGGAUUUUGUCGUGUGCGUGUGCUUCGGUAAAUCAGCAAUAACUUUUUGGUACGAUCUCGGAUCGGGGCGAAUUUUAUAUGAAAAAUGAUCUACUGAAAAAGUUACACAUGAAAUUCAACUGCUUUGCCAUUUUUGGCGAAAUUAGAUUUCCCAAAUUUGGCUUGGAAGAUGGAGUUUCAGGCCUCUAAAGUUUGGAACGUUAGAACGCCUAACUCUGUUUUUGCAGGAUGUAUGUAUCUUGUGAUCAGUAUGGCCCCUUUGUGUAUGUGAUGCAUGUGUGUAACUCAUUCAUGACCUACGUGUCGCGCAUACGGCAACACGACUGGAGCCAUAUGUGUUGUCACAUUAAUGUAGUUAAUGGUGUGCGUACCAAUCUAUGAUGAUCCAAGCAACUAUGUAAUCUUCAUUACUAGCUAUUAGGAGCAAUAGCACGUUCUAGUUCUUGGAAGGCUCAUCACCAGGAGGAUGGCGCACAUGGAACAUGGAGAUGGAGAUCACCAUGGUGAACAGGUUCUGUGGAGAUAGAGAUCGCCAUAAGAAAACAGGCCAUACUAUAUCACAACUGUGUGCAUGCUAUUCUAUUUAUGUUUUACUUCCUGCAUGAUGUGAUGUUAGAAGUAGAACAAUCCCUCACAAAAAAGUUUAAGUUAGUAUGCCCUCCCAACUAAAACUUGCACCAUCCCAUGUCUUGUACAAUUAGUAGUGGGUCUAUGAAAUUAGGGUGCCACUAGUUUUCCUUGACUAGACGAGUUUGUGUCGGACACUUACACGCAUAAGGGUUGGUUUGCUUAACAAGGUUAUCUUAACGGUUAAGGACCUUGGGGCACAAAGGUUGGGUACCGAGACAUGGAGAUGUCACCCAACAACAGGAGUCAUAUGUGAUAUGAUUAGCAAGAAGUUGCUUACCAAUCUACCUUGUUUGCUAGCGGUGAUGCUAAAGCUCACUAGUAGACUAGUUAGUUGUGGAUCCUGAAUCACUAAGUAUCAAUAGAGAGAUAUUGAUUUUAGUGGGAGUAGAUUCUGUUAAAUAGUUUAAUGUAAUUUGCUCUAUCAUGGAUACAUUUGUCUUAGUGUAUAUGGCACCUAGCAACACCACACCGUUUGCUUUGCGUUCGGUCCUUGAGAAGGACAAGUUGAAUGGAACAAACUACUCGGAUUGAAUCCGUAACCUGAGAAUUGUUCUCAGGACCGAUAAAAAGGAAGAUGUUCUAGACACCCCACUACCAUAAGUACCUGCUGAUGAUGCAUCUGCUGCCGUUAAGGCUGCUUACAAGAAGGCAUUUGAUGCUAAUCUUGAGGUAAGCUGCCUUAUGCUUGCUUGCAUGGAACCCGAGCUGCAGAUGCAGUUCGAAACAAACCAUGAGGCGCACAAUAUGAUCGUGGCGCUAAAGGACAUGCUCCAGACACAGGCUAGGACUGAAAGGUUCAAUGUGUCCAAAGCCUUUCUGGUGUGCAAGCUAGCAGAAGGCGCAGCAGUAGGACCAUAUGUAAUCAAGAUGGUUGGUUACAUCAGUGAUUGGAGAAGCUGGGCUUCCCAAUGGGCAAGGAGUUGGCCACUGACUUCAUUCUUUCAUCUCUUCCGCCUAGCUAUGGGAACUUCAUCUCGAACUACCAUAUGCAUGGGACAGAGAAGGGUCUGAAUGACCUGUGUGGUAUGCUCAAGACAACAGAAGUUGACAUUAAGAAAAGCGCUAGUAGCAGCCAUAUGCUCAAGACAGCAGAAGUUAACAUUAAGAAAAGCGCUAGUAGCAGCCAUGUGAUGACUGUAUAGAACAAGCCUACCUUCAAGAAGAAGGGCAAUUCUUGGAAGAAGAAGGGCAAGGCUGGAGUGUCCAAGCCAAGCCCAACGCCCAAGGCUAAAGCUGGACCUGCUCCAGAUAAAGAGUGUUUUUAUUGUCACAAACCUGGUCACUGGAAGAGAAACUGCAAGCAGUACCUAGCUUCGUUAAAGAAUGGCGGAAGUAAGAGUACUUCCACCUCAGGUAUGCUUGUUGUUAAUGUUAUAGACAACAUAUUUCUCGCUGAUACAAUUAUUAAUUUUUGGGUAUUUGAUACCAGAUUGGUGGCUCAUAUUUGCAAUUCGAUGCAGGGAAUGAUAAGAAGUAGAAGCGUGGAAAGAGGAGAAGUUGAUUCCGCAUGGGCAAUAAUGCAAGAGUUGCUGCGUUGACCAUCGGGACGAUGCAACUCCACCUCCCGUCAGGAUUUAUUAUGGAGUUGAACAAUUGUUAUUUCAUUCCUAGUUUAAGUCAAAACAUUUUGUCUCCUUCAUGCUUGAUGAAGGAUGGUUAUUCAUUUUUGAGUGAAAACAAUGGUUGUGUGAUCUCUAAGAAUGAUAUGUUUAUGGCUUUUGCACCCAUUGUGAAUGCAUUGUUUAUUUUAAAUCUUGAUGGUUCACCUGUCUGUAACGUAAGUGCUAAAAGGCCUCGGCCUAAUGAUUUGAGUCCUACCUACUUGUUGCAUUGUUGUUUGGGUCAUAUAAGUGAAAAGCGCAUGAAGAAGGUCCAUUCUGAUGGACUUCUAACUUCGUUUGAUUUUGAAUCAUAUGAGACAUGUGAGGCUUGCUUGCUAGGCAAGAUGACCAAGACGCCUUUCACUGGUUUUCCUGAGAGAGCAGUAGACUUGUUGGAACUCGUACAUAGCGAUGUAUGCGGACCAAUGAGCACGACGGCUAGAGGAGGAUUCCAAUACUUCAUAACUUUCACUGAUGAUUUUAGUAGAUAUGGCUAUGUCUACUUGAUGAGGCACAAGUCUGAAACCUUUGAAAAGUUCAAGGAAUUUCAGAAUGAAGUUGAAAAUCAGCAUGGCAAGAAAAUUAAGGCCUUACGAUCUGAUCAUGGAGGCGAGUAUUUGAUCACGAGUUUAGCAAUCAUCUAAAGAGUUGCGGAAUUGUUCCACAACUUACGCCGCCUGAAACACCUCAGAGAAAUGGUGUAUCCGAGCGACGUAAUCGAACUUUGUUAGACAUGGUUCGAUCCAUGAUGAGGCAGUCGGACCUACCAUUGUCAUUUUGGGGAUACGCUCUAGACACAGCAGCUUUCACACUUAACAGGGUACCAUCUAAAUCCAUAGUUCAGACACCAUAUGAGAUGUGGACUGGAAAAGUUCCUAGUUUGUCUUUUCUAAAGAUUUAGGGAUGUGAAGUUUUUGUCAAGCGACUUCAGUCGGACAAGAUCACACCCAAGUCGGAUAAGUGCAUUUUCGUGGGAUAUCCAAAAAAAACUUUGGGAUAUUAUUUCUACAACCGGUCAGAGGGCAAAGUGUUUAUCGCUCAGAACGGGGUUUUCCUAGAGAAAGAGUUUCUCAAAGGAGAAAAGAGUGGAAAGACAGUGCAUCUUGAAGAAGUUCAAGAUGAGCCGAUCCGGCAAGAAUCAAUGAGUGAUGCUAACGUAGCAGAACAAGUUGAGAUACCCAUGGCAAGAGAAGCACCGCCACAACCACGAAGGUCAGCAAGGCUCCGCGAAAUGCGGGAAAUAUUAUUGUUGGACAAUGAUAAGCCUACGACAUAUGCAGAAGCAAUGAUGGACCCAAACUCCGAAAAAUGGCACAGUGCCAUGCAAUCUGAAAUACAGUCCAUGGAAGACAAUCAAGUUUGUAACUUUGUUGACCCACCUGAUGGUGUUAAAGCCAUAGAGUGCAAGUGGAUUUAUAACAAGAAAAAGGACAUGGAUGGAAAUGUUCACAUCUAUAAAGCACAACUUGUCACAAAAGGUUUUCGACAAGUUCAAGGAGUUGACUACGACGAGACCUUCUCGCCCAUAGUGAUGCUUAAGUCCAUUCGGAUUAUUCUAGCUAUAGCUGCAUAUUUUGAUUAUGAGAUAUGGCAGAUGGACGUCAAGACAGCUUUCCUGAAUAGAAACCUAGCUGAGGACGUUUAUAUGAUACAGCCCAAGGGUUUUGUCAAUCCAAAAAAUGCUGGAAAGGUAUGCAAGCUUCAGAGAUCCAUUUAUGGAUUGAAGCAAGCAUCUAGGAGUUGGAAUAUUCAUUUUGAUGAAGUGGUCAAAGGGUUUGACUUCAUCAAGAAUGAAGAAGAGUCUUGUGUUUACAAGAACGUUAGUGAGAGCUCUGAAGUAUUUCUAAUCUUAUAUGUGGAUGACAUAUUGCUGAUUGGAAAUAACAUUCCUAUGCUUGAGUCCGUAAAGACUUCAGUGAAAAAUAAUUUUUCAAUGAAGGACUUAGGGAAAGCGGCAUAUAUUCUGGGCAUUAAGAUCUAUAGAGAUAGAUCAAGAAGGCUUAUAGGAUUAAGCCAAGAUACUUACAUUGACAAAGUGUUGAAGUGGUUCAGCAUGGAAGAAGCAAAGAAAGGGUUUUUGCCUAUGUCACAUGGCAUACAUCUCAGCAAGACUCAGUGUCCUUCGACUGCUAAUGAGCGGGAUCGCAUGAGUAGAGUGCCAUAUGCCUCGGUUAUUGGAUCUAUUAUGUAUGCAAUGAUAAGUACUCACCCAGAUGUUUCAUAUGCGCUAAGUAUGACAAGCAGACACUAGUCUGAUCUGGGUGAGAGUCACUGGACAGUGGUGAAAAACAUUCUUAAGUACUUGAGAAGGACUGAAGAUAUGUUCCUCAUCUAUGGAGGUGAGGAGGAGCUCGUUGUAACAGGUUACACCGAUGCUAGUUUCCGAACCGACAGAGAUGAAUCAAAGUCACAAUUAGGAUUUGUGUUCAUGCUAAACGGUGGUGCUGUUAGUUGGAAGAGUUCCAAGUAGGAGGCGGUGGCCGAUUCUAUGACAGAAGCCGAGUACAUCGCGGCUUCAGAAGCCACGAAGGAGGGUGCUUGGAUAAGGAAUUUCCUUAUUGAGCUUGGUGUGUUCCCGAAUGCGUCCAGCCCAUUGAAUCUCUACUGUGAUAACAAUGGGGCAAUUGCGCAAGCAAAGGAGCCAAGGAAUCACUAGAAGAACAAUGUGGCGAUUUCAUCUCAUUCAAGACUUCAUUAACCGGGGUGAGAUUAAGAUAUGCAAAAUACACACGGAUCUGAACAUUUCUGAUCCGUUGACAAAACUACUCCCGUAGGCUAAGCAUGAUGUGCAUGUAAGAGCUAUUGGUAUUAGAUACCUUCUAGAUUGACUCUAGUGCAAGUAAAGACUGUUGGAGGUAUGCCCUAGAGGCAAUCAUAGAGAUGAUGAUAUUCCAUUUGUAUCCAUGAUUUGUAUAUUGUGUUCAUUGAAUAUCCAUUAAAGGGUACUUGAAUUGAUUUGCAAUUAUGUGAAUUGUAUGUGAAACUCUUUACUUGUAUGGUUAUUCUAAAGUUGUCCCUAGUCAGAGUUCAUGUGAGGACACACAUGAAUAUUAGAUUAGAACAUGUAUUAGUUGAUGACUAUGUUUCACAAGUCAUGGACAUGGAGAUGUUAAACUAAUAAUGUGGGCACAUGUGGAGACAUGUGCUAGGACUGACCCAACACGAGAAGUGGUUCUCUCUUUACACAACAUGUACGCUUUGUCACUAGACUUGAGAUUGUCGCUUGUACUCAAGAUGUGGAUCGACUUACUUAGGGGGUUAUCAAACGCUACACUGCGACAGGGUAGUUAAAAAGGUAGCUUUUGGGUUUGUCAAGAAGCAUGCUGUGAGACAUGGUCAAUCAAGAUGGGAUUUGCCCCUCUCCGAUUGAGAGUGAUAUCUCUGGGCCCCUCGAGUGAUCGGAUUCAAAAAUGCAUGGCCAUGCUACGUACGGUUAAGAGUUAACCUACAAAGGGAUUCCGAAUCAUAGGAUCGAGAAAGAGCGGUCGGCUUGAAACUAGACCAAAUAUCAUGAGGCAAAGGGUACAUGUACAUAAUGUCGUGACAGUUCGUCUAAUAUGAUCUUCGUGUGCAUAUAGGAGUUGGCACGUCUUGCUAGAGGCCGCUACCGACUAUUGGACUGACUAGGAUUACUCGGGCCAUGUCUAUACGUAUCCGAACCCAUAGGGUCACACAUUUAAGGGGUUGGAAGCCCAAUUCGGAUGUGAUCCGAGUUGGAUUAGGUUUAGAAGUACUAAUGGGCCUCAGACCUAGAGGCCCAUUAGAAACCUCUAUAAAUAGAGGGGUGGGGGCGCCCUAGGGUUUACACCUUUUGGUGAAACAAAUCUGCUGCGCCUCCCACACCCUCGCCUGUUGCAACUUGUGGACCUAGCAGUCCGGCUUGCAACGCUUCCUCCCUGCACGUGUGGAUACCUUGGAGGUGUUGUGCCUGCAGCACUUGGACGAGCCGCCGAUUAGCCACAAUGAGCCACCGACGAGCCACGACGAGCCGCCGACGAGCCACGAUGAGUCGACGACGAGCCGCGGCACGAGGGCGAUCUUACUGCACGUGGACGAGCUACUGAGGAGCUGCUGGACGUCAACGUGAUCGACUACGUGUUCGACUACGCUGAUCGACUUCAUUGCAUCGACGUGAAUCUACAUCUUCCACAUCAGUGCGUCGAGUGGUAAUCCCGUGAUCCUUAUACAACAGUUUUCUGGGUUUACGCGGUAGAAAAUUUUGAUUUGCGCUAGUGUAGCCUACCUCGUAUCACAACAAGGUAGGCCCGCCUGACCACGCCGUGUGGGCCAAGGUAUGAAGAUACAUGGAGCACAAGCUUGAAGGCUGGGUGAACGGAUUUUGCCCGGAUACUACGGGAUACUAGUUGUAGUCCGACUCAGAUUGAUUUCCUUCUAACAACCGAUUAGAACUAGAUCCUAUCCAAUUGUAACCCUAGGUUGGCAUCCUAUAUAAGGCAGCCAGCAACUCUUCGCGUCCCAUACCAGCAAUACAAUCCACCAGAACACAGGAUGUAGGGUAUUACUCUCCGAAGGCCCAAACUUGUCUAAACCUUACGUCUCUGUGUUACCAUUCGAGUUCUUGGUCUUGCAAUCUCUCCCCCCUACAAAUCUACCACUUGGGUAACCACUUGGUGGACUGCCGGUCACUAAAUCCAAUAGUUGGCAUGCUAGGUAGGGGUGAUCGUGGGAUCCUCCCUAGCGAGCUUGAUGACAUCCCGCCCUAGCUCAUCUUCCCUGAGAGCAUGAAGUACUUCCUCAUCAACACACUCCAGCUCCACUUUGGGAGCAUGCCGGUGGACUCCAACUCCACCACCUCUGUCGCUGACUCGGUGUCCACCACAAGCUUAGCAUCCGUCAGAUCUGCAUCGACAGAGCAAACUCUGCACCCAAGGAUCAUCACACUACUUGCCCAGCAGGUCAGCGAUCUCUCUCUCUCAGAGAGGAUCAUGCGCAUCCUCGUGGCAACCCACCCACCCACACCUUCUAAUCCAAUCAUGGGGCUAGAUCGCAUUAGUAACACCAUUAUUGAGUGCAUCAGCCUCUCCGAGGUGGCACUAUGCCCUGGAAGGUCGGUGCAGGGCCCCCCACACCCUUUUUCACCUCAAGAACUCGGUUGCCGUGUUUUUCAGAAAACUUGUGCAGUCAUUUCAGAUCCAAUAUAAAGACCUACCCAAACCCACCCAGUUUUUGGACUGUGGCAAGUUUCAGGUCCCUCGCUUUGCCCUAACUCCAAACUCCUAUGAUGAAAGAGAUGAGAACAGCAACACCUCGCUAGACAUGGAAGUCUUUGUCUCAGAAGAUGAGGCCCCCAAAUGGCAAAACCUCUUCUCAAGAAGAGGGCCAUAACACUAGGAACCGGGACCUUGUGGUACUACCCCAGCGCGAGCAAGCCAACAUCCAGGCCCGUCAACCACCCGUUGCCACCGCCGUGGCUAGCACGCCUCCCAUCCCAUAGGUCUAACCCAACGGUGCUAUCAAUGGUGGCCAAGAUGACAUAGGAGGUCGAUAGAGGUGCCCUAACCCCUGUGUGCUCACAAUCUAUAGGCCGACUUAGAACAAGAUGGUCAUGACAUCUUUGCCACACCUCAGUCCAACCUGGGGGCUAUCUUUGCCGAUCUGCAAAAUCUUCCGGAUUUAGAGCAACUACACCGGAUCCGAGCGUGCAUCCAUGUCGCUAACGUCCAGAUUGAGGAAAAGGCCUAGGUGCCUGCAUGCUCAAGAAGCCAAUCAUCACACUCUAGAUCUACAUCUAUCAGGCACUCCCAAAGCCAAUCUACUCAAAGUAGAUCCAAUCCUAGCUGAGCCGAUCAUGACCGUUGCAGGGGAGGUCGGCUGGAACCCAUUCGAGAAGAGGAGGUGGGACAAUCUUAAAGCAAUGACAACCACCCUAACAAUGAUGAUAGCCAACUAGAUAACCACCACCUCGACAACCAUUGCCGCGAUGAACAAGGAGAUGACGAAUCCCGUGGUCCGCCUGGUUGGCAACCUGACUACGAUCUCCACGACAACCCCCACGACCACCUCGACCUCCGUGGUCAACUCAACAACCAUCACCAGGAGCGGGAUGAGGUGGAGCUCUGCUAGCAUGCCCAAUACAACUGUGACUUCGGCGCUCUGGGGAUUGGCAACCAGCCAAACCAUGAUGUGGACCUGGAGGUUCGCAACCGUCGAGAGAAGCUGCACCGCUAUGAUGAUUACGACCAUCGUUACGGUGCCCUUGGUGAUGCCAACAACCCACCCCAGCAUGAGAAUGGCGCACGUCACAAGCCCCCGCUGGUACACUAGCGCCUCAUGGAAGAUGAUGACAUGGACAUCGAUGGGUUUGCCGCGUUCAACCCCCACCUCAGGGUUGUCCAGUGGCCACCUACCUUCAAGCCAGGCAUCAAUGAUAAAUACGAUGGUCGCUUCGACCUGAAGAUCUGGCUGAAGAUGUACUACACUACGGUCAAGGCUGUGCACGGCACCUACGACUAGUUGGCUGCCUACUUUCCAGUGGUGAUGGGAAGCACAGCAUUCCUAUGGUUCGAAAACCUCCCACAAGGGUGCAUCAACACAUAGGGAUAGCUCGGCAGAGCCUUCACCUAGAACUAUUAGGCUACAUACACUCGACCUGGAAACACGGAAAACCUCAGCUAAGUCCGCCAGUGGAAGAACGAAACUCUCCGUGAGUACGUUAACUGCUUCUUUGACAAUCGCAAUAGGCUUGCCGGUGUUAAAGACCGCGAUGUCAUCUGGUACUUCUGCAUCAGCCUCAAGAACCUCUUGAUGUUACACACCAUGUUCUAGGACGUACCCAAGACAGUCAACACAUGAUGUAGAUCAUCAACCUUCACGCCGACAUAGAUGAGGCCGAGCAUGUCCAAUUCCGGGACGGCAAGCACCACCACAAUGAUGAUGACGAACUGCCGACCCAUCAAGACCACCAGCGCCAUCAACGGCUGGAGCCGUCCCGACCUUGGAAGAGGGCCCCUGAGGACCUCACUACCAAAGCUGACCCUGCGAGGCAAACAACCUUGCUCUAGGAGGAGUUUGACAAUACGUUGAACGCCUCAUGCCCCUUCCACAAGGAUGCACGCCACAAUCUUCGGGACUACACGGUCCUCAAGAAAGAGCUCGAUGCCCCGGUGGAAUACAAGCGGCCUCACCAGAACGAUUACCGCAAGGAAAGUAACCAUCGCGACAACAGCCGCCGCGAAGACUGCAACGACCAACGCAGAGAAGAGCACCGUGACCAGCGCACCUCCGACACCAACCACGGCGCCGGCAAUGACAACGACAAUUUCUAGCGCACCGAGCGGGAUGUGAACAUCAUCAUCGGUGGCCCUAAGGUGUUCUACAGCAAUCGCAAGCACAAGAUGCAAAAGCGGAAAGUGCACUUCAUCUCGGUCACACCAGUCCAGUAUCUGUGCUGGUCGGAGAUGCUCAUAACCUUCUCUAGGAAAGAUCAAUGGGUGCACAUCCCAGACCCUAGGUCUUACCUGCUAGUAGUGUGCCCCACCAUAGAUAGAGUCCUCCUUUCCAAGGUGCUGAUUGAUGGUGGCGACAUCCUCAACAUCAUCUUCACAGAGACCUUGAAGCGCAUGGACCUCAACUUUGAGCGGCUCCUUUCCUACGAAGACCCAUUCUACGGCAUAGUACCCGGCAAAUGAUCCUAUCCUCUUAGGAGAGUUGUGCUGCCAGUCACGUUUGGCACACUUGACAACUACCGCUCCGAACACCUCACCUUCGAGGUAGCCAACUUCAAGACCUCCUACCAUGCCAUCUUUGGCAGGCCAAUGCUGGUGAGGAUCAUGGCGAUCCCCAACCACACUUACCUCAUCCUCAAGAUGCUAGCUUUGAAUGGUGUCCUCACCAUCUUCAGCGACGUCGAGACAUCCUACAAUUGCGACACAGAAGUCGUGCAGCUCGCCGAGACCCUGGAGUAUUCAGCCAACUCCACCAUGAUGCUCGCUGAGUCCAAGAAGGUGGACUAGGACCAAAUGCAGAUUCCAAACACAGAGCUGAUGCCCAUGGCACUGCAGCCCAACCCACAAGUCAAAAAGAUCAACCUCGACUUGGGCAACCCCUCCAAGUGGCCCUCAUCAGGGCUGGCCUCACCCCCAAAUAGGAAGACAUGCUCACCAGCUUCCUCUAGGACAGCUCGAACAUAUUCGCAUGGAAACCAUCCGAUAUACUCAGCAUGCUGCGGGUGUUGGGAUACGAGGUAGGCUACGCUAGCGCAAAUCAAAAUUUCUACCGCGUAUAACCAGGAAGAACUGCCGUAUAAGGAUCACGGGAUUACCACUCGACGCACUACUGGUGCGGAAGAUGUAGAUAUGCGUCGGUGCAGUGAAGACGAUCACGUAGUCGUACGUAGUCGAACAACGUAGUCGUACGUAGUCGAUCACGUCCAGCGGCUCCUCAGCAGCUCGUCCACGUGCACAGCAAGAUCGCCUCCGGUGCCGCGGCUCGUCGUCGGCUCGUCGUGGCUCGUCGGCGGCUCGUCGAUGGCUCGUCCAAGUGCUGCAGGCGCAACACCUCCAAGGUAUCCACACGUGCAGGGAGGAAGCGUCGCAAGCCGGAUUGCUAGAUCCGCGAGUUGCAACAGGCGAGGGCGUGGGAGGCGCGGCAAGUGUGCAGCCAAAAGGUGUGAAACCCUAGGGCGCCCCCACCCCUCUAUUUAUAGGGGUUCCUGAUGGGCUUCUGGAUCCGAGGCCCAUUAGUACUCCUAAACCUAAUCCAACUCGGAUCAAAUCCGAAUUUGGGCUUCCAGCCCCUUAAGUGUGCGACCCUUUGGGUUCGGAUACGUAUAGACAUGGCCCGAGUACUCCUACUCGGCCCAAUAGUCGGUAGCGGCCUCUAGCAAGACGUGCCAACUCCUAUACGCAUACGAAGAUCAUAUCAGACGAACCAUCACAACAUAAUAUACAUGCUAUUCCCUUUGCCUCACGAUAUUUGGUCUAGCUUCAAGCCGACCGCUCUUUGUCGAUCCUGUGAUUCGGAAUCCCUUUGUAGGUUAACUCUUAACCGUACGUAGCAUGGCCAUGCAUUUUCUGAUCCGAUCACUCGAGGGGCCCAGAGAUAUCACUCUCAAUCAGAGAGGGGCAAAUCCCAUCUUGAUUGACCAUGUCUCAUAGCAUGCUUCUUGACAAACCCGAAAGCUACCUUUAUAACUACCCUGUUACGGCGUAGCGUUUGAUAGCCCCUAAGUAGGUCAAUCCACAUCUAGAGUACAUGCGACAAUCUCAGGUCUAAGGACAAAGCGUAUAUGUUGUUUAAAGAGAGAACUACUUCUCGUGUUGGGGUCAGUCCUAACACAUGUCUCCACAUGUGUUCCACAUUAUUAGUUCAACAUCUCCAUGUCCAUGACUUGUGAAACAUAGUCAUCAACUAAUACAUGUGCUAGUCUAAUAUUCAUGUGUGUCCUCACAUGAACUCCGACUAGGGACAACUUUAGAAUAACCAUACAAGUAAAGAGUUUCACAUACAAUUCACAUAAUUGUUAAUCAAUUCAAGUAGCCUUUAAUGGAUAUUCAAUGAACACAAUAUACAAAUCAUGGAUACAAAUGGAAUAUCAUCACCUCUAUGAUUGCCUCUAGGGCAUACCUCCAACAGUCUCCCACUUGCACUAGAGUCAAUCUAGAAGGUACCUAAUACCCAUAGCUCUUACAUGCGCAUCAUGCUUAGCCUGCGGGAGUGGUUUUGUCAACGGAUCAGAAAUGUUCAGAUCCGUGUGUAUUUUGCAUAUCUUGAUCUCACCCCGGUUAACGAAGUCUCGAAUGAGAUGAAAUCGCCGCAUUACGUGUUUGUUCUUCUGGUGGUUCCUUGGCUCCUUUGCUUGCGCAAUUGCCCCAUUAUUAUCACAGUAGAGAUUCAAUGGGCUGGACGCAUUCGGGAACACACCAAGCUCAAUGAGGAAAUUCCUUAUCCAAACACCUUCCUUCGCGGCUUCCGAAGCCGCGAUGUACUCGGCUUCUGUCGUAGAAUCGGCCACCGUCUCCUGCUUGGAACUCUUCCAACUAACAGCACCACCAUUUAGCGUGAACACAAAUCCUGAUUGUGACUUUGAAUCGUCUCUGUCGGUUUGGAAACUAGCAUCGGUGUAACCUGUUACAACGAGCUCCUCCUGACCUCCAUAGACGAGGAACAUAUCUUUAGUCCUUCUCAAGUACUUAAGAAUGUUUUUCACCGCUGUCCAGUGACUCUCACCUGGAUCAGAUUGGUGUCUACUUGUCAUACUUAGCGCAUAUGAAACAUCUGGGCGAGUACUUAUCAUUGCAUACAUGAUAGAUCCAAUAGCCGAGGCAUAUGGUACUCUACUCAUGCGAUCCCGCUCAUCAGCAGUCGAAGGACACUGAGUCUUGCUGAGAUGUAUGCCAUGUGACAUAGGCAAGAACCCUUUCUUUGCCUCUUCCAUGCUGAACCGCUUCAACACUUUGUCAAUAUAAGUAUCUUGGCUCAAACCUAUAAGCCUUCUCGAUCUAUCUCUAUAGAUCUUAAUACCCAGAAUAUAUGCCGCUUCCCCUAAGUCCUUCAUCGAAAAACUAUUUUUCAGUGAAGUCUUUACGGACUCAAGCAUAGGAAUGUUAUUUCCAAUCAGUAAUAUGUCAUCCACAUAUAAGAUUAGAAAUACUACAGAGCUCCCACUAACCUUCUUGUAAACACAAGACUCUUCUUCGUUCUUGGUGAAGUCAAACCCUUUGACCACUUCAUCAAAACGAAUGUUCCAACUCCUAGAUGCUUGCUUCAAUCCAUAAAUGGAUCUCUGAAGCUUGCAUACCUUUCCAGCAUUUUUCGGAUCGACAAAACCCUCGGGCUGUAUCAUAUACACGUCCUCAGCUAGGUUUCCAUUCAGGAAAGCUGUCUUGACAUCCAUCUGCCAUAUCUCAUAAUCGAAAUAUGCAGCUAUAGCUAGAAUAAUCCGAAUGGACUUAAGCAUCACUACGGGCGAGAAGGUCUCGUCGUAGUCAACUCCUUGAACUUGUCGAAAACCUUUUGCGACAAGUCGUGCUUUAUAGAUGUGAACAUUUCCAUCCAUGUCCUUUUUCUUCUUAUAGAUCCACUUGCACUCUAUGGCUUUAACACCAUCAGGCGGGUCAACCAAGUUCCAAACUUGAUUGUCUCCCAUGGACUCUAUUUCGGAUUGCAUGGCACUCUGCCAUUUUUCGGAGUCUGGGUCCAUCAUUGCUUCUGCAUAUGUCGCAGGCUCAUCAUUGUCCAACAAUAAUAUUUCUCGCAUUUCGCGGAGCCUUGCUGACCUUCGUGGUUGUGGCGGUGCUUCUCUUGCCAUGGGUAUCUCAACUUGUUCUGCUACGUUAGCAUCACUCAUUGAUUCUUGCCCGAUUGGCUCAUCUUGAACUUCUUCAAGAUGCACUGUCUUUCCACUCUUUUCUCCUUUAAGAAACUCUUUCUCUAGGAAAACCCCGUUCCGAGCGACAAACACUUUGCCUUCUGAUCGGUUGUAGAAAUAAUAUCCCAAAGUUUCCUUUGGAUAUCCCACGAAAAUGCACUUAUCCGACUUGGGUGUGAUCUUGUCUGACUGAAGUCGCUUGACAAACUCUUCACAUCCCCAAAUCUUUAGAAAAGACAAACUAGGAACCUUUCCAGUCCACAUCUCAUAUGGUGUCUUAACUACAGAUUUAGAUGGUACCCUAUUAAGUGUGAAAGCUGCUGUUUCUAGAGCGUAUCCCCAAAAUGACAACGGUAGGUCCGACUGGCUCAUCAUUGAUCGAACCAUGUCUAACAAAGUUCGAUUACGUCGUUCGGACACACCAUUUCUCUGAGGUGUUCCUGGCGGCGUAAGUUGUGGAACAAUUCCGCAACUCUUUAGAUGAUUGCUAAACUCGUGGCUCAAAUACUCGCCUCCACGAUCAGAUCGUAAGGCCUUAAUUUUCUUGCCACGCUGAUUUUCAACUUCAUUCUGAAAUUCCUUGAACUUUUCAAAGGUUUCAGACUUGUGCCUCAUCAAGUAGACAUAGCCAUAUCUACUAAAAUCAUCAGUGAAAGUUAUGAAGUAUUGGAAUCCUCCUCUAGCCGUCGUGCUCAUUGGUCCGCAUACAUCACUAUGUACGAGUUCCAACAAGUCUACUGCUCUCUCAGGAAAUCCUGUGAAAGGCGUCUUGGUCAUCUUGCCUAGCAAGCAAGCCUCACAUGUCUCGUAUGAUUCAAAAUCAAACGAAGUUAGAAGUCCAUCAGAAUGGAGCUUCUUCAUGCACUUAUCACUUAUAUGACCCAAACGACAAUGCCACAAGUAGGUAGGACUCAAAUCAUUAGGCCGAGGUCUUUUAGCACUUACAUUACAGACAGGUGAACCAUCAAGAUUUAAAACAAAUAAUCCAUUCACAAUGGGUGCAAAAGCCAUAAACAUAUUAUUCUUAGAGAUCACACAACCAUUGUUUUCACUCGCAAAUGAAUAACCAUCCUUCAUCAAACAUGAAGGAGAUAAAAUGUUUCGACUUAAACUAGGAACAAAAUAACAAUUAUUCAACUCCAUAAUAAAUCCUGACGGGAGGUGGAGUUGCAUCGUCCCGACGGUCAAAGCAGCAACUCUUGCAUUAUUGCCCACGCGGAAAUCAACUUCUCCUCUUUCCACGCUUCUACUUCUUAUCAUUCCCUGCAUCGAAUUGCAAAUAUGAGCAACCGAUCCGGUAUCAAAUACCCAAGAAUUAAUAACUGUAUCAGCGAGAAAUAUGUUGUCUAUAACAUAAACAACAAGCGUACCUAAGGUAGAAGUACUCUUACUUCCGCCGUUCUUCAAGGAAGCUAGGUACUGCUUGCAGUUUCUCUUCCAGUGACCAAGUUCAUGACAGUAAAAGCACUCCUUGUCUGGAGCAGGUCCAGGUCCAGCUUUAACCUUGGGCGGUGGGUUUGGCUUGGACGUUCCAGCCUUGCCCUUCUUCUUCCAAGAAUUGCCCUUCUUCUUAAAGCUGGGCUUGUUCUGUAUCGCCAUCACAUGGCUGGUACUAGCGCUUUUCUUUAUGUCAGCCUCUGCUGUUUUGAGCAUACCACACAGCUCAUUCAGACCCUUCUCCGUCCCAUGCAUAUGGUAGUUCGAGAUGAAGUUCCCAUAGCUAGCCGGAAGAGAUGAAAGAAUGAAAUCAGUGGCCAACUCUUGGCCCAGUGGGAAGCCUAGCUUCUCCAACCGUUGAGUGUAACCAACCAUCUUGAUUACGUGUGGUCCUACUGCUGCGCCUUCUGCUAGCUUGCUCUCAACAAAGGCCUUAGACACAUUGAACCUUUCAGUCCUGGCCUGUGUUUGGAACAUGUCUCUAAGCGCCACGAUCAUAUCGUGCGCCUCAUGGUUUGUUUCGAACUGCAUCUGCAGCUCGGGUUCCAUGCAAGCAAGCAUAAGGCAGCUUACUUCAAGGUUAGCAUCACAUGCCUUCUUGUAAGCAUUCUUAGCAGCAGCGGGUGCAUCCUCAGCAGGUUCUUCUGGUAGUGGGUUGUCUAGAACAUCUUCCUUUUUCUCAGCCCUGAGAACAAUUCUCAGGUUGCGGAUCCAAUCCGAGUAGUUUGUUCCAUUCAACUUGUCCUUCUCAAGGACCGAACGCAAAGCAAACGAUGUGGUGGUGUUGCUAGGUGCCAUUUAAUCUACAACAAAAGUAAUGCAAAAUACACUAAGACAAACGUAUCCAUGAUAGAGCAAAUUAUAUUAAACUAUUUUAACAAAAUCUACUCCCACUAAAAUCAAUAUCCCUCUAUUGAAACUUAGUGAUUCAGGAUCCACAACUAACAAGUCUACUAGUGAGCUUUAGCAUCACCGCUAGCAAACGAGGUAGAUCGGUAAGCAACUUUUGCUAAUCAUAUCACAUAUGACUCCUGUUGUUGGGUGACAUCUCCAUGUCUCGGCGCCCAACCUUUAUGCCCCAAGGUCCUUAACCGUUAAGAUGACCUCGUUAAGCUAACCAACCCUUAUGCGUGUAAGUGUCCGACACAAACCCGUCUAGUCAAGGAAAACUAGUGGCACUCUAAUUUCAUAGACCCACCACUAAUUGUACAAGACAUGGGACGGUGUAAGUUUUAGUUGGGAGGGCAUACUAACUUAAACUUUGCGAGGGAUCGUUCUACUUCUAACAUCACAGCAUGCAGAAAGUAAAACAUAAACAGAAUAGCAUUCACACAGUUGUGACACAGUAUGGCCCGUUUUCAUAUGGUGAUCUCCAUCUCCAUAGAAGCUGUUCACCAUGGUGAUCUCCAUCUCCAUGUUCCAUGUGCGCCAUCCUCCUGGUGAUGAGUCCUCCAAGAACUAGAACAUGCUAUUACGCCUAAUAGCUAGUAAAGAAUCUAGUAAUGAAGAUUACAUAGUUGCUUGGAUCAUCACAGAUUGGUACGCAGACCAUUAAAUACAAUAAAGUGACAACACAUAUGGCUCCUGCCGUGUUGCCGUACGCGCGACACGCAGGUCACGAAUUAGUUACACACAUGCAUCACAUACACAAGGGGGCCAUACUGAUCACAAGAUAUAUACAUACAUCCUGCAAAAGAGAGUUAGGCGUCCUAACGUUCCAAACUUGGGAGGCCCGAAACUCCAUCUUCCAAGCCGAAUUUGGCAAAUCUAAUUUCGCCGAAAACGGCAAAGCCGUUGAAAUUCACGUGUAACUUUUUCUGUAGAUCAAUUUUCGUAUAGAAAUCGCCCCGAUCCGAGAUCGUACCGAAAAGUUACGGCUGAUUUACCGAAGCAUGCGCAUACGGCAAAAUCCCGACCCCGGCAGUAGAUCCCAUCUACCAUUGCACAUCUAAUGCGCCUGGCGUAUGACUCUGGAUCUCGAUUCGACCAAUCAUAUUGAUCUUCCCUCACUGCAACCGGAUUUACGUGUAUCACUUAACUCCGAUGGCGGAAACCGACCGGUAGGAGUAUGUCGUUACACUACCAUUGCAGCAAGGGCACGAAACCAGGACAUAGAUCAAACAGAAAACUCGCAUAUCUCCAUAUGCACACAUCCCGAAUCCAAAACUAAGCAGCUAAGGCUCUGAUACCACUGUUGGGAUACUAGGUAGGCUACGCUAGCGCAAAUCAAAAUUUCUACCGCGUAUAACCAGGAAGAACUGCCGUAUAAGGAUCACGGGAUUACCACUCGACGCACUACUGGUGCGGAAGAUGUAGAUAUGCGUCGGUGCAGUGAAGACGAUCACGUAGUCGUACGUAGUCGAACAACGUAGUCGUACGUAGUCGAUCACGUCCAGCGGCUCCUCAGCAGCUCGUCCACGUGCACAGCAAGAUCGCCUCCGGUGCCGCGGCUCGUCGUCGGCUCGUCGUGGCUCGUCGGCGGCUCGUCGAUGGCUCGUCCAAGUGCUGCAGGCGCAACACCUCCAAGGUAUCCACACGUGCAGGGAGGAAGCGUCGCAAGCCGGAUUGCUAGAUCCGCGAGUUGCAACAGGCGAGGGCGUGGGAGGCGCGGCAAGUGUGCAGCCAAAAGGUGUGAAACCCUAGGGCGCCCCCACCCCUCUAUUUAUAGGGGUUCCUGAUGGGCUUCUGGAUCCGAGGCCCAUUAGUACUCCUAAACCUAAUCCAACUCGGAUCAAAUCCGAAUUUGGGCUUCCAGCCCCUUAAGUGUGCGACCCUUUGGGUUCGGAUACGUAUAGACAUGGCCCGAGUACUCCUACUCGGCCCAAUAGUCGGUAGCGGCCUCUAGCAAGACGUGCCAACUCCUAUACGCAUACGAAGAUCAUAUCAGACGAACCAUCACAACAUAAUAUACAUGCUAUUCCCUUUGCCUCACGAUAUUUGGUCUAGCUUCAAGCCGACCGCUCUUUGUCGAUCCUGUGAUUCGGAAUCCCUUUGUAGGUUAACUCUUAACCGUACGUAGCAUGGCCAUGCAUUUUCUGAUCCGAUCACUCGAGGGGCCCAGAGAUAUCACUCUCAAUCAGAGAGGGGCAAAUCCCAUCUUGAUUGACCAUGUCUCAUAGCAUGCUUCUUGACAAACCCGAAAGCUACCUUUAUAACUACCCUGUUACGGCGUAGCGUUUGAUAGCCCCUAAGUAGGUCAAUCCACAUCUAGAGUACAUGCGACAAUCUCAGGUCUAAGGACAAAGCGUAUAUGUUGUUUAAAGAGAGAACUACUUCUCGUGUUGGGUCAGUCCUAACACAUGUCUCCACAUGUGUCCACAUUAUUAGUUCAACAUCUCCAUGUCCAUGACUUGUGAAACAUAGUCAUCAACUAAUACAUGUGCUAGUCUAAUAUUCAUGUGUGUCCUCACAUGAACUCCGACUAGGGACAACUUUAGAAUAACCAUACAAGUAAAGAGUUUCACAUACAAUUCACAUAAUUGUUAAUCAAUUCAAGUAGCCUUUAAUGGAUAUUCAAUGAACACAAUAUACAAAUCAUGGAUACAAAUGGAAUAUCAUCACCUCUAUGAUUGCCUCUAGGGCAUACCUCCAACAGCGGGAGCUGGCUGAGCACUCCUUGGAACUGAACAAGACCGCAAGGCCAGUCAAGCACAAGCUUCGCCAUUUCACUUAAGAUCGCAAGGAGGCCAUUGGGGUAGAAAUAAAUAAGCUCUUAGCUGCUAGUUUCAUCCGUAAAUGUAAGCACCCUGACUUGUUAGCAAAUCCAAUCCUUGUAAAAAAGAAAAAUGGUGAAUGGAGAAUGUGUAUCGACUACACUGAUCUCAAUAGGCACUGCCUUAAAGACCCCUUCCCUCUCCCUCACAUCAACCAAGUUGUGGCCUCCAUGGCCGGCUACACCCUGCUUGUGCUUCCUCGAUUGCUACUCGAGCUAUCACCAGAUCGCCCUCAACCCCGCCGACCAAGAUAGGACUGCAUUCAUAACAGCCUAUGGCAUCAACUACGGCAACACCAUGACCUUUGGGUUAAAAAACACUGGCGCCACCUACCAGAAGGCACUCUAGGGUUGCCUCAAGAAACAACUCAGCAAAAAUGUAGAGGCCUACAUCGACGACAUGGUUGUCAAGACCAAAGACCAAAGACAGAGAGAACUUCGAUAGCCUCCGGUCCUAUUGAUGGAAGCUCAACCUAGGACAAUGUGUCUUCGGUGUCCCAUCUAGAAAGCUCCUAGGCUUUAUAGUUAGCCAAUGUGGCAUUGAUGCCAACCCUGUCAAAGUGGACACCAUCAGGAACAUGGUGUAGCUGAUCGGCAAGAAGGAUGUCAGAAGCUCUCAAGCAUGAUGGCAGCCCUUAGCCAUUUCAUCAGCAAGCUCAGCAAAAAGGGACUCCCCUUCUUCAAGCUGCUCAAGAAGGUGGACAAGUUUGAGUGGGAUGAUGAGGCCCGUAAGGCCCUCAAGGAACUCAAAACAUUCCUCUCCACCCCUCCAGUCUUGAUGGCCCCGGCUGACCAACAAACUCUGCAUCCGUACAUCUCUGCAACAACAGACAUUGUGAGCAUAGUGCUGGUCAUAGAACGCGAGGAACCCGACCACACCCACAUGGUGCAAAGUCCGGUUUAUUAUGUCAGCGAGGUUCUAAGCGACUCCAAGGUCCACUACACACAAGUCCAGAAAUUGCUCUACGCAAUCCUGAUCACCUCCCAUAAACUACGUCACUACUUCCAAGCGCACAAGAUCCGGGUGGUUUUCUCCUACACAACAGGGAUGUCCACGGCCGAGUCAUCAAAUGGUCCAUGCAACUCGGUGAAUUCAACGUCGAAUUUUCCCACACCAUGUGAUCCUACACAACAGGGAUGUCCACGGCCGAGUCAUCAAAUGGUCCAUGCAACUCGGAAAAUUCAACAACGACUUUUGCCCACACCAUGUGAUCAAGUCCCAGAUCCUGGUGGACUUCGUCACUAAAUGGACUGAGACUCAAGAGCCACCCUCCUUGGAGAGGGCGGAGCACUAGAUGAUGUACUUCGAUGGUGCCCUCAACCUCAAAGGAGCUGGUGCGAGGGUCCUCUUCAUAUCCCUGAAAGGCAAGCAGCUCAAGUACAUCCUCCAGAUCCAUUACGACCACCAACAAUGAUGCCGAGUACCAGGCCCUCAUACACGGGAUCCUCAUUACCACCUCACUUGGCAUCAAGCAUACCCUCAUGUAUGGCGACUCCAUGGUUGUCAUUUAGCAGGUCAACAAGUCCUCGAAGUGCACCAAGGAAACCAUGGACGCCUACUGCACUGAGGUCCGCAAACUCGAGGCUCACUUUGAUGGCCUCAAGUUCCCAGGGAACACAAUGUUGCCGCUGACAUCCUAUCCAAGCUCAGCUCCAAACGCACCCAGGUCCAAGUCGGUGUGUUCGUCUAGGACCUAAGAAAACCCUCCAUCAAGAUCCUUGACCUAGACCAAGCUAAUGGCAACGCCCAACCUCAGGCCAACCUAGAGUCUGCUAAUGUUUUAAUGAUCAAGGCGGAGGAAGACUAGCGAGCACCCUUCAUUGCAUGAUUAACUGACAACAUGUCCCUUGAGGAUAAAGCUGAGCACAAAAAACUCGCACAACGCAGCACCAACUAUGUUGUAAACGGCAAGGAAUUGUACAGGAAGGCUGCAUAUAUCAGCAUCGUGAUGAAAUGCAUCCUCCACAAUGAAGGCCUAGAACUCCUCCAUGAAAUGUACUCAGGUUCGUGCGGGAGCCAUGCUGCCUCAGGUAGCCUGGUCAGGGAAGUGUUCGGCUAAGACUUUUACUGGCCAACUGCCAUUGCCGAUGCAAAAGAACUCGUCCAGAGGUGUAAAGGAUGCAAGUUCUUCUCCAAGGAGCAGCACCUCCUAGCCCAAGCUCUAUGCACCAUCCCACCAUCCUAGCCCUUCGCAUGCUGGGGGCUGGAUAUGGUCAGAUCCUUCAAGACCGCUCCGGGCGGAUACACCCACAUCUUUAUGGCAGUCGACAAAUUCACCAAGUGGAUUGAGGUCAAGGCUAUCACCAACAUAGAGUCGGCCAAAGCCACCCAGUUCAUUGAAGAAAUCACCCAUCGCUUUGGGGUCCCUAAUAGGAUCAUCACCGAUGCCGCUGCCCCAAAGCAUCACAUAGGUGAGGAGUUUUCUUGGUCUUGCAGGUUUCUAUCGCCACUUCGUCAAAGAUUUCAGCACCAUUGCUGCGCCAUUACACGGGUUGAUGAAGAAAGGUGUGGUGUUUCGUUGGGGAAAAGCACAGGACGAGUCCUUUGCCACUUUCAAGGCCAAGCUUACGCAUGCGCCAUUGCUGCAACUUCCAAACUUUGGUAAGACCUUUGAGCUUGAAUGUGAUGCUAGUGGAGUUGGCAUUGGUGGUGUUUUGAUGCAAGAUGGUAAACCCGUUGCAUACUUUAACGAGAAAUUGCAUGGUCCUAUUCUGAAUUACUCUACGUAUGAUAAGGAAUGAUAUGCUCUUAUAUGUUCCUUACAAACGUGGCAUCAUUAUUUGUGGCCUAAGGAAUUUGUUAUUCAUUCUGAUCAUGAAUCGCUUAAGUAUCUUCGCUCUCAAAACAAUCUGAACCGUAGACAUGCUAAAUGGGUUGAAUUUAUUGAAUCUUUUCCAUAUAUCAUCAAACAUAAGAAAGGGAAGGAUAAUGUGAUUGCCGAUGCUUUGUCUAGAAGAUAUACUUUGCUGUCCCAACUUGAUUGUCGUAUUUUUGGACAUGAAUCAAUUAAGGAACAAUAUGCACUUGACCCUGAUUUUAAGGAUGUGUUGCUCAAUUGUAAAGAGGGAUGUACAUGGAAUAAGUUUGUGAUCAAUGAUGGCUUUGUGUUUAGAGCUAACCGCCUAUGCAUUCCAGUUGGUUCCGUUCGUCUUUUGUUGAUGUAGGAAGCGCAUGGAGGAGGAUUGAUGGGGCAUUUUGGUGCCAAGAAGAUGGUGGAUGCUUUGGCCUCACAUUUCUUUUGGCCACAAAUGAGGAGAGACGUUGAGAGGUUCGUUGCUCGCUGCACAACAUGUCAAAAAGCUAAGUCUCAUUUGAAUCCACAUGGUUUAUACAUGCCGCUACCUGUUCCUUCUAUUCCUUGGGCGGAUAUUUCUAUGGACUUUGUGUUGGGAUUGCCUAGGACUAAGAGGGGGAGGGAUAGCAUUUUUGUUGUUGUGGAUCAUUUUUCAAAGAUGGCACAUUUUAUACCAUGUCAUAAAAGUGAUGAUGUUGUUCAUAUUGCUGACCUCUUUUUCAAAGAGAUUGUACGUUUGCAUGGUAUGCCUGCUACUGUUAAUUCAGAUCGCGAUGCAAAAUUUUUGAGUCACUUUUGGCGUACUUUGUGGAACAAGUUGGGUACAAAAUUAUUAUUUUCUACCACUUGUCAUCCACAAACUGAUGGGCAAACAGAGGUGGUGAACCGCACUUUAGGCACCAUGUUGAGGGCUAUUUUGAAGAAAAAUUUGAAGAUGUGGGAAGAAUGUUUGCCUCAUGUGGAGUUUGCAUACAAUUGGGCAACACAUUCAACCACAAAAGUAAGUCCUUUUCAGGUAGUGUAUGGAUUCAACCCCCGUGCUCCUAUUGAUAUUUUGCCUUUGCCUACUAGCGAGAGGAUUCAUACGGAUGCCAAAGAACGCUCUGAUUUUAUUUUGCAAAUGCAUGAAAUAACUAAGCACAACAUUGAAAAAAUGAAUGAAAAGUAUCGAAUUGCUGGUAGUAAAGGUAGAAAGGAAGCUAAACUUGAACCGGGUGAUCUAGUUUGGUUGCACCUACGAAAGAAUAGAUUUCCAAAUUUGAGAAAGUCUAAGUUGAUGCCUAGAGCUGAUGGUCCUUUCAAGAUAAUUGAGAAGAUUAAUGAUAAUGCAUACAAACUUGAGUUGCCUCCCGAGUUCGGGGUUAGUCCUACCUUUAACAUUUCAGAUUUGAGGCCUUACUUGGGAGCAGACGAUGAGCUUGAGUCGAGGACGACUCCAUUUCAAGCGGGGGAGGAUGAUGAGGACAUCACUUCUCCGGAUGCACAUGAUACUCUGCUGGACAUUCAAGGUCCAAUCACUAGAGCGCACGCACGACAAUUGCAUUUAGAGGUGAGAUCGUUCCUAAGCAAUUCAUUUUCUGGUUUUAAGAAUAGAUUGCUAUCCAAUGAUUAUAUUUUGACUAGCAGAAAUGCCCGUGCGUUGCUAUGGGUCAUUACUUGCUGUCACGUUAUUAUACGUUUGUUCGUACCAUUUUUGAACUUUGAACAAGAAUUUUCAUUUGCAAGAUCCGCGGUCUCUGUGCCCAAUGUUGCCCAUCAAGCUUAGCACAAAUAAAUAAUCGAAAACAAUCAAUGGAGUAUUUUUCAGACAUAAGGAAGUAAUUUUCCCAAUAAAAACUUUUUGUCACUUUAAUUACCAUCAAGGACACUUUUCUUGUCUAUCUUUACAUAUUUCCCAUCAAUGCUCUUCUUCCCUGACAGCAAGCAGACAGCAAGGAAAUCCAUAUGUUUCCGAGUACAGCAAUCAAGGCAUACCAUUUAGAAAGUGUGUUUUUUUUUGUUUGCAGGAGAAUCACCUAUUUGAAACAUAAAUAAUAAAUGUCAACAACAGUUACCCCACACAUUCACAAAACCGGCAACUCCAACGUUCUGCUCAGGGGUCGGACACUCCCGACCCCAGGACUCAGCGUCGGGCGAGGCGGAGCUUCACUCGGGGUCGGGCGAGGCGGAGUUCCACCUCAAGGGGUCGGGCGCAUCCGACCCCGGGACCAAGGGUCGGGCGAGGCGGAGUUCCACCCUCAAGGGGUCGGGCGCAUCUGACCCCGGGACCAAGGGUUGGGCGAGGCGGAGUUCCAUCCCGGAGCUAUGUAUACAGGCAAGAACGCAACCUUGAUUCCGAUCCAAGUCGGCCUCGAUUCCGAUCCGAUUCGGCAGCAAAAAGCUGAGGCGAGUAAGACUUGCAAUCGUUGCAGGAAUUGUGUCCCUCUACAGGUUGCUCAACAAGUACUUAUUUGGUGAGGACCUCUGAAUACACUAUAUUCUUCGUGUAUCUAUCGGUUGUGUCUUUUUGAUUCACCUCUUUCUUAUCUGACAUGUCGCUUUUGCUCUUCCUUUUUUUCUUUUUCUUAUUUUUCUCUGACGGCUUGAUUUUGUUGUCCUGCUUCUGGUUCUCAUCUUCAUCAUCAUUUUCAGCUGUUAGUAUCUUUAUGUUCUUGGCCGUUGUUGCUCUAGAAAGCGCGACAUAUAAUUGACCGUGAGAGAAAACCGGUUCAGGCAGGUAGAUGCCUACAUUUGGUAUUGUCUGUCCUUGUGCUUUGUUUACUGUCAUUGCGAAACUUAGUCUGACAGGAAAUUGUUUCCUUUUAAAAUGGAAUGGGAACAUCUCAUCAUCAGAGGGGAUAGCGGGAUUCGAGGCAAGAAAACUCAUGUCCCAUAAUGUUGUCCUAGCACAAUCUCUGCAUCGAUUGCAUUUUUCUGGAAUCCUCGUACCACCAACCUUGUGCCAUUGCAUAGUCCAUUAGCUGGGUCGAUAUUUCUGAGUAUUAUUAUUGGACAGUUAAUCUUGAGCUUCAGCAUAUGUGGUGGUAGUCCAUUUGGGGUUAGUGUGUUUAGGAAUUCCGGGGGAUAGUAGUUAUGGGGGUCAUCUUCUACAGUAUCAAAGCUGUGAUAGACCAUCUCUUCUCCUUGGAAUCGUUCAAUCAUUUUCAGAUUAAUGCGGUCUACACAGUCAUUACGCGUGGAUAAAAUGGCUCUUGACGUGAUGUAAUUUGGAUCCUCUAGGCAAGCGCUGUUCAUUUGAUAGACGCUGUCGAUGAGUCUAUCAAGUUCGGAAUCAUCCAUCGUGCAUGGAAUACAUAUAUUUUUGGGCAGACGUAUCUCGCCUUUAUCGUUUGUCUGCUCAGUGCCAUUGCCGAUGCGCAGUAGGUAUUCUGCAAACCAUGGGUCAUUUUGAGCCCUCAUGUUGCGCACAAGCUUCAUGUGACACAUGCAAUUCCAGAGUUCAGAUCUGCGUAGUGAGGCAUCUACUAUUUGUGAUCUUGUACCCUUUCGUACAACCGGUAGAACUUGUCUAAAAUCUCCCCCAAAUACCACUGUUUUCCCACCGAAUGGAAGAUUUGGUAUAUCCAUUAUGUCACGCAUGCUUUUGUCCAGUGCCUCUAUUGCCUGCCUCUUAGUCAUCGAUGCUUCAUCCCAAAUGAUUAGCGAUGCUACCUGAAGUAGCUUGGCUGUCCCACUUUGUUUUGUGAAUGAACAAAUAGCCCCAUCAUCUAUCCUUAGUGGUAUCUUGAACCUUGAGUGCGUUGUCCUUCCUCCGGGCAUUAUGGAAGCUGCGACACCAGAGGUUGCUGUUGCUAAAGCUAUUUUUCCUUGUCCACGGACUGUUGCAAGCAAUGCCCUGUAUAGAAAAGUUUUCCCCGUUCCUCCCGGUCCAUCUACGAAGAAUAGCCCUCCUCCAUCACGGUCAACUGCUGUUAGAAUUUCAUUGUAGGCGGCCUUUUGCUCAUCAUUUAGGUGUUUAGGCAAUUCCAUGUCCUCAGGGUCCACCUCGAUGUUAGAUUCCUCGGUGAUCUCCCUAGGUGUAUUGUCUUUUGUGUCAUUUUGCUCAUCGAUCUCUGGAAGAGGAAAUGAUCGUAUGUCUUUUCCCAUCGAUUGCAGCAUAUCCCUAAUAUUUAUUAAUACCAUCUGUUCGAUCAUUCUUGCAUUUUUGCAGUUUCGUCGAUAGUCUUCCGACAUUGCCUCGAUGUGAUUGUUCCAUAGUGCACGGAUGUCAUGGGGCUCACAAAACACAAGAAUCGUCACAAAUAGCCUUCGUAGCGAGGAUGGCAUCCGAAAUAACUCUGCUUCCAUCAGUCAAUCAUCUAAUGUGUUGCCUGCCUCAAUGAGGCCCCUUUUCUCUGCAGCUUCACGAAAUGAUGGCAAUAUUUGGCCAUCAACUGUUCGUAGCUCUUCGUAGCAGGUUGUGCCUUUCACAUGGUUCAGGAGAACUCGAAGAUAGUAUCUUUCUCCUUCGGCUGGAUGUGCUGAGACGAUCCUCCCAACCUGGUACAACGUUUUCCUUUUCCUCUGUUGCCAAAACUUCCCCUGGGUUUGCCAAGUAUAAUGUUCUGGAAAAUCACGGUACAAGAUGCCUCGUGCUUUUUCGUGUGUCCUGUUAGCUUCGAAGUAUGCCGUUAGCAUUGACUUCUCAACACCUUCGCGGUUGAUUACUUCCGUGAUUUCUUUUUUUCCAUGGUAUGAAACCAUGUGCAUGUUUGGAAGAUGAAGCUGCAAUUGCAUGACUGGAGGAUUUGUCUUGCUUAGUUCGAAGCCAUAUAUCCUCCAUAGUGCCUCUGGUGGUGUCACCCAUCUCGCGUCUAUGUAUUGUCUAAUCUCAUCAAUAUCUUCUUUUUCACUUGUCCCAUUUACACAUACAGACGCGCGGUCAUGUCCCUUGUAGAUGUAUUUGUAUAGGUAUUUGACAGCUUUUAUGCUUGAGCAUACCUCGACAUUUAUGUGGCAAUUGAACAUUUGCAGGAGGUAAGGGUUGUAAGGAACUACCCACCUGUUAUCUAGUUUGUGCCCUCGGACUAUUUCAUUAUGGCCGUCAUCUCGUCGCCUGUAUAAUGGGUAAGAAUCCUUGCCUUGAAUGGUAGUAGCGUUAAAUUGCCUUGGAUAAUAGUCCUUGCAUGAUUUUCGAUUCUUCGUGCAUGGACAGUUCUUAUUCAAUGUACCGCAAGGUCCAUGCAUCAUAUGUUUGAUAACCAUCUUGUACAACUCUGGGUAUUUUUGUUUGUUUGGGAGCUCCACCGAGAUUAGUCUAUCAUAUUGCUCUGGACAAGUUAGCUUAUAUUUUCCGGUCAUUAUAAGCAAGAAAUGAGCGUGCGGUAGACCUCUCUUUUGGAACUCUACAACAUAGGUAUAGGCCUUCACCUUGCCUAGGAUGUGCUCUUCUAACAACUGCUUUUUCAUUUGUUCUAGUUUUGCUCUGAAAACACGAACAACAAGAUCAGGGCGAUCUUGUGGUGUUUGACCAAACUCAAGUUCAUUCGUGAUCUCUUCCUAGUUGGGAUUGCAUGUCAUUGUGAGGAAUAUGUCUAGUUUCCCAUAUUUUCUAACUAAAGCCAUGGCGUCUAGGUACCGACGCAUCUUGUCUCGAGGACCCCCAAUAAAUGAUGAUGAAAGCACUGUCCGUUUGCCGACCGCAUCUCCCCUGUCUUGUCCCGCAUGAAUGCUAUCUAGAAGGCCUUGGUAUAGAUCCACCCUUAUCUCUUUCUGAUGAUUCCAUAUGAAGUCCAGUCGUGAGCUCUCAAUCUUGAUGUAUGUAUCCACAGCGAAUUGUUGGAAAAGCCGUCCGCCGUAUAGUAUUGGGUUAAAUAUGUUGGCUCGAACAUGAAAUUUAUAGCAGUAGUAUUCUCUCAUGGUUACCCACAUUCUACCACUUGAAUCUGUGUUGGACAUAUAAAAUUGAUUGUUAGUGGCAUAGGCAAUUAUUUCAUUAGUAUAUGUAAUUAUGAAGACUAAUAUCUGAAAUAGUUACCUGGAUCAUUGUUUUUGUUAUUUUGAUUAGCACGAGCUUUCUUCACAUCUUCCGUAGUAAUUCCAACCUUUGGGAUAUCGGCAUGCCAUCCCAAUUCACCUCUUGGAAAGAACAAAGGAUAGCAUCCAGUGUAUGAUCGGAUUCCUUGUAUUUCGUUGUUGUUCCCAUGUAGUAUUACAUUUCUGUCAAAAGUAUUCCUCCAUUCAUUUCCUUCAAUCCAUACUGCAGCCACCUCAGAUGUGAUUGGUGCAUUGUAUGUCCUCUGGUCCAAUCUUUGGUCGAGGUUCAACAUCACUCGGUAGUCCUCAAGGUUUUCUUCCUGUCCCAAACUCCUAAAUUGUUCAGAGUAUGGAUUGUUGCGUAGAGUAUUGGUUAUAAUGAGUAAUACAUGUUUGUCUUGCUCGUACAUUUCCUUGCGGCAAUAGCGGUAACGAUGCUCUAGGGUUGGAUUGUCAUCAUAGAAGUAGAGUUCUAGAUGCUUAGGAUCUGAACCAUCUUUUGCAAAUGAGCGUAUGUUGUGAUAGAUCUGACCAUGUGCUCGGAAGGUGUAAAUACCGCUGUUUCUCAUGGUAGUUGUAUCUCUAUCGAGGCGACAGUACAGAGAAGUAAAUGAGAAGUGGCCAUUGAAAAACCUUAUAUUCUUUCGAAAAUGUAUUGCAUCAGAGUCAUUGCUCAUCCAUAGUCUCAUGAGCUGAUGUGGUGUCUCAAGAUUUGUAAGUUUGAUCUGUCCUUUUCGACAGCACAGCCCCUCAGGUUCGUGGUGAAAUUUUUUUGCGUCGCAAUAUUUGCAAUUUUCAACAGGUUUCAGCAUGUGUGUGUUGUCUGGUAUGUUACUAUAGACGAUGUCAUAUGGAUCAUUGAUGUUUGAAUCCUCAGGAACGGUUGACUCAUUUUCCUUUAUUUCUACCUCCAUAUCUUCCCAUUCUGCUGUGAUUUGUAGGAUGAAAGAAAUUAGAGAAGUACUCACAUUGUGAUGUGAAAAUAUUUUAACGUGUUUAUCAUACCUUGACCAGAAAUGAUGUUAUCCUCCUCAUCGGUGUCUUCUUCAUAUACAACUCCAUCGUCACCUACAUAGAAUUAUGUGAAUUAUAUGAUGUUUUCCAUUGCAUGAUGAGAAUAUAAAUUUAGUAUAUAUCCUUACCAUAUGGUUCAUCAUCAAUGAAUGAUUGAUUUGUUUCUUCUCCAUCCUUGCUGCCUGGACACAUUGAAUAGGGGAUAUCUGUCCAUGAAAGAUUGUUAACAUUGUAAAAAUUGAUGCAUGUUUUAUCUGAUUGUGAGAGCCAUAUAUGCAAUUGGGAGUAUUACCUUCCUUCAUGUUUGUUGGCUGUUUUAGAGAUUCUAGAUCAUCUAUGACUUUGGUGUUCGUAGAACAGUCUUCAUUUGGUAGGGCAGGAGUUUUUUCCAUUGUUCUAGCUGUGAAGUUUUUGUUACGAUUUGCAGGGUUCUCCAUUGCAAUUGAUUUUUUGCUUAGAGUGUCACGUCGUCGUGCACGAAUAAGCAGAAACUUGUUCUAACUUUGCUUUCUUUUGAUUUGGUUGCAUGUUUGCAUAUCUUUCCCUGUCAUGCAUGCACUUUUUGUAUAUUUUUUGUUGCUUUUCUUGAUCAGUCACCUGUGAGCAUUUUUUUUGGAUCUGAGUUGAAUUUGUACUUGUUCAUUUUUGUUGAUGAUAGGCUUCACGACGUUUUUUGAGUUUUUCCUGCUUUUCUUGAUCAGUCAUCCGUGCAUACCUAUCUCUAUCUCUUUUCCUUCUCUGCUCUUUGGGAUCCAAGAGUUGCGAUGGUGAUUCAGCCAAGGAAUUUCUCUGCAUCUGGUCCUCCUUUGUUUACGUGACUUGUCGCGUGUUGCUGAGCAGUAUCUCCUGUCAGUCUGGCCCCGACUCAGCCUCGAUUCCGAUCCGAAUCGGAAGCGAGCUCUCGUGGCAGUCUAGCCUCCACUCCAAUCGCUGCCCACUUCACUGCCACCUCGAGGAUGCGCUGGCCAUUACUGGGUCCACACGGUCGGCGUCGCGCGGGUCCCUGAAGAUGAUGAUGGCGUCGAUGUCGAAGGACGGUGGAAGGUCAUCGGUGGACAUGGGGUGGAGGGCGAAGGUGGGAAACGGCCGCAGGCCCCGAAUCUGGACGGAACGGUGGCGGGAUGUCGACGAAGGAUGAUGGCAUCGAUGUCGGAGGACAGGGGAGGUCGUCGAUGGACAUGGGGAGGAGGGCGAAGGUGGGAACCGACCGCAGGCCCCGGAUCUGGACGGAGCGGCGGCGGGAAGUCGACGAAGGAUGAUGAUGUUGAUGUCGCAGGAUGGCGGGAGGUCGUCGGUGGACAUGGGGUGGAGGUCCGGACGGAGCGGCGGCGGCUAGAUCCCCAGAGGGAGGGCGGCGGAGGAAGGGGAAGGGAACGAGGGAGCUGGCUGGAGGGCCGAACGGAGCGGCGGACGAGGGAGCUGGGUGGAGGGCCGGACGGAGCGGCGGCGUCUACAUCCCCCGAGGGACAGGACCGGAGCCGGACGGAGUGCGGCGGAUUUCGAUCCCCCGAGGGAGGGGAGGGGAACGAUGGAGCGGAACUCUUUUCACUUUAAGCCCUCGUUUUCCUAUUUUUUCCACUCGAGCCCCCCUAUACUCAGAAGAAUUGGACUGCGGGUUGAUUUCACGAAAUGUCAGGGGUUUUUUUGCAAAAUGACCACGAUGUACAAAAAAUCCAGGCAGAAACGUUACUUGCUUUAAUAAUAGGUAAACAUUAGGAACAAAGGAGAGGACUAGGAGAUGCGUGGAGAGAGGCUUGGAGGCGUGGAGGACCAGCAAGGACAUACAACUCGAGUUGGAGGCCCAAGCCAAGUCGACUACGAGUCCACCUCGGUGUCCAGGAGCCGCCCACGGUGAUUUGGACGCCCAGGCCGCAUACGGACUCCAUUUUGGACGUUCUAUAUAUGGUUGGAAAGUUUAGAAGAUCUAUUUUCCAAUGGCACUAGUGCCAUGCCUAAAUUCGUCCUGAGUCAACAGGAAUCGUCGCAACAAGAUGGCGAACAGAAUCUGUCCCGGCGCUGCGUCGCCUUAUUUUGGCCUUUGGGCCGUGUAUCGUCGUUCGGCCCAUUAGGGGUGCGUCCAGGGGGUCGACCACGACCCUAACCCCUAUAUAAUAGUAGCUACCACCUUUGUUAGGUUUUGGGUUUUGCUUAGAUUAAUCUAUCAAGAACAGUUUCGCCAUCAUCGGUUUGUAAAACCCCAACUCGUGAGCUUAAUCAUUCAUCCGCAAAUUUGGUUUGCAUUCUUCCAUGUUCUUGCUUGCGUUCUUCGAUUCGCAGGCAAGGAUUAGCCUUCUUGGCGAGGUCGACCGUGCAUCGCCGGUCGAUAACCUGAGGAGACGUUGUGCUGCGAUUGCGGGGUUCGGAACGUGUUGUUCGGAAGUCGGAUCGAUUUGUGUAGUGACACCGCCCAAAUCGUCGAUUAACUGAACCUUUCGGAAGAUUGGGACCCUAGUCCACAUCAAAAGGGAAUCGACGGAUGGAAAGGUUUCAUCGAAAAGAACAUGAAGACCGGGCCCAUUACUGACAGAGAGUAUAUGGCCUUCUUGAUGAUGUGGCUAGAGAAGCAUUUAUUCUGUGGCAGAUCAGUCGGCCCCUCCUCCAACACACAAGCUUUGGCCGAAGCAUUAGCAACAGGCUCCACUAUUCCUUUGGGAAAACAUUUGCUAGGAUCGGCCUAUUACAUGAUGCAUCAGAUUGUUGUAAAGUUAUUAUCUGGAAAUCCUAUCAGGAGUAGUGGUCCCUGGUGGUUUAUCACCCUUUGGCUUAACUUGUACAUGAGCAAAAAUUCCAGAGAAAGGGUCGAAGACAAAUCCUUCCCCAACAUUGAGUCAGAGGAUGAUCCAUCAGCACGACGCCGUUGCACCUCCUUCGGUGAAGUUGUAUCAUCCUUCCCCGGCAGUAGGUUUACUCCCUUAAGAACGGUCGAGUAUUUCAGAUGUUUUUAUAUCGGCUUUAGUGAAGAAACCACAAGCUAGUACCUGUGCCAGAGGGAAGAACCUCUUUUUGAGAACCCUGACUACUUUGACUCGGGCACCAGUUCUUUCGAAGACAGGAUUAUGGAUGUUUUGAUCAAGCCCGGAAUCCUACCAGCCAACUUCUUCUCCAAAAAGGAUUCUCCAACGUAUGAAUUUUACAACCCGUCGGUGGCAGCCCAACAGUUUGGCCUAGGACAGAUGCCAAUUGGAGUAUACUUCGUCGGCUGUGUGAAGUUCCGAGAGUGGCUUUCAAGAGGAUUUGAAUAUAAUCGGUUGUGCAGUUUGAUACCAGACUCUAGUACUAUUGAUUUGAACAACUGGCUGGUAUCACCCUUUGCCACUCAACAAUUUAAAUUAUGGUGGGAUGAGUGGAAGCAAUAUCUAUUCUGUGCAUCUCCUGCAAUAUAUUGCAACUAUCUGGACCCUGCUCAUAUUGACCCAAACGCAGAGGUAACAAUUUUUGCGGCUGAUUUCUUUUUUUUCUUCAUGCCACAAGGUUCUCAUUACUGACUCUCCCUUUUUUCGCAAUCCAAAAGCCAGGCACCUCCGACACGCAGCCAAAGCGGUAGGCUGAUAGAGAACUACCAUCCAUAUACAUCAUUCCUGGUAGUCGGCUUUCACGCCCCAUCAAUGGAGGAUAUAGCCACCGGCCGAUUGAAACAUAAACUGAAGAUGUCCUCUUCAAAGAAGACAAGCCGCCACGUACGAGCCUGUAUUGAAUCAACAGCAACUCCGACGGCCGAUCAAUCAGCGACGCUAUCGGCUGAGCCCUCAGCCGUGCCAACCUCAGUCCCACCAGUAAUCCAGGAGGCUAACCCCCAAGCGAUUUCAGGGGCUGGAUCGGCGCCUGCAUCCCUGCUUGUAGAAGCUAUACAGGUAACCCCGUAUGCUGUAAACCCUCUAAGUAUACUGUCAACAUUGAACUCCACUCCUUAUCAGGUUGCGCAAAUUCUCCCAGAGCAAACAAUUCAUCAAUCGGCCGACCCUUGGGUAGAAACCUAACCAUUAGCAAUCCUUCCAGUCGAGGUAAAGAAGGUACCUUUCAUUUGAUUUCUUCAACCCUUAACUGACUGAUCCUUGGCACAAGCCGCCCUGAAUAUAUUGAUUGUGCCCUUCAGGCAGCCAUCAGCCGCAUGAUUUUCAGAGGUAAGAUAACUGACACCCAUUCCUAGAUCCAAUUAUCCUUUCAUACUCUUAGAGACUUUUCCUGUCCUUCUCCAGGAGGCUGGUCCAAGCACCGUGCCGAUCAUCGUCAAAUCCUCUUUUUCUGAUGAACCACCUGCCCCAAUUCAUGAGACGAGAGCAACUCUCCUACCAACCCAGGCAGAGGAAAUCCGUUUUAAGAAGGUAAGGAUCAUCUGCCUCCACUGGCCGAUUUCUUAAAUUUAUCAAUUGAAGUACUCUUUCCUCUUUAUAAGCAAGACAGCCCCAACAAUAGUCUCUUCUCCUUCGCGGUUGCAGUCUCUGAUGAUGAGGAAGUUGCCUCGCAUCAAGUAGCCCUAGGCUCGAUACCCGAAGAGGUCCGUGCCAAGCUCUAGAAUAUACGGACUCUUCUCCAGGACGAUAUUGGCCGAUUGGUGGAAGAUGCCUCGCCGAUUCGGCAAAUAUUUAAUGAAAUCAAAGGCCGAGUUCCAGAAGACGCAAAGGAAGCUCAUGCACCUGCAGCAUAUAUUGAAUCAAUGCAAAUCCCGGUGUUCAGAGCUCUACGACAUAUGGCCGGUCGUGCUAAGAUGGCAAAGGCACGUGAAGAAGAAGAGUCUUAUAAGCACCGAGCUCAAGAAGUGCAUCACCGAAUCGGCACUCUCAAGAAUUUGUGCGCAAGCAUUGUGAACGCCAUCGAUCGACUCAAGCGGCGUAGGGAAGAACUCACCAAGGAGAUGGAGCAGGUUGUGAAGGCCAUCGCUGCUGAAGAGAAGAAACUCCAUGACCUCCCGGCCAUCAUCGCCAAUCUGAAAUAGGAAAGGAAAACUCUCACCCACAAGGUCAUUCGACUUCACUACAACAUGCCAGAAGUUCCUGGAUCGGCCGAUGACGACUAGUGUGUAUUAGUGUUGACGCAAAAUCCUGGCGGUGGUGGACCCUGCAUCAGCACAUGAGGACUUGGGAGAUCUGCUUAACUCCAGUGCAGAAUCCAAAUCGCAGCGCGUGGUGUGCGCGGGCGUGCCAGUCAGUUUGACCAUUCAACUGACAAGGAGAUGAUAGUCGUGUGAAGUCUGAGGCAACCGGCCGAUCAGGCUGAUAUAAUCCUAGCACAGUAGUGAUAAUGGUGCAACAAAAUAAAUCAUGAUAAAUAUAUCGGCUGUGAAGUUGAUUCCAGUACCAUGAUGAAUGUGAGUGAUUCAUCGGCCAUCCAGCCGAUUUAAUAUAUUUUGCGAUAACCAUUGGCUAGGCGGCUGAUAGAAAACAUGAUGCUAUUGAGCUGCCGCUCCACCAUAGCUAGAGCCACAAACAGAUGAGAUCUAAACUAAACUCUCCACCAAUAUCUCUAGAUGAAACCACAGCGAUACGCCCGGUAGUUGCAGUCUAGAAAUAUUUAGCAGGGUGUUAAUUUGAACACCACCAGCCGAUGAAUCCAAUCAUAACAAAACUUAAUCCCAACAGCACUCGAAGGGGUAACCAAGAUUAAGAUGCAACAGGCUAUUAAGUGAUCUGUCAUCUAUAAUGAACCAAUCUAAAGCUAAUUAAAGCAAACUGAACGGCAAGACGAUAGAACAGAUAAAUAUCAGCCGAUGCAAACUUAAUCAAGGCUGGAUAAUCUGGUGAAUACCGUAGAUCAAGACAGAAGCGAUGCGCCGUAAGUCGAAGAUCCAAGAUAUUCGAUAACUGGUAGAUGAAACUAGACGAAACCACAGCGAUGCGCCCAGUGGUUAAAGCCUAGAACACCUGGUGAUGGAACUUUGCAGCUCGCUGGAGAUCGAGGUCGAUGCAACCCAGCUUGCUAGAAGGAACUCGUCGAGAAGCUACAUUAUUCCUACUCCUAAUGUAAUGGCGUGAAGCCGAAAAGGUAAAUAAAAGAUAAAUGUGUUGUAUAUUGAUCGUGUGAUGAUCCUUAUGCUCCGACCCAUAUACUAGGGUAGUACCUUUUCAAGUAUCUUCCGUUUAGAGCCCUAGUAAACUCUUCUCCUUCGAUUGUUUCCAGAAUAUAAGUGUUUCCUGGAGCACAUCUGCUGAUUUUAUACGGCCCUUCCCACGUAGGGGACCACUUACCGAAUUUAGGAUCUUUCGACCCAAUCGGCAACACUAACUUCCAUACCAGGUCCCCCGGAGAGAAUUGCUUGACUUUGACCUUCUUAUCAUACCACCUGGCCACUUUCUUCUUGAUUUCUUUGAUGCUUAUCAAAGCUCUCAAUCAUUGGCCAGCCAAGUCAUCAAGUUCCCUUUUCAUGAGUGAGGAGUAGUCGUCGGCCGCCAACUGGUCCUGGAGCGAAGUGCGUCUCGACCCUGCCCUCAACUCCCAUGGUAGUACUGCCUCGUGACCGUACACCAACUGAUAAGGGGACAUCUUGGUGGCCCCAUGGCAAGCCAUCCUGUAUGCCCAUAGAGCUUCAGUCAGACAUAGAUGCCACUUUUUCGGCUGCUCCUCUAUCUUCCUCUUGAUUAACUUAAUUAUCCCCUUGUUGGAAGAUUCGGCCUGGCCAUUAGCUUGGGCAUAAUACGGAGAGGAGUUUAACAAUUUGAUUCCCAUGUCGGUUGUGAACUUCUCAAAUUCUCCUGAUGUAAACAUCGUCCCUUGUUCGGUCGUGAUAGUCUGGGGGAUGCCGAAACGAUUAACGAUAUGGUCUCUUAUGAAGCCAACCAUAGCAGCCGAUGUUACGCCCCUUAACGGAAUUGCCUCCACCCAUUUGGUGAAAUAAUCAGUGGCCACCAGAAUGAACUUGUGCCCUUUGCUUGACGGAGGAUAAAUUUGGCCGAUGAAGUCUAUUCCUCAACCUCUGAACAGCCAUGGUUUGAUAAUGGGAUUCAUGGCUGAUGCGGGCGCACGUUGGACAUUCCUAUAUUUCUGACAAUCCUGGCACCCUUUAUAAUAUUUGAAGCAAUCUUCGAGGAUCGUCGGCCAGUAAUACCCAUUAUUCCUAAUCAUCCAUUUCAUCUUAUGUGCCAAUUGGUGGGCUCUACACACUCCUUCAUGGAUUUCCGCCAUCAGAGUCUUAGCCUCCUCCAUUCCUAGACACCGCCGAUCCACUUUCUUAGAUGGAUCUUUCAGGUAAUCGGCAAUCUCCUUUCGCCAGUCAUUGGCCGCGAGCUCUAGAGCCAAGGCGCCUUGAAUCGGCUGAUACCCAAAUGCGUGUUGGGCGAGCUUGUUGGCAUCCUCAUUGUGAUUCCUUGGGAUGUGCUCGAUAACUGCCGACUUGAAUUCUUUCAGAAGCAGCAGGCAAUCUUCGUAAUAAAUCAUCAACACAUCAUCCUUGCACUCAGACUUCCCUGUUAACUGAUCCACGAUAAGCAUGGAAUCCCCAAAAAUUUCGACGGAAUCAGCUUUGACUUCCCUUAGCAAUUGUAAUCCCUUCAAUACAGCUCGGUACUCUGCUUGAUUGUUAGUGGCGGAUGCUUCUAUCGGCAGAGAGAAAUCAUAGCUUGCCCCCCGAGGCGAUAUGAGGACGAUGCCGAUUCUUGAUCCGGCCCCACAUGACGAUCCAUCAAAGUAUAAGGUCCAAGGUACUGGUUCUACGAAGGUAGCCUCUAGCCCGCAGUGCUGGGCAACGAAAUCGGCCAUGACCUGACCCUUGACGGCUUUUGCCGAUUGAUAUCGAAGGUCAAACUCCGACAAAGCCAAGAUCCAUUUUCCGAUCCGUCCUUUCAAAAUCGGCAGUGACAACAUGUAUUUUACCAUGUCGUCCUUGCAUACGACCACACAUUCCGCUGACAGCAAAUAGUGCCUGAGUUUGGUGCAUGAGAAGUAAAGGCAUAGGCACAACCGCUCCACUGGAGGAUACCUUAUUUCGGCGUUCAGAAGUCUUCUACUGACAUAAUAAAUUACUCGUUCCUUUCCCUCGAACUCCUGGACCAGAGCCGACCCACUAGCUCGUUCAUCGGCUGAUAAAUAUAGUUUAAACGGCUUACCAGUUUGAGGAGGGACCAAUACCGGUGGUGAGACCAAGUACUGCUUGAUAUCUUCCAAUGCCUUGCGUUGCUCUUCUCCCCAUAUGAACUCCUGGUCGGGCUUCAACUUUAAUAAUGGUGUGAAGGCUUGGAUUCGCCCAGACAGAUUAGAUAUGAAUCUUCUGAUGAAAUUCACCUUGCCGAUUAGAGAUUGCAGCUCAGUUUUAUUCUGCGGGGCCAUGACUUUGUUGAUGGCCGCUAUGGUCUUUCGAUUGAUCUCUAUUCCCUGCUCGUGCACCAUGAAUCCUAAGAAUUGUCCAGCGGAUACGCCGAAGGCACACUUAUUCGGGUUCAUCUUCAGCCCAUGUUUCUUAGUGCAUUCCAAUACUUGUCAUAAAUCGGCCAGCGUUUCCAUCCAUGAAACUAAUAACCUUGUGUCCCGUGGCGGCAUCUAUCAGCACAUCGGCCGUCGGCAUGGGGUAUCCGUCCAUUGGUGUGGCCUGAUUGAGGUUCCUGAAAUCGACGCAUACGCGUAGCUUUCCGUUCUUCUUGUAUACUGGUACAAUGUUGGAGAUCCAUUCGGCAUAACGGCAUUGCCGAAUAAAUUUUGCUUCGAUUAGCCGCGUUAUUUCGACCUUUAUGUCUGGUAGGAUCUUAGGAUUGCACCACCGUGCAGGUUGCUGAUACGGCCGGUACCCUGGCUUUAUGGGUAACCGAUGCUCAACGAUAGAUCGGUCUAAUCUGGGCUCUCAUGAUAUUCCCAAGCAAAGCAAUCCUUACAUUCUCUUAACAGACUUAUCAGUUUACAUUUGUAUUCCGGAUCUAAAUUUGCACUAAUAUAUGUCGGCCUUGGUUUGGUGCCAUCGCUUAAGUCUAUCAUUUCUAAUGAAUCGGCCGACGUGAACCCGUGUCCCAGCUUCCCAUCUUCUCGGGCGAACUGAUCCAUUUUAGUCUGAGUCUUCGGAGCCGACUGCUCAGAUCGGCUGUAGGCCAAAAUCGGACACCUUCAAGAAGUCAGUAUCCCAUACUCACCCGGAUAUGCACUUGAUGGUUUCGCAGCUCCACUGCUGUGUGUCAGCUGCCGCGAUGCUGUACGAGGAAUCGGCGGUGACCACCUCGAUGUUGUCGCCGACCCAUUGUACAAGGCAUUGAUGCAUUGUAGAUGGGAUAUAGCAAUUUGCAUGUAUCCAGUCUCGGCCGAGUAGCAUGUUGUAGGACCCCUUGCCAUUAAUGAUAAAGAAAGUAGUAGGAAGGGUCUUACUGCCGAUGGUGAGGUCGACGCAGAGAGCGCCGCGAGUGGGGGAUACGUUACCCUCGAAGUCCUUGAGCAUCAUAUCUGUCUUGGUCAGGUCGUCAUCGCUCUUCCCUAGCUUCCGAAACAUGGCGUACGGCAUGAUGUUGACUGCAGCCCCUCCGUCUACUAGUAAUCUGGUGAUGGGUCGGCCGUCGGCCGUUGACAUACCCUUUAAGAAACAACGCUUUCAGGUGUUGCCAUUUGUCUUCUUCGGGCUUCUCGAAUGUGGCUGUCAUUGGCUCCAAAGCCAAUUGCGCCAUCUGCUCUUCCAUUGCCGACAUGUCCUGUCGGUCGGCAGGAGUCAUGAAUUCCAUCGGCAGUAUGAAAACCAUGUCGAUGUCGGCUACCGAUUCGUCGCCUCCUCUGUCGUUUCUUUUGGGGCGCCAUACCUGAGACCUUGCUGUUCCUCCUGUUGUUCCCACUGGCGGAGACGUUGGAUCCUCCGUUUUUGAGACUUGGUUAAUCCAUCGGGGCACCAUCUGGGGUUCACCGGUUUGGUUCGUGGUCUAGCACGUUCCCAUUCCGGCUCGCGUCCUAAAGGGUUCUCGUCUGUCACCCGAGCAUCGGCCAUCUCUUCAAGUCGAUUGUGGACGCUGACCUUGUUUUCUAGCCGGUCAUGUCGAUCAAAUCUGCCCCCCGGCCUAUCAUUUUGCUCGCGCCUACCUUCCGACCGGUCAUAUCGGUCACUUCUGCCCCCCAGCCGAUCACGUACUAGAGGGCACCGGUCUUCUUGGUCGCGCCAGUUCCAGCUGAUCGGCUCUGAUUUCCCAUCUCUGGAGCGAGACCUUCUGAACGGCCGAAUGUGACGAUACGGACCGUUGCACUCAGGGCAAUUAUCGACCGAUGGUAACCUGAGGUUGCUUUCCCAGCAGUGGAUGAAGAACGGGCAUCGCCAAUGAUCUUCAUGUCGCCGCAUCGCCUCUUCCCGGGACCUUGAACGUUCAUGCUGCCGUUGAUAUGUGUCGAGCAGGAAUUGGGAAGUAAUGGGUCUGCGUGGUUCUCCUGAUCCGUCGUCAUCGUCCUCCAGCCGUCGUUUCCCCUUGACGUCUUCAGGCGCCGCUUGAUUUCUGGGGUCUACGGUGCCGCUCUUUUUUGCCGAUUCGGAUGUCAGCACUUGGUUUGGAGCAAAUUCUUUCCCGUGUCAACCAUGUUAGUGGGGAAGGGGUGCUGGUCGAUCUUCAUCGGCUUGGCUGGUUUUGUUGGCACUUCAAAUUUGAGUCUGCCCUGCUCAAUGGCCGACUGUAUCUGCUGCCGGAAGAUUUUGCAUUCAUUCGUAUCAUGGGAGGUAGCGUUGUGCCACUUGCAAUAUCUUCUUCAGCUGUUUGGCAGAAGGAAUCGUAUGGUAUGGCGAGAGCUUAAUCUGUCCUUCCUGGAGGAGGAGGUCGAAGAUUUUAUCGGCCUUUGAUGUGUCAAAUCUGAACGUUUCCGGCUCCUUCUUGCCGAACAGACAUGAUAUCGGCUUCUUUCCUUUAAUCCAUUCCGCAAGGCCGAUUUCUGUGUCUUCUUCGGUUUCUACCUCUUCUAAGUAUGCCACCUUCUUCUGGAAAUUCCUCCGUGGAUCGAAAGAACGUACCUCUUGACCAGACAAUUGGUGGACGAUUUGGCUCAAGCUCUCAAACUCCUGUGAGGUGUAUUUUUCUUUGAUGUGAGGUAGGAGACCUUGGAAGGCUAUAUUGGCCAACUGUGCAUCAGUCAGGGCCAGGGAGUAGCACUUAUUUCUGAUUUCCCUGAAUCUCUGUACAUAUGAGGAUAUCGGCUCGUCGCUUCUCUGCCUGAGGCUGGUCAAAUCGGACAGCUUCAUCUCAUGUACCCUGGCGUAAAUAUACUUGUGAAACUGCCUUUCCAGGUCAGCCCACGUAAUUAUCGAGUUGGGUGGCAAUAUAGUGAACCACUGAAAGGCUAACCUAGACAGGGAUGACGAGAAAAGGCACACCCGUAGAGCAUCUUGCGCCGCUGCUUCCCCGCAUUGGAUGAUGAAUCUAUUCACGUGUUCCACGGUUGAGGUGUCAUCCAGUCCCGAAAACUUGGUGAAAUCAGGAACUUUAUACCGAUGGGGAAACGGUAGUGAGUCGUAUGUAGGCAGGUACGGUGUCUUGUAUGUGUAGGUCUGCACCUUCGGUUUUAAGCCGAAUUGCUCUUGAAUCACCUCUGCUAUGCGUGCCGACCAGUCCGCCUGUUGCUGGUGUACCGUCGGCUGGGGAACUGGUACGUGCUGGUAUAUUGGCGGCGGGAUGACUUGAUGAUGAGUGAAGGCGUGCGGCAUCUGAUGUGUCGUAGCCGGCUGCGUAGUCAGGACUGGCUGUUUGAACGAGCCCCCCGCUUCGUCAUAUAGUAUGAGUGGUCUAGUAGCCGUCUGGAAAGAUGCUUGGAGCUGAGGACUUUCAUGGUUGGCCGGUUGAUCCGGGGCGGCCGUCACUGAUGGUGCCCCCCAAAGCGCUGGAUUUAUCGGAGGAAACUGCUCGGAGGACAACUGAAUGGGACGUGGUUGGAAGUAUUGUGUGCCAUUAAACCCCAUAGGGAUCGAUGAUGAGGAAGCACCAAAACCUGCAACUGGAAUUUGGAUCGGCUGAGAAGCCGAAUAAGGUGUAUUUGGAUAACUCUUGUUCGGAGCCGUAAUCGGCGGAGCAUAUGUCGGCCCCUAGUACCCUUGAGAUACACCGCUAGCCAAGGAGCUGAUGACGGCAUUGUAUACCGUAUUAGAAAGCACCGGGGAUUGAUCGAUGAAAGCUUGAUAGACGGAUUGCUAAACCAUCUUGGACAUCUUGUCCGAGUCCUUGGUGAUUGUGAUCUGGCGGGGAGUUGGAAACGGAACCUUUUUGAUAGUCUCCCCGCUCCUGGUGCGACUGAAGGACUGCAAACAUGUCUUCCGGUAGUAUGCCAUCUGCCUCUCUAGUUCUUCCUUCUGGUCGUCCCUGAGAUCUGCCUCUGUCACUUCGAUGAUGUUAUCUUCGGAGACUUCAGCAGCUUUCGACAUGGUGUUGGUUGUAUUGGUCCCACCGAGCGUGCCAAAAGUGUGUUGGCGCUAGAAAUCGGCUGAUCGAAUUCCCUGUGUCGGACACACGACCCGGGAGAAUCUACUUAGCUCCUAUUCGGGUGAUCGCCCUGGUGCGGUUCGCGCGGCGUGCCAGCCAAUCUGACCUAUUGAUUAGCAAGGAAAGAAACGUGUCAAUUCCCAGAGGUUGCGAUCGGCUAAGGUUCCGAUCUCGAGAAAGCUUAUCAGAGAAUUGGCCGAUUUGCUGUAAUAAAGAAAUCGGCUAUAAUGCAGCCGAUUACCAGGCAAUGUCAAUAAAGAAUACUGCUAGAGUAAUCUAAACAACGCUACAGUAACAACACUAAGAACAGAUCUAAUCGGCUAUGUACGAAAUAGGUAGAUUAAACAGCGAAGUACAAGAAAAGCCGAAAUUACUGAUUACUAGCUGGAUAACUGGUGAUAAAACUAGAACAAUAGGUAACACCUAGAAUUCUAGUAAAUAUCGAUAACUGAUGCAUAAAUCUAAACGGAACGAUAGCGAUACGCUCGAAGUUAAAGCUUAGAACUUACUCGAUAAGCGGAACUUACAAGAUCGGCCGGAGAUCAAGUUGAUGCAGCCUCGCCAACCCGUACGAACUCGUGAAAAGGGAAAAAGUAUUGGCGAAGUCGCCUGCUUGAAAGUAAGUACGAGGAAAUAAUAGUUUGUUGUAUCGAGUUGAUGAUGAUUACAGAUCUACAAGGGUGGCUAUUUAUAGCCCCAUACAAACGACUUCUUAUCCGACUAGAACUCUAUCCCUAAAUUUAAACAGAAAACGAAUAUUUACAAGUACGAUUCGUACUAGGUCGAUUAUCACGCGCUUCAUGGGCUGAUUCCCUCUUCAAUCAUAAUCCUUUUUAAGCCCACAUCGGCCCAACUAUUCCAACCUCCUAUUCAGCCGAUCACCUCUUCAGCAAGGGGUAACCGAUCAGGACCCACAUGUCGAGGGCUCAGACUCACUCCGACCCUAGAAACUAAGGUUGGACGAGGCGGAGAUCCUCCUUUGGAGGGUUAGGCGCGUCCGAUCCCAAACCCUAGGGGUCAGGCGAGGCAGAGAUCCUCCCUUGGAGGGUCGGGCGCGUCUGAUCCCAAACCUCAGGGGUCGGGCGAGGCGGAACUCCAAAGAUCAAUCGGCCGAUCCUCGACUGUAGCAUCAAUUGGUCGAUCCUUGACUGUAGCACCAAUCAACCGAUCCUUGACUGUAGCACCAACCAACCGAUCCUUGACUGCAGUACCUAUCGGCCGAUUUCCAAUCAUCGCCCUUGUAUCUCGCCGCAUCUCCUAAUUUCUUCCACUUCUAAUGCCGAUUUUACUCGUGUCAAAAUCUGGCGUCAACAAUUAGACUUAGCAGAUCAGAUCCUUCAGCAGGCGAUUGAGGCCAUUAAUACCCUCCUUGGAUAAAUGUACUUGAACAUUGAAUGCUUUUGAACGUUUUUUUGAAAAACAUUAAUGCCUUUUAUCGUCGCUAUGUGAAUACGAAUCUAAACAGCUUUUCCCCGCAGCUUUUCAACGCAAUGGUGGUUUGCUUUGAAUGACUUCUUCUACUAACCGUUGCUUCCCGUCCUUUCCUCCUAUAAAUACGCGAUCUCCACGUCUCCUCCAAAGGCAUUCACACAAUGUCCAUACACUAUCCCUCUGCUAAAUGUUUUCAAAUCCCCAGCCAAGCGUCCAGAUGGCCUCUUCCUCCUCUGUCAAUCAGGUACAAAAUAAACCUUUUCGCUCCUUGACCGAUCUUUACGUCGACUAACUGCCUAUUGUUUCUCCAGCCAACCCAAUUCAGCCCCAAUCCUGAACGUGCUAUCGAGAUCAUGCAUUCUGACGAACCACUGACACAGGCGGACAAAGAUCUGAUCCAAGCCCAUCGUGAAGAACUUAAGGACCACCUUCCCACUCACAUUAAGAAGAUCGUGGACAAUAUCGAAGCCAACGCCUCCAAGAAGCCACUCCAGCCGUCAGUUGAGAGGAGCCACCAACUGCCCCGCCAAGUCGCUCUUGAAGACGUAAUGGCAGACGUGGAAGAAAAGAGCACCCGCCUUCUGAUCGAACUAGGCCAGAUCCAGAGAGAGAUCAACACGAGCAAAGCUCAAUUAAAAUGCCAUUAACGUAUUGUAACUUAAUGAAUGUGUUGCUACUUUUAUCCUAAGGGCGACUUGUACCCUGUCGGCCAUGCAUCCAAUUAUUGUACUGAAUGAUAAUCGGCUUAUUUGCACAAGUGUUUCUUGCUUUUUCGUCCUUAAGGCGAUGCGCUUCGCAUCGGCUAUACAAACCCGAGUCAAUAGGAAUCGGUCGUAAAAAACCUGACACACCGUAUCAUCAGCUAAGCAUCUACCCAUAUGCUGGGAUAGUACCUUUUUAAAUAUCUUCCAUUUAGAGCUCUUUUAAAUUCUUCUCCUUCGAUGGUCUCUAAUAUGUAUGCAUUUCCAGGCGCACACCGACUAAUCCUGUAUGGCCCUUCCAAGUAGGACCAACUUCCAGACCAAGUCUCCUUGGGAAAACUGUUUGACCUUGACCUUCUUGUCAUACCAUUUGGUGACCCUUUUCUUAUUCUCCUCAAUACUGAUCAAGGCCCUCAAUCAUUGACCCGCCAAAUCCUCCAACUCCCCUUUCAUGAGGAUAGAAUAGUCAUCGGCCGUCAACUGAUCCUAAAGUGACAUGCGCAUAGACCCAGUUUUCAACUCCCAAGGUAGCACUGCUUCAUGCCCAUAUACUAAUUGGUAAGGAGGAACCUUGGUGGCACUGUGCCAAUCCAUCCUGUAUGCCCACAAGGACUCAUUCAGUGUUGUAUGCCAUCACCUUGGUUGUUCCUCUAUCUUUCUUUUAAUCAACUUGAUGACUCCCUUGUUAGACGAUUCAGCCAGCCCAUUGGCCUAAGCAUAAUACGGAGAAGAUCUUAGCAACUUGAUUCCCAUAUCGGCAGUGAACUCCUCAAAUUCUUCCAAAGUAAACAUUGACCCCUGGUCAGUUGUAAUAGUCUAGGGAAUACCAAACCGAUAGAUAAUGUGCUCCUUCACGAAUUCAAUCAUGUUGGCUGACGUCACGAUUUUUAGAGGAACUGCCUCCACCCAUUUGGUGAAAUAAUCAGUAGCCACCAAUAUAAACUUAUGUCAUUUACUUGAUGGAGGAUAAAUCUAUCCGAUGAGGUCCAUUCCUCAACCUCUAAAUGGCCACGGCUUUAUUAUUGGGUUCAUAGCUGAAGCUGGUACUUGUUGUACAUUACCAAAUUUCUGGCAGUCUUGACACCCCUUAUAAUAUUUAAAACAAUCUUCGAGUAUCGUCGGCCAGUAAUAAUCAUUAUUCCUAAUCAUCCACUUCAUCUUGAAAGCCGAUUGAUGAGACCCACAUACACCUUCAUGAAUCGCUCCCAUCAGAGUCUUUGCUUCCUCUACUCCAACGCAUUUAAGUAGUACCCCAUCAAUCAUUCGGUAAAACAAAUCAUCUUCAAGCAAUACGUAUUUUGUAGCCUGAAAGCAUAUUCGUCAGUCGACCUUCUUGGAUGGAUCCUUUAGAUAAUCGGCAAUCUCCUUCCUCCAGUCAUCGGCCGCAAGCUUUAGGGCCAUGGCACCUUGAAUCGGCCGAUACCCGGAAGCAUGUUGGGCAAGCCUAUUAGCCUCCUCGUUGUAAUCCCUGGGAAUAUGCUCAAUACUUGCAGACCUGAAUUCCUUCAGUAACUGGAGGCACUCUUCAUAAUAGAUCCUCAGAAUAUCAUCUUUGCAUUCAGAUUUUCUAGUUAAUUCAUCCACAAUAAGCAUGGAAUCCCCAAAUAUUUCCACCGUAUCGGCUUUAACUUCCCUCAACAAUUGGAUGCCUUUUAGAACAGCCCAGUACUCUGCUUGAUUAUUAGUGGCGGAUGCCUCAAUGAGGAUGAUGCCGAUUCCUGAUCCGGCCCCACAUGAAGAUCCAUCAAAGUACAAUGUCCACGGAGCUGGUUCAACAACAGUGAUCUCUGGUCCAUAGUGCUGGGCCACGAAGUUGGCAAUUACUUGACCUUUGACUGCCUUGGCCAAUUCGUACCUCAGGUCAAACUCUCAAAGGGCUAGAAUCCACUUUCCAAUCCUCCCAUUCAAAAUCGGCAGUGAUAACAUAUAUUUGACAACAUCAUCCUUGCACACAACUACGCAUUAUGCCGAUAACAAGUAGUGCCUGAGCUUGGUACAAGAAAAAUAUAGACAAAGGCACAACCAUUCCACCGGAGGGUAUUUGGUUUUAGCGUCCAAAAGUUUCCUGCUGACAUAAUAAAUUACUCUUUCUUUCCCCUCGAACUCUUGGACCUGUGCCGAGCCGAUAGCCCGCUCAUCGGCCGAUAGAUACAGCCUGAACGGCUUAUCAGUCUGUGGAGGGAGCAACACCAGGGGUGAGACCAAGUGCUUUUUGAUGUCGUCUAAUGCUUUCUGCUGUUCUUCGCCCCAAACAAACUCUUGGUCGAGCUUUAAUUUCAGCAAAGGGGUGAAAGCUUGAAUACGCCCUGACAAGUUUUAUAUGAAUCGCCAAAUGAAGUUGACCUUUCCGAUUAAGGACUGUAGCUCGGUCUUGUCUUGUGGGGCCACAACCUUGUUGAUGGCGGCUAUAAUUUUCUGAUUGAUCUCAAUGCUGCGCUCGUGGACCAUGAAGCCUAGAAAUUGGCUGGCCGAAAUGCCAAAGGCACAUUUGUUAGGAUUCAUCUUCAAUCCAUGCUUCCUCGUGCAUUCCAAUACCUUGCGUAAAUUAGCCAGAUGUUGUUGAUGCCCUUUCGACUUGACGACGACAUUAUCAAUGUAAAUUUCUACCAGGACACCAAUGAGUUUAUGAAAUAUGUAAUUCAUGGCCUGUUGAUAUGUAGCUCUGGCAUUCUUCAAACCAAAAGUCAUGACUACCCAUUCGAACAAACUGAGAUGACCAGAGCACCUAGAAGCCAUCUUUGAGAUAUCUUCUUCGGCCAUCAGUAUCUGAUUGUACCCGGCAUUGCCAUCCAUGAAGCUAAUAACCUUGUGCCUUGCGGCCGCAUCUAUCAGCACAUCGGCCGUCGGCAUAGGAUACCCGUCCAUCCGCGUAGCUUGGUUAAGAUUUCUGAAAUCAAUGAACACACGUAGCUUUCCAUUUUUCUUGUAUACAGGAACAAUAUUAGAAAUCCACUUGGCAUACCGACACUGUCGAAUAAACCCUGCUUCAAUCAAUCUUAUGAUUUUAGCCUUUAUAUCAGGUAGAAUUUUAGGAUUACAACAUCGAGCUGGCUGCUGAUAUGGCCGUACCCUGGCUUUAUAGGCAACUGGUGUUCAAUAAUAGACCGAUCUAGACCAGGCAUUUCAUGAUACUCCCAAGCAAAGCAAUCUUUAAACUCUCUUAACAAACUCGUUAACUCACGCUUGUACUCAAGGUCUUACCUAGCACUGAUAUACGUUGGCCUUGGCUUGCUUCCGUCUCCAAGGUCCACCAUUUCCAAUGAAUCGGCCGACGUAAACCUGUGCUCAAGCUUUCCGUCUUCUCGGAUGAACUGAUCCAUUUAAUUUGAUUCUUGUGAGCCGACUGCUUGGAUCGGCUGUAGACCGAAAUCAGAAACCUUCAAGUAAUCAGUGUCCCAGUACCUGCCAGAUAUGUAUCUGACGUGCUUGUAGUUCCAUUGUUGCGCGUCGGCUGCGGCAACACUGUAGGCGGAGUCAGCGGUGACUACUUCAAUGGUGUCGCCGAGCCACUGGACGAGGCAUUGGUGUAUAGUAGACGGGAUGCAGCAGUUUGCGUGGAUCCAAUCUCGCCCGAGCAACAUAUUAUAGGACCCUUUACCAUUAAUAACGAAGAAAGUGGUGGGUAGGGUCUUACUGCCGAUGGUGAGGUCAACGCAGAGUGCCCCCUGGGCCGGAGAUAUGUUGCCUUCAAAAUCUUUGAGCAUCAUAUCCGUCUUGAUUAGAUCUUCUUCUCCUUUGCCCAAUUUGCAAAACAUAGCGUACGGCAUGAUGUUCACAGCAGCGCCUCCAUCUACCAAUAGCUUAGCGACGGGUCGUCCGUUGACUUGCCCUUUGAGGAAUAGAGCCUUGAGAUGUUGGCAUUUUUCGUCUUUGGGUUUUUCAAAAGUGGUGGUCAUUGGCUCUAGAGCCAAUUGAGCCAUCUGCUCCUCUAUAUCCGUUGCAUUGUCACGAUCGACGGGAGCCAUGAACUCCAUUGGCAGGAUGAACACCAUGUUGACAUCAGCAGCCGAAUCCUGAUCAUCAUCUUCUUUGUUGGCUUUUUUCCUAGGACGCCAAACUUGAGAUUUGACUCCUCCCUUGUCUAGCGCUUGUCUUUGGUCCUCUUCCUACUGCUCCCAUUGGCGCAAAUGUUGGACUCUCCUUUUUUGGGACUUAGUCAGGUCGUUUGGGCACCAUCUGGGCUUGACUGGUUUGCUUGGCGGCUUAGCACGCUCCCAAUCCGACUCCUGCCCUAGAGGGCCUUCAUCUGGGACUCUUGCGUCAGCCAUCUCUCCCAGCCGAUCAUGUGCACUGGCUCUGCCCCCCAGCCGAUUACGCUCGUAUACUCUGCCCCCAAGUCGAUCACACACUGAAACGCACCAAUCUUCUUGCUCGAGCCUGUUUCUACUGAUCGGCUCUUGUCCUCGAUCUCCGGAGCAUGACCUCUUGAACGGGCAGCUGCUGUGAUACUAACCAUUGCACUCAGGGAAGUUGUCAGCUAACGGUAGUCUGAGGUUAUUUUCCCAAUAGUGAAUGAAGAACGGGCACCACCAAUGAUCUUCGUGUCGGUGCAUCAUCUCUUCGUGGCACCUUGUGUCCUUCUGUUGCCUCUGAUAUUAGUUGAGUAAAUCCUAGGAUGUGACGGGCUGAUGUGACCUUUCUGAGCUUUCUUCUUCGAUCUCCAUCCGCCCUUUUCCUUUAACGUCGUCGGCCGAGGUUUGAUUUCUGGGUUCCACUGCGCCGCUUCUUAUGGCCGAUUCUGAUGUUAGCACUUUGGUCAGGAGCACGUUCCUUCCGGCAUCAACCAUGUUAGCAGGCAAGGGAUGCUGGUCUAUCUUCAUCGGCUUUGCUGGCUUCGUGGGGACCUCGAAUUUAAGUCUUCCUUGCUCAACAGCUGACUGUAUCUGCUGACGGAAGACUUUACACUUGUUGGUGUCAUGAGACAUGGUAUUAUGCCACUUGCAAUACUUCAUCUUCUUGAGCUGCUCGGCUGACGGAAUCAUGUGGUAGGGUGAGAGCUUGAUUUGUCCCUCUUGCAGCAGCAAGUCGAAGAUGUUAUCAGCCUUAGAUGUGUCGAAACCAUACAUUUUCGGCUUUUUACAGAACGGGCAUGAUAUCAGCUUUUUCCCUUUUACCCACUCUUCCAGGCCGAUUUCUACCUCUUCCUCUGAUUUGGACCCUUCUACGUACGCCACCUUUUUCUCAAAGUUUCUUCAUUGGUCAAAGCGGCUCACCUCUUGGUUGGACAACCGGUGGACAAUCUGGCUCAAGCUCUCAAACUCCUGGGAAGCAUAUUUCUCUCUGAUGUGUGGUAGGAGUCCUUGAAAAGUGGUAUCGGCCAACUGGGAGUCGGUCAAAACUAGGUUGUAGCACUUAUUCCUGACCUCUCCGAACCUCUGUAUGUAGCUGGCCACCGACUUGUCGCUUCUCUGCUUGAGGCUAGGUAGAUCUGAGAGCUUCAUCUCGUGGACCCCGCAAAGAAGUACUUAUGGAAUUGUUUUUCCAAAUCGGCCCAGGUAACAAUGGAGUUAGGCGGUAGCAUUUUAAACCAUUGAAAGGCUGACCCGGAGAGGGAUGAUGAGAACAACCGGACCCUCGGAGCAUCUUGCGCAGCAGCUUCUCCGCACUGGAUGAUGAACCUAUUGACAUGCUCCACCAUAAACGUAUCAUCCAGGCCUGAAAACUUGGUGAAAUUGGGCACCUUGUACCGAUGUGGGAACAGCAAUAGGUCGUAAGCAGGCGAGUAUGGUGUCUUGUACGUGUAGGUCUGUACCUUUGGUUUUAGCCCAAACUAAUCUUGUAUUAUAUCAGCUACCCUUGCGGUCCAGUCCACUUGUUCCUGAUGCACAACUAGCUGAGGAAUCGGCAUGUGCUAUUGGACUUGCGGCACCACAAUUGGGUUAUAAGCUGGUAUGUGAUGCGGAUCUUGCGGUUGGGCUAUCGGCUGAGGAGCCGAUGGAUGCUGUCGCAUGGGGUCAACUUGACGUAGUGCCUCUGCUGCCUCAUCGUACAAUACUAUCGGUGCCGCAGUUCUUUCCGAAGUAAUCUGCUGGUAUUCCAGGGCUGUUGGCCGAGAGGCUGAUGGAAACGAUGCAUGUACUGGAGAUUUCCCGUAACCAGUGAACGGUCCAGAUCGGCAAGUGUCGGUGUCGUCCCCCAUGGCGUCGAGGUUGAAAACAGCGGUUGCGCGGGGGGAAUCGGUGCAAGGUAAAAUGGCGCUUGUGAUUGAUAAAGGGUUGCACCAUUAUUUCCCAGGGGCAUUGUAGUGUUGUGCCCCCCACCCUGCAUCUGUAUUGGCUGAGGAGCUGACUGAGGCAUAUUUGGCACCGUUGAUAAGCCUCUGAUUGGUGCCACGAUAGGGGGGCGUAAGCUGGUCCCUGAUACCCCUGAUCCGUGUCGUUGACCAUGGAGUUGAUGACGGUGUUGUGCACUGUGUUGGUCAUCACCUUGGACUGGUCGAUCAUAGCCUGAUAAACAGACUGCUGGAUCAUCUUAGACAUCUUUCCUGAGUCUUCGGUGAUGGUGCUAUGGCGAGGAGUUGGAAGAGCAGCCUUCGUGACGGUUUUCCUGGUGCGAUUCGCGCGGCGUGCUAGUCAAUCUGACCUGUUUAUUAACAAGGAAGGAAAAGCAUUAAAUUCUAGGGGCUUUGAUCGGCUAAGUUUCCGAUCUGUCUUAAAAAGUGUAUCAGCGAAUCGGCCGAUUUACUGUAGAGACGACCAGCUAUAAACAGCUGAUGGUCACGUAGCAAUUGUGAAAGAAAUCACUAGAGCAACCUAAAUAAUGCUACAAAAGCAACACUUGGAACAGAUCUAAUCGACUAUAUGAUGAUAAAUAAAAAUAAUGAUAAAAAGCCAACAGUUCGUGUCUCAAGCUGGAUAACUGGUGAUAAAACUAAAACAACAGGUAAAACCUAUAAUUCUAGUUAAUAUUGAUAACUGGUGAAUAAAUCUAAAUGAAAUAAGAGCGAUGCUCCCAAAGUUAAAGCUCAACUAUUACUCGAUAAGCAGAACUUACAAAUUGGUCGGAGGUUGUAUUGAUGCAGCCCUGCCAACCCGUACGAACUCAUGAAAAGAAAAGGUUUUGGCGAAGUCGCCGACUUGAAGAUAAGGUGCAAGGAAAAAGUAGAUUUGUUGUAUUGAUUGAUGUGUUGUCUUUAAAAGCCUUACGAGGUAGCUAUUUAUACCCUGUUACAACUGAUUUCCUAACCGACUAGGAUCUAUCUCUAAUUUAAAGAUAACAAAUAUUUAUAAACGAAUGCAACCCGCAUCGGAGUUGGUUAUUAUUUUCUCACGGGCCAAUCUUCUUCUCUGCGUAAUCAUCACCCUGGCCCACUUUCGGCCCACAUCGGCCAAGCCAUUCUGGCUCCCAAUCGGCCAGCCUUUAUUGACUCCUUCAGCCAAUCAGCGAAAACACUAUAGCUCUAAUCAGCUGAUUCCCAACUGUAGCUUCUUGCUUGCCACUUCAGCCGCCUUCUUCUCCUUUGAUGUCGAUCCAAGCACAUGCCAAAAUUCAGCGUCAACACCUCUGGGCAUCUGCAAAGUAACGAAAUUCAAGAAAGGAUAUCGGCCUCAUCUACCCAAGCUAGAUCCUCCAUAAGGGAUGAAUCUGUACCAGUUAGUAUGCCGUCAAGGUUGCCCUGGAUCUCCUUGGUGAUCUUCUUCUGCUCCUUGAUCUCCUAAUCCUUUUGUCGGAUCUACUCCACGGCGUCCACCUUGGCCUUCUUGAGCUCGACCUCCAGGCACUCGGCCUUGAGGCGGUACCCUUGGCAUGAUGGAUGGCGUCCGCCCUCUUGUGCACACGCUCGUCCAGGUUCUGUACCAAAGUUACUCCAACUAUUCAUGAAACAAGAUAGGGAUGAAGUUCAACACCAAGAUAGGUCGGUCAACUUACAUAUAACACCUCUCCGACCUUGGCUGAGGCUUCCUUCAAGGUGGCAAGAUCUCUCUUGUCGGCGGCAGCAUCCCGUGCCAAGGCCAUGCUGGAGAUGCCUAGGGUGGUGGAGUAAUCCUCCUUGUGGUCAUCAACAUCGGUGUCGUAGCCCACCGCCUCCGCGUCAGUCGGUGCUUCCCUGAGAAUCUCCUUCAUUUGUACCUCGACACUAGCAUCUGUGGCCUCAGGCGUGGAAACAACACCAUCCACGGUGACAUCCUGGUGUGGCAAAGACCUUGGCUCGGCCCCUUAGGCCCUACAACCAGGCCACUCUCGCUCCCAGUCGGACAGAUGUUGUAGAUACAGCCCCACGGUUGCAUCAGGAGUCUAACGUUCUGCAUGGGUCCCGACGCAAGCAACCUGCAAGCUCAGCUCAUCCUCCGUCACCACCUCCCUGCUCAGCUGGUGCAGCAUAGGGACAGAGUCAAGCAACGUACAAACAAUCCUUCAAAAAUAAACAAUGCCAUGACCAUAUUUACAUUGUGCUCUUCUUCACUCUGAACUUUAGGCGAAGAGGCGUCAGCGGCAGCAGGCUUGGUCCUGUUAGCCUUUCUUCAUGGAUAUCCGUCUUCAGCCGUUCCUUGAGCCUCUCCAUGUUAGUGGCGGUGGUCUCAAGGAGCUCGACCUUCUUCUUCAUCAUGGCUGGGCUGGGUGAGUCGGAAUCAUCGCUCAGUACCUCAGACAAGGCUUCAGCGGGGGAGGCGGUGGCCGCAGAUGGUGCUUUGUGCUUCUUGCCCCCUCUUUUCUUCCGCUUCCACUUAUUUGUCGUCAGCUUCUCUACCUCUAGCGCCUUUGACUCCACCACCUUGCGAAUGGCCUAGCGUGUUCACCACCCAGUAGGAGCCGUGCCCUCGGCUUCCAUCCCGGUGCCUUUGAUAGGCACAUCCUCGUCGGAGACAUCGAUGGAUGAGUCCGACUCCCAGUCAAGGGCAGCAGGUGGCUGGUCGGUCUCGGUGGUCGACCAGAUCUUGGGUCGCUGCUGCUCGGCCACUCCAAGAAGUAGCGCCGGAUAGAAAAACUCAAACUCUCGACUCCAACAAGUUAAAUAGGAUCAAGCAAGAAUAGGUGCAAAAGCAAAGCAAGCAAACAAAAUGAUGAAAUCAAGAUCUUAUCAGGUCAGCUGGCCUCACGAGGGAGUAUGCCUCGGGGCAGCAUUUGUUCUUGAUAACACCACAAAAGAACUCGCAUACCCGGUUGGCGACCUCUUCCUUUGUAACCUUUCACUAUACUUCCCAGGUCAGAUCCAGCGGACCCGAGUAUUCGUAUGCCAGGUGGACCCUAUCCUUGAUUGGCUGCGUCAGCCUUUGGCAAAAAUUGAUACUCACAGCUCCUGCUGUGAGCCCACGCCUCUUCAUGUCAGUGAUCUCCUUCAGCAGCUAGUUGACCUGGAUCAUCUGCUUGGAAGUUGGCUGGUUCAACCAUUCCAGCCUUGUCACGGGUGCGAAUCCAAGGCGAGGCGGCAGCUUCGACUUCUGAUUGGCAACAAGGAACCACUCCUUGUGCCACCCCUUGUUCAAGUCCUUGAGCAUCAGACCAAACUACUCGGUGACCCUCUUUGGCCACAGUGAAAAUCCACAACCAUCGAUCAAUCUUGGUUUCCCCUUCGACACAAUCUUGAGUUGAAAUGAAUAUCUCCACAGAUUGAAAUGGGGGGAUUCAAAGAAUUGCUUCAAAGAAGUGGAUGGAUACAGUGACGUCCAAGAUGGAGUUAGGGUUCAGAUGCACUAACUCAAUCUUGUAGUAGUUGAGUAGACCGCGAAAGAAAUCUCUGGUCAGGAUUCCGAAUCCCUGCUCGAAGAAUGUGGCGAAGACGAUGGCUUCCGUUGUGGCGGAACCACUUCGGAUCUACUUGGUUAGACAUGAUUUAGCCGCCUAAUAUGCGACGCUCAUACCUAAGCCGAGUAAACACAAAGUGCCAUCGGAUUUUCCUCCGAUUUAACCACUUGAACAGGACCAUUUUAGCAGACUCACACGAAGGUGAGCGGUUCCAGAGAGUACAACAAGUCCACAAGUUAACCAUUAACCACUUAGUUUAGUUACGAAAGAACAUCAGAGUUUUACAAGAUUUCAGAAAACAACAGAAGGUAAAACACUAGCGGAAGCAAUCGUCGGGGUCGGACGUCCUGGUGAGGCCAGCCGGGACAUCACUGAUCCCUCUCCUCGCCGUCCGAGGAGGGAUCCCACUCGACUGUCCAACCCGGAGGGAGCUGGGGCGGCCAAGUGCCAGCAGGAGAAGGGUCGGGAGCAGCAACUUCACCUAAAAAACAGGAGCCACAACAAGGCUGAGCUACUAAGCUCAACAAGACUUAACCGACAUGGAGAAACUACUCCACACUUCUAGACAUGCAGGGCCUUUUUGGCUGAGGGUUUGUUUACCAAAAGCACUAAGUAAAAACCCUAAUUUCAAGUUUUAGCUCCGGUUCUAGGUUCAUUAACCGGUCUAGGUUUGCAACCUAUUCUAAGCAAUCAUAGAACCAAAACAAGGUAUGUAUAUAUCAACAAACCAUGUCAUCAUCAGAUUCCUCAUUUACUCAGGGUGACAUAGCGAUCAAGCAGUCUCAAACUGAGAGAGGCAGACGAAUCGAUUCGAGUUCUUUAAACCAUGCAUGGUGAACCUAACCUCACGACAUCCGCGCACCCGGAGGUCGCUUCCUGUGUCGGCCUUCCCCAUCAAUCCCCUAACCCGUGUCGGGCCCAUUUCCUUUGGUGCAAGGUUCCACAGACCCGGCCUCUGCCGUUCUGUGACCACACUUGCCACCAUGUGCGACAACCAGCAGGGGAAACUCCGUUCCAAGAACAAUGGGGCAACCGCUCACGUCUAGGUUCAAUCCGGUACUAGGCUUCCUCAUCCCAUACUAAGUAUGAGGUUAGUACUUUCAAACACUUGAUCACGAACACCACAACUGUCGGGCCUUAGCAAGUUUUCAUAGACAGACGGGGCAAUCAUCUGACCACCAAAGAGUUACCCAAAACCCUGCCACGUCCAUCGUCCUUAUAGUUGUAGCAGAAAUGUAGACAUCCAACUCCUACAACUCGCGAGUGACAGGGAAUCACUCGGCUUUUACCGUCUCCUAGUUAAGCAAGGCAACUACUCGGUCCAACAGCUAGUGUUCAAAUCAUAGAAAGCUAGGUCAUGCAUCUAGGGCUUCAAACAACUUCUAUACGUAAAUGCACAAGCAUGUUUUAAGGAAGGUAUGCGCAAGUUUGGAAAAACAGCACAGGGUUUUCAUGCAACCGGGGCUUGCCUUCGAGCAAGGAGGAAGAGAACUGCUCGACUUCGAGGGCGGCUUUGGCUUCUAGGGUAGGAGCUCAGCUACAGCUUCGUCUUCUGGCGCCGGGUGUAACUCGUAGAAGCCGUCGGUGAGGCGCAACUCUACACGAAUGCAAUGCAAGAGUUAGCAUAGAUGGUUAUUCAACAGCAACAAUUGCUCGCCUGAGCCUAGAAACUCGCGACAAAGAGCAGGAGGGUGUGGAGGUCCAAGGGAGCUGGUGGAGAUCAAGAGGUAAGGGUUCGAAAGGAACUUAUGAUCUGAUCCUUGAACUAGAGGAUGUGGUAUACUAGGGAUCCUCAGACGCAAGCGCUGAAGGAUUCCUAAGUUUUACACAUACACCAUCGGGUUGAAGAAAAAGAUCACAGCCGAGCCCUCGGGCGAGGCGGAGAGGGGUCUGCGAAACAGAUGGGGUCGGGCGAGACGGAAUCGGGGUCGGGCGGAUAAGAGGGGUCGGGCGAAGCGGACUGGGGUCGGCAGCUUACCUUCUUCUUCCUACGAGGAAAGCUUGGGAUCGGGAAGAGGCAGACUUGGGCGGAGGGACUAAGGCUUUGAACAACGGCUAAGUCCGGCAGUGCUCCGGCGGCAGUGGUGCUUCUUGUGGAUCACAAGUGAGCUUUUACGCAGCACGGAGGAGCAAGUGGCUGGGGUGGCUUGGGGAAAAUGGAGGGGAGCUGAGAGGAGAGUUCCUCAGGAACUUAGGUCUGGUGCUAGGAGCUUGAGCAGGGAGCAAGAGAAAUGGCGGAAGGCAGCAAUGGCGGAGGGAACUCCGGCGGGCUCGCGCAUUCCCUUUUAUAGCGGUUGGGAUAGGGUAGGGAAGCGGCGCGAAGGCCGGGGAGAAGCAAUGGAGUGCUCUACCAGGGCGGCGAUUGAGCGACGGGGGCGGUGGUGCAGAACUUCGGGGAUGAUGCCAGCGGUCACUGGGUUCUGGUGUCAGGGCAGCGCAGGAGCGAUCAUGCCGGUGGUUGAGAUUUGGCGGAGGCGGGCGUCGCCGUGCGGUAGAUUUAAUGGACGCGACCGGGUUAACGGCGCUAGAAUCGAGGACGCACAGGUGAGAAGACAAGCAGCCGCGGGCGCGCGGGCAAGCGCGGAGCAACAGAUUGUCGGGCGGCUUCUGACAGGGCGGGGAAAGGAGCUAUUGCUGCCGUGGUCGGGGUUGGCGAUGGAGGAAUCGUCGGGUAGCGAAGACCAGGCGGCGCGACUGUGUUCGAAGUGACGGAAAAGAUGGGCGACAUCGGGCUCUGCAGCCGGGAUCUGGUGGUGUGAUGAUGGGCGCGGGAGGCGAGGCGCGGCAGAAAGGUUGCAGAGGGGCUUCCGCUGCCAUUGGGGAAGGGGGCGCGAGAAUCCAUUCAGUCGCGGUCAGAGACGAGGCUGAGCGGCGGGCGUCGGAGAAGACGAGCCAUGCGGCGGGGAGACUCUAAAGCGGGCAUGCAACUCGAGUGCGCUUGGCGCGGAAGAUCUGGGGGAAAAAGAUCUCGCGGGUCCCCUGGUCAGAUAGAACGGACAUUUGGAAAGACUCAGAAGGAUCCGACGGUGGGCUGGUUUUGGCGGGGUCGGAACCGGAGCGAAGCGGGGAGGGGUCGGGUCUCAGGGGUCGAGACCGAUCGGAAGGUUGAACACUUAGGCGUGGAAAGACUAGACAGAUGAUCAGGGGCUAGGAUUAAGAUUAACUGGGAAGAUUUGGGGCCGGUCGUCACAGCCUACCCCUCUUAAAAAGAAUCUCGCCCUGAGAUUCAAGUAUCAAAAGGGGUGUGCCGUUCUUACCUCCUUGAUGAGAUAGAAAACCUGGGAAGCGCUUGUUCAGAUACUCGUCCGUUUCCCAUGUUGCUUAAUCUUCGGUGUGGUUUCUCCAGAGAAUCUUGUACAUUUUUACCACUUAGCGUCGGGUAUGCCUUUCUUUCUGGUCAAGAACUCGGUCUGGGUUCUCGGCGUAGGUCAGGUCAGGCUCUAUCUGAAGCUGUUCUUGCUCUAAGAUCUCGGCUGGAACUUGGACACAUUUCUUCAGUUGAGACACAUGGAAAACAUCGUGUAUAGCCGAUAGCUGUUUGGGGAGUUGGAUCCGGUAAGCAACGGGUCCACAAAUCUCCACAAUCUCAUAAGGGCCAAUGUAACGGGGAGCCAACUUGCCUUUUACUCCAAACCACUGUGCUCCUUUGGUCGGGGAGACUCGAAGAUACACAUGAUCACCAAGGUCAAACUGUAGGGGCCUUCUUCGCCUGUCGGAAUAACUCUUUUGUCGAGAUUGGGCAGCCUUGAGAUUGUCUUGAAUUACCCUUACUUGCUCUUCGGCUUCUGCCACUAAGUCAGGGCCAUAGACCUGUCUUUCUCCUGCUUGGGACCAGUUCAAGGGUGUCCGACAUCUCCGGCCAUACAGGGCUUCAAACGGUGCCAUCUUCAAACUGGCCUGGUAGCUGUUGUUGUAGGAGAACUCUGCCAAGGGCAGGCACUUGUCCCAAUUCUUGUCAUAGUGGAUGACACAAGCUCUCAACAUGUCUUUGAGGAUCUGGUUGACUCUCUCCGUUUGGCCGUCGGUUUGAGGAUGAUAUGUUGAGCUACGGAUGAGCUUGGUGCCCAUGGAUGAUUGUAGCUGUUCCCAAAAGCGUGCCACAAACUGAACUCCUCGAUCAGAGAUGAUGGUCUUGGGUACACCGUGUAGGGAAACUAUGCAGUCGAGGUAUGACUCCGCAUACUGCUUGACUGUGUGGGUGGUGCGGACAGGAAGGAAGUGUGCGGUCUUGGUCAAACGGUCCACUAUAACCCAGAUGGAAUCAUAUCGCUGUGAGGUAAGGGGCAGUCCAACUAUGAAGUCCAUACUGAUGUCUUCCCAUUUCCAAGAGGGAAUAGGUAGUGGCUGCAGGGUACCUGCUACCUUUAGAUGGCUGGCUUUGACACGUUGACAGGUGUCACAUUCUGAAACAUACCGGGCUAUUUCCGACUUCAUUCCACUCCACCAAAAGGUUUGACGGAGAUCAUGGUACAUCUUAUUGCUGCCAGGAUGGAUUGAGAACUUGGAGAGAUAAGCUUCAUCUAAGAUCCGCUUCUUAAUGUCGGGGUCGGCUGGUACAACCAGUCUGUUUCCAUAAUAUACACCUCCAGUUUCGUCCUGCCGGAAUUGCUUAUAUCCUUCAUCCUUUACUGAGAUCUUCUUGAUGAUCCACUUUAUUUCUUCAUCCUUUACUUGUGCUGCCCGGAUUUGGUCUUCUAGAACUGAGUUAAGGGUGAUGUGGCCGAGGGUUCCAUGGGAAAUAAUCUCCAAACUGAGUUUUCCCAUCUCAUGACACAGAGUCUCAGUGAAAGCUGUUACCAACAAGCAGUUGCAACGGUGCUUGCGACUAAGAGCAUCGGCCACCACAUUGGCCUUGCCGGGGUGAUAGUGAACUUCCAAGUCAUAGUCUUUUAUCAACUCCAACCAUCUUCUUUGACGCAUGUUGAGGUCGGCUUGAGUGAAGAUGUACUUGAGGCUCUUGUGGUCGGUAUAAAUGUUGCAAUGGGUACCCAUCAGAUAAUGUCUCCAUAUCUUUAAGGCAUGUAUCACUGCUGCUAGCUCAAGGUCAUGGGUUGGGUAGCUCAGCUCAUGAGGUCGUAAUGCUCGUGAGGCAUAGGCAAUGACUCGGUUGUCUUGCAUAAGAACACACCCAAGUCCAGUGCCAGAGGCGUCACAGUACACAUCAAAUGGCCUGGAAGGGUCGGGCUGAGCCAAAACUGGGGUUGUGGUCAGCAGGUGCUUCAGGGUCUUAAAGGCUUCUUCACACUUGUCGUUCCACACGAAUUUGACCUCCUUCUUCAACAACUCCGUCAUCGGCUUAGCUAUCUUAGAGAAAUCCGGUAUGAAGCGCCAAUAGUAGCCUGCCAGUCCAAGGAAACUUCUGAUCUGGUGCACUGAGGCAGGAGGCUUCCAUUCCAUAACUUCCUGUACCUUAUUGGGGUCGACGGCUAUACCAGCCUUGGAGAUAGUGUGUCCCAAAAACUUGACACUAUCUAACCAAAACUCACACUUGGAGAACUUGGCAUAGAGUUUGUGAUCUCUCAGCCGUUGGAGAACUACAUGAAGAUGAUCGGCAUGUUCUUCCUCGCUCUUCGAGUACACUAGGAUAUCAUCAAUGAACACCACUACAAACUUGUCCAGCUCGGGCAUGAACACCAAGUUAAUAAGGUACAUGAAAUAGGUGGGUGCAUUGGUGAGUCCCAAGGACAUGACCAGGUACUCGUAUAGUCCAUAUCUUGUGGAGAAGGCUGUCUUGGGUAUGUCGCAGGGUCGGAUCUUGAUUUGGUGAUAACCAGAACGAAGAUCGAUCUUGGAGAACACUUUUGCUCUGGCUAACUGAUCGAACAAGACAUCAAUGCGUGGCAGUGGGUACUUGUUCUUGAUGGUCACAGCAUUGAGGGGUCAGUAGUCCACACACAUGCGUAGACUGCCAUCCUUCUUCUUCACAAAUAGGGCAGGGCAACCCCAAGAUGAUGUGCUGGGUUGGAUGAAGACUUUUUUCAACAGAUCAUGCAACUGGGUCUUCAACUCGGCCAACUCAGCAGGUGGCAUCCGAUAGGGCCUCUUAGAUAUCGGUGCGGUGCCAGGGAUCAACUCUAUGGAAAACUCCACUUCUCUAUCAGGUGGCAUACCAGGCAAGUCUUCAGGGAACAUGUCAGGGUACUCACAGACAACAGGGAGGUUUUCUAGGCGGGCUCCCGAUAGAGGGUAUGCACAAGGAAGUGCAGACUCAGGAUGUUUCAAGGAUAGGAUAGAACUGCCAUGGAAGGGUGAGCCGAUGUAGAGAGAUCGGGCUGCUGUAUCUAGAACCACAUGAUGUCGGGCCAUCCAAUCCAUCCCAAGGAUGACAUCUAUGCCUUCUAGGUCAAGGAUGAUAAGGUUUUCCUUGAAAAGGGUUGGGCCUAGCUAGAGAGGUACAAGAGUAACGAUCUGAUCCGAUGCUAUCUUCCCUCCAGGAGUGGCGAUCACAUAAAAUUCCUUAGUGUGACCGACAUCCAGCUCACAUCUUUCUCUAGCCUUACUCCCGAUAAAGCUAUGAGAGGCUCCCGAAUCAAACAACACAACCACAGCUUGAUUUAAAACAAGGAAAGUACCCGUCAUUACUGGCGCACCUUCGGGGAGCUCGGUCAAGCUGGUGUAGUUGAGUCAGCCUUGUCGGACUUGCACCUUGGGCCUUCUUCCUCGGUUUGCCAUGGGGUUCUGGCUUUGCUGUUGAUUCUUGUUCCUGGGGCAGUCCUUAGCAAAAUGCCCUUCAUUGCCACAGGUGAAACAGCGGCUACUAGCUGCAGGGCGGGGUGGUGCUGGUGGGGUCGGCCGGGGCACCUGUGGUUGAAAACCGGGAAAACGGGGCGCUGCUACUGGUGGGGGUCGGGCAAUCCACCUUCCUGACUGUUGGGCUCGGCCGGGGGCUUGUGGAGGAACCAUCCGGAACCUUCGGGUCGGCUGGCUCGGAAAUGCCACAGAGGCUUUCCUCUUCUGGUCGGCCUUAAGAGCUUGCAUGCAAUCCUCUUGAGAGAUGGCUAGAUUGACCAACUCGUUGUAGGUGUCCACCUUGAUGGGGUUCAACCUUUCUCUGAGCUCCAAGCUUAGUCCUCGGCGGAAUCUGUCCCGCUUCUUUUCAUCCGUGUCCGCAUGGUAGCCGGCAUAACGGCACAGGUCGUUGAAAGCUUGAGCGUAGUGCAGCACAUCUCGGGUUCCCUGGGUAAGGGCCAGGAACUCGUUGAGCUUGCGCUCCAAAAGACCUUCCGGAAUGUGAUGCGCUUUAAACGCGGUUUUGAACUCGUUCCAGCUGACCACAUGGCCAGCCGGCAGCAUGGCAUGGUAGUGGUCCCACCAGAGCCGUGCGGAGCUACGCAGCUGUUGAGCUGCAAACCGAGCCUUGUUGUGGUCGGGGCAUGGGGCGGUGAGAAGCUCGAACUUGGAUUCGAUCGUACGAACCCAGGCGUCAGCGUCGAGCGGUUCUUGUGUCUUCUAAAACAAAGGGGGUUGUGUCCCCAAAAAGUCCUCUUAGCGAGCCACAUGCGGCUGUUGCUGAGCCCUUCCACCAUGGGGCUGCUGCUGUUGUCCUUGUACAAGAUGCCUUAGCAGCUCAGUUUGAGGUGCCAGGAUUGCCUCUAGUGGAGAUGAUGGCGGGGGUGGGGGAAGAUCCUGUCGCUGCUCGCUACUGCCGGGCACAGAACCAGACCUGGUGCGAUGCGCCAUCUGCAAGAGUUAGCGUUCCAUCAAAUUCAUAAUCUUAGAAGUACUCCAACAAAUGGAACGUAUAAGUUAAAUCCUCCAAUGCAACUCUUGCCGAUAAUGCAACACACAUCCUCAUAGGGGAGAUACACCUUUCCCAUGCUCAUAUUUGUUAGCGUUUAUCUUAGCCUCGUACUCAACUUCGGGCGAAUCAUACCCUACCCAGACUCCUAUAAUCCCACUCAAGCCAAGGGGUCGGGCUAGGCGAUCCUUCCGAGAAAAAGGGUCGGCAACGAUCCACAUUAAAAAGGGGACGGGCGAGGCGGAAGCUGCCUCGAAGGGUCGGCGCACCCGAUCUCAUAAACCGGGGUCGGCCAACUGAACAGACUCCCAGAAAACAGCGUGUGAUCGCGGCGUAACUCACUUAAUCUAAUCAUUCCAACACUUUACAAGAGUCAGAGACCAGACUAGGAGUUGACUUCAUAUACAGCGGCGUUCCAACCACAGAGAGUACUCGACUCAAGGCUGACCUAUUACAAUCCUCUCCAAAAUUUAAGCUGCCGAGGAGUACAACAAAGAAUGAGUCCCUAAGAACUCUUAAUCUACAAAUGGACACUAUGAGUAGGAGAAGGGGCGCCAUCUUCUUCGAUGUCCAUACUGGACGCUACUUCAUCUUCCUCGGGGUCCUCUUGAGCUUCGAGCUGCAUGUUGAGGGCAUGCAUAUCGUCGAGCUCAGUUUGAUGCUCCUCCAAGUGAGCAUUGGCAACUGCCAGCUCCAUCUCUAUCUCCAUCUUCUCCUCCGAUAGCUCGAUCAUGCCGUCCACGAGGUCGGCCACUUCUCCUUCGAGCUUGGAGAUCCGGUCUUGCAUGUCGUGUAUCUGAAUACCCCGCUGGAUAAGCUGGUAGGUUUGGCCUACCAUGUCUCUUCUAGCUGAUUGGAGGUACCCGUGAGCAUCCACUGCGGUCCGGGCAAAGAGGGUCAUAGCUCGCCCUUGAAGCUCGAUCAGCCGAUAGAGGGCUGCCAUGCAUCUGACAUUGGUGGAGAUGGUGACCAUGGCGUACGUGGUGGCUAGCACCUCAAUAUUCCCGACGCGGUCGAGCCACGCCGGGUCCAGCCGGUUCCUGGCGGGGAACAGGCCCAUAGGGUCUAGCGUGAUCUCCAGGGGAUGCAGCUGGCAGAACUGAGUGAGCAGCUGGAGAGCGGCAGACUCCCAAGUGUCCUCCGGAGCAAGGCCGUAGGCUGAUAUACCGAAGGAGGGCCAGUCGGGCCGCACAGGGGGAGGAGGUACCACCGCCUAUACAUGGCACGUCUGGAUACCCUGCUCCAGAUACAGCCGUCUGGCGUAUAAUGGUGGGGACUGGUACCCAAACCAUUUCAACAUGUCCCAUAGAAUCGUGGGGAAACCCUCAAAAUGCAGACAUGUCGACUGGAAAGUACCAUCCGCUCCAAAUAAAACAUGCCCGGGAACGGCCAUCUGGAACCAAGAAACCAAAACCACGUGAGAUAGAUUCCAAGGGUCAGGGGUCAGAUAGAGAAACAUUCGGCUUUAACCGAGAGCAACUGGAAGAAACUAGAAAUCCUUAGAACCGAAAAAGAGCUCUUCUGAACAAGGUUGCUUUUGAGAAGAGAACUUUACAGCUUCUGGUUAUGACACAUGCACGGCCUACCUUACUCUUAACCAAAAACAACUGCCCAAAACCUGGGUCUUACGCGGUCAGUGCCGGUGACAAGGCAACAAGUACGUCUCUCCCUAUAAUAGCUAGUCGGUUCUAGCAACGCCUCCUAAACGAACGCGGUUAGUGUACCUGCAGAAAACACCAACACACGAACCUUUCGUGCCAGCACCCAUGAAAGCGUUCCCAAACAUUACCGCUCACUAUAGGAACGGCACCCAUGCGUUUAAGGCUGCAUGGACAGCACUCCACCGUGGAAAUAGGUUCCCUUGGAAUGGAACCGUAUAACCCUUCGCAUACUCGUGAUGCGGAAUCAGCACAUGUAUAAUAGACGUGGCAAAUCAACCAUGCUGAUAGGUUCGUUGGAAUCAAACCGUACCAACCUUCGUAUGGAUUACAUACGGAACCUACGCACGUAUGAUAGACGUGGGCGAAAACAACCAUGAGGAUAGGGUCCUUUGAAUAGGACUCCCUAUCAACCUUCGCAUACUCGUGAUGCGGAACUCGGCACACGUAUGAUAGACGUGGCGAAGUGUUGGAAGAGUUAGCAAGAUAACCAAGUAAAAUAUUAGUCACCUAAAACAACCCCAAAAUCCCCUAGGGCCUCUCGCACUAAAGUCAUCCUUAACGAUCGUACGAGAAUUUUCAAAAAGGUUUCUUGCAACUUUUAUCUUUUCAAAGAAGUGUUAGGGCUUGUUGUGUUCUCUGUACUGCUAAAACUGCUCUGGUACCAGCAGUGGUGGAACCACUUCGGAUCUACUUGGUUAGACAUGAUUUAGCCGCCUAAUAUGCGACGCUCAUACCUAAGCCGAGUAAACACGAAGUGCCAUCGGAUUUUCCUCCGAUUUAACCACUUGAACAGGACCAUUUUAGCAGACUCACACGAAGGUGAGCGGUUCCAGAGAGUACAACAAGUCCACAAGUUAACCAUUAACCACUUAGUUUAGUUACAAAAGAACAUCAGAGUUUUACAAGAUUUUAGAAAACAAUAGAAGGUAAAACACUAGCGGAAGCAAUCGUCGGGGUCGGACGUCCUGGUGAGGCCAGCCGGGACAUCACUGAUCCCUCUCCUCGCCGUCCGAGGAGGGAUCCGACUCGACCGUCCAACUCGGAGGGAGCUGGGGCGGUCAAGUGCCAGCAGGAGAAGGGUUGGGAACAGCAAUUUCACCUGAAAAAUAGGAGCCACAACAAGGCUGAGCUACUAAGCUCAACAAGACUUAACCAACAUGGAGAAACUACUCCACACUUCUAGACAUGCAGGGCCUUUUUGGCUGAGAGUUUGUUUGCCAAAAGCACUAAGUAAAAACCCUAAUUUCAAGUUUUAGCUCCGGUUCUAGGUUCAUUAACCGGUCUAGGUUUGCAACCUAUUCUAAGCAAUCAUAGAACCAAAACAAGGUAUGUAUAUAUCAACAAACCAUGUCAUCAUCAGAUUCCUCAUUUACUCAGGGUGACAUAGCGAUCAAGCAGUCUCAAAUUGUGAGAGGCAGACGAAUCGAUUCGAGUUCUUUAAACCAUGCAUGGUGAACCUAACCUCACGACAUCCGCGCACCCGGAGGUCGCUUCCUGUGUUAGCCUUCCCCAUCAAUCCCCUAACCCGUGUCGGGCCCAUUUCCUUUGGUGCAAGGUUCCACAGACCCGGCCUCCGCCGUUAUAUGACCACGCUUGCCACCACGUGCGACAACCAGCAGGGGAAACUCCGUUCCAAGAACAAUGGGGCGACCGCUCACAUCUAGGUUCAAUCCGGUACUAGGCUUCCUCAUCCCAUACUAAGUAUGAGGUUAGUACUUUCAAACACUUGAUCACGAACACCACCACUGUCGGGCCUUAGCAAGUUUUCAAAGACAGAUGGGGCAAUCAUCCGACCACCAAAGAGUUACCCAAAACCCUGCCCCGUCCAUCGUCCUUAUAGUUGUAGCAGAAAUGUAGACAUCCAACUCCUACAACUCGCGAGUGACAGGGAAUCACUCGGCUUUUACCGUCUCCUAGUUAAGCAAGGCAACUACUCGGUCCAACAUCUAGUGUUCAGAUCAUAGGAAGCUAGGUCAUGCAUCUAGGGCUUCAAACAACUCCUAUACGUAAAUGCACAAGCAUGUUUUAAGGAAGGCAUGCGCAAGUUUGGAAAAACAGCACAGGGUUUUCAUGCAACCGGGGCUUGCCUUCGAGCAAGGAGGAAGAGAACUGCUCGACUUCAAGGGCGGCUUCGGCUUUUGGGGGCAGGAGCUAAGCUACAGGUUCGUCUUCUGGCGCCGGGUGUAACUCGUAGAAGCCGUCGGCGAGGCGCAACUCUACAUGAAUGCAAUGCAAGAGUUAGCAUAGAUGGUUAUUCAACAGCAACACUUGCUCGCCUGAGCCCAGAAACUAGCGAUAAAGAGUAGGAGGGUGUGGAGGUCCAAGGGAGCUAGUGGAGAUCAAGAGGUAAGGGUUGGAAAGGAACUUAUAAUCUGAUCCUUGAACUAGAGGAUGUGGUAUACUAGGGAUCCUCAGACGCAAGCGCUGAAGGGUUCCUAAGUUUUACACAUACACCCUCGGGUUGAAGAAAAGGAUCACAGCCGAGCCCUCGGGCGAGGCGGAGAGGGGUCUGCGAAACAGAUGGGGUCGGGCGAGACGGAACCGGGGUCGGGCGGAUAAGAGGGGUCAGGCGAAGCGGACUGGGGUCGGUAGCUUACCUUCAUCUUCCUACGAGGAAAGCUUGGGUUCGGGAAGAGGCAGACUUGGGCGGAGGGACUAAGGCUUUGAACAACGGCUAAGUCCGGCAGUGCUCCGGCGGCGGCGGUGCUUCUUGUGGAUCACAAGUGAGCUUUUACGCAGCACGGAGGAGCAAGCGGCUGGGGUGGCUUGGGGAAAACGGAGGGGAGCUGAGAGGAGAGUUCCUCAGGAACUUUGGUGUGGUGCUAGGAGCUUGAGCAGGGAGCAAGAGAAAUGGCGGAAGGCAGCAAUGGCGGAGGGAACUCCGGCGGGCUCGCGCAUUCCCUUUUAUAGCGGCUGGGACGGGGUAGGGAAGCGGCGCGAAGGCCGGGGAGAAGCAAUGGAGUGCUCUGCCGGGGCGGCAAUUGAGCGACAGGGGCGGUGGUGCAGGACUUUGGGGAUGACGCCAGCGGUCACUGGGUUCUGGCAUCAGGGCAGCGCAGGAGCGAUCAUGCCGGUGGUUGAGAUUUGGCGGAGGCGGGCGUCGCCGUGUGGUAGAUUUGAUGGACGCGACCGGGUUAACGGCGCUAGAAUCGAGGGCGCACAGGUGAGAAGACAGGCAGCCGCGGGCGCGCGGGCAAGCGCGGAGCAACAGAUUGUCGGGCGGCUUCUGACAGGGUGGGGAAAGGAGCUAUCGCUGCCGUGGUCGGGGUUGGUGAUGGAGGAAUCGUCGGGUAGCGAAGACCAGGCGGCGUGACUGUGUUCGAAGUGACGGAAAAGAUGGGCGACAUCGGGCUCUGCAGCCGGGAUCUGGCGGUGUGAUGAUGGGCGCAGGAGGCGAGGCGCGGCAUAAAGGUUGCAGAGGGGCUUCCGCUGCCAUUGGGGAAGGGGGCGCGAGAAUCCAUUCAGUCGCGGUCAGAGAUGAGGUUGAGCGGCGGGCGUCGAAGAAGAUGAGCCACGCGGUGGGGAGACUCUGAAGCGGGCAUCCAACUCGAGUGCGCUUGCCGCGGAAGAUCUGGGGGAAAAAGAUCUCGCGGGUCCCCUGGUCAGAUAGAACGGAUGUUUGGAAAGACUUAGAAGGAUCCGACGGUGGGCUGGUUUUGGCGGGGUCGGAACCGGAGCGAAGCGGGGAGGGGUCGGGUCUUAGGGGUCGGGACCAAUCGGAAGGUUGAACACUUAGGCGCGGAAAGACUAGACAGAUGAUUAGGGGCUAGGAUUAAGAUUAACUGGGAAGAUUUGGGGCCGGUCGUCACAUCCGUCUUGUCCUCACUGGGGAAAACCUGGCCCAUUGUCGCCUUACAAUCCAGCAGCACCUUAGGUCUGAGCAGGCCACGGUCGACAAGCGCCUAGAUCCUUUUUUUCCGUCAUCAUGGACUUCACCUAGUAGGUGGAUGGAUCUAGCACCUGCUCCGCUGCCAUUUCUUUGGUUUCUACUCCUCGCAGCAUAGAUAUAAUGUAGGCAGGCCUCUUGGUUCGCAUGCAGCGGGGAAUGGCGGGCACUUCGGUGGUGGCUACAGCUUUUGGGCAAGAGGCGAUGGAUGUGGCUCAAGGUCGCGGCAACAUGAUCUAGGGCUUGUGAGCGUGGUGGCAAUGGAGUGCGUGGUGGUAGAGUUUGGGGCGAAAGGAGUGGAAGUGAAAAAACAAACCACGACCCUUCGUCUUUUGAAAGCAGCACCAGCGGAUGCCUCAUGGCGCUAGUUGGGUGUUAGGUUAAACGCGGAAGACGGAAUCCGCAGCUUUUCCGUUAAGGACCUCCUCACAGCAUAGUUUGACCACAUGUUGAUGGAAGGGAUCCGUGGGGUUUCCAUCUAGUUUGGCUUCAUGACAUACCUCCUCAUCUCCACCAGUCCUCACACUCAGUGGCUGGGCACCUAUUUUAGGACGGCGUGCCUCCUUGGCUCCGCCAGUCGCCAUGCCCGGGGGCUGGGUGCCUAUUUUAGGUCGGCGUGCCUCUUCAGCUCUGCCUGUCCUCGUGUUUGGGCGUUGGGUACCUAUUUUAGGUCAGCGUGCCUCCACAACUCCGCUAGUCCUUGCACUCGGGGACUGGGCACCUACUUCAGGAUGGCGUGCCUCUGUGGCUCCACCAGUCCUCGCACUCGGGGGCUAGGUGCAUAUUUCAAGUCGACAUGCCACCGUGGCUCCGCCAAUCCUCGUGCUCGGGGGCUAGGCACCUACUUCAGGUCGGCGUGCCUCUGUGGCUCUGCUAGUCCUCGUGCUCGAGGACUGGGUGCUUAUUUCAGGUCGGCUUGCCUCCGUGGCUCCAUCAGUCCUCGCGCUCAGGGGUUGGGUGUUGGGAUACGAGGUAGGCUACACUAGCAUAAAUCAAAAUUUCUACCGCGUAAAACCAGGAAGAACUGCCGUAUAAGGAUCACGGGAUUACCACUCGACGCACUACUAGUGCGGAAGAUGUAGAUUUGCGUCGAUGCAGUGAAGACGAUCAACGUAGUCGUACGUAGUCGAUCAACACAGUUGUACGUAGUCGAUCACGUCAACGUCCAGCAGCUCCUCAGCAGCUCGUCCACGUGCAGCAAGAUCGCCCUCGUGCCGCGGCUCGUCGUGGCUCGUCGGUGGCUCGUCGUGGCUCGUCGGCGGCUCGUCGUGGCUCGUCGGCGGCUCGUCGGCGGCUCGUCCAAGUGCUGCAGGCGCAACACCUCCAAGGUAUCCACACGUGCAGGGAGGAAGCGUCGCAAGCCGGACUGCUAGAUCCGCGAGUUGCAACAGGCGAGGGCGUGGGAGGCGCGGCAGGUGUGUUUCGCCAAAAAGGUGUAAACCCUAGGGCGCCCCCACCCCUCUAUUUAUAGAGGUUCCUGACGGGCCUCUGGGUUUGAGGCUCAUUAGUACUUCUAAACCUAAUCCAACUCGGAUCAGAUCCGAAUUGGGCUUCCAACCCCUUAAGUGUGUGACCCUAUGGGUCCGGAUACGUAUAGACAUGGCCCGAGUACUCCUACUCGGCCCAAUAGUUGGUAGCGGCCUCUAGCAAGACGUGCCAACUCCUAUACGCACACGAAGAUCAUAUCAGACGAACCAUCACAAUAUAAUAUACAUGCUAUUCCCUUUGCCUCACGAUAUUUGGUCUAGCUUCAAGCCGACCGCUCUUUCUCGAUCCUGUGAUUCGGAAUCCCUUUGUAGGUUAACUCUUAACCGUACGUAGCAUGGCCAUGCAUUUUCGGAUCCGAUCACUCGAGGGGCCCAGAGAUAUCACUCUCAAUUAGAGAGGGGCAAAUCCCAUCUUGAUUGACCAUGUCUCAUAGCAUGCUUCUUGACAAACCCGAAAGCUACCUUUGUAACUACCCUGUUACAGCGUAGUGUUUGAUAGCCCCUAAGUAGGUCGAUCCACAUCUAGAAUACAUGCGACAAUCUCAGGUCUAAGGACAAAGCGUAUAUGUUGUUUAAAGAGAGAACUACUUCUCGUGUUGGGUCAGUCCUAGCACAUGUCUGCACAUGUGUCCACAUUAUUAGUUCAACAUCUCCAUGUCCAUGACUUGUGAAACAUAGUCAUCAACUAAUAUAUGUGCUAGUCUAAUAUUUAUGUGUGUCCUCACAUGAACUCCGACUAGGGACAACUUUAGAAUAACCAUACAAGUAAAGAGUUUCACAUAAAAUUCACAUAAUUGCAAAUCAAUUCAAGUAGCCUUUAAUGGAUAUUCAAUGAACACAAUAUACAAAUCAUGGAUACAAAUGGAAUAUCAUCAUCUCUAUGAUUGCCUCUAGGGCAUACCUCCAACAGUCUCCCACUUGCACUAGAGUCAAUCUAGAAGGUACCUAAUACCCAUAGCUCUUACAUGCGCAUCAUGCUUAGCCUGCGGGAGUGGUUUUGUCAACGGAUCAGAAAUGUUCAGAUCCGUGUGUAUUUUGCAUAUCUUGAUCUCACCCCGGUUAACGAAGUCUCGAAUGAGAUGAAAAUGCCACAUUACAUGUUUGUUCUUCUGGUGGUUUCUUGGCUCCUUUGCUUGCGCAAUUACCCCAUUAUUAUCACAGUAGAGAUUCAAUGGUCUGGACACAUUCGGGAACACACCAAGCUCAAUGAGGAAAUUCCUUAUCCAAACACCUUCCUUCGCGACUUCGGAAGCCGCGAUGUACUCGGCUUCUGUCGUAGAAUCGGCCACCGUCUCCUGCUUGGAACUCUUCCAACUAACAGCACCACCAUUUAGCGUGAACACAAAUCCUUAUUGUGACUUUGAAUCAUCUCUGUCGGUUUGGAAACUAGCAUCGGUGUAACCUGUUACAACGAGCUCCUCCUCACCUCCAUAGACGAGGAACAUAUCUUUAGUCCUUCUCAAGUACUUAAGAAUGUUUCUCACCGUUGUCCAGUGACUCUCAUUUGGAUCAGAUUGGUGUCUGCUUGUCAUACUUAGCGCAUAUGAAACAUCUGGGCGAGUACUUAUCAUUGCAUACAUGACAGAUCCAAUAGCCGAGGCAUAUGGCACUCUACUCAUGCGAUCCCGCUCAUCAGCAGUCGAAGGACACUGAGUCUUGCUGAGAUGUAUGCCAUGUGACAUAGGCAAGAACCCUUUCUUUGCCUCUUCCAUGCUGAACCGCUUCAACACUUUGUCAAUGUAAGUAUCUUGCCUUAAACCUAUAAGCCUUCUCGAUCUAUCUCUAUAGAUCUUAAUGCCAAGAAUAUAUGCCGCUUCCCCUAAGUCCUUCAUCGAAAAACUAUUUUUCAGUGAAGUCUUUACGGACUCAAGCAUAGGAAUGUUAUUUCCCAUCAGUAAUAUGUCAUCCACAUAUAAGAUUAGAAAUACUACAGAGCUCGCACUAACCUUCUUGUAAACACAAGACUCUUCUUCGUUCUUGGUGAAGUCAAACCCUUUGACCACUUCAUCAAAACGAAUGUUCCAACUCCUAGAUGCUUGCUUCAAUCCAUAAAUGGAUCUCUGAAGCUUGCAUACCUUUCCAGCAUUUUUUGGAUCGACAAAACCCUCGGGCUGUAUCAUAUACACGUCCUCAGCUAGGUUUCCAUUCAGGAAAGUUGUCUUGACAUCCAUCUGCCAUAUCUCAUAAUCGAAAUAUGCAGCUAUAGCUAGAAUAAUCCGAAUGGACUUAUGCAUCACUACGGGCGAGAAGGUCUCGUCGUAGUCAACUCCUUGAACUUGUCGAAAACCUUUUGCGACAAGUCGUGCUUUAUAGAUGUGAACAUUUCCAUCCAUGUCCUUUUUCUUCUUAUAGAUCCACUUGCACUCUAUGGCUUUAACACCAUCAGGUGGGUCAACCAAGUUCCAAACUUGAUUGUUUCCCAUGAACUUCUUCAAGAUGCACUGUCUUUCCACUCUUUUCCCCUUUGAGAAAUUCUUUCUCUAGGAAAACCCCGUUCCGAGCGACAAACACUUUGCCUUCUGAUCGGUUGUAGAAAUAAUAUCCCAAAGUUUCCUUUGGAUAUCCCACGAAGAUGCACUUAUCCGACUUGGGUGUGAUCUUGUCCGACUGAAGUCGCUUGACAAACACUUCACAUCCCCAAAUCUUUAGAAAAGACAAACUAGGAACCUUUCCAGUCCAUAUCUCAUAUGGUAUCUUAACUACGGAUUUAGAUGGUACCCUAUUAAGUGUGAAAGCUGCUGUUUCUAGAGCGUAUCCCCAAAAUGACAACGGUAGGUCCGACUGGCUCAUCAUUGAUCAAACCAUGUCUAACAAAGUUCGAUUACGUCACUCAGAUACACCAUUUCUUUGAGGUGUUCCAGGCGGCGUAAGUUGUGGAACAAUUCCGCAACUCUUUAGAUGAUUGCUAAACUCGUGGCUCAAAUACUCGCCUCCAUGAUCAGAUCGUAAGGCCUUAAUUUUCUUGCCACGCUGAUUUUCAACUUCAUUCUGAAAUUCCUUGAACUUUUCAAAGGUUUCAGACUUGUGCCUCAUCAAGUAGACAUAGCCAUAUCUACUAAAAUCAUCAGUGAAAGUUAUGAAGUAUUGGAAUCCUCCUCUAGCCGUCGUGCUCAUUGGUCCGCAUACAUCACUAUGUACGAGUUCCAACAAGUCUACUGCUCUCUCAGGAAAUCCUGUGAAAGGCAUCUUGGUCAUCUUGCCUAGCAAGCAAGCCUCACAUGUCUCGUAUGAUUCAAAAUCAAACGAAGUUAGAAGUCCAUCAGAAUGGAGCUUCUUCAUGCGCUUUUCACUUAUAUGACCCAAACGACAAUGCCACAAGUAGGUAGGACUCAAAUCAUUAGGCCGAGGCCUUUUAGCACUUACGUUAUAGACAGGUGAACCAUCAAGAUUUAAAACAAAUAAUCCAUUCACAAUGGGUGCAAAAGCCAUAAACAUAUCAUUCUUAGAGAUCACACAACCAUUGUUUUCACUCGCAAAUGAAUAACUAUCCUUCAUCAAGCAUGAAGGAGACAAAAUGUUUUGACUUAAACUAGGAACGAAAUAACAAUUAUUCAACUCCAUAAUAAAUCCUGACUGGAGGUGGAGUUGCAUCGUCCCGACGGUCAAUGCAGCAACUCUUGCAUUAUUGCCCACGCGGAAAUCAACUUCUCCUCUUUCCACGCUUCUACUUCUUAUCAUUCCCUGCAUCGAAUUGCAAAUAUGAGCAACCGAUCCGGUAUCAAAUACCCAAGAAUUAAUAAUUGUAUCAGCGAGAAAAAUGUUGUCUAUAACAUUAACAACAAGCGUACUUGAGGUAGAAGUACUCUUACUUCCGCCAUUCUUCAACGAAGCUAGGUACUGCUUGCAGUUUCUCUUCCAGUGACCAAGUUAAUGACAGUAAAAGCACUCUUUGUCUGGAGCAGGUCCAGGUCCAGCUUUAACCUUGGGUGCUGGGUUUGGCUUGGACGUUCCAGCCUUGCCCUUCUUCUUCCAAGAAUUGCCCUUCUUCUUAAAGCUAGGCUUGUUCUGUAUAGCCAUCACAUGGCUGGUACUAGCGCUUUUCUUGAUCUCAGCCUCUGUUGUUUUAAGCAUGCCACACAGCUCAUUCAGACCCUUCUCCGUCCCAUGCAUAUGGUAGUUCGAGAUGAAGUUCCCAUAGCUGGGCAGAAGAGAUGAAAGAAUGAAAUCAGUGGCCAACUCUAGGCCCAGUGGGAAGCCCAGCUUCUCCAACCGUUGAGUGUAACCAACCAUCUUGAUUACGUGUGGUCCUACUACUGCGCCUUCUGCUAGCUUGCUCUCCACAAAGGCCUUAGACACAUUGAACCUUUCAGUCCUAGCCUGUGUUUGGAACAUUUCUCUAAGCGCCACGAUCAUAUUGUGCGUCUCAUGGUUUGUUUCGAACUGCAUCUGCAGCUCGAGUUCCAUGCAAGCAAGCAUAAGGCAGCUUACUUCGAGGUUAGCAUCACAUGCUUUCUUGUAAGCAUUCUUAGCAGCAGCGGGUGCAUCAUCAGCAGGUUCUUCUAGUAGUGGGUUGUCUAGAACAUCUUCCUUUUUCUCAGCCCUGAGAACAAUUCUCAGGUUACGGAUCCAAUCCAAGUAAUUUGUUCCAUUCAACUUGUCCUUCUCAAGGACCGAACGCAAAGCAAACGGUGUAGUGCUGCUAGGUGUCAUUUAAUCUACAACAAAGUAAUGCAAAAUACACUAAGACAAACAUAUCCAUGAUAGAGCAAAUCACAUUAAACUAUUUUAACAGAAUCUACUCCCACUAAAAACAAUAUCCCUCUAUUGACACUUAGUGAUUCAGGAUCCACAACUAACAAGUCUACUAGUGAGCUUUAGCAUCACCGCUAGCAAACAAGGUAGAUCGGUAAGCAACUUUUGCUAAUCAUAUCACAUAUGACUCCUGUUGUUGGGUGACAUCUCUAUGUCUCGGCGCCCAACCUUUAUGCCCCAAGGUCCUUAACCGUUAAGAUAACCUUGUUAAGCAAACCAACCCUUAUGUGUGUAAGUGUCCGACACAAACCCGUCUAGUCAAGGAAAACUAGUGGCACCCUAAUUUCAUAGACCCACCACUAAUUGUACAAGACAUGGGACGAUGCAAGUUUUAGUUGGGAGGGCAUACUAACUUAAACUUUGUGAGGGAUCGUUCUACUUCUAACAUCACAGCAUGCAAAAAGUAAAACAUAAAUAGAAUAGCAUUCACACAGUUGUGACACAGUAUGGCCCGUUUUCAUAUGGUGAUCUCCAUCUCCAUAGAACCUGUUCACCAUGGUGAUCUCCAUCUCCAUGUUCCAUGUGCGCCAUCCUCUUGGUGAUGAGUCCUCCAAGAACUAGAACAUGCUAUUACGCCUAAUAGCUAGUAAGGAAGCUACUAAUGAAGAUUACAUAGUUGCUUGGAUCAUCACAGAUUGGUACGCAGACCAUUAAAUACAAUAAAGUGACAACACAUAUGGCUCCUGCCGUGUUGCCGUACGCGCGACACGCAGGUCACGAAUGAGUUACACACAUGCAUCACAUACACAGAGAGGCCAUACUGAUCACAAGAUACAUACAUACAUCCUGCAAAACAGAGUUAAGCGUCCUAACGUUCCAAACUUCGGAGGCCCGAAACUCCAUCUUCCAAGCCGAAUUUGUGAAAUCUAAUUUCGCCGAAAAUGGCAAAGCCAUUGAAUUUCAUGUGUAACUUUUUCUGUAGAUCAAUUUUCAUAUAAAAUUCGCCCUGAUCUGAGAUCGUACCGAAAAGUUACGACUGAUUUACCGAAGCAUACGCAUACGGCAAAAAUCCCGACCCCGGUAGUAGAUCCCAUCUACUUUUGCACAUGUAAUGCGCCUGGCGUAUGACCCUGGAUUUCGAUUCGACCAAUCAUAUUGAUCUUCGCCCACUGCAACUGGAUUUACGUGUAUCACUUAACUCCGAUGGCGGAAACCGACCGGUAGGAGUAUGUUGUUACACUACCAUUGCAGCAAGAGCACGAAACCAGGACAUAGAUCAAACUGAAAACUCGCAUAUCUCCAUAUGCACACAUUCCGAAUCCAAAACUAAGCAGCUACGACUCUGAUACCACUGUUGUGAUACGAGCUAGGCUACACUAGCGUAAAUCAAAAUUUCUACCGCGUAAAACCAGGAAGAACUGCCGUAUAAGGAUCACGGGAUUACCACUCGACGCACUACUGGUGCGGAAGAUGUAGAUUUGCGUCGAUGUAGUGAAGACGAUCAACGUAGUCGUACAUAGUCGAUCAACGUAGUCGUACGUAGUCGAUCACGUCAACGUCCAGCAGCUCCUCAGCAGCUCGUCCAUGUGUAGGAAGAUCGCCCUUGUGCCGUGGCUCGUCGUCGGCUCGUCGUGGCUCGUCGGCGGCUCGUCGUGGCUCGUCGGCGGCUCGGCGGCGGCUCGUCCAAGUGCUGCAAGCGCAACACCUCCAAGGUAUCCACACGUGCAGGGAGGAAGCGUCGCAAGCCAGACUGCUAGAUCCGCGAGUUGCAACAGGCGAGGGCGUGGGAGGCGCGGCAGGUGUGUUUCGCCAAAAAAGUGUAAACCCUAGGGCACCCCCACCCCUCUAUUUAUAGAGGUUCCUGACGGGCCUCUGGGUCUGAGGCCCAUUAGUACUUCUAAACCUAAUCCAACUCGGAUCAGAUCCGAAUUGGGCUUCUAGCCCCUUAAGUGUGUGACCCUAUGGGUUCGGAUACGUAUAGACAUGGCCCGAGUACUCCUACUCAGCCCAAUAGUUGGUAGCGGCCUCUAGCAAGGCGUGCCAACUCCUAUACGCACACGAAGAUCAUAUCAGAUGAACCAUCACAACAUAAUAUACAUGCUAUUCCCUUUGCCUCACGAUAUUUGGUCUAGCUUCAAGCCGACCGCUCUUUCUCGAUCCUGUGAUUCGGAAUCCCUUUGUAGGUUAAAUCUUAACCGUACGUAGCAUGGCCUUGCAUUUUCGGAUCCGAUCACUCGAGGGGCCCAGAGAUAUCACUCUCAAUCAGAGAGGGGCAAAUCCCAUCUUGAUUGACCAUGUCUCAUAGCAUGCUUCUUGACAAACCCGAAAGCUACCUUUAUAACUACCCUGUUACGGCUUGGAAGAUGGAGUUUCGGGCCUCCGAAGUUUGGAACGUUAGGACGCCUAACUCUAUUUUGCAGGAUGUAUGCAUGUAUCUUGUGAUCAGUAUGGCCCCCUUGUGUAUGUGAUGCAUGUGUGUAACUAAUUCGUGACCUGCGUGUCGCGCGUACGGCAACACGGCAGGAGCCAUAUGUGUUGUCACUUUAUUGUAAUUAAUGGUCUGCGUACCAAUCUGUGAUGAUCCAAGCAACUAUGUAAUCUUCAUUACUAGAUUCUUUACUAGCUAUUAGGCGUAAUAGCAUGCUCUAGUUCUUGGAGGACUCAUCACCAGGAGGAUGGCGCACAUGGAACAUGGAGAUGGAGAUCACCAUGGUGAACAGGUUCAAUGGAGAUGGAGAUCACCAUAAGAAAAACGGGUCAUACUGUGUCACAACUGUGUGAAUACUAUUCUGUUUAUGUUUUACUUUCUGCAUGCUGUGAUGUUAGAAGUAGAACGAUCCCUCACAAAGUUUAAGUUAGUAUGCCCUCCCAACUAAAACUUGCACCGUCCCAUGUCUUGUACAAUUAGUGGUGGGUCUAUGAAAUUAGGGUGCCACUAGUUUUCCUUGACUAGACGGGUUUGUGUCGGACACUUACACGCAUAAGGGUUGGUUUGCUUAACGAGGUCAUCUUAACGGUUAAGGACCUUGGGGCAUAAAGGUUGGGCGCCGAGACAUAGAGAUGUCACCCAACAACAGGAGUCAUAUGUGACAUGAUUAGCAAAAGUUGCUUACCGAUCUACCUCGUUUGCUAGCGGUGAUGCUAAAGCUCACUAGUGGACUUGUUAGUUGUGGAUCCUAAAUCACUAAGUUUCAAUAGAGGGAUAUUCAUUUUAGUGGGAGUAGAUUCUGUUAAAAUAGUUUAAUGUAAUUUGCUCUAUCAUGGAUACGUUUGUCUUAGUGUAUUUUGCAUUACUUUUGUUGUAGAUUAAAUGGCACCUAGCAACACCACCACAUCUUUUGCUUUGCGUUCGGUCCUUGAGAAGGACAAGUUGAAUGGAACAAACUACUCGGAUUGGAUCCGCAACCUGAGAAUUGUUCUCAGGGCUGAGAAAAAGGAAGAUGUUCUAGACAACCCACUACCAGAAGAACCUGCUGAGGAUGCACCCGCUGCUGCUAAGAAUGCUUACAAGAAAGCAUGUGAUGCUAACCUCGAAGUAAGCUGCCUUAUGCUAGCUUGCAUGGAACCCGAGCUGCAGAUGCAGUUCGAAACAAACCAUGAGGCGCACGAUAUGAUCGUGGCGCUUAGAGACAUGUUCCAAACACAGGCCAGGACUGAAAGGUUCAAUGUGUCUAAGGCCUUUGUUGAGAGCAAGCUAGCAGAAGGCGCAGCAGUAGGACCACACGUAAUCAAGAGUUGGCCACUGAUUUCAUUCUUUCGUCUCUUCCUCCUAGCUAUGGGAACUUCAUCUCGAACUACCAUAUGCAUGGGACGGAGAAGGGUCUGAAUGAGCUAUGUGGCAUGCUUAAAACAGCAGAGGCUGACAUAAAGAAAAGCGCUAGUACCAGCCAUGUGAUGGCGAUACAGAACAAGCCCAGCUUUAAGAAGAAGGGCAAUUCUUGGAAGAAGAAGGGCAAGGCUGGAACGUCCAAGCCAAACCCACCGCCCAAGGUUAAAGCUGGACCUGGACCUGCUCCAGAUAAAGAGUGCUUUUACUGUCAUGAACUUGGUCACUGGAAGAGAAACUGCAAGCAGUACCUAGCUUCGUUGAAGAACGGCGGCAGUAAGAGUACUUCUACCUCAGGUUUGCUUGUUGUUUAUGUUAUAGACAACAUAUUUCUCGCUGAUACAGUUAUUAAUUCUUGGGUAUUUGAUACCGGAUCGGUUGCUCAUAUUUGCAAUUCGAUGCAGGAAUGAUAAGAAGUAGAAGCGUGGAAAGAGGAGAAGUUGAUUUCCGCGUGGGCAAUAAUGCAAGAGUUGCUGCUUUGACCGUCGGGACGAUGCAACUCCACCUCCCGUCAGGAUUUAUUAUGGAGUUGAAUAAUUGUUAUUUUGUUCCUAGUUUAAGUCGAAACAUUUUAUCUCCUUCAUGUUUGAUGAAGGAUGGUUAUUCAUUUGCGAGUGAAAACAAUGGUUGUGUGAUCUCUAAGAAUAAUAUGUUUAUGGCUUUUGCACCCAUUGUGAAUGGAUUAUUUGUUUUAAAUCUUGAUGGUUCACCUGUCUGUAAUGUAAGUGCUAAAAGGCCUCGGCCUAAUGAUUUGAGUCCUACCUACUUGUGGCAUUGUCGUUUGGGUCAUAUAAGUGAAAACCGCAUGAAGAAGCUCCAUUCUGAUGGACUUCUAACUUCGUUUGAUUUUGAAUCAUACGAGACAUGUGAGGCUUGCUUGCUAGGCAAGAUGACCAAGACGCCUUUCACAGGAUUUCCUGAGAGAGCAGUAGACUUGUUGGAACUCGUACAUAGUGAUGUAUGCGGACCAAUGAGCACGACGGCUAGAGGAGGAUUCCAAUACUUCAUAACUUUCACUCAUGAUUUUAGUAGAUAUGGCUAUGUCUACUUGAUGAGGCACAAGUCUGAAACCUUUGAAAAGUUCAAGGAAUUUCAGAAUGAAGUUGAAAAUCAGCGUGGCAAGAAAAUUAAGGCCUUACGAUCUGAUCGUGGAGGCGAAUAUUUGAGCCAUGAGUUUAGCAAUCAUCUAAAGAGUUGCGGAAUUGUUCCACAACUUACGCCGCCUGGAACACCUUAGAGAAACGGUGUGUCCGAGCGACGUAAUCGAACUUUGUUAGACAUGGUUCGAUCAAUGAUGAGCCAGUCGGACCUACCGUUGUCAUUUUGGGGAUACGCUCUAGAAACAGCAGCUUUCACACUUAAUAGGGUACCAUCUAAAUCCGUAGUUAAGACACCAUAUGAGAUAUGGACUGGAAAGGUUCCUAGUUUGUCUUUUCUAAAGAUUUGGGGAUGUGAAGUGUUUGUCAAGCGACUUCAGUCGGACAAGAUCACACCCAAGUCGGAUAAGUGCAUUUUCGUGGGAUAUCCAAAGGAAACUUUGGGGUAUUAUUUCUACAACCGAUCAGAAGACAAAGUGUUUGUCGCUCGGAACGGGGUUUUCCUAGAGAAAGAGUUUCUCAAAGGAGAAAAGAGUGGAAAGACAGUGCAUCUUGAAGAAGUUCAAGAUGAGCCAAUCGGGCAAGAAUCAAUGAGUGAUGCUAACGUAGCAGAACAAGUUGAGAUACCCAUGGCAAGAGAAGCACCGCCACAACCACGAAGGUCAGCAAGGCUCCGCGAAAUGCGGGAAAUAUUAUUGUUGGACAAUGAUGAGCCUGCGACAUAUGCAGAAGCAAUGAUGGACCCAGACUCCGAAAAAUGGCAGAGUGCCAUGCAAUCCGAAAUAGAGUCCAUGGGAGACAAUCAAGUUUGGAACUUGGUUGACCCGCCUGAUGGUGUUAAAGCCAUAGAGUGCAAGUGGAUCUAUAAGAAGAAAAAGGACAUGGAUGGAAAUGUUCACAUCUAUAAAGCACGACUUGUCGCAAAAGGUUUUCGACAAGUUCAAGGAGUUGACUACGACGAGACCUUCUCGCCCGUAGUGAUGCUUAAGUCCAUUCGGAUUAUUCUAGCUAUAGCUGCAUAUUUCGAUUAUGAGAUAUGGCAGAUGGAUGUCAAGACAGCUUUCCUGAAUGGAAACCUAGCUGAGGACGUGUAUAUGAUACAGCCCGAGGGUUUUGUCGAUCCGAAAAAUGCUGGAAAGGUAUGCAAGCUUCAGAGAUCCAUUUAUGGAUUGAAGCAAGCAUCUAGGAGUUGGAACAUUCGUUUUGAUGAAGUGGUCAAAGGGUUUGACUUCACCAAGAACGAAGAAGAGUCUUGUGUUUACAAGAAGGGUAGUGGGAGCUCUGUAGUAUUUCUAAUCUUAUAUGUGGAUGACAUAUUACUGAUUGGAAAUAACAUUCCUAUGCUUGAGUCCGUAAAGACUUCACUGAAAAAUAGUUUUUCGAUGAAGGCCUUAGGGGAAGCGGCAUAUAUUCUAGGCAUUAAGAUCUAUAGAGAUAGAUCGAGAAGGCUUAUUGGUUUGAGCCAAGAUACUUAUAUUGACAAAGUGUUGAAGCGGUUCAGCAUGGAAGAGGCAAAGAAAGGGUUCUUGCCUAUGUCACAUGGCAUACAUCUCAGCAAGACUCAGUGUCCUUCGACUGCUGAUGAGCGGGAUCGCAUGAGUAGAGUGCCAUAUGCCUCGGCUAUUGGAUCUAUCAUGUAUGCAAUGAUAAGUACUCGCCCAGAUGUUUCAUAUGCGCUAAGUAUGACAAGCAGACACCAAUCUGAUCCAGGUGAGAGUCACUGGACAGCGGUGAAAAACAUUCUUAAGUACUUGAGAAGGACUAAAGAUAUGUUCCUCGUCUAUGGAGGUUAGGAGGAGCUCGUUGUAACAGGUUACACCGAUGCUAGUUUCCAAACCGACAGAGAUGAUUCAAAGUCACAAUCAGGAUUUGUGUUCACGCUAAAUGGUGGUGCUGUUAGUUGGAAGAGUUCCAAGCAGGAGACGGUGGCCGAUUCUACGACAGAAGCCGAGUACAUCGUGGCUUCGGAAGCCGCGAAGGAAGGUGUUUGGAUAAGGAAUUUCCUAAUUGAGCUUGGUGUGUUCCCGAAUGCGUCCAGCCCAUUGAAUCUCUACUGUGAUAAUAAUGGGGCAAUUGCGCAAGCAAAGGAGCCAAGGAACCACCAGAAGAACAAACACGUAAUGUGGCGAUUUCAUCUCAUUCGAGACUUCGUUAACCGGGGUGAGAUCAAGAUAUGCAAAAUACACACGGAUCUGAACAUUUCUGAUCCGUUGACAAAACCACUCCCGCAGGCUAAGCAUGAUGCGCAUGUAAGAGCUAUGGGUAUUAGGUACCUUCUAGAUUGACUCUAGUGCAAGUGGGAGACUGUUGGAGGUAUGCCCUAGAGGCAAUCAUAGAGAUGAUGAUAUUCCACUUGUAUCCAUGAUUUGAAUAUUGUGUUCAUUGAAUAUCCAUUAAAGGCUACUUGAAUUGAUUUGCAAUUAUGUGAAUUGUAUGUGAAACUCUUUACUUGUAUGGUUAUUCUAAAGUUGUCCCUAGUCGGAGUUCAUGUGAGGACACACAUGAAUAUUAGACUAGCACAUGUAUUAGUUGAUGACUAUGUUUCACAAGUCAUGGACAUGAAGAUGUUGAACUAAUAAUGUGGACACAUGCGGAGACAUGUGUUAGGACUGACCCAACACGAGAAGUAGUUCUCUCUUUAAACAACAUAUACGCUUUGUCCUUAGACCUGAGAUUGUCGCAUGUAUUCUAGAUGUGGAUCGACCUACUUAGGGGCUAUCAAACGCUACGCCGUAACAGGGUAGUUAUAAAGGUAGCUUUCGGGUUUGUCAAGAAGCAUGCUAUGAGACAUGGUCAAUCAAGAAGGGAUUUGCCCCUCUCUGAUUGAGAGUGAUAUCUCUGGGCCCCUCGAGUGAUCGGAUCCGGAAAUGCAUGGCCAUGCUACGUACGGUUAAGAGUUAACCUACAAAGGGAUUCCGAAUCACAGGAUCGAGAAAGAGCGGUCGGCUUGAAGCUAGACCAAAUAUCGUGAGGCAAAGGGAAUAGCAUGUAUAUUAUGUUGUGAUGGUUCGUCUGAUAUGAUCUUCGUGUGCGUAUAGGAGUUGGCACGUCUUGCUAGAGGCCGCUACCGACUAUUGGGCCGAGUAGGAGUACUCGGGCCAUGUCUAUACGUAUCCAAACCCAAAGGGUCGCACACUUAAGGGGCUGGAAGCCCAAUUCGGAUUUGAUCCGAGUUGGAUUAGGUUUAGGAGUACUAAUGGGCCUCGGAUCCAGAGGCCCAUCAGGAACCUCUAUAAAUAGAGGGGUGGGGGCGCCCUAGGGUUUACACCUUUUUGGCUGAACACACUUGCCGCGCCUCCCACGCCCUCGCCUGUUGCAACUCGCGGAUCUAGCAAUCCGGCUUGCGACGCUUCCUCCCUGCACGUGUGGAUACCUUGGAGGUGUUGCGCCUGCAGCACUUGGACGAGCCGCCGACGAGCCGCCGACGAGCCACGACGAGCCGCGGUACCGGAGGCGAUCUUGCUGUACACGUGGACGAGCUGCUGAGGAGCUGCUGGACGUGAUCGACUACGUACGACUACGUGAUCGUCUUCACUGCACCGACGCAUAUCUACAUCUUCCGCACCAGUAGUGCGUCGAGUGGUAAUCCCGUGAUCCUUAUACGGCAGUUCUUCCUGGUUAUACGCGGUAGAAAAUUUUGAUUUGCGCUAGUGUAGCCUACCUCGUAUCCCAACAGCAAUUAGUCAUGAAUAAUUGGUUGUAUAGUCAAGUGAGUAGCUCCUUGCACCAGUAACUUGGGCCUCAGCCCACUGGUAUUCGAGGCCCAGCCCACAGCAGCCCGGUUUGUGGCCAACUAUAUAUACAAACACUGCAGGCCGUUGGUUCCAAAUUUCAAGCAAAGUAACUCACAAAGAACAAGUACAUGCUAGGUUUAAACCAAUUAAAUGACUAACUCCUGAUUUUUGUGUUCUACUCUAUCGUUCUCUACAAGAUUUACAGCCAGGGUCUCAAGGAUAGCCAACCAACUGGGUUAUAGGCUGCCUUAGACCAACUGGUCGACUAGCACAAAAUUAAUCGCGACUAGUCGUCUAGUCGGCACCCAUGCCUAUAUUAUUGUAUUUUAUUUAUUACAAAAGAAAUCAUUUGAUAGUGACAUGUCGCAAUGGUUUCUUUUUAAAAAAUAAAAUACAGUAGCACAGAUUUUUUUAAUUGGGAACCCAUACAUACCAUUUUUAAUUGGGAACCCAUACAUACCAUUUUUGAAGAUUCAGCAUGUGUUUUAGAAUCACAUGUUCUAGGAUGAAGUAGGAAAAUGGAGGGAUUACUUAAUUAUAGUGAUAAAAGCAUAACAGUGCUAUUUUUGCAAUAAAUGAUAUCUAAUAGGAAUGUGGGCACAUUUAGCUGGGAUGUACUCCUAUUUCAACAGCAUCAGUGGGGUGCAGCAGUGCAGCUGAUGUAAACAAUAGCAGCUAUGCAAAAAAGAUGACAGAGUACAUGCAGGAGCAUGAGUGGUAUGGGCACCAGCAGCUUUCACCAAGACAUGCAUGCUCACAUUUUAGUGGGUCCUGGUAUUGAAUUCAAAUAUUUCUUUUGUUUUUUUUUUGUUUAGCUAUCUCAGGGAAUCUGAAUUUUUAAGAAAAAAAAUCAAGAACAUGUUCCCGAUGUAAUAUUGAAAUUCUUAGUCUGUUUUUCCCCCUUUUGGAGAUCAUGUCCUUACUCUGUUGUGAGAAAAAGGACUUACCUGCGAAAUUGAAAGAUCCAGCCUCAGCUCAUUAACGGUAUCAAAUAGCCUCAUCCGUAGGCCGCAGCAUGGAGGUUUCCUUGAUCCAAAGCCGUUGGAGAUGACGAUUUAGCUCAGCAAACUGGUGGCGGCUGGGAUCGUAGGGGUCGUCACGCCAAUCCACCUUCUUUAGAUUCGGCGCGUCGAUGUAGGCCUUAGUGGCUUGAGACACAGAGAUCUUUUCCAGAAAUGGGUGGUGACCUCUUGCUUGCCCGUGUUUGCGUAGUAGAAGAGAGACACCAGAGAUUCCGGAGACAUCGCACUCGGCAGCCAGCUUGACUAGUACCACAAGCUUCCGAAGGCGUGGGCACUGCGACGAGACGAGGCGUCCCAGGUCGCGACCAUUCAGGGUGGACAUUAUUUAUUACCCGCAGAUCGGUCAGCGCCCUGAACGAGCCGCCUAGCGGCAGCCGGAGCACGAUAUUUGGUCGGAGCAAGAGCUUGAUCGAACCCCUGGUCACUGUCCUCCUCGUCCCCUACCAUUGGUAAGUAGAAAUCUAACCCUGCCCGCGAGGCGCUGGGAGGCGAAGUGCAGCCAUCGGGCGAUACGGUGCGCGGGGACGUGGCACUCGUCGUGUAUGCUCAUGUAGAUCUCAAGGCGGCCGAGGGUCGGGGCGGAGUAGGCGUUGAGGGCGGUGUCGGCGGAGUCGAGGAAGACCGAGGAGGCCGGCUCAGGACCGUCCUCCGGACGGCCGCAGCUGAGGACGAGCUCGGGCAUGUGGGCCCAGACGCGCGCGGUGCCGGCGACGGGAGUGGAGGCUGGUGCGCGCGGCUGCUGCGGUGGAUGGGAGGCAGAGGAGGAUGCUGUGUAGGAGCUCGUCGGGGAGGCCGCUGAUGAGCUCCUCCGCGCCACCGCGGCGGGCGUAUAGAUGGCCAAACGGGUUGUUCGGCCUGGCCUGGCCUGAGCACCGUUUGGCCCGGCCCAUUUAGGCCUGGCACGGCGUGGCUCGAAUAAUAACUGUGCCGUGCCGUACCAGCCCUCGUGCUAAAGAAGCAGCUCAGGCACAGCACGCUGCCUUCUUAGGUGGGUCGUGCCGGCACGUUGACCUGGCAGGCUUUAACGGUCUCGCCGUGCUCGUGCUAGCCCGCCCCUCAUUUUCCUUGCCAGUUUUUCUUCUCGAGAUCACCGGAACGGGAAUAAUGCUCUUGCGCGGCCAUCGUUUUCACGUACCAUGGCCUCCACCAACACUGCCACCAUCAGGGCCCCACUGCGCCUGCUAUCCUCCUCCUCCGCCCAUCUCACCAAGCCCAUCCUUCCCCGCCCUCACUACCUCACCCUCUAUUCUCCCAUCUCAUUCCAGCGUCUCACAGCCCGGCCCGCCGUCUCCCCAUCCCUAUCCACCACUUCCUCCUCCCCAUCAGGCUCCGGCUCCGUAGACCCGUCGGAGCUACCCAGCGCUCCAUGACAUCAUCGGCCUCUUCCAAUCCGUUCCUGAUGUGCACACCCCGUACAAGCAGCUCCUUGCCUAUGCCUUCCAGCUGCCACCAAUGGACCCGGUGCUCAAGACCGAUUCCAAGCACAUCCGAGGGCUGAGAGCGAGGCCCAGGCACGGCCCGUGGUAUGGGCCGGACCAGCACGGGCAUGACGGUCGCCGUGCCAUACCGUGCCUGGACCGGGCCAAAAUCCCGCGCCAUGGGGCAGCCCAUGUGCCACAGACCAUAUGGCCAACUAUAGGUGGGUGUCGGGCAGUUGAUGUCUUCUCUAUUCAAUUUUGAGAAAGGACUGGUCAGCGUGGGCCGUAGGGCUGGGCUUUGUCGAGACAUUUUGUUCCUAUUGGGCUCAAUGCUCAUCUGGACCUCUCGCACUGGAUUUCCGGAAGGUCCUAUAUAAAUUCCGGAAGUCUGUUAGUUAUUGGGCUUCCCGAGUUUGAGAUUUGUGCGAAAAGCUUCGUUCAUCAGAUCUUCCCAACCCUAGGAUCCCGUCCGUGCGUUGCCCUCUAGUUCCAUGCGCCGCCGACUUUGCUGGCCAUCACCGAGGCAAGCGUGACGUGGCCCUGUGGCCUCGAGUCCCCUGCCCACGUGCUUCGCGGCUGUCCCCUAGGGCUGCUCCCAUGUACUCAUCUGCAUCAGGGCAUGUACAACGCUUGUCUUUUUGCUGUCUAGAAGAUACUUUUUUUGCAAAAAAAAAAAACCUUGACUUAGCCAAGAGACGGACACGCCAUCUCUUCGCGAAGAGAUGAUGGGGGCUCGUGCUCUCAAGUCAUAUCGCCCGCUCCAGCACCGUUAUACAACGGGGGCUCGUACUCCCAAGCUAUAUUUGGGCCUUGUUUAGUUGGUUAAAUUGGGAGAUGCAAAAUUACUGUGCCAGCACUGUAGCACACUGUAGCGUUUCGUUUGUAUUUAUGAAUUCUUUUCCAAAUAUUGACUAAUUAGGCUCAAAAGAUUCAUCUCGCAAAAUACAACAAAACUGUGCAAUUAGUUUUUAAUUUCGUCUACAUUUAGUACUCCAUGCAUGUACCGCAAGUUUGAUGUGAUGGGGAAUCUUCUUUUUGCAUAGUGUCAAAGUUGGAAGUUGGGAGGUAACUAAACAUGGCCUUGAUCAUCUUGAUUUACGAGUCUAUACCAGAAUUAAUUAGCUUACAGAUAGUCUAAUAGACAACUCAUUAUAUAAGUUGUCUGUAUUGCUAUCUUUAUAUGACAUAAUCGGUACAGACGGGAGGUGUCUAAAGGUACCUUAGCUUAGCUUGUGUGUCGCCACUCGCGCCCUGCCUCCUAGGUACGCCAGACCCGCACGCCACAUGCCCGCCCCAUGCGCCACCGGUCCCCUGGACACGCUGCCUCAAGAAGAAGCUGCCUCCACCGAGGCUGAAGAAGAUAUUUUUUUGGAAUGCCCAUCCUUGUUUGAAAAAAAUGUUGAACCCAUCCGACCCAACUUUUGGUGGUUAAACGUGGUUGCCCUGCAUGUUUGAAUGAACGUCAACUGUAGGUGAGCGGCGCGCGUCCGCGUGUAGUGUUUUCUGCGUCCAUUUAGGGCUGAACGGUGGCGACCGUUUUGUCCACCGAUUAAAUGGCGAGCCAAUGGUUCAACAGGGUGAGCGUGGGCGCCAACAAACUUACCCCUGAUACUACUGAAGUGAAUUGAUUAUGUAGGAUAUGUUUUUUAUGAAACAGGAGGGGAUGAUUCCCUGCUGGAUAUAUAUUAUAUAGGAAAAAUAACACUAGUUUGAGAGGUACAAAUCAGGAAACAAAGAAAGAAAAUCAAAAAAGAUUACAAUGAGUGCUCUAGCCAUUCCAACAUUGGUUGCUUCCAAACCUCUUUUACUCGCAGAACAACCUGAGUAAAAAUAAUCUUAAACCUUAACAUAGCAUCUUGAACUGAUGGAUUAAUACCUUUGAAUAUCCAGUCAUUUCUUGCCAUCCAAAUACACCAACUCAUGAGAAUUAUGAUUUCCAUAAAAAACGAAACUUGUAGUUGAGUUUUGAAGCUACCGAGGAUGGUGUAGGGCUCAUCUGUCAACUUAGCAAACAAGCUUAUAUUGAUCCAACAUUCCUAGGCAAAAUUAUGUAGGAUAUGUUACAGUCUUGAGCUUCUAGGAAUGCUCGGACUAUGGUAAUUUUUACUAUUGAGGGGAGUGGUGAUGGGAUGGCUUAAAUUUGCAGGUUGAUAUUCAACCGUAGACCCGUAAUCAUUUUAUCUCAUCGAAUCCAAAUCGGAUGACUAUGUCGUUUUUAAGAAACAAAGAGUAAAGUGUAACGCGAACUGAGCGUAGCUUAGCUGGUAAAAGUUCCUUAUGGUGGAACCUGCCCACCAGGGUUGGAGACCUCGACUCGGCACUAGUGAUCACAUUUUUCCUAAUUUUAUUCCAGAAUUUAACCGGUAUUUCAAUGGUAGGUGACGUGCCCGUCGACAGCAAGGCGCCAGCGGUGAUUUCAUCAAUCUCGAGGAUUUGCCGGCUCAGUUUCUCGGAGGUGCUCAUAAGAUAGAGUUGCAUGCGUGUGUUCGUAGGAGAGAGUGUGCACAUGUGUAUGUGAGCGCCUACAUCUUGCACUGGAUCGCCCACAUGGUGGCCAUCGUAGCCUCGGUGGUGUUCAUGUAGUUUAUCAGUGUUCUCGCGUGCAGUUCCGGAUUGACCACGGUGCAACGUCACUUGUCACACCAAAUGCGGAGGGUUGGCCAAGAAAACCAGACGUGUUUAUUUGAGCUGCAGCUUUUGACAUUUUCUGAAAAGCAGUUGCUAGCUUUUUAUUUUAAAAAAGCUAACAUUAGCUUUUAGAAAAUGUGUUUAACUUUUUGAGUUCAAAAAACUAUGAAAAGCUCACAAAACCGAACUUUUCCACUUUAUGGUUUAUUUGAGCUGCAGUUUUGACCUUUUCUGAAAAGCUGUUGUUAACUUUUUUUAUUUUAAAAAGCUAACAUUAACUUUUAGAAAAUGUGUUUAGCCUUUUGAGUUCAAAAAGCUACGAAAACUUCACAAAACUGAAUUUUUCAACUUUUCUUAUAAACUUUUCAGAAACUGCAUGAAGUUCACUAUUUUUUGAACUCUUGUCUUUUGGAACCUACCAACUACCAAGAAACUAAUAAUAGAACCCCCACGCGCCAGGCAUAGCAAAGUCAUCAUCAGGUGGCAGACUCGAGGCCAAACCCGAGAACGCCCUGCUCCGGUUGGUGCACGGGGCAUAACAAGUCGUCUUCGAAAACCCACGCCACACUGGUCCUGCUUCAGCUUAUUCAGCCCGUUAAGCUAGGCUACCGUUAUUCAGCCCGUUAAGCUAGGCUACCGUUACGUCCCGGUGCCAUCGCCCGUUAAGAUAUUUGAUACAAGAUGCUAAACUUUAGAAGGAUCACAUCAUAUAUUCGGACGCUAAUUAGGAGGACUAAACAUGAGCUAAUUAUAAAACUAACUGCAGAAACCCUGUACUAAUUCGCGAGACGAAUCUGUUAAACCUAAUUAAUCCAUCAUUAGUAAAUGAUUACUGUAGCACAAUAUUGUCAAAUCAUGGACUAAUUAGGCUUAAUAGAUUCGUCUCGCGAAUUAGACUCCAUCUGUGCAAUUAGUUUUGUAAUUAGAUUAUAUUUAAUACUCCUAAUUAGUAUCAAACAUUCGAUGUGACAGUUACUAAAGUUGAGAGUGUAUCCAACACUCUCUAAGUCAAAGGUGCUGCUGGUGCAGCCGCACCCGAGACGAGCUAGGCUGGCAAUUGCCAUUACCUGACGUCAGGCAACCAGUCAUGCAGCUGACGCCUGAAGCAUGUAUACAGGUUGCUGCUGGGUGGGGUGUUCUUAGUACAGGUUGCCAUUAGGAUUAAAAAAAUGACAACUAGAGACUGACCUUGAUUGGAUGGUGUUUAUCGCAUCCAAUUGACGUGCUAGCCCAAGAUUUGUUUACAUGUUUUACCAUUUUGAUAUGGCUUACUCCCUCUCCUGUCUGUAAAUACUCUGUUUUGGAUAAAUGGCAGCGUCUCUCAAAAAUAUGAUUUUAACCACUAUUUUUAUUAGUUUAUAAAAUGAAACACAUAUAUAUGACAUAAUGAAAGUUCCCUUCAAGGCAACUCUGGCAUAUGGCUUGUAUUUUUUUACAAGUAAAUAUUAUAAAAUUUAUAUAUAGUGAAAGCUAUAAUAUUGAAAAUUGGAGGGAGUACAUAAUAUUGAAAGCAGAAAUCAAAUGAAUUACCAUGAGAAACACUUGGUGUACAGAAAGUCUAUUUUUUAAAGUGGAAUUUAACAAGUGACAGGGGAAUGUAAGGUAGUAGAGAACAAAAAACAACAAAGACAGGGAAUCUUGCAAAGUUCCGUGAGUUGCAUUCUAAAUUUCUUGUGCAGCAGUUUGAUGUUUAGCUACAUGGUCUCUGAAUUGGAAGUAGUUGGUGCUUCUAUGGUUGAAAUGUUUUGUGCUAGUCGCAUAAGCAGUGCGAAUCUCCGCUGUCGCAGGUCGUGUCAUCACGUGCGUGUCUUUUGUUUGCUAGCACCUCUGGAUUUCGACUAUGACAUUAUCACAUUAUGCAACUUGGACCUCUUUUGAACAUUUUGUUUUAAGCCGCCGGAACCCUCUCCACCAAAAGCAUCUCCAGCAGAUUGCUCAUCUUCUACUACCAAAACAUCUUCUUUUUCCAUCUUCAAUAGUUACUUUUACAUUUACCGAAAUCCAAUUCCAAUACCUCCACCAACACAUGGGGCCCACGCGUCAGACGAUUUACUCAUUUUUUCCACCCUACCCGUCUCUUCCCCUCUUCCUCCUAGCUCCUCGCAUCCACCACCCGCCCGUCCAUUUCUCUUCUCUGCUCUAGCAUCCGCCGCCCUCCUUUCCUCCCCGCGCCAGUCACACCCGUGCGCUCCUUUCCUCCCCGCAUCGACGCUCCCGCUCCUCUUCUCCCCCAUGGCUCGCCAGCGGCAGCUCUCAAGUUCCGUCCCGCUCGCAACCAAGGUGUUGAUGUCAGAUUUUGACACGUAUGGAAUCGGCGUCAAGGAAGGAAAGGACUGGUCGAUGCGGUAGGUUGAGAGGUCGCGAUUGGGAAUCGGCCGAUUGGUGCUAUAGUUGGGGAUCGGCCGAUUGGCAUCACAGUGUUUUGGCGGACGGAGUUGGAGAUCGGCCAAUUGGAAGGCUGGGGCAAUUGGGCAAAUAUGGGCUUAAAGUGGAUCAGAGAAAAAAGAUAGAGAAAAAUUUGUCCGCAGGAGUAUAAUAACCAACUCCGAUAUGAGUUGUGUUUGUAAAUAUUCGUUUUCGUUUAAAAUUAGAGAUAGAUCCUAGUUGGUUAGGAAAUUGAUUGUAACAGGCUAUAAAUAGCCAUCCUCAGAGAUUUGUAGAAACAACAUCAAUCAAUACAAACAAAUCUACGUUUUCAUCAUACUUUACUUUCAAGCCGGCGACUUCGCCAAUACUUUUCUUCUUUCACGAGUUUGUACGGGUUGGCAGGACUGCAUCGACACGAUCUCCGGCCGAUUCUGUAAGUUCCGCUUAUCAAUAUCUAAGCUUUAACUUUGGUCGCAUCACUGUCGUUUCAUUUAGAUUUAUUCACCAGUUAUCGAUAUUUACUAGAAUUAUAGGUUUCAUCUGUUGUUCUAGUUUUAUCACCAGUUAUCCAGCUUGAGAUUUGAGCUAUCGGCUUUGUUAUUGUUACUUCUUAUUCAUUAUCAUCACAUAGCCGAUUAGAUCUAUUUCAAGUGUCGCCUUCGUAGCUUUGUCUAGUUUACUCCAGUAGUUCUCUUCACAAUUGCUACAUGAUCGUCGGCUGUAUCAUAGCCGAUUAUCUUUUUAUAGCAAAUCGGCCGAUUUGCUGAUACGCUUUCUCGAGAUCGGAACCUUAGCCGAUCGGAACCCCUGGAAUUUGACACGUUUUCUUCCUUGCCAAUCAACGGGUCAGAUUGGCUAGCACGCCGCGCGAACCGCACCAGGGCGAUCACCCGAACAGGAGCUAAGCAGAUUCUCCCGAGUCGUGUGUCCGACGCUGAGGGUCAAUCGGCUGACUUUUAGCGCCAACACACUUUUGGCACGCCCGGUGGGACCACUUCAACCUCUACCAUGUCGAAAGCUGCCAAAAUCUUUGAAGAUAACGUCAUCGAAGUGACGGAAGCAGAUCUCAAGGACGACCAGAAAGAAGAGUUGGAAAAGCAAGUAGAACAAUACCGGAAAACAUGCCUGUAAUCUUUCAGUCGUACCAGGAGUGGGGAGACCGUCAAGAAAGCUCCUUUCCCAACUCCCCACCAGAUCACCAUUGCUGAGGACUCGGGCAAGAUGUUCGAGAUGGUUCAGCAGUCCGUCUAUCAGGCUUUCAUCGACCAAUCCCCUGUGAUGGCCAACAUGGUAUACAAUGCCGUCAUCAGCUCCCUGGCCAAUGGCGUAUCUCAGGGAUAUCAGGGGCCAGCAUAUGCCCCGCCCAUUACGGCCCCAGUUAGAAGCUUUCCAAGCACAUCUCACUCGGCUUCUCAGCCGAUGCCAACUCAACAUGGAGGACACAAUGCUUCACUGACUUCAAUGCAUCCAGAAUAUAACGGUGCGCCAUGCUUUCAGUCACAAGCGCCACAUCAACCUGCUCAGAUUUUCUCUGUGCAAUCAUUGCCAUCAAACUCAGUGCCUUGGGGGGCACCAUUGACAGCGACUGUUCUAGAUCAAUCGGCCGGCUAUGGAGGCUCUCCGAUCUAGGAACAAGUCCAAUCGGCCACCCGGCCGACGGUUCCACAGUAUCAACCAGCCACGUCAGAAAUCGGCAGGGGGGCAGACGCUGCUGAGGUACUCCGAAGUGCGGCGCCGAUGAUACUAUACGAUGAGGUGGCCGGUUCGCCGCGCCAUCAAUUGUUAAACACCCAGGCGGUUACGUUACCACAGAAUCCACUGCACGCUUCGAUUCAUCACCCGGUCAUCCCACCACCGAUCCACCAACAUGUGCCAAUUUCCCAGCCAGUAAUUCAUUAGCAGCAAGUGGACUGGACGGCAAGGAUAGAGGAGAUAAUUCAAGAUCAAUUUGGGUUGAAGCCGAAGGUACAAACCUACACAUACAAAACGCCGUACCCACUUGCUUACGAUCUACUGCCGUUUCCCCAUCGGUACAAAGUCCCCAACUUCACCAAAUUUUUAGGACUGGACGACACCUCAACUGUGGAGCACGUAAACAGAUUCAUCAUCCAGUGCGGAGAAGCCGCCACACAAGAUGCUCUGCGGGUACGUUUGUUCUCAUCAUCCCUGUCCGGGUCGGCUUUCCAGUGGUUCACUACACUGCCACCCAAUUCCAUCGUCACUUGGGCCGAUCUGGAAAAGCAAUUCCACAAGUACUUCUACGCGGGAGUCCACAAGAUGAAACUCUCAUAUCUGACCAGCCUCAGGCAGAGGAGCGACGAGCCAGUAACCAAUUAUGUGCAGAGGUUUAGAGAGAUCAGAAACAAAUGGUACACCCUAGUCCUGACUGACGCACAGUUGGCCGAUAUCGCCUUCCAAGGUCUCCCGCCACAUAUCAAAGAUAAGUACGCUUCCUAGGAGUUUGAGAGUCUGAGUCAUAUCGUUCACCGUUUGGCCGGUCAAGAAGUACGCCCCUUUGAUCAGCGGAGAAAUUUCCAAAAGAAGGUAACAUACCUGGAGGGAUCUAAAUCUGAGGAGGAAGCGGAAAUCGGCCUAGCAGAGUGGGUUAAAGGAAAGAAGCCGAUAUCGUGUCCGUUCAGGAAAAAGGAGCCAGAGGCGUUCGGGUUUGACAUGUCUAAGGCUGACAAGAUUUUCGACCUACUUCUCCAAGAGGGGCAAAUCAAACUCUCACCUUAUCAUACGAUCCCAUCGGCUGAGCAGCUAAAAAAGAUGAAGUAUUGCAAAUGGCAUAAUGCCACGUCCCACGACACAAAUGAGUGCAAGAUCUUCCGUCUGCAGAUACAGUCGGCCAUUGAGCAGGGCAGACUCAAAUUUGAGGUCCCGACGAAGCCACUAAAGCCGAUGAAGAUCGAUCAACAUCCCUUUCCCACUAACAUGGUUGACACGGGAAGGAACGCACUUCAAACCAAAGUGCUGAUGUCAGAAUCGGCCAAGAAAAGCAGAGCUGUCGAUCCCAAAAAUCAGGCCACGGCUGAAGAUAUCAAGGGUAAGAAACGGGUUGACGACGAGGGCGAAGGAUCGGAAAGGCCGCGUAGACCUAUCACCUCCCAAUUCUUACUGAACAAAUAUCAAUGGCAGCAGGAAAGCUCGAGAUAUCGCAAAGAAAUAGUGAGACAACACGAAGAUCAUUGGCGAUGCCCGUUCUUCAUCCACUGUUGGGAAACUAACCUCAGGUUGCCAUCGGCCGAUAAUUGCCCAGAAUGUAGCGGUCCAUAUCGCGACAGUUGCCCGUUCAAAAGGUCUCGCUCUAGGGACAGAGGAUCAGAGCUAAUCAGCAGAAACUGACACGAGCAAGAGGAUCGGCGCCUUUUAGUGCGUGAUCGGCUGGAGGGCAGAGUUGAUCGAUAUGAUCGGCCAAGGGACAGACGCGAGCAAUAUGAUAGGCCGGGGGGUAGACCUGACCAGCACGACCGACCGGGGGCAGAGUCAGCGCACACGAUCGGCUAGAGGAGAUGGCCGAUGCUCGGGUGUCAGAUGAAAAUCCCCUAGGAUGGGAACCGGACUGGGAACGUGCCAAACUGCCGGCCAAAUUGGUGAACCCCAGGUGGUGCCCUGAUGGAUUGAUCAAAUCCCAAAAAUGAAGGAUCCAACGCCUGCGCCAAUGGGAACAACAGGAAGAAGAGCAGAGGCAGAUGGUGGAUAAGAGGGAUGACAGGUCUCGAGUCUGGCGCCCCAAAAGAAACAACAAUGAGGAAGAUGGCAACCAAGAAACGGCAGCUGAUGUCAGCAUGGUGUUCAUCUUGCCGAUGGAGUUCAUGGCUCCCGCCGAUCGGCACGACACGACGAAGAUGGAGGAGCAGAUGGCGCAAUUGGCUUUGGAGCCAAUGACAGCCACUUUUGAGAAAUCAGAAGAUACAUCUCAAGGCUCUGUUCCUCAAAGGACACGUCGAUGGACGACCUGUCACCAGGUUAUUGGUAGAUGGGGGCGCUGCAGUCAACAUCAUGCCAUAGGCCAUGUUCCGAAAACUGGGCAAAAGUGACGAAGAUCUGACCAAGACGGACAUGAUGCUCAAGGACUUCGAAGGCAACGUGUCCCCCGCCUGCGGAGCACUCUGCAUCAACCUCACCAUCGGCAGUAAGACCCUUCCCACUACUUUCUUUAUUAUUAACAGCAAAGGGUCCUACAAUAUGUUGCUCGGGCACGAUUGGAUACACACGAAUUGCUGCGUCCCAUCUACAAUGCAUCAAUGCCUCGUACAAUAGGUCGGCGACAACAUCGAGGUAGUCACCGCCGAUUCUGCCUACAGUGUUGCUGCGGUCGAUACGCAGCAAUGGAGUUGCGAACACGUCAAGUGCAUAUCCGGAAGAACUUGGGACACCGACUUCUUUAAAGUGUCCGAUUUUGGCCUACAGCCGAUCCGAGCAGUCAGCUCUAAAGAUUCAGAUUAGAUGGAUCAGUUCGUCCAAGAAGAUGGGAAGCUGGGGCACUAGUUUACGUCGGCCGAUUCAUUAGAGAUGAUAGAUUUAGGUAAUGGUACCAAACCAAGUCCGACAUACAUUAGUGCUAACUUGGAUCCCGAAUAUAAGUGUAAAUUGACAAAUUUAUUAAAAGAGUUUAAAGAUUGUUUUGCUUGGGAAUACCAUGAGAUGCCUGGUCUAGACCGGUCCAUUGUUGAACACUGGUUGCCUAUAAAACCAGGAUAACGGCCGUAUCAGCAGCCAGCACGACGAUGCAAUCCUAAGAUCCUACCUGAUAUAAAGGCCGAGAUUACAAAACUGAUUGAAGCAAAAUUUAUUCGGUAGUGCCGUUACGCCGAGUGGAUUUCUAAUGUUGUGCCCAUAUACAAGAAAAAUGGAAAUCUGCGCGUAUGCAUUAACUUUAGAAACCUUAAUCAGGCUACGUCGAUGGAUGGGUAUCCAAUGCCGACAGCUGAUGUGUUGAUAGAUGCUGCCGUAGGACAUAAAGUCAUCAGUUUCAUGGACGGUAAUGCUGGGUACAAUCAAAUAUUAAUGGCUGAAGAAGAUAUUUCGAAAACGGUUUUCAGGUGUUUGGGCCACCUCGGUUAAUUCGAGUAGGUAGUAAUGACCUUUGGGUUAAAGAACGCCGGCGCUACAUAUCAGCGGGCUAUGAAUUACAUCUUCCACAAGCUCAUUGGCGUCCUGGUGGAAAUUUACAUUGACGAUGUUGUAGUCAAAUCAAAAGGGCAUCAAGAGCAUCUGGCCGAUCUACGAGAAGUGUUGGAAUGCAUGAGGAAGCACGGGUUGAAAAUGAACCCGAACAAGUGCGCGUUCGGCGUAUCGGCCAGGCAAUUUCUAGAAUUCAUGGUCCAUGAACGUGGGAUAGAAGUCAACCGGAAAAUCAUAGCGGCCAUCAAUAAGGUCGUGGCCCCACAGAAUAAAACUGAGUUGUAGUCCCUAAUCGGUAAGGUCAACUUUAUCAGAAGAUUCAUAUCCAACAUGUCCGGGCGUAUACAAGCCUUCACACCGUUAUUAAAAUUGAAGCCCGACCAGGAAUUCGUAUGGGGAGAAGAGCAACGAAAGGCGUGGGAUGACAUCAAGCAAUAUCUGAUUUCGCAACCUGUAUUAGUCCCGCCACAAGCUGACCGUUCAGACUAUACUUAUCGGCCGAUGAGCGGGCUAUUGGAUCAGCGCUGGUAGAGGAGUUCGAUGGAAAGGAACGGGUAAUAUACUAUGUUAGCAGAAGACUUUUGGACGCUGAGACAAGAUACUCCCCAGUAGAUCGGCUGUGCCUAUGUCUAUGUUUCUCAUGUACCAAGCUCAGGCACUACCUGUUAACGACAGAGUGCAUAGUCGUAUGUAAGGAUGACGUGGUAAAGUACAUGAUGUCAUUGCUGAUUCUGAAAGAACGAAUCGAAAAGUGGAUCCUAGCUCUGUCAGAGUUUGACCUAAGGUACGAAUCGGCCAAAGCUGUCAAGGGUCAAGUCAUGGCCGAUUUCGUGGCUCAACAUUGCAGACCAGAAAUCGCUGUCGUUGAACCGGUUCCAUGGACCCUAUACUUCGAUGAUUCUUCCUGUGGGUCCGGGUCAGGAAUUGGCAUCGUCCUCAUAGCCCCUCGGGGGGCAAGUUAUGAUUUCUCUCUGCCGAUAGAAGCAUCCGCCACCAAUAAUUAGGCAGAAUACCGAGCCGUCCUAAAGGGCAUUCAAUUAUUGAGAGAGAUCAAAGCUAACACCGUGGAGAUUUUUGGGGAUUCCAUGCUCAUCGUAGACCAAUUAACGGGAAGAUCUAAAUGCAAAGAUGAUGUCAUGAGAAUUUACUACGAGGAUUGCCUCCAACUUUUGAAGGAAUUCAAGUCCGCGAUUAUUGAGCAUAUUCCCAUAAAUUAUAAUGAAGAGGCCAAUAGGCUUGCCCAACACGCGUCUGGGUAUUGGCCGAUUCAAGGCACCAUGACUUUGGAACUCGCGGCCGACGAUUGGCGAAAGGAAAUCGCCGAUUACUUAAAGGACCCGUCCAAGAAAGUGGAUCGGCGAGUACGUUUUCAGGCCACAAAGUAUGUACUACUCGAAGAUGAUUUGUUUUACCGAAUGAUUGAUGGAGUUCCACUCAAAUGCCUGGGGACGAAAGAGGCAAAGAUCCCAAUGGGAGAAAUCCAUGAAGGCGUGUGCAGAGCUCACCAAUCGGCUCAUUAAAUGAAGUGGAUGAUCAGGAAUAACCGAUAUUAUUGGCUGACGAUACUCGAAGACUACUUUAAAUAUUAUAAAGGGUGUCAGGACUACCCGUGCAACGUGCGCCAGCAUCGGCUAUGAAUCCGAUAAUCAAACCAUGGCCGUUCAGGGGUUGAGGGAUAGACCUCAUCAGGAAGAUUUAUCCUCCAUCAAGCAAGGAACAUAAAUUCAUAAUAGUAGCCACUGACUACUUUACCAAAUGGGUGGAGGCAAUCCCAUUGAAGGCCGUGACAUCGGCUGCUAUGGUCGAUUUCGUAAGAGACCACAUUGUGUAUCAUUUCGGCAUCCCUCAAACCAUCACAACUGACCAAGGGACGAUGUUCACUUCAGGAGAGUUCGAGGAGUUCACUGCCAAUAUGGGAAUCAAAUUACUGAAUUCUUCUUCAUAUUAUGCUCAAGCCAACGGUCAAGCCGAAUCAUCCAACAAGGGGAUAAUUAAGUUGAUCAAAAGGAAGAUCGAGGAACAACCUAAAAAGUGGCACUUGUGUUUGACCGAGGCUUUAUGGGCUUACAGGAUGGCCUGCCACGGGGCCACUAAGAUAUCUCCUUAUCAAUUGGUGUACGGUCACGAGGCAGUGUUGCCUUGGGAAUUAACGACGAGGUCAAGACACACAUCGCUUCAAGAUCAGUUGACGGCAGAUAACUAUUCCUUACUCAUGAAAGGAGAGCUCGAUGAUUUGGCAGGUCAGUGAUUGAGGGCCCGAAUCAGCAUUGAGGAGAAUAAAAAGAGAGUGUCCAGGUGGUACGACAAGAAAGUCAAAGUCAAGCAAUUCUCCCAAGGAGACUUGGUUUGGAAGUUGGUGCUGCCGAUUGGGUCUAAAGAUCCCAAAUUCGGUAAAUGGUCGCCCACUUGGGAAGGACCGUAUAAAAUCGGUCGAUGCACUCCGGGAAACGCAUACAUAUUGGAGACGAUCGAAGGAUAGGAGUUCACAAGGGCCUUGAACGAGAGGUACUUAAAAAGGUACUAUCCUAGUAUAUGGGUCGGUGCAUAACUAGUUACGAAGUAUAUCAAAAUGGCACGGCCAGCUCCUACUAGAUCUUAUAGCCGGUGCAAAGAUGACAUCGCCUUGAGAACAAAACAUUCGUUCGAGUUGGCCGAUUGAUUAUUCGGUACGAACGAUGGGGUACAUGGCCGACGCGGUACAAGUCACCCUUAGAACAAAAGUACCAACACAUCUGUUAACCAUGUUUUUUCUUAAGCUCCCUCUCUACCCGACCUAAUUCUAUCAAGAGGCGGAUGCUCCUUUCCUCUAGAUCCUUCAUCGCGGCCUCAGCCUCAACUUGGCGUGGAAGAGGGUGGCUCCGAUCUAGCGAUGGUUGAGAUGUUCCCACUGUGGCGUCUUCUAGGGCGACUGGGCGAGGGAGUGGAUGACUCCUUUCGAUUGGCGGCCGCCUGGAGCAGUUGGCGUCAAUGUGAUCCCAGAUCCUCUAGACUUCAGCAGGGACGUGAUCCCUAAGUUCUUCGCGAUGGGCUCGGAUCAAGUCUUUGUCCUCCUGCGACAACGGUUCAUCGGAGUGCAUGAUCUCAAUCGCCCCAGUUCAAGGCUAAGGCAUCUCGGCUGAAAAAAUUGAUAACCACUCGAUGUUAGACUGGUCAAAAUGUCAGACCGGGGAAUGGAGGGCAUAGGAAGAUCUCGCACCUGGUUAACGGAGAAGGAGGAAAAGGAGGAGGAUGAAGAAGACAUCCUGGCGAAUAGUCUGGUGGUAUGAACUGCUAGAGGAGAAGAAGAUGAGCAAGGCGGAUGCCCUUGGAAACCGUUCGGGGUCCCGUACUUAUAGAAAGAAAAGGGGCGAGAGUUUGGUAAGACGCGUCCCAUCAGAAGAAAAAAGGGUAAUAAAUGAAAGGCCGCCAUGAAGGACAGGUCAAGGCUGGAUUCGCACGUCAAACGGUCAAGAGACAUUAAUGUUUUUACAGAGCAGCCAACACUUUUACAGUUCAUCCAAGGAGGGCAUUCAUGGCCGCAAUCGCUCGUUGCCUAACUUGAUCGGCCGAAUCUAAAACUCGCUGGUCAUCAUCGGUCGAUCCCGGGACUUCUGGCAGAUGGCGAUGGAGUCUGAUUGCUUCGUGGGCCAGGCUUUGUCUCUCUUGCUUCAGUUCGGCGAUGACAGAGGGGAGAUCUUGGAGUCUCUUCUCUUCGAUGGCUAUGUCCUUCAUCACCUGCUCCAUCUCCUUGGUGAGCUCUGCCUUUGGACGCUUGAGGCAAUCUAUAGCACCAACAAUACUCGGGCGGGAAUUUUCAAAGAAGUUGAUCCGGUGAUGUACCUCUUGGGCUCGGUGCUUGUAAGAGUCUUCCUCCUCACGAGCUUUAGCUAGCUUGGCGCGAUUCGACAUGUAGCGCAAAGCCCUGAACACCGGGAUCCGCAUUGAUUCAAUAUAUGCGGCUGGCGCCAGGGCUUCUUCCGCCUCCUCUGGGACUCGGCCGCUGACAUCACUGAAGAGCUGCCGAAUCGGCGAGGCAUCCUCCACCAAUCGGCUGAUGUCUUCUUGGAGGAGGAUCCGUAUGCUCUCAAGUUUGGCACGGAUGUCAUCAGGGAUUGAGCUCAGGGUGACCUGACGUGAAGCAACCUCCUCAUCAUCAGAAAGCGCGACCGCGAAAGAGAAGAGGCUGUUAUUGGGAGUAUCUUGUUCUUGCGAAUAAUGAGCAUCGGUUAGCCGAUGGUAAUAAGGAAAUCGGAUGAUUUGGGUGAUGAGUCUCUUACCUCUUUGAAGCGGAUUUCAUCUGCUUGCAUCGGCGGGAGUACUGCCCUUGAUUCGGGAACUGGUGCGGCUGGCUCAUCAGAGGAGGAGGAUUCGAUGAUUAUUGGUAUUUUGCUCGGACCGGCCUCCUGAAAAGGUACGAGGAGCAAGUUCUUAUGAGUAUAAUACAAAUGGUUAGAUCUGAUGAGAUGUGGUGAUUGUCGUACCUCCGUAGUCUCCCUGGCUGAUGGCCGUUGAGAAGUGGGAGGAAUUACUGGUGCUCCGAUUUCUGCUUGGGGCGUCGUUGAUUGCUGCGGGGGCACCGGGGCGACUUGUGCAGCCUAAUAUAAGGAAGAAGUCAGUAUCGGGAGAAUAUUCGGGAGAUGUGAACAUGAGGUUACCUGAAUGGCUUCUAGUAGCAGGGAUGCAGCGGCCGCUCCAGGUUCUGUAGCAGCUUGAGGAUCAACUUCCUCGAUGACCAAGAGAAUCGGCCGAUGCCGCCGCAGACUGAUCGGCCGAUUCCGUGCGGGCGUGCACUCGGUGGCUUGUCCUAAAGUUUUCUUCGGCGUCUGCCUCAAUCGGCCGGUGGUGAUGUCAUCAAUGGAUGGAGCGUGGUGGCCGAUGAGUGGGAAUUCUGUAUACGGAUAGCGAUUCUCUAUCGGCCUACCACUCUGGCUGCGCCUUGGAGGGAGUUGACUCUCGGACUAUAAAAGAAAUAAGAGUUAGUAGUAUAAAAAGAAAAGCGGCAUCGAAAUCGGCGGAGGGAAGAACGGUACCUCUGCAUUUGGGUCAAUGUUUUCAAGAUCCAGGGAGUUGCAGUAUAUUGCGGGAGACGUGCAAAAAAGAUGUUUCCAUUCUGCCCACCAUAGCUUGAACUGUUGAACAGCAAAGGGUGCCACUAUCCAAUUGGUCAGAUCGAUGGUGCCGAAGUCAGGCACUCGGUCGCACAGUCGACUAUAAUCAAGACCUUUGGUGAGCUCAUCCCGGAAUUUGGCAUGACCGGCGAAGAAAACAUAAAUCGGCAGUGGACCUAGGCCGAAUUGCCAUGCCGCGACGGAUGGAUUGUAAAACUCGUAAGUAGGGUCAUCCUUCCCCGAGAAAAAGUUCACCGGUAAGAUCCCUGGCUUGAUCAAGACUUCCGUGAGAUCAUUCUCAAAAGUGUUGGUCGUCGAAUCAUAACAGAAGGGGAGCUCAAAAAGCAGCUCUGCCCUUUUAUACGGGUACCAGAUGGUGGUUUUCUUCACUGUAGCCGUUGUAAAAACAUCUGAAAUAUUCGACUACUUCGGUGGUAGUAAGCUGGCAACUAGGGAAGACUGAUGCUGCCUCGCCGAAAGAAGUGCAUCAGCAUCGUACGGUGGGAUUUUCUUCUGACUCAAUGUUGGGGAACGUAAUGUACUCCACCCGAUGUGAUAUUUUGCUCAUAUAUAAAUUGAGCCAGAGAUUGAUGAACCACCAGGGGCCACCUGGGCUUCCAAUCGGCUCUCCCUUGGAUAAUUUGACGCUGAUUUGGUGCAACAUGUGAUAGGCCGAUCCUAGUAGAUGCUUCCCGAGGGGGAUGGAGGCUCCUCUUGAUAAAGCUUCAGCCAAGGCUUAUGUGUUGGAAGUCGAACCGACUGCCCGGCUACAAAAAAGGUGUUUUUCCAGCCACAUCAUUAAAAAGGCUGCGUAUUCUCUCUUUGAAAUGGUCCCCGUCUUCAUGUUGUUUUUGAUGUACCCCUUCCACCUGCUGAUUCCUUUUGUCUCCAGCCGAUGGGUCAGCUUGACCAGAUAAUGGAAGGAGGUGUCCGGAGAAGAAAUGUCAAGGCCGGUCAACAUCACAACAUCAGCCAGAGUGGAGGUCAUGGGCCCGUGGACAAAAAGGAACGCAUUGAGGGCGUCAGACCAGAAAUAGGAGGCUGCCAUCACCAAGGGCUCGUUUCUUUCCAUCUGAGACAGGGAAAGAUUGAUACACUGGCCGAUUUUUCGCUCGUCCCAUUGAACUCUCUUGGAGUUGGCUAUCCUUUAGUACCACUCUUUUGAACCUGGGGUUUCAUUCGGCCAAGAUCUAAAAGUCCCCGACCACUGAUCCAACUCCAUUGGUGAUUGUUUAAAUGGAAUUGUGUGAGUUUCUAAAUUUAUUAGAUCGGUUGGGUCUGGAUUUCCCAUGGGACCGAGACAGAUAAGGCCGGGGGCUUCAAAAAUACGAAUGGUUAUUUGGUGUCUGACCGCCUAAAAAAGGAAAAAGCGGAAGAACUAAGAACGGAUCUAAAAAAUGCAUGGACGGUAAAAGUAAAAAGGAAAAGUUCCGGGUAAGUACCUCUGGGAUGAAAUUCAUUGUCGCCGGCGGGGCUGCUGGUGGAGCUGCCGCUUCUGAUGAAGCCGCCGGUGGGGUUUUCGUCGCCGAUGGAGUAGCUGUCGCCGUUGUUGGAGCUGUUGGCGGGACCUCCAUUGCUGGUGGGAUUGCUGACGGUGCCGCCUUUGGGAAGAUGAAGCAGAAUGCAGAUGAAAGGGGAAUCGCCUGAAGAUUCGGUUGGAAGCCAAGAGGGCGCCGGGAGAAGAUGGAAACUAGAAGUGCGGGACGUGCAAGUAUUUAAAGAUGGUCCGAGGAGGGGUAAAGGCAGGAUUUUUACCACGCCGUCUAUACGAAUUCCGGGGGAGUGAUUGUCUCAGGCGCCCGUUUCGAAAAGAUUGCAAUCAUCAGGUAGGAGACCGCGAAACGGAAGGAUAUUUUUAAUGUGUUUGUUUCGGAGGAGAAGUUAAAAAGGAAUUUCGAAGUAAAAGUUAUGUUUUACUCCGAAACUGGAGGGCAUGUGUUGACGCCAGAUUUUUGACACGUAUGGAAUCGACAUCAAGGAAGAAAAGGACUUGUCGAUGCGGUAGGUUGAGAGGUCGCGAUUGGGAAUCGACCGAUUGGUGCUACAGUUGGGAAUCGGCCGAUUGGCAUCACAGUGAUUUGGCAGACAGAGUUGGUGGAGAUCGGCCAAUUGGAAGGCUGGGGCAAUUGGGCCAAUAUGGGCUUAAAGUGGAUCAGAGAAAGAAGAUAGAGAAAGAUUGACCCGCAGGAUUAUAAUAACCAACUCUGAUACGAGUUGUGUUUGUAAAUAUUCAUUUUCGUUUAAAAUUAGAGAUAGAUCCUAGUCGGUUAAGAAAUUGAUUGUAACAAGCUAUAAAUAGCCAUCCUCAGAGAUUUGUAGAAACAACAUCAAUCAAUACAAACAAAUCUACUUUUUCAUCGUGCUUUACUUUCAAGCCGGCGACUUCGCCAAUACUGUAAGUUCCGGCCGAGUUCGUACGGGUUGGCAGAGCUGCAUCGGCAUGAUCUCUAGCCGAUUCUAUAAGUUCCGCUUAUCGAGUAAUAUCUAAGCUUUAACUUCAGGUGCAUCGUUGUCGUUUCGUUUAGAUUUAGUCACCAGUUAUCGAUAUUUACUAGAAUUAUAGGUUUCAUCUGUUGUUCUAGUUUUAUCACCAGUUAUCCAGCUUGAGAUUUGAGUUAUCAGCUUUGUUAUUGUUACUUCUUAUUCAUUAUCAUCACAUAGCCUAUUAGAUAUAUUUCAAGUGUCGCCUUCGUAGCUUUGUCUAGUUUACUCCAGUAAUUCUCUUCACAAUUGCUACACGAUCGUCGGCUGUAUCAUAGCUGAUUAUCUUUUUAUAGCAAAUCAACCGAUUCGCUGAUACGCUUUCUCGAGAUGGGAAGCUUAGCCGAUCGGAACCCCUGGAAUUUGACACGUUUUCUUCCUUGCCAAUCAACGGGUCAGAUUGACUGGCACGCCGCGCGAACCGCACCAGGGCGAUCACCCGAACAGGAGCUAAGCAGAUUCUCCCGGGUUGUGUGUCCGACGCUGAGGGUCAAUCGGCUGACUUUUAGCGCCAACACAAGGCCACGACCACAGUCACCUCCUUACUCCUGCAUCGUCCUUCCUGCGGUGAGCUCGGGGCUGUAGGUUUGAGAUGGGCGGCAGCAGUCCUCGAUGGUAGCGUCCGUGGCCAAGUGACGACGCCAGCAGCACGGAAAUGUCUGCGCCGAACCCAACCGUCGAUAGGGGAGAGCUCUGGAGAGGGCUGCUUCUCCCCUCCAUCAAGGGGAGAGGAGGUGAGUUUUUGGUAAUUGCUGAAAAUUUUUUGUUAUUGGAGAUCUGAUUGGUAGUCUGCUGGAGCUCUCUCUUAUCUCCAAAAUCUUCUAAAUGGUAGGUUUUUGGUAUUGGGGAUGAAUAUGAGCAAUUUGCUGGAGAUGCUCUAAAAGAAAGGGAAAAUGAGGACAACAUUAGUAAAAAAGAAAGGGAAAAUGCGAACAUCAUUUUGGCCCUGUCUUAAGAGAAAGGAGCAAUGAAUACUGACACAAUCUGCCAAUUGCUGAACUUCCAACUGAGAUGAUGCUCUGUUGGGCAUCUCGGCCUAUCAUGACUAUGUAUCUCACUCAAAGGAAAAAAAAAACCCUUAAAAGUCUGAAAUGUUCGUUUCCUCAAAGUGGAAUUUAAGGCACAGAAAUGUAGCAGAAAAACAAAACAGAAGUACACUAUGAAUAUUGCCAUCUGAAUUUAUAAUGUAGCAGGGGCAGGUCAGGCCAGUUGAGUUCAGAUUCGUCACAUGUUUUAUCUUAUCUCUUUUCUCUGGAAACUGAAUGCUGUCUUGGAGCACUUUGUGCAAGUGUUAAUCUAUGUCUAUAUCUAUAUCUAUAUACCUUGAUAUUAAAGAGCUGUUGUUUCUUUCAACCGUCGUGGUCAUUUUGCAAAAAGGUUCCUCAACUUUUUCGUAAUCAACCCGCGUAGGUCAGUUGCUGUCUCUUUCCAUUAGAUGUUAAUUGUAACGGCCUAAGCUUAUUACUGGUGAUGUCCUAUGCGGAAUCAUGAUUUCUCUAGGUGGAUUUUCUACUUGCCUUGUUAGUUGGUAACUGGCAUCAAAGUUUAUGAUUAGCUUGUUAGUUAGGAGAGAUAGAAACUGCAACUUCAGCAGGUCCAAAAUUUCCUUUGAUGCGUUUUGUAAAUUGUUCUUGUUGGCUAGCUAUGCUACGGCCUCAGACGAUUUGGUUUUAGAUUUUAGUAGAGCGCUAGAUUUAGAUUUUAGUAGAACACUAGAUGCAGAUUUUAGUGGAACAAUACAGUACUGAAGGUUAUCAGGUACUUGUGAGCAGAAAAGCAUGCCCCAGCCAUUGAAGUUUUAACUGUUUUUAUGCUUUCCUGUGUAUUUACAAUGCGAAUGGUUGAUGCUGCAGAAUUGUCUAAAUUUCUACAAAUUAGUCUUUUGUUUGGAAAAAAAUAUUUGUACUUGAACCAUGUUUACUGACGCAAGGUAGCAGAUUCAGGUACUUAGGUUGAGGUUGCAUUGCUGUUACUUAGGCUCCGUUUGGUUCCCUUGCUUAUUUUUAGCACAUGUCACAUUGAAUGUUUAGAUACUAAUUAGGAGUAUUAAACGUAGACUAUUUACAAAACUCAUUACACAGAUGGAGGCUAAACGGCGAGACAAAUCUAUUAAGCCUAAUUAAUCCAUCAUUAGCAAAUGUUUACUGUAGCAACACAUUGUCAAAUCAUGAACUAAUUAGGCUUAAUAGAUUCAUCUCGUCGUUUAGCCUCCACUUAUGUAAUGAGUUUUGUAAAUAAUCUAUAUUUAAUACUCUUAAUUAAUAUCUAAAUAUUCGAUGUGAUGGGUGUUAAAAAUAAGCAAAGGAAACCAAACGGGAUUUUAGUGGGUAUUGACCUGGGCUAUUUGCAUCGGAUGUCUUUCAAACACCCACUUGAUGUACUACACAAAUAUUUCCUAAAAGAUGCUAUUAAUGGCCUUAAACAACAAAACUACAGCACAAUUAGCCCACGGUCCUACACGGGCACAUCUCCACCCGGUGGUUGAGGGCUACCUCUUGCUCUACCAAAUCUAGAUCAUGGUUGGUUUUGCCUUUCAGUGCUUCGUGAUCUCCCCCCACGGUCCCCAAAUUUACUAAAUUCUAGCGGCCUAGCCUAGACAGCAGGCACUGGGAGGAAGAAAGGAAGGGGAGCAGGGGCACCCGAGCCAUCCAUGCGUUCAUGUACGGAGAUUAUUGAAAGAUUACAGUUCAUGCCUAAUUAAGGGGAUUUAUCUGCGAUGGACUCACCAAAUAUACAUAAGCUACAUUUUCAGAGAACGUUUACCUUUAUGUAGUUAGUAAUUUGAUGUGUCCUACACCUAAAGCAUUCAUUCAUUAACUUCAAAUUAAAUUGACCCACCGAACUGAUCUGAACAGAAAGUAUUCCAGCUAAUUAGGAUGGGUGGAGAUUAUUUUCUUCUUUGGGUCCAAUUUUUAAAUAUCAAAUAUGGAAAACUCAGUCGAAUCAAAUAUUCUGAGCUUGAGGCUUUCCUUGAUUUACUUUGUUGAAAUUGAUCGGUAAUUUUUUUUCUAUGUAGACUAAGUUGGCCGGUUGGAUGUGGUGGGCUGGUUUGGGCUGCAUUAGGCAGUUAGGCUGGUAUACGUGUAUCUUGGUAUAUUGUCCUAGAGAGUUACUUACCGGUUAUGACGAACUUCGUUGUGCAAUGCUUGGUGAUUUAACAUUUUCACAUUAUAGCUUCAUUUAGUUAUAUUUUUAUUCAACAUCAAGUUAUCUAAACUUCAAACAUCAUGAGAUCUUUUAUUUUAGUAUAUCUCUCUUGGGUGCUCUAAAUCUUCCUACAAAAUGAGAAACUCUAAGAAAAUCAUAAUCAUAAAAUUCCAGUAGUUGGUGGAUGGCUGGACGCCAUCAAGUAGCAGAACACCACCGUCUCAUGCGGCUCUUCACCAUCAUACAGACCGCUAUCCGCGUAGACUUUGGCUAAAGCAUGGGUGGUGGUGUGGAAGGGACAACAUCAGUAUAGACGCUAAGCGACCAUAGAGAAUAAUAAUCUGAGAACGUGUAAAGACCCGUAGCAACGGGUGGUGGCGUGGAAGUGACAACAUCAAUAUAGACGCUAAGCGACCGUACAUGAAACAAGAAUAAUAAUCUGAGAGAAUAAAAACCUGAGAACGUGUAAAGAUCCGUAGCAACGCAUCGGCAUUUCUACUGGUAAUGAUAGAGAGCAGUACUCCAAACUUGUUACCGCUUUCGCUGGAAUCAGAUUCAGAUUUGCUUAUAGAGAGAUUUGCUUUUUCUCCUGAAUAUCCUCAUGACGAUACUCCUCACAAUUCAAAACUGGAUCUCAGAAAAAAAAGAGCCGAGACAACAUGCAAAUCUACAAAAAUGGGACCAAAAGAAAACUGCACAAACACCCAGCUUCAAUUAGUUUGAGCGAGCUGGACUCUGUCCAUUUGCCCCUUCGUUCUGACGGUCGGAGUGGCCGGAGCUGUCUCCUCCUUUACUUCUCAAGAAGCACGAUACAGCCACAUGGACCACGAAAUAGGCCAGCACGGCGAUGACGAGCGCGGAGACGUAUCCGGCGGUCUUCCACGACCGGCUGGAGCCGGCGGCGUAAGCGAUCAGGAGGCCGAGCAGGUCCAGCACGAUCGUCGUGUUCAUCACCCCGAGCCACCAGCUCCACCACUUCUUGUUCAGCGACGGAGGCAGCAGGAGGACGAUGACCACGACGGACGCAACGAAGGAGGUGGAGUUGCUGUAGAAGAAGGCCAGGUACCGGUGCCUCCGGUUGUCGUGCAUCACCGGGUCGCCCGCAGCGUGCCCGGCGCCGUCAUCCUGCCAGACCCCGCCAGGCGGUGCCAGGCCGGCCUGGUAGGUGAUGCUCGCCACCAGGAUUCCCAGCAGCAUGAGAUACUUGCGCUUGGCGUUCAGCUUCUUUUGUAGUACCUCAUCUUCUGUCUUCGGGGUCUCCUUGGUAGACGGCUUCUCUGCAUCAUUCUCUGGUUUCAGGUUCUUCUCCAAGUCUGCAUCUGUUUCCAGGGAGGCACUGGGUUUCUCUGCUCCGUUGUCCCGUUCCUUGGAUGCCUGCUCUGCUUUCCUGUCUUUUUUCUUUUUAGCUUUGUCCCUCUGAUCCCUUUUCUCAUGGAUGACCAAGAACACAACAGCCACUAUGACCACAAAGAGGACGAACGCCGCCAAUGCGAAGAUGUAGAUGGAUGUCUUGAGAUGCUGCGUGCUGCCGGCGGCGUAUGCGCCCAUGAUACUCAUCAUGCCCGCCGCCGUGCAAACAGACAAAGCGUUGGUCCGGAUGGCGGGCCGGUAAAGGUUGGGGUUUACGAGGACGAUAAUGAGCGCGAUGGACAGCAUGAAGCUCACCGAGUUGCAGUAGAAGAAUGCCGUGUAACGGCGCGGGUAGUUGUUGAGCAGCACGGGGUCGCCGGCGAGGUGCCCGGUUGCUUGAUCGUCCUUGAGCAGGAAGCCGCUCGGCGGGGUCAGGCCGGCUUGGUAGGUGAUGGUGGCCGCCAAGAUCGCGAAGAGGAGCAGCCGCUUGCGCCUCUUCUCCAACUGCUUAGCCUUUUCCUCCUCCUCGUUCUCCGGUGAAGCUUGAUCCUGCCCUCUUGUGCUGCCGUCCUUGCGGUCCACCAAUACAAGAUGGAUCACCACGUAGACGAGGACCGCGCCGGCCAAGGCCAUGGCGUGGAUUGAGGUGUUGACGUCCCGGCAGCUCCCGGCGGCGUAUGCGCCGAUGAGGCCCAGUAGGUCCAGUAUCAUGGCAGCCUCCAGGGCGUUGUGGUGGUGCAGUGUCUUCAUCCGGACGAGGACGAUGGCUACCAGGGAGGCCACGAAGGCGACAGAGUUGCAGUAGUAGAAGGCCUUGUACCGCUUGGGGUUUGUGGUCAGCAGGAUUGGGUCGCCGGCCAUGUAGCGGCCGCCGGCAUCGGCGCGCUGCCAGAGGCCGCCCGGUGGGUUCAGGCCUGCUUGGUAGGUGAUGGCCGCUGCGAGAGUGGCGAGCAGCAGAACAAGAGAGCGAGCCCUCUCCAGCACUUGAUGUACUUGCUGCUUGGCACUAACAUCACAGAGAAAAAAAAUCCGUCUAAAAUUACUGAGAAAACAAAAUCCAUCUCAAAUUAACUGCAAGGACGAAGAAGGAUAUAUGCUAUAUAAUACCUGCCAUUCGAAUUGCCAGUGUUUGGCUGUCGUUGAGUGCUCUGCUCCAAACAAGAUUGUUCUGUGCCACACAGACAUCCUGACACUUUAUCACGGAUGCGUUUUAGUUGUUUCCACAAGCAGCUGUUCGUUAUGGCAUCUUUGCAAAACUUAACAAUGGCCGCUUGAACGAGAAUGAAACCAAUGACGGCACCAACCAGAGAGUUGACAUAGAUGGUAGUGUCAAUCUGCCGGCAGCUGCCGGCGGAGUACGCCCCGACGAGGCCGAUGAGCGUGACGGCGAUGAAGACGUAGAGCUCGACCGACCGAAAAUUCUUGCUGAAGGCAAGCUUCUUGUCCAGGAGAAUGAUGAUGAUGAGCAGGGACGCGACGAAGGCGGUGGUGUUGAAGACGAAGAAGGCCUUGAGGCGCGCGUCGUGGCGUCCGCCCUUGAGAAUGGCCCGGCCUGGGCGGUGGCCGCCGCCGUCGUUGUCCCAGAAUCCUCCCGGCGCGCUGAGGCCGGCGACGUACGUGACGCUGACGGCGAACGUGGCCAGCAGCAUCAGCACCUUGCGGAGCCGCAGCAGCGCGCUCUUGUCCGCCCUCUCCGCCUCCGAUUCGCCGGCAUGCUCCGGCGACUCAUCCUCCCCCUUGUCCAUCUUCUUCUCGGGCGCGCCGUCUUUCCCCUUGUCCGCCGGCGCCGUCAACGAGGCCAGCAGCAUCAGCACCUUGUGGACCUUCGCAACCGCCCUCCUGUCCAUCCUCUGCUCGUCCGACGCCGGAAAUGAGGCCAGCAACGUGUGGACGGCGAGGUAGGCGACGACGCUGGCGAGCAGGACCAAGGAGUAGAUGGCCGUGAGCCCGUCCCGGAACGUGCCGGCGGCGUAGGCGACCAUGAGGCUGAGCAGGUCUAGGACCAUGACGAGCCGGAGUAUGGCGAGCACCGGCGCCAGGCUGAUCCCGCCCCGGUCGUGCAGGAUGGACAGGAUGAGGACGAGGACGAUGACGACGAGCGAGGAGGCAAAAGCGGUGG
This 321619-nucleotide long non-coding RNA is filed under the name Setaria italica (foxtail millet). RNAcentral's name for it is "long non-coding RNA (SITA_LNC002399)". Lineage: Eukaryota; Viridiplantae; Streptophyta; Magnoliopsida; Poales; Poaceae. The record is from RNAcentral.